GUUGGGAUGCCUCCUGUUAUAUAUCCACCACCCUCCACCAUAGGUUGGUGGUUGAUCUGAGUUAUUUCAUGACUUCUGUCGUUUUAGAGCAACCCACCUCCCAAGCCUUUGAGAGAGAAUUCCUGCGGGGAAACACAAACACCCAUAGCCCAAAGUGAUUGAGCACCACUAAAGAUAUUUUGUUCUAAGUGAACUGAAGAAUUAUUACACUUGAAGAUUGUGAUCUUCCACACGGUUAGGCGUCAUCUUCUGAGAAUCCAAUAGUCGUUGUGGAUUGCUAGUGAACAAGUUUGUGGAGGUUUCGGAAGUCUAUCUCGAAGACUUACCUGAGUGAUUGAGUGAGGUCUAAGUGAAUUUAUCUCAAGGGGAAUAAAGUGAAGACUUUGCCUUCUGAGUUCAAUCUCAGCCUCCCUAACCAGGCGUAUACUUGUCACGUCAACUGUAACUAGUCAAACAAAUCAUUGUCUUCACCAAGCAACUAGUUCUAUCUCUUCACCGCUUUACUUUCAGUUGCGUGUUGUGAAGCCUUUGUCUGCUCAUCUUAGUGUGAAGACAUUUCCAUUGAUUCCAUCUUUGUCUUCUUGUUUGCUGUUCAUUGCACUCUAUGCUACCUAGCUUGCAUGUUGUGUUCGUUUCCCAUGUGGUUUAGUUUAUCUUGGAUUGCAUGCCUAUUCAUAACAUGUCAAGGUAGCACAUGGAAUACCAUAAACAACCAAAAUUACAAUCAUGACCAUAUAUCACCUAACGACGACUACAAAUAAUGAAGCAAGCCAAAGACACGUCAUGGCUAGCCUCUUUGUCUAGAAAGAGAGAAAACAAGUCAGGUCUUCAAAUAGAGAAACGCUAACAAAGUACAAAACCUGACAAGUCAACCCGAAGCCCUUGAUGAAUACUUGCUGGGUUGGUGGCCACCAAUCCGCAAGACCAUAACCCUAAGAGCUAGUUGUUAUCAACGGCGACUACCACACCAGGAUAAACAUAGAACUGCCACACGACCGCCUAUACGCAGUCCACCCAAAAAACAUAGCAUACAAGAAACUUAAUCUAAAUGCUAAAACUUGAUCCAUGGUUCAUCCCCUUUUUCAGGGUUGGUUCUUCACCUUUUGAUUCUAAAAUGGGUCGCCAGGACCUGCAAUGGAGGAUGUCUUCAAGAACUAGGAGAAUGUUGAGUUGCAACUUAUUCUUGACCCAAUACUCCCUCAAAAACGCAAGCGUGCUAUUCAUGACUAGCCUUUUUGUAGAGAGAAAAAAAACGUUUGAUGUCGGAUGAAGAACCGCUAACUAAAACAAAUCUGGCAUCACCACCUUCAAAUCAGUCCAAAGCUCUCAAGGACAACUUGUGGGUUGGUGGUUGUCGACGUGUGAGACAAAAAACCUAAGGGCUCCUUGUAACCAACCCGACCAGUGGCAAAGGCAGUAUUGCCUCAAAUUUUAUGUUGAAUGGAACUUUAACAAAUUUUACUGUUCAUAUGCAUAAGGACAUCUUCAACGCGAAGCCUCAAAUCACUUGCAACUGUUCGGACGGCGCGGUCUGGGCAUGUUUUUGAAAGUGUUAGUCAUCGACUAGAGGGGAUGGGGGCGAACAAGCGAUUUUUAUAAAAGUCUUCGAAAUAGGCAACACCUUCGAAGAUGUGGAAUAAAGCUACACUAGGUGGAAAGUUUUCUCAAAAAGAAACUCAAAAAUAGCAGGGAUAUAUAGGAGAUGAAAUGAUUUACUUGCUCACUAAGAUUUGUUCCUGAAAAAACAUCAUCAUGGGGAUAGCGCAUGUAGCAGACAGUGCAAGGCGCAUGCCAUAGUGUUGUCAGCUGUUGGGUAGGUCCACGCAAGAUUUGAUCUAGGCGACCACGCACCAAACAAACAACCUUUCCAGCCGAAUGCUGCGUCAAGCCACUCCAAAACACGCCCAAAUUAUUAUUAUUUGUUCCAUAAAUAAUCGGAGAGGGGCUCCAAAGCCACGCGAGAAAGCACAGAAUAUACCUUUGAAUACUCCAAAGCGGAGCAAAGCACGGUGGCGAGAAAAGUCCGAGUUCCCAUAUGCUCACGAAUAUGCCAGGGAAGAUGCCCCCUCACUUAGGUCACCGGGCCACCGGAGCUUCCACUCGCCUCGAUCGCCGGUCGACGGAAACCUCGUGCCCUAUAUAUGGAGCCUCACCCGGCGUCUCCCAUGGAGGAACUCCUUCCUCACCUGGGAGGAGCUCCUCCUAGGUAUAUACCCCCCAACAAUGGCCUGACGCCAGCCACUGCUAGCUAGCUGGCGUGUACGUAGCUCCUGUCGGCGACGACCGGCCGGCGACGGCGGUGCGCGGCGGAGGUAUCUAGCUAGCUAGCUAGCUAGGCGGGUGUUAGGCCGUGUAGGGCAACUAUACAUCUUUGGCAAUGUCUUCUUCUUCUUCCUCCUCCUCCGAUGGAUUAUUGGAAGAUUGUAAUGGAGUGUGUAAACUGUGUCCGCAUCCUUCCUAGAGAUUUCACCAUCUUGCGUUUCUACGACCUAUACUAGUGCUCUGUUGUUUCGUUAAAAAAGAGAUAUACUAUAUUACUAGUGGUCUGGUCUGGUUGUGGAGGCUACUGUAUUCCUGUUUGUGGCGAGCUCGUGUUUUUGUCAUGCCAACUUUUUACUGUUGAUUUUUCAGCACUGCAAAAAUGGGUUGUAUAGUAGUACUCCCCAAGUCCCGAGUGCUCCACUAUGUGGCAAUGUCUUGGAUACGGGAAAAUCGGGCGGUAGGGAGCAUCUUCUAUCGAAAAAUAAGAAUCUACGCGUAAUCUCAUGGUGCAUCUACAACAAGGGCCCUGUGUGGAUACAGGUUAGAGUUAGAUUUUAACUCUAGACUAACCCUGAACUAACUCUAACCAAAGAGGUGUUUGGAUGAAAGGGUUAGAUUGCCAAUAAAUGCACUUUUUUCAAUCAUUUGGCUCCUUUAUCUAGGAUUUUGUGUGGUGGAGGAAGAGAGAAAAGUAACUUUUUCUGGACCCCACCCAACUCUAACCCAAAAAAGCAUCUCUUGGAUGGGUUAGAUUUUUUGGAUGGGUUAGAUGCAUCUAACCAACUCUAACCCACCCUGUUUGAAUUUUUAAGGGUUAGAUGAGUUCAAUCUAACCAACUCUAACUCUAACCCUAGGAUCCAAACAGGGCCAAGGUAAGAAGAUGACCGGCCUGGCCUAGCAGUGCAGGCGGUGCGAUUCCGGUCCAAGGGAGUAUUAAUAUUGUCCUUCGACUGUGCAUCAAGUUUGGAUGAGAGCACCUCAAAACCAGAAACGAUAUAAUUCUUCAGUCAAACCUAAGUUUGGGUGGUUUUGGUGGUGACAUGUCUCGGUUUUCACUCAAACGUGACACGGUUGCAUUAUUUGGUCGACCAUACGACAUAGGUUCUUCUUCAUUCUAUCUCACUUCUCUGUCGGGGUCCAAAUCCACGUGUAUAGAGUUCACUCAAUCUUAGGCAUGCAAAUUUGAAACCUUUAGGCCGUGUUUGGGAUGGGUAUAAAGUUAUACGAAGAUGUAUUGUUUACAAGUGUAACUUACUGAUCGUGAACAAUUUCCGGCCCGAAACGAAAUGACCGAUUGAGGCAUGUACUUUUUACGGAGGUAUUUAGAAUGAAAAUGUUGAUCCAAACAGGGCCUUAGGGUGCCCUCCCACCCUGCUUAGUUCAAGCAAAUGAACUAAAAAUAUUAAAGUAAUAUGUUACCGAAAUUUAGUUCAUCUAGUUGAACUAAGGAAGACCGAAGGCUAUCUUCAAGGUUCCAAAUUUGAAUUGCUAAUUAGUCCGCUUGUCAAGGGAUUGGAAGGGAUUUCAAUUCUAACAAGCCUUCGACGAGGGUCCUCACCGAGAGGGAGCGCCAUGCCAUGUGGAGGGAAGAAAGCCGAAUGGCAAUACUAUGAAAACGUUUAGAAACAACCGACAGGUCACAACACAGGUGUCGGUCACCUUCAACGCGCCACGCCCCUUCACUAUUUGCACUUAACUCCGAUGCGUGAGCUAGUCGCCUCUCCUGUGCUACAAAGCUCGUUGCAGACGCUGCUAGCAAGAACGGUUGCAACACCAUCCAAGCCCCUUCACUAUCUGCACUGCCAAGCCCGUUCGCAGCGCUACACUUGACUCGGUCUAUUUUCAACACAGGUUUGGCGAAAUAAACUCUUAAAUCAAAAUUCCGGUCCAUUGCACCCUGAAUUAUGUAAUCCCGGUCUAAAUUAAACCCUGGAGUCGUUUUGCAAACGAGGAUCGUCAACGUAUGAAUGGGAUUGAUGCCAUUUUCGCACUAUUUGUUUCUUGUUGGGCCGACCUGUUUUUGAUUUAUUUUUUUCCUUAUUUAACACGCAUAGAUUUUUUUUAUUUUUUAAAACUGCAAAAAUAAGCACGGAUGGUAACCCGAAUAAAAGACCUCCCUUUUCACAUUGUGUUCGCUUACUCCCUUUUUCUUCCUCUUCUUUUCCUAUUUUAGUUUAUUAUAUCCUUUUUAUUUUUAUUAUGUUUAUAUAUUUUCUGAAAUUCAUGGCCAUCUUAGUAGGAAAUUGAAAACAAAAAAACACCAUGAACCAAAUUUUCAAAAUGAUAAAUGGUCACGAAUUUUCUAAUAUGUUCCCAUAUUUCAGAAUUGUAUGGUCGCUUUGCGAGCUCUCCUGAGAUCGCAUAUGUGCAAGGAAAAAAAUAGCGCGCUAUUUGAAAUAGCGCAGCCUUCAAAAAAACGCUAUGAACGAAAUAGCGUGCUAAUAGCUCGCUAUUUUGCAAAAUAGCGUGUCAUAAAACAUUGUUCAGAUUUCAGCAUAUAGCAACACAAAUGACAGAUUUCAGCAGAGGCGGCAAGAGGAGAGGAGGCUGCGAGCGGAGGAGGCGGCAAGAGGCGGUCGGCCGUGGCUGGAGGAGACGGGAGAAGCACCGGUGGCCGUCGCUGCCGCCGUCGCUCGGUAGGUUUGGUUAAGGAUUUAGGGUUUGCUCGAUAGGUAUGGUCGUCGCUAUAGGUUUGGUCGCCGCUGGUUAGGGUUACUGGACCGGAAAGCCCAAAAGAAUAAUGGGCUGAUGAAAAAUUCGUCCGAAAAAAAUAGCGCCGCGUCGAAAAAAAUAGCACCGAUACGCGCUAUAGCGCGAAAUUACCGUAUUUAGCGUGAAUAGCGUCAUAGCGAGUGAAAUAUGCAUAGCGUAGCGUUUAGUUUUCAAAUACGCUAUUAACGCGCUAUAGCAGCGUUUUAGUGCGCUGGUUUUUUUCCUUGCAUAUGUGCGAUGUUCUUUGCAUCCAAUAGGUAUUUCCUUUAACAAAAAAAUAUUUUCUAAAAAGAUAAAAAAAAACUACAAAUGGGCAGCUUGUGCAAACAUUUUCUGAAUUUCUAACAAUUUUUGGCAAUAGGAACAUUUUUGUUAAUAUGUGUGCAAAUUAUGAAAUUCUGAAAAAAAACCAUAAACCACGAACAUAUUUUGUAUUUUUCAGAACAUAUUGGGAAUAUGAAACAUUUCCUGAUAUUCCAAACAUAAAUUUAUAACUGCGGACAUUUUCUCAAUUUCUGAACAAUUUUCGGCAACAGGCAUAUUUUUCUAACAUAUGUACGAAUUAUGAAAUUCUGAACAAAUUUUGAAAACAAAAACAUCUGUUGAAGUUUUUUAAAAAACAUUUUUGAAAUGGAACAUUUCCUGAUAUUCUGAACAAAAAAUUAUAACUGCAGACAUUUUCAGACGAAUCUCAAUUGACACGGUGUCAGGAUUCGAUUUAGACCGGGGUUGUAUAGUUGAGGGUGUAAUCAACAGGAAUUUCAACUUGAGGGUUCAUUCCGCCUGACCAAUACAAGUUCAAGGUUUAAAUUGGACUUUUUCGGCUCCAGCAAAGCAAUGCUUCACGAGCACUGCAAACUUGGCAAUCUCUGUCGCAAACACAUCAACAACAUGCUGAUCGAGUGCUUCAACGGGUUGCAACAUCGGUGGGUUGUGGCCAACGGAGAGAGCAGAGCUGGUGCUUCAACCACUACAGCCAAACAAACAGCGGCGAUGCUAACGGUUGGGAGGGGUGAUUAAGAAGCGCCUGAUAAUCUCAACUUCUCAAGAAGUGAGCCUGGAUAUUAUACAAAUCACAUUACAUAAAAACAGCAGACCAAUGGUAUGGCAAUACGAUAAAAACUAAAAUACCUUAGUUAUAAGCUGACAAACAACCAAGGAGAUCACAGGCUCCAAACUGCAGUGAGCCAAGCAGAUUGGUAGACUUAAACCUCUUCAGCAUCUAACUCGAUGGAACAACAUAAUAUUGCAUAUAGAUUUUUCAGAAUUAACCACAGGCACAGCUCAUAGUUUUCAAACAAAGACACCCAAUCCCAAAGUGCAUAACAGAUUCCAGAAUAACUCAACAAGCAACGGCAGCUAGUCAGACAAAAAAAAGACAACUUAGGUGUUCCUUGGGAAAUAUCCUACUAACACAUCUCAGGUACUUUCAUCGAAUUUUCAUUUUCCAUUUUCAGUAGAAAAAGCCUAGCACUUUGCCACCAACAUUCUUACGCCUAGCCUCCUCAUGGUCCAUGAUCCCAGCAGAAGUUGUCAGCACAAUGUAACCAAACUGCAAAUCAGGUUGGAGAAUGUACACCGAGUUAAUGAUCAGUCAUCAGCAACACAAUUAUGGUUUAUGGAUAUCAAGUUCCAGCCAAGAUGCAACAAUAUGUAGCAAGUCAAAGCAAACUGACCUGACGAGAAGGAAGAAGCCUUGCAGUCCAUCCCUCAAUCUCCUUGACACCAACAUCAAAGCGAGGACUGAUGACACCACACUUGUUCAGCCUGCCAUUCAAUUCAACCACGAUCUUGCCAGACCUGUGAUCAUCAACAUACUCAAGCUCGCCAAUGUAUCCUACAAUACAUUGAACAGAGUCAGCUACAGAUUCUCAGAGAGCAACGACAAAACAGAAUAUGCAGUUUAGAACUAACCGUGCUUCUGCAUGACGAUAAGGAACUUGAUAAUGACCUUGGAAGAAGGCCUGAUCAUGACCUGCCUCUUCCCACGCUUCUCAGCGUUGUACAUGCUCUUGAGAGCAUCAUUCAGCACACUGACUCUCACCAUCCUUACCUGCAGAAUAAUAACAGACUUUAGAAACCAAACGAAAGUGGGGAAAAAGGACUACAUGCCUUGCAAGCAAGUACCAAUGGAACAGUUUUGACAUUUCAACACUCCUAAUAUUUCAAUAUAGCAAGGUCUACUUAGAACAAGAAUGUAAAAAAUGUUAGUAUGUUACACUAUUCCAUCCAUUUAAAGGAAGUGGUCCUACAUAUGCAAGUGCUAACAAUUACCAGACCUUAGCUAAGAUAUGAGUUUAUUAAACUAGUUCAAUAUGUUACACUAUUCCAUCCAUUUAAAGGAAGUAGUCCUACAUAUGCAAGUGCUACCAAUUACCAGAGCUUAACUAAGAUAUGAGUUUACUCAACUUGUUCAAUGAUAUCUGCAUGCAAGUCAAAGCAAGUUCUACAGUACACAAGCAGAUAGGAUGAUUGGCAACUAGCUACUCAAGCAAAAGUGAAUCACGUUCCAAAUGGAAUCAUGAACAAACCUGUGAUGCAUUUAACAAAGCAACUAGGUGGAUACACAAUUAAGCAUAUAAACAUCUGAACUGACAGAAAAAAACGUACAUCAUUCCUUAAGACGUAUACACGACGCAUGGCGAUAUGACCACCCAAGAAAGGUUCACGGUCAGCUCGCUAAAGAUUUAACAAGCCAAAACAUUUCACGGCGUUUGAAAACAGGUGCAUCUCCUCAGGUUAAUCUCAUCCCAACGAUGCAACGAAGCAAAAUAAAACUAAUUUCAUUUCUCGCAUUUCACCGGCGAAAAUCACAGGCCGCACACAAAAUUCAGCAGAGCGCUCCCCAGCAAACUAUUCAUUCUAACGCACCAAACUGCGACAAAUCUCCAACCACAUGAACAUGGUAAACAGGCAGGAAAACACCUACACGACAUCAAUGGUUAACCAGGGCUCUCUACAACUACAGAUUCUCUUGAUCCUGCAUCGCUCCCAGAUCAAACCAAGGCACCCGAUGCUCACAAGAUAUCAGCCACACUGGGAUAAACAAGAAGCUUGCAGCUCGCCGGGAAAAAAGGUAGAGACACACCGCGCCGCCGUAAAACUAGAGAUCCGGAAUAGCUACGCGCCGAUCUAGGGAACAAUCGGAAGGGAGGGGGAGGAGGGGCAGGGAGGGAUCGGGGCGACGUGCUUCCGCGAGUGGUACCUCUAGGGAGCGAGCCGAGCUCUGGCCGUGGCGGCGGCGGCGGCGGCGGCGGCGUCUGCGGAGCGAGAGCGGCAAGCAGGAAGGCGACGGCGCAAGGGGGAGUUCCGCGAGAGCGUUUGGGAGAUUAAAAAGGGUGGAAGGAUAGCGUGCCCGCGGUUGGAUCCGAAUCUGACGGUGGUCGUUCGCUUCGAGGUGGUUUGCCCUAGAAUGGCUCCAGUCCCUCCCCUGGUGCUCCCAUAUGGGCCCUACAAACACGGCCUUUCUGUGGUAACCCAGCUCGAACGGCCCAUGUGAGACGUCUCUGUAAUGGGCCCGGCAUCUCUCUCGUCCGUAAAAACGUAGGGCAUCCUCUUCCUGCAUUGCUGCUGCUGUGUUUUUCUUUUUCAGUUGUGCUCUCGUGUAUUGCUGAUAUUGCAAAAAAACGAAAGUUCUUGUACAAGAGAAAUAUCCUUCUUGCUCCCCCACAGAAUUGUCUUUAAAAUGCAGAUUAGCUUUAUACUCCCCCCGUUCGAAAAUAAUUGUUAUAGGAAUGGAUGAAUCUAGAUGUAUUUCAGUUCCGGAUACAUCCAUUUUCAUCAAUUUAUGCAACAAAUAAUUUCAGAUGGAGGACGUAUUAAUUUGAUCCAAAUAAGAAACUUGUUAUGCGUUUUUUUAUGCGGUCAUGGUGACAUGGUGCAAUGUUCCGUUGUGUGUUGCCAUAUGAAUAAUUAUCAUGCCUCUAAUAGUUACUAGCAAAAGGGCCCAUGCGUUGCAACGGGAGAAAGAAAUACCACACGACACAUGCUCUUAAUUUAUAAAAAAAUGUCUAUAAUUUAAGAAUUUAUAGUUACGAUACAAAUAAAGAUGGUCUUAUCCUACAAAAGGCAGUUCAAAAUUUCACAGGUCUUCUAUUUUAACACGGCUUGCAUGUAGAUUUAAUACGUACAAAGAAUCAGUCAAGUGACCUUCAGUUUCAUCUUUAAUCCUGAUUUUGUUGACGUGUUCAUUCCCAACCCGGAUCAGUACCGGUAUGAAAGAAAGACGAAUAAUGACUUAUUUAUUAAGAUUGCACCCUAAAUAGUAUUUUUAUUAAACGUUUAAUAGAUAAAAUAAUAUGAUAUUUAAAUUCUACAUAUUUUUCUAAUCAAAUUCCAUGUAUAAUAUGUUAAAUUUGGAGUUACGGUUUAAAAGAUAUGAGUAUUUUAAAAAAUAUUUAAUAUAUACUACGAGUUUAAUGUCAUAAACAGUAAGGGCUUUUUUGUAAAAUCACCUCGCUGAGUUUUCCGACGGAAGCGAUAGCCUCUUUAUUAUUAGGUAAAGAUAGUUUGGUACUCGUGGGUUAUGCUGAGGUGUUUUUAUUUGAUUAGAAUGUACUUAGCCAACAUCCUUGCACCAAUCACUUCAGAUGAAUUUUAUCCAUUGAUGGCAUGGCAGAGCAUGGGCGCCUACCAUCCCUUUAUUGUUGCAACGGUUUGGGAAGGAAGAGUAUGGGAACUGCUAAGAGGUGUGUUGUUAGAUAUCAUAGAAUGUUAAAUGUGUUGUUUUCUAUCUUCGAGGACUAUUAUUUGUUACUAACCUUAGACGACUCACUUUUACAUUUUACACAGAGUCUAUCAAUAUAUAGCAAAUAGUUAGUUGACAACAUCGAAGGUGCGGGUGGACCAGCAUGUGUUCAAAUGAGCUGGAUUCUAUGGUGCAUGUUGGCUAGCUUUUUGUUCAUGUCUAGACGAAAUAUUGUUGGGGAACGUCGCAUGGGAAACAAAAAAAAUUCUACGCGCACGAAGACCUAUCAUGGUGAUGUCCAUCUACAAGAGGGGUUGUGUAAUCUACGUACCCUUGUAGACCGUACAGCAGAAGCGUUAGUGAACGCGGUUGAUGUAGUGGAACGUCCUCACGUCCCUCAAUCCGCCCCGCGAACCGUCCUGCGAUCAGUCCCACGAUCUAGUGCCGAACGGACGGCACCUCCGCGUUCAGCACACGUACAGCUCGACGAUGAUCUCGGCCUUCUUGAUCCAGCAAGAGAGACGGAGAGGUAGAAGAGUUCUCCGGCAGCGUGACGGCGCUCCGGAGGUUGGUGAUGAUCUUGUCUCAGCAGGGUUCCGCCCGAGCUCCGUAGAAACGCGAUCUAGAGGAAAAACCAUGGAGGUAGGUGGUCGGGCUGCCGUGGAAAAGUCGUCUCAAAUCAGCCCUAAAACCUCCGUAUAUAUAGGGGGAAGAGAGGGAGCCUUGCCUUGGGGCUCAAGGAGCCCCAAGGGGGUCGGCCGAGCCAAGGGGGGAAGGUCUCCCCCCCCGAAACCGAGUCCAACUUGGUUUGGUGGGUGGAGUCCUUCUUCCCUUUCCCACCUCCUCCUUUUUUUUCUUUUCUCUUUGAUUUUCUUCCUAUGGCGCAUAGGGCCUUCUUGGGCUGUCCCACCAGCCCACUAAGGGCUGGUGUGCCACCCCCAAGGCCUAUGGGCUUCCCCGGGGUGGGUUGACCCCCCCCCCGGUGAACUCCCGGUACAUUCCCGUUAACUCCGAAAACCUUCCGGUAAUCAAAUGAGGUCAUCCUAUAUAUCAAUCUUCGUUUCCGGACCAUUCCGGAAACCCUCGUGACGUCCGUGAUCUCAUCCGGGACUCCGAACAACAUUCGAUAACCAACCAUAUAACUCAAAUACGCAUAAAACAACGUCGAACCUUAAGUGUGCAGACCCUGCGGGUUCGAGAACUAUGUAGACAUGACCCGAGAGACUCCUCGGUCGAUAUCCAGUAGAGGGACCUGGAUGCCCAUAUUGGAUCCUACAUAUUCUACGAAGAUCUUAUCGUUUGAACCUCAGUGCCAAGGAUUCAUAUAAUCCCGUAUGUCAUUCCCUUUGUCCUUCAGUAUGUUACUUGCCCGAGAUUCGAUCGUUAGUAUCCGCAUACCUAUUUCAAUCUCAUUUACCGGCAAGUCUCUUUACUCGUUCCGUAAUACAAGAUCCCGCAACUUACACUAAGUCACAUUGCUUGCAAGGCUUGUGUGUGAUGUUGUAUUACCCAGUGGGCCCCGAGAUACCUCUCCGUCACACGGAGUGACAAAUCCCAGUCUUGAUCCAUACUAACCCAACGAACACCUUCGGAGAUACCUGUAGAUCAUCUUUAUAGUCACCCAGUUACGUUGCGACGUUUGAUACACAUAAAGUAUUCCUCCGGUGUUAGUGAGUUAUAUGAUCUCAUGGUCAUAGGAACAAAUACCUGACACGCAGAAAAACAGUAGCAACAAAAUGACACGAUCAACAUGCUACGUCUAUUAGUUUGGGUCUAGUCCAUCACGUGAUUCUCCUAAUGACGUGAUCCAGUUAUCAAGCAACCUUUUACGGCGAGCUCUUCGUCACCUCCAUACACGAGAAACAUCUCCUUAGUCCUUUUCAGGUACUUCAGGAUAUUCUUGACCGCCGUCAAGUGAUCCACUCCUGGAUUACUCUGGAACCUACCUGCCAUACUUAUGGCCAGGCCAAUGUCCGGUCUAGUGCACAGCAUUGCAUACAUGAUAGAACCUAUGGCUGAAGCAUAGGGGACGGUGCGCAUAUGCUCUCUAUCCUCAUCAGUUGCUGGGCACUGAGUCUUACUCAAUCUCGUACCUUGUAAAACUGGCAAGAACCCUUUCUUGGACUGUUCCAUUUUGAACCUCUUCAAAACUUUAUCAAGGUAUGUGCUUUGUGAAAGUCCUAUCAGGCGUUUUGAUCUAUCCCUGUAGAUCUUAAUGCCUAGAAUGUAAGCAGCUUCUCCUAGGUCCUUCAUAGAGAAACUUUUAUUCAAGUAAUCCUUUAUGCUCUCCAAAAACUCUACGUUGUUUCCAAUCAGCAAUAUGGCAUCCACAUAUAAUAUUAGAAACGCCACAGAGCUACCACUCACUUUCUUGUAAAUACAAGAUUCUCCAACCACUUGUAUAAACCCAAAUGCUUUGAUCACCUCAUCAAAGCGUUUGUUCCAACUCCGAGAUGCUUGCACCAGUCCAUAAAUGGAUCGCUGGAGCUUGCACACCUUGUUAGCAUUCUUAGGAUCGACAAAACCUUCGGGUUGUACCAUAUACAACUCUUCCUUAAGGAAACCGUUAAGGAACGCCGUUUUGACAUCCAUCUGCCAGAUUUCAUAAUCGAAAAAUGCAGCUAUUGCUAACAUGAUUCGGACGGACUUAAGCAUCGCUACGGGUGAGAAUGUCUCAUCGUAGUCAACUCCUUGAACUUGUGAAAAACCCUUUGCCACAAGUCGAGCUUUAUAAACGGUCACAUUGCCGUCAGCGUCCGUCUUCCUCUUAAAGAUCCAUUUGUUCUGAAUAGCCUUGCGGCCCUCAGGCAGUACCUCCAAAGUCCACACUUUGUUCUCAUACAUGGACCCUAUCUCGGACUUCAUGGCUUCUAGCCAUUUGUUUGAAUCUGGGCCCACCAUUGUUUCUUCAUAAUUUGCAGGUUCAAUGUUGUCCAACAACAUGAUUGAUAAGACGGGAUUACCAUACCACUCUGGAGCAGCACGUGGUCUCGUCGACCUGCGUGGUUCGACAGAAACUUGAACCGGAGUUUCAUGAUCAUUAUCAUUAACUUCUUCCUCAACCGGCGUCGCAACGACAGAGGUUUCCCCUUGCCCUGCGCCACCAUCCAGAGGGAUGAGAGGUUCGACAACCUCGUCAAGUUCUAUCUUCCUCCCACUCAAUUCUCUCGAGAGAAACUCCUUCUCGAGAAAAGCUCCGAUUUUAGCAACAAACACUUUGCCCUCGGAUUUGAGAUAGAAGGUGUACCCAAUUGUCUCUUUUGGGUAACCUAUGAAGACGCACCUUUCCGCUUUGGGUUCCAGCUUUUCAGGCUGAAGCUUUUUGACAUAAGCAUCACAUCCCCAAACUUUAAGAAACGACAACUUUGGCCUUUUGCCAUACCACAGUUCGUAUGGUGUCGUCUCAACGGAUUUUGAUGGUGCCCUAUUUAAAGUGAAUGCAGCUGUUUCUAAUGCAUAACCCCAAAACGAUAAUGGCAAAUCGGUAAGAGACAUCAUAGAUCGCACCAUCUCUAAUAAAGUACGAUUACGACGUUCGGACACACCAUUACGCUGUGGUGUUCCAGGCGGUGUCAACUGUGAACCAAUUCCACAUUGUCUUAAGUGAGCACCAAACUCGAAACUCAGAUAUUCACCCCCACGAUCACACCGUAGGAACUUGAUCUUCUUGUUACGAUGAUUUUCAACUUCACUCUAAAAUUGCUUGAACUUUUCAAAUGUUUCAGACUUGUGCUUCAUUAAGUAGACAUAACCAUAUCUACUCAAAUCGUUAGUGAAGGUGAGAAAAUAACGAUAUCCACCGCGUGCCUCUACGCUCAUCGGACCACACACAUUGGUAUGUAUGAUUUCCAACAAGUCACUUGCACGCUCCAUUGUUCCGGAGAACGAAGUUUUAGUCAUCUUGCCCAUGAGGCAUGGUUCGCACGUGUCAAGUGAAUCAAAGUCAAGUGACUCCAAAAGUCCAUCGGCAUGGAGUUUCUUCAUGCGCUUUACACCAAUAUGACCUAAGCGGCAGUGCCACAAAAAUAUGGCGCUAUCAUUGUUAACUCUAACUCUUUUGGUCUCAAUGUUAUGUAUGUGUGUAUCGCUAUCAAGACUCAAUAUGAACAAUCCUCUCACAUUGGGUGCAUGGCCAUAAAAGAUGUUACUCAUAGAAAUAGAACAACCAUUAUUCUCUGACUUAAAAGAGUAACCGUCUCGCAUUAAACAAGAUCCAGAUAUAAUGUUCAUGCUCAACGCAGGCACUAAAUAACAAUGAUUCAAGUUCAUAACUAAUCCUGAUGGUAACUGAAGUGAAACUGUGCCGACGGCGAUUGCAUCAACCUUGGAACAAUUUCUUACGCGCAUCGUCACUUCAUCUUUCGCCAGCCUUCGUCUAUUCCGCAGUUCCUGUUUCGAGUUGCAAAUAUGAGCAACAGAACCGGUAUCGAAUACCCAGGCACUACUACGAGAGCCGGUUAAGUACACAUCAAUAACAUGUAUAUCAAAUAUACCUGAUUUUUCUUUGGCCGCCUUCUUAUCUGCCAGAUACUUGGGGCAAUUGCGCUUCCAGCGACCCAUACCCUUGCAAUAGUAACACUCUGUUUUAGGCUUAGGUCCAGCUUUGGAUUUCUUCGUCGGAUUGGCAACAGGCUUGCCGCUCUUCUUUGAAUUACCCUUCUUGCCUUUGCCGUUUCUCUUGAAACUAGUGGUCUUAUUCACCAUCAACACUUGAUGCUCUUUGCGGAGUUCAGACUUUGCGACUUUCAGCAUCGCAAACAACUUGCCGGGAGACUUGUUCAUCCCUUGCAUGUUGUAGUUCAACACAAAGCCUUUAUAGCUUGGCGGCAGUGAUUGAAGGAUUCUGUCAGUGAUAGCCUCUUGCGGGAGUUCAAUCCCCAACUCAGCUAGACGGUUGACUACCCAGACAUUUUGAACACAUGUUCACUGACAGACGAGUUCUCCUCCAUCUUGCAAGCAUAGAAUUUGUCGGAGGUCUCAUACCUCUCGAUCCGGGCGUUCUUCUGAAAGAUAAACUUCAACUCCUGGAACAUCUCAAAUGCUCCAUGACGCUCAAAGCGACGUUGAAGUCCCGGUUCUAAGCCAUACAAGACUGCACAUUGAACUACUCAGUAGUCCUCCUUACAUGCUAACCAAGCGUUCUUAACAUCCUGAUCAGCCGUAACGGGUGGUUCAUCUCCUAGUGCAACAUUAAGGACAUAAUCCUUCUUCCCAGCUUGUAAGAUUAGCUUAAGAUUACGAGCCCAGUCUACAAAGUUGCUUCCAUCAUCUUUCAACUUAGCUUUCUCUAGGAACGUAUUAAAAUCCAGGGUGACUGUCGCGUGAGCCAUGGUCUACAACACAAAUAUAUUCAAAGUGGACUUAGACUAUGUUCAAGAUAAUUAGAGUUUAACUUAAUCAAAUUAUUCGCUAAACUCCCACUCAAAAAGUACAUCUCUCUAGUCAUUUGAGUGGUUCAUGAUCCACUUACACUAGCUCAAGUCCGAUCACGUGAGUUGAGCAUAGUUUCAGUGGUAAGCAUCCCUAUGCUAAUCAUAUCAUCUAUAUGAUUCAUGAUCGACCUUUCGGUCUCAUGUGUUCCGAGGCCAUGUCUGCACAUGCUAGGCUCGUCAAGCUUAACCCGAGUGUUCCGCGUGCGCAACUGUUUUGCACCCGUUGUAUGUGAACGUUGAGUCUAUCACACCCGAUCAUCACGUGGUGUCUCGAAACGACGAACUAUAGCAACGAUGCACAGUCGGGGAGAACAUAAUUUCGUCUUGAAAUUUUAGUAAGAGAUCACCUCAUAAUGCUACCGUCGUUCUAAGCAAAAUAAGGUGCAUAAAAGGAUUAACAUCACAUGCAAUUCAUAAGUGACAUGAUAUGGCCAUCAUCACGUGCUCCUUGAUCUCCAUCACCAAAGCACCGGCACGAUCUUCUUGUCACCGGCGCCGCACCAUGAUCUCCAUCAACGUGUCGCCAUCGGGGUUGUGGUGCUACUCAUGCUAUUACUACUAAAGCUACAUCCUAGCAAAAUAGUAAACGCAUCUGCAAGCACAAACGUUAGUAUAAAGACAACCCUAUGGCUCCUGCCGGUUGCCGUACCAUCGACGUGCAAGUCGAUAUUAUCUAUUACAACAUGAUCAUCUCAUACAUCCAAUAUAUCACAUCACAUCGUUGGCCAUAUCACAUCAUAAGCAUACCCUGCAAAAACAAGUUAGACGUCCUCUAAUUUUGUUGUUGCAUGUUUUACGUGGUGACCAUGGGUAUCUAGUAGGAUCGCAUCUUACUUACGCAAACACCACAACGGAGAUAUAUGAGUUGCUAUUUAACCUCAUCCAAGGACCUCCUCGGUCAAAUCCGAUUCAACUAAAGUUGGAGAAACUGACGCUUGCCAGUCAUCUUUGAGCAACGGGGUUACUCGUAGCGAUGGAACAAGUCUCUCGUAAGCGUACGAGUAAUGUCGGUCCAAGCCGCUUCAAUCCAACAAUACCGCGGAAUCAAGAAAAGACUAAGGAGGGCAGCAAAACGCACAUCACCGCCCACAAAAACUUUUGUGUUCUACUCGAGAAGACAUCUACGCAUGAACCUAGCUCAUGAUGCCACUGUUGGGGAACGUCGCAUGGGGAACAAAAAAUUUCCUACGCGCACGAAGACCUAUCAUGGUGAUGUCCAUAUACAAGAGGGGAUGUAUGAUCUACGUACCCUUGUAGACCGUACAGCAGAAGCGUUAGUGAACGCGGUUGAUGUAGUGGAACGUCCUCACGUCCCUCGAUCCGCCCCGCGAACCGUCCUGCGAUCAGUCCCACGAUCUAGUGUCGAACGGACGGCACCUCCGCGUUCAGCACACGUACAGCUCGACGAUGAUCUCGGCCUUCUUGAUCCAGCAAGAGAGACGGAGAGGUAGAAGAGUUAUCCGGCAGCGUGACGGCGCUCCGGAGGUUGGUGAUGAUCUUGUCUCAGCAGGGCUCCGCCCGAGCUCCGCAGAAACGCGAUCUAGAAGAAAAACCGUGGAGGUAUGUGGUCGGGCUGCCGUGGAAAAGUCGUCUCAAAUCAGCCCUAAGACCUCCGUAUAUAUAGGGGGAAGAGGGGGAGCCUUGCCUUGGGGCUCAAGGAGCCCCAAGGGGGUCGGCCGAGCCAAGGGUGGAAGGUCUCCCCCCCCCCAAACCGAGUCCAACUUGGUUUGGUGGGUGGAGUCCUUCUUCCCUUUCCCACCUCCUCAUUUUUUUUCUUUUCUCUUUGAUUAUCUUCCUAUGGCGCAUAGGGCCUUCUUGGGCUGUCCCACCAGCCCACUAAGGGCUGGUGUGCCACCCCCAAGGCCUAUGGGCUUCCCCGGGGUGGGUUGCCCCCCCGGUGAACUCCCGGAACCCAUCCGUCAUUCCCGAUAACUCCGAAAACCUUCCGGUAAUCAAAUGAGGUCAUCCUAUAUAUCAAUCUUUGUUUCCGGACCAUUCCGGAAAUCCUCGUGACGUCCGUGAUCUCAUACGGGACUCCGAACAACAUUCGGUAACCAACCAUAUAACUCAAAUACGCAUAAAACAACGUCGAACCUUAAGUGUGCAGACCUUGCGGGUUCGAGAACUAUGUAGACAUGACCCGAGAGACUCCUCGGUCAAUAUCCAAUAGAGGGACCUGGAUGCCCAUAUUGGAUCCUACAUAUUCUACGAAGAUCUUAUCGUUUGAACCUCAGUGCCAAGGAUUUAUAUAAUCCCGUAUGUCAUUCCCUUUGUCCUUCGGUAUGUUACUUGCCCGAGAUUCGAUCGUCAGUAUCCGCAUACCUAUUUCAAUCUCGUUUACCGGCAAGUCUCUUUACUCGUUCCGUAAUACAAGAUCCCGCAACUUACACUAAGUCACAUUGCUUGCAAGGCUUGUGUGUGAUGUUGUAUUACCGAGUGGGCCCCGAGAUACCUCUCCGUCACACGGAGUGACAAAUCCCAGUCUUGAUCCAUACUAACCCAACGAACACCUUCGGAGAUACGUGUAGAUCAUCUUUAUAGUCACCCAGUUACGUUGCGACGUUUGAUACACACAAAGUAUUCCUCCGGUGUUAGUGAGUUAUAUGAUCUCAUGGUCAUAGGAACAAAUACUUAACACGUAGAAAAACAGUAGCAACAAAAUGACACGAUCAACAUGCUACGUCUAUUAGUUUGGGUCUAGUCCAUCACGUGAUUCUCCUAAUGACGUGAUCCAGUUAUCAAGAAACAACACUUUGUUCAUAAUCAGAAGACACUGACUAUCUUUGAUCAACUGGCUAGCCAACUAGAGGCUUGCUAGGGACAGUGUUUUGUCUAUGUAUCCACACAUGUAAACGAGUCUUCAUUCAAUACAAUUAUAGCAUGGAUAAUAAACGAUUAUCUUGAUACAGGAAUUAUAAUAAUAACCAUAUUUAUUAUUGCCUCUAGGGCAUAACUCCAACAAAUAUAUGGGGAGAGAUGAGGCCACUAGAGAUGCCAUUACACUUACAAGGUAAAAUAUGAUCUAGACCAUUAGAUCUAUUGAAAGGACGUGGAUGUCGUCUAGAGGGGAGGGGGUGAAUAGGCGCUUUAAAAUAAUUAAGAUUUAGGCUUGAACAAAUGCGGAAUAAAACUAACGUUUAAUUUGUCAAGCACAAAACCUACAAACAACUAGCUCACCUAUGUGCACCAACAACUUAUGUUAAGCAAGAUAAACAACUAAGUGAUAGCAAGAUAUAUUACAAUAAACAAUAUGUCUAUCACAAAGUAAAGUGCAUAAGUAAAGGGUUCAGGUAAGAGAUAACCGAGGCACGGGGAGACGAUGAUGUAUCCCGAAGUUCACACCCUUGCGGAUGCUAAUCUCCGUUGGAGCGGUGUGGAGACACAAUGCUCCCCAAGAUGCCACUAAGGCCACCGUAAUCUCCUCACGUCCUCGCACAAUGCAAGAUGCCGUGAUUCCACUAAGGGACCCUUGAGGGCGGUCACCGAACCCGUACAAAUGGCAAACCUUGGGGCGGUCACCGAACCCGUACACGUGGCAACCCUUGGGGGCGGUUACCAGUACCCGUACAAAUUGCUCGGGGCAAUCUCCACAACCUAAUUGGAGACCCCGACGCUUGCCCGGAGCUUCACACCACAAUGAUUGAGCUCCGAGACACCACCAAGCUUCUAGGACGCCAAAGCAUCCACGAAGAACAAUAUCUAGGGUACUAAGUACCAAAGGUAGUAAGCUUCUCAACUUCUCACUUCCACGUAUCAUCGUGGAGAACUCAAACCGAUGCAACUAAUGCAAUGGCAAGAACACACGAAGUGGUCAAGUCCCUCACACUCAAAUCCCUCCACAACAACGAAAGCUAUGGAGAAAUAUGAGAGGAAGAACAAGGAGCUCGCAAAGAACUCCAAGAUCUAGAUCCAAGGGUUCCCCUCACAUAGAGGAGAACGUGAUUGGUAGAGAUGUGGAUCUAGAUCUCCUCUCUCUUUUCCCUCAAGAACAAGCAAGAAUCAUUGGAGGGAUUGAGAGUUAGCAAGCUCUAAGAAUGUCAACAAUGGAGGUAGAACAAGAGCUCAACAGAUGGAUAAGACCAAGGGGGAAGAAGACCCCCUUUAUAUAGUGGGGGAAGGAAUCAGACCGUUACCCCCACUUAUAGCCCGAGCCCAGCGGUACUACCGCUGGCUCCAGCGGUACCAGCGCUGGCUCCAGCGGUACCACUACCGACCCUCCGGCGGUACUACCGCUGGCUGCAGCGGUACUACCGCUGAUCCUCCAACGGUACAACCGCUGGCUGCAGCGGUACUACCGCUGAGCCCAUGGUAGCGCAAAGAUGCUACCAGGCCAACCACCGCCAAGAAAGUCUUCGCAAAAAGUCCGAUGCAGUACAACCGCAAAGAUGACGGUACUAAAGUCCUGGAGCGGUACUACCGCUGACCAGAGGCGGUACUACCGUUGGGCCAGCGGUACUACCGCCAGCUCUAACGGUACUACCUCUAGGGCCAACAGUACUACCGCCAGCUCUAGCGGUACUACCGCUAGGGCCCGUGGCACUACCGCUCGCCACUGAAACAGCCAUAACUUUCGCAUACGAGCUCUGAAUCGAGCAAACCCAAGCUUGUUGGAUUCAGGACGACAAGAGCAAUCCAAACAGUGAUGCUGAUAUGAAAAUGCCAAUGAUCUAGAGAUGUGAGACCUCUAUGAAUGAAGAACCGACAAAAACUCCAACAUCGAAAACAUCAUAGUAGUUGCAUAUGGACUCCGUUUUCGAUGAACUCGAGCUUGUCAUGAAGAUGACCAUAAUCUCUAAAACUCACAAAGAGAACCACCAAAUAAGAACCAAGAAGUAUCAUGCAAGGAUGCAAAUGGUUUGAGCUCUCAACGAACGAUACGAUCAAGCUAAUCACUUGAGAGCCCCCCUUGUCAGUACAACAUUCUAUCCUAAACAGAAAAGCUAACAAGGGCAAACAUAUACCUUGCACCUCGACCUCUUGAGCUAGAUGAUGAUGAUCUUGGCUUCCUCAAGAUGGACCACCUUUCUUGAUUGUGUUGGCUUGAUGAAGACUAGUUGAUUGCUCCCCCAUACUCACUAUGGGUGAGCCACUCUUCAGCAUACCUUCACAACUCCAUUGCCACCACAAUGGACGGCAAGCUUCAAGCACGAUAUAUUCAUGCUGAUCCUCUUGAACUUGCACACCGCAAUCUUGAUGACGAUCACCACUUGACGUCAUCCUUCAUGGGUUGUAUGAGAUCUUCCUUUUGAUGCAAGCCCAUGGAAACACACCUAACCCACACAUAGAACUCUCACGAAGAUCAUGGGUUAGUACACAAACACGUAAUGAACAAUGCUUACCAUACCAUGGGAUCACUUGAUCCCUCUCGGUACAUCUUGUACGCUUUGUGUGUUGAUCAUCUUAAUUUACUCUUUGUCUGAGAUCUUGAUCAACCUUGUGUCUCUAUGACCAUUAUUUGGAUAAUACCUUAAAUACUAUCUUGGUCAUCAUAUAAACUCCUUGAACCCAACAGAUGGACUUCAAGAAGUGCUUAUGGACAAAUCCUAUAAAUAUAACUUAAGGCAACCAUUAGCCCAUAGGAAUUGUCAUCAAUUACCAAAACCACAUAUGAAGAUAUAUGCUCUAACAAUCUAUAUAAAUGAACAAACUAAAACAAUCUGAGACCAUCUUAAAAAGUAUUUUAAAAUCUACAAUUAAAUAAAGCAAGAAAAACACUCUUUUCAUAUAACAUUGAUCGCUAGUUUCUGCAACUAAUAUUCAUGUAUGAUGGCAACAAAAAUAAACGUUCUUUGAGUAUUUCUGGGGAAAAAUCCACAUAUGACUUCUCAGUUCUAAUUUCAAUUCUGAGACAAAAUGCCAUUUUUUCUGAAGUUCGACAUAUGAGUGUUUAGAAACAUCACCUUUAUGCAUGGACAGAGUAGGACUUAGCAGUCACACUUUAUAAGCUAGAAAUCAAGCCGGUCGUGUAAAGAGCGAUUGGAUUUUUGUCCUAUGGUUCCUCCUCAAAUUAAGAUAAUUGUAUGUCCCCAAAGAUAACGCUGGAUUAAACAAGAGUACUUGUGUACGUGGUCGGCACCUAGCGUAGAUCGAUACAGCUAGCUGCCUAAUCCUAUCGUUCUCUUAAUUGAUCCUCACAUGGGUGCACCGGUGUAAUCAAGGCAAUUUAGUAGUGUUCUCACGCGUCGACAAAGAAGAGAUGCAUCCAUCGACAUAAAAAAUCAACCCAAGAGAGAAUCGAAAACAAUCGACACAAGAAAGGUUCAUGCACUUAUUUUUAUGGAUUGCGAAAUGUGCACUGCCGGUUGAAGAGCUCGACGGCAAAAUAAAUGAAAAUUAAAAUGUAUAGGAAUCUCGUGGCAGACGCCAAGGUUAUAUUUGGAAUUUUUUGUUGAUAUUCCAAAGUUGGGUUUAGUUUAUAAAUUUUGCUCCUCAUCCUCAGCACUUAAGUUUUGUAUGAUGGCAACAAAAAAUAGAAUAUAUGAUUUUCACAUAUAACAUAAGUGUCUCGAGCUUAGUACAAUUUUGUACUAGAGUUAGUAUAAAGUUGAGACAUUUAUUUUGGGACGAAGGGAGUAUAUGUUAUUAGAGUUGUACUUGAAACAACCUAUGUAAGGAGUAGUGAUUUUGUUACAUUACAAAAAGAUAUCUGGCAUGUUGUUACGAAAUGUUUAGCAAUACUUUUACUUUCUUUAGUGACAUUUGGCUAUAUGGAACAUGAAUACUUAGAGUAAUAAUAUAGUAGAUACAACUAAAUGCGGGAGCGAAGGCUUACAUACUUUGUUCGUGUUGUAGUUUUCUUGCUCAUUUGGGACUGAGGAAACCCAUUUCUGAUCUGCUAAGAGCAUCUUCAACGGAUGGUACAAAUGUAAAAGUAACUAACAUUUGGAUCGUCUGAGGUAAAAAACGCAGCUCCAACAGACGGUUCAUAUAUUUAAAAAAUUGGACCGCGGCCUUCUCGUAAUGUAAAAUGCAAUACCUCGCGGUACAAAUUUACAUCACGAGAUGCAUCUGGUCCAAAACCAGCCGCCGCCCGCGAACGCCCAACCGCCACUUCAUUUCCUUUCCCGCCCGCCCGCUCGCAACCUCCCGCCCGUCCGCCGCUGCCCCGCCGCCGCCCCGCCGCACGCCGCCCGCAUCAGAUUUGGCCCCGCCCCGCCCCCGACGCCCGCCCGCCGCGUAUCCGGCCGCGGUCGCAGCGCACGCCGCCGCCCCGUGCGUCGCCGCCCCGUCCGCCCCGCACGGCUCUGUCCGUCACCGCUCCGGCCGCACGCCGCCGCCGCUCUCACUGCUCUCCGAUGGCGCCGAAGAAGACGCUGAAGGACAAGUCGGGCUUCUUCGGUGUGAGGCAGAAGCCCUCCGGUAACUGGGGAGUGGAGCUCUCCGAUGUCGAGAGGCGUUGGUGGAUCGGCACGUACCCCUCCGCCCACGAGGCCGCGCGUGCCUACGACCUGGCGGUGUGGCGUGCCGAGAGGCCUCGGGAGCACCUCAACUUCCCAGAGAUCGAGAGUCGGGUGGAAGCAGAGAUGCUUGUGCCGCAGGGCAUCAAUAUGAAGGAGAUCACGACGAAGAAGAAGACAACGAAGAAACCGUCGGUUGUCGUCAAUGCCGACGAGACCGACGAGGAGGCGAUGGCGAGGUUUGCUCGGGAGCAUCCGGAGUACGUUCAGGCCGAGCUGGAGCACUACUGGAAGCGUGAGGCGGAGCAGAAGAAGAAGGAGGACGAGCCCGGUCCCUCGACGGUGAUCCCCAUCGAGUCCUCUUCCGAGGAGGACUGGACAGACUUCUCAGAGGAGGAGGAGGAGGAGGAGGAGGGGUGCGACGACCCAGAGAAGGAGGAGUUCUGGGAGCAGUUCCGCAGCUCCGACGAUGAGGAGUAGUUUAUCUAGUAGUUUGAAGUAGUAGUUGAAGUUCAUGUAUGAAACUAUGUUGAAUUUGAUGUUUGAACUAUGUUGAAUGGACUAGUAGUUUGUCGUUUUAAGAAAUCUUACAUCUUUAUUUCGGACCAUCUAUUGAAGUUGCUCUUUUGGACCAUCAAUUUGGACCAUCUGUUGGGGACCAUCCGUUGGAGUUGAGCUUUUUUUAAGCUUCAAAACGCACUUUUUGGCGCUCCAAAAUUUAUAUCUUCGGUUUUGGACCGCCAAAUUUUAGACCUUAUAUUGGAGAUGCUCUAACAUUGGUAGCUGCCACAUUCAUCUGUACAUGGCGAGUCAACAUUCGCUACAUUUGUUUCUAAACUCCUCCCUUUAAAUGCAAUGAUAUGCAAUCAGUUGCGUAUUCGUGAAAAAUGAUAAAAUAAAUUCAAAAUACAUAUAAUUUGUUACAUUUGACUAUUUUAUAGUUAAAAAUAUGUUAAAUAUAAACAACAUAAUAUAGUGAAAGUUACCAUGCAUGUUUGUAUAUUGAGGUGGCCUAUUUCCUAUGAAUGCUUAGAUGUUAGGGUGAAUCUUUUUCCAUACAUGUUGCAUGAUGAGAUGUCAUACUCGCAUGUUAAGAGAAAUAUAAUAGUGAAGGAUAGCGAUUUAGAUACAUGCACGAGAUGACAUACUUGCAUGUUAAGAGUAGAAGAGUACUCCCUCUAUACCAUAAUAUUUGUUGUUGGAGAAAACUAGUCUAGUUCUUCCGAACAACAAGUAUUUAGGAACAGAGGUAGUACAUGUUAUUAUUACUCAAAAAAUGAGUGUGGUUCUUUUGGCUCGGAGUUUUAGGGUGUCCUAAUUUUGAAAAAUUUGAAAAUGAGCCUUUUGAGUUUCAACCAGAUUCGAAAAAAUACACACAUCCUAAGAGUGUACUCCCUUCAUGAAAAAAAUAUAAGAGCGUUUAGAUCACUUACAGAGAAAACACUAUAGUACACCUAUGUAAUGAUGAUAAAAUACAUUUUGAUAUGAGCUAAAAAAAACGUAAUGUCCUGAAAAUGAUUUUGUUUUAUUGUGUAGACCAUGAUAUUUUGUGCAGCUCAAAUGUCGACGUAUUUAAUCAUGGAAUUUUACACACUUGUAGAAUAAUCCCUAUGCACAUGUCUAUCUUUUAGAAAUUUCUAAAACCUCAAUUAUUAUUUUCUUGCAUUUUUUAAAAUCCAUGUUCCAUGGCGCCGGGGAGCCAAAAGCAAUCUAAUAAUCUCAAAAGGAAUGAAAAGAUAAAAGAAAGGCAAGAGGCAAUAAAAGCGGGAAGAGGAGAGGAGAAAACCAGGGGAGGGAGGGAGGGAGACAAAUCCCAGAAAAAUCGAGGAGGAAGGCGACGACUCGGGCGGAGCGGUGCGGUGGGAGAGCGCGGCCAUGUGGGAGCCAUGGGCGCGCGCGGCGUGGACGUCGUGCUCGUGACGACACCUGCCGCCUUCCAGGCCCUUCCCCACGCCCGCGCCCAUGACCGCGCCGCCGCAAUGCGCCUCAAAACCCCACCCCGCUCCCCUCCCCGAUCUCUGACCCGGCAGGCUUCUUGAUCCAGGCCCAGGCAUGGCGGAGGCGGCGCCGCCGAAGCUGCUCUACAUUGCUGUCGCCGACGGCGGCGGCCGGCGGGCGUUCCGGUACACGCGCCCCGUCCUGCAGAGCACCCUCCAGCUCAUGGGCUGCAAGGCUCGCCACGCCUUCAAGGUCGCCCCCCUCUCCUCCUUCCUCCCUCCCCUCUCUCGCUGUCCGCGAUCUUGAUCCCGGAAGAUGGAGGACCCGGCCGCCAGCCUCCGAUUUGGUCAUGCUCGCGUUAUACCACGAUUAAGACCGAGGAGGGCGAAAUCGCCUGCUCCUGUUUAGCUUUAGGCACGGUAGGUCCUUCAUGGACAGCAAGUUCACUUCAUACUCACUCUGCACAUGUCUAGCAUAGCGUUCUUGGUGCUUUUUUUCUUUCUUUAAUUGCUUCUUCUUGGUUCAAAACUUCAAAUGAUGUAGUAGUUAGGCAUGCCUAGCAUAGUGUUUGGCGGUAGGACGAUUUUGACAUGGGAAGCUCCGAAGCUGACAACUACUUAUACUGAUUGAUGAGCAACAAUUCACUGCCCUUGGAUUAGGCAGGAAAACGCGAGCACGAAACGGUGUUCGUCGCCGGCCCGGGCCAACAAUUCACUGCCCUUGGAUUAGGCAGGAAAACUCUCAUGCCCUUCUCGCCAUCUUUUGGCCAGGGUCGUUCUUUGCAGCAAAAGGAUUCAGAAACACACCAUUCCUUUCCAAGCUAUCGUUCUUGUUGCAGACUGAAACUGUCGUUUUUUUCAUCAAGGAUCCUGAAAAUUGUCUUUUGGUGAUACUUUGCUUGCGGGUCAUUAUCAUCACAUGCAACUGUUGCCCCUCUGCUACAGCUAGUGUGAAUUGCUAUUCCUUUCUUAGCUUUACUAUGCUCUGAUGAAAGAGACAGCACCAUGUUAUAUGAUGUAGACAUUUAGGCUUUGCCUUGCAUGAUCUUUUUGUUCGGCAACUGUAGUUUGGCGGGCUACCUUUCUAGUCUCUAUAUCUUGGGAUUGACAUGAGCUCUGGUAUUGGAUUCUCACUUGAUGUUAUUUUCUUUACUCUGAUUUGGUCAUGGCUGUCUGGCAUAUCUUGUUUUCCUCAUCCUCCAUUUUGAUUAGCUGUGUAAGCAACAUGCAUCUUGAAGUUGACCUGAGCUUUGGUAUCGGGUUCUCACUUGGCGUAAUUUUCCUUACUCUGAUUUGGUCAUACCAGUUUGUCAUAUUUUUAUUCCUCGCCAUCCAUUUCGAUAAGCUACAAAAGUAAUACACCAUUCGUGCACACAACCGUUUUUUUUAUUGGUGUGUGGAAUUUAACAACAAAAAAAUGUCACCCCUUGUUGACACCGUCAGAUUAGCAAGAAAGUCUUCAGUGUGAUAAGGAAUGAAUUCUUGGAUGCAUCGAGGUCGGAUAGGGCUGUUAAAGAAGAAAAUGCUCGUAGCCACAUUGGGGAAGAUGCUGAUAUGCUUAACACAGAAAUUCCAGACGCAAGUAGCAGCAGCAUGCCCUUCGAAUUGUACAAGACGCAGACAACAAUUCUUAUUUCAAGAGAGAAGUUUCUGAAUAUUGUGUGUGAUGCACUCUCUUCUUACAAGUAUGUUGGACCAAACCAGAAGGCUGACUUGCUUCUUGCUUGCAGGUAACUUUGCCCUAUCUCUAUCUUAUUGAGUUCACAGAAGCAAUCCAACAAGCAUGUUGCUUCAUCUAUAUUUAAUUUACAGCUCCUAGUAGUAGUCGUCUAUUAUCUCCACAACAGAACAGGCUUAUGAUAGAUGUGUGUGCUUAACAUGCUUUGUUAAAGUAAAAUGAUUCCCUUGAAAAAGCCUAAAUUAUUCUUAUGAGCACAGUACAUGCAUUAUGCCCCCAUGAAAUAUGCAUAUAUUUCCCAAGUCAUUUCAUUGCAACCAUAGGGUAGCUACCUCAAUGAACUCAACAUCGUUUAAUUUUUGCAAUUGUGCGUUUUCCAAUUAUUCUGAUCAGAAUUAAGGAGAAAAAGGAAUCAGUGACGGUACUCUUGUGUGGGACAAGCGGAUGUGGCAAAUCCACUCUAUCAUCUUUGUUGGUAUGUUGUUUUCUAACCUAAGAGUCUCGGCCAUUUUUGGAUGGGCUAUACUAUGUAUAGUACACCAGUGACACACUAGUUUGUUACAUGCAGAAGCAUUUAAUAAUAAGUAUCUGCAAAUCAAAUAUCAAUUUAAAGCGCUUUGACUGCUUUCUGUUCCAUUGCGUGUCUUGUUCCUUUUGGAAGAUUGCAUUAUGAAACAGAGAGAUAGUGCUGACUCUUGCUGAAUGCUUAACACGGUCUAUUUGUUUUACCCAGGGUAGUAGAUUGGGCAUUACAACAGUAGUUUCUACUGAUUCCAUACGCCAUAUGAUGAGAAGCUUUGCAGAUGAAAAGCAAAAUCCUCUUCUCUAUGCAUCAACCUACCAUGCAGGCGAACACUUGGACCCUGUUGCAGUUGCUAAGUCAAAGGCAAAGAAGCUCUCAACGGCUUCUCAUACCAAUGAAGGCAAAGAUGGCACUUCAGAUGUUAAAUCUCAGCAUGGCUCCUCAGAUUUACCUCCUAGAGCAGAGUUGGUUGGAAACAAACAAAUGGCAAUAGAAGGGUUCAAGGCGCAAAGCGAGAUGGUCAUUGACAGCCUGGACAGAUUAAUUACAUCAUGGGAAGAGCAGAAGCAAUCUGUUAUUGUUGAAGGAGUUCAUUUGAGCCUCAAUUUUGUGGUAUGCACUAGUCGAGAAACAACAUGAUAUUUUAUUAGUGUUCCUCAUCAUGCAUUAUUUGCCUAUUAUAUUUUGUUGCACUUUGAAGAAUUGGCUAAGCUAUUUAUUUUGUGUAUCUGAUAGAUGGGGCUGAUGAAGAAACACCCUUCCAUAAUACCAUUUAUGGUAUAUAUUGCCAAUGAGGAGAAGCACAUGGAGAGAUUUGCUGUACGUGCAAAGUACAUGACAUUGGACCCGGCAAAGAACAGAUAUAUCAAGUACAUCCGGAAUAUCAGGGCUAUCCAGGAAUACCUUUGCAACCGAGCGGACAAGCAUCUGGUGCCUAAGAUUAACAAUACUAAUGUUGACCAGAGCGUGGCAGCCAUACAUGCCACGGUUUUCAGCUGUCUUCGCCGACGAGAAGUUGGGGAGCAGUUGUACGAUCUCAACACGAACACUGUUUCUGUUGUGGAUGAGGAAUACAGGAACCAGCGUGCCUCUAACUCCUUGGGCUCCAAGGGCAUGUUCCAGUUCAUUCAAAGGAAGGGGUCUUCUAGGAAUCUGAUGGCUCUCCUUAACCCUGAUGGUUCAGUCACCAAGGCUUGGCAUGUAGAUUCGUGUGAUGGCAAUGCCAAUGGCAGUAGAAGCAGUGAUAAAUCAGUAGGAAAGGUUAACCCAUCACAAAUUGGGAAGGUAGAAUCAGUUAAUCUCCAAUUUGGUUCUUUCGGGAUUAGCGCGUGGCUGAGUGAUACAGGUGGCACCAGCCAUACAGGGAGUGUAGAUGACCUGAGGGCUGAUGGCAACGAGGCAGGCGGUAGAUACUACUCCUCAUGCUGCAGCUCACCAAAGACGUCAGAUUGCGCAUCCAAAGAGGUACUACGAUCUUUUUUUAGCAGAUUGCUGAUGUCAUACAUUCCAAUCUAACGAACGCUCUAUAUGCCCUUUCCAGCAUAUGGAGGAUUAUUCAGUCUAUGGUAGUGAAGAAGAAGCUGACGACCCACCUGAUGCUGAAACUGACGAGGAUCUAACUGAUGAAGAAAGAGAUAUUCACGAGGUAGCGACUAUGUUAUCCCAUCACUUUUCCUAGUGGGAUUUAUUUCUAUUGUGGCAGCGAACACUUGAUUGCAGUUGCUUCCUGGAUUCCUGCAAAUAUAUUGUGCUAGAUAUUAACUAGGAAUGCCAGUUGAUGCCGUGCCUCAUUUCAAAGCUUGUGCGUCAGUUAUCCGAGCUUUCUAGAUUGCUAACGUUUUCUGCACAAACCAAUGUCUUCAGAUUGAAGCGGGCUCGGUCGACGAACAUUCCACCAAGUCCGACGAGGAAUACAACGACCUAGCCAUGCAGGACAUGAUGGGGAACGGUAACUGCUCUGACGAUGACGACGAGCAAGCUGCGGGGUUCGGCAACAGGAGCUCGCCGUCCCUGGAUGAGAGCAUCCUUGGAGCAGCUGACGGCGAUGAUGCCGCGAGGUACCACCACAACCUGGACCUCUUCACGAUAUCCAAGGACAUAGCUGCCAGACAGAUGCCGUGCGCCUGACACUGCCGCCCCAACCAACCGAUGGGAAGAAAAUCCAUGAAUCAGACACCAUCGCCACGAUUCGCUGCGCCAUUGUGCUCUCCUGUGCCGCUUCCAGUUGGGAGUCUGCACCGUCGGCUGUACUCAUAUAUGUUGGUGGUUAUGACUGUUAGACACACUGAUGCUUGUCCAAGCUUACACAUAUAGGAAUCUGGGGCUUAGCCCGUGAAACUCAAAUAAUGGAAGGUUGAAAUUGUAUCUAUAAUUGCGCAAGAAUCUCUUGGCACAAUACAAUAACUUGCUGUUUUUCAUCCAACAUACUGAUGAAAUUGAGAACAGAAGUAUAAAGUUGCAUCAGAAAAAUGAACUAGAUCAAAUUAGGAUCGGAGAGUAAUCCUGAUUAAGGGGACACAUGUGUAGCGACUUCAGAUUUGUACUUUCUACUCCGGCUUCGGCCUCUCCUUAUUUAAUAUACAAGGCAAAUCUUUUGCCCGGUUUCAAAUAAAAAUUAGCAACGUAGAUAGAUCAAAUAAUUCACCAUCACCAGAAAAGAAGAAAAACUAAAAUAAAGAGUAACAUAUGGCAAAACGCAAGAAAAAUGUUGGUGCUCCAGAGCUGCAUACAGGCAUUUCAUAGACGUACAUUUGAUUUCUGCGAAAGGUUAAACCUUUACAGAGGUCGAAGCAUCUGAUUUCUCCAGAUCAACAGCAAAAUAGAAAUCUUUACAGAGAUGGAAACCUUAUACACUGAUAAAACCCAAGGCAAAAUGAUCUACAGUUGUCCUUGCUUCCCAUCAUCUCUAAACCUAAAUAGUUCAGCUAAAUUGCUUCUAUGAUUUCCCUUUUUUAUAUAUAAUGUUUAUUACAACGAAACCGUAAAAACAUACAUUCUCUCUAGAACAAGCAAAAUCAGACUUGUUAUAGACUCUGCUAAAUUCAUGUCUUUUACCUACAAUGGGAGUGUGCAACUACAGCUAUUAAGAAUAAUUAUUAUAAGAACAGUAACAAGAAUACUAAUCAGACUUGCAAUAGACAGUGUUUAGCUGUGGAUCUGACACUGCUGGACGACAAGUGCAGAAGAGCUACAGUUGGAACAAUACUUCACAUCAAAGAUGAUCAGCCAAGGUUACUAUCAGGUAUAGGCAUAGGUCCGAGGUAACCAAUAAUAGGAAAGUUCAGCUACAGCUUUAUUAAGGGCAAUCGUGAAAGGGGUGUCAAGUAUUGGUCGUGAAGAAGACAACUUUAAUCAGAUUUAUGAACUGUCCUAAACUUGUAAGAAUCUUAUGUUCGGAAGAUAAUCACCCGAACACUAAUAUAUACUCCCUCCGUCCCAAAAUAACUGUCUUAAGCUUAGUGCAAUUUUGUAUUAGAGCUAGUAUAAAGUCAAGACAGUUAUUUUGAGACGGAGGGAGUACUUACCACACCACAAUAUCGCCAAGGAGAUAUCCUUACUCAUGACUAUUAGUAUCAUGAGACAUAACAGUUAAAGAUGCAUUAGUACGACAGUGUUACGCAAAAUCGUACAAAAGAAACACUACCAGAUUUCCAGUAUCUUGUAACGCAGAGAAGGCAAAACAAAUAACUCAUCUUGGCCAUAUAGAUAGUACGCAUAUGACAAACCAUAUGUAUAUUCUGCAAAACAAAGCAAACGAAAGCUGCUGGUAAUACAUGGGAUUUCAGGAGAACAAACCAGCUCAUUCUACAAAGAAUAAGCAAUGUGCAGCUCAAUAUGAGCAGCAUUACUCUUCGACUUCCUUCUUUAUUUCUGCCAUUAGUUCAUCCUUGUAGUCCUCAAACGAUCCAUCAUAUUUAGUCACCGUGCCAUCCUCCACAACCCAUAUCUGGCUCUUCUGCUCAUCGUCACAAACUCGAGAUAUCAACCGCGAGUCAUGGCUAACCAAGACCACACCUCCAGUGAAUUCAUCCAGAGCGUCUGCCAAAGCAUCAAUACUUUGCAUAUCCAAGUGAUUUGUAGGCUCAUCCAGUAGGAGAAUGUGAGGAUUCGACAUUGAUAUCGAAGUGAACACAACACGGGCCUUCUGACCGCCAGAUAAUUUAACAAUGGGAGUAAGAUGGUUGUGACCUGGCAAGCCAAAUUUUCCAAGCUUGCCACGGACAGCCUCCGCUUUGCUCAUUCCCCCCUGGUCUGGGUGAAGCCUGAGCAAAUACUGAACUGCAUUUUCCUCCAUCGUCAACAAGUCAACAAAAUGCUGCGAGUACCGUCCAAUCCUCAGCUUCUGGCUCCUUCUUGCCUCUCCUUCUGAUGGGGUAAGAUCACCAGCAAGUAAAUUUAGAAUAGUAGACUUUCCUGCCCCAUUGGGCCCAACAAUGGCAACACGUGUUCCCAUGUCAAUGCCAACAUCAACAUCUGAUAACUUGAAGUCCGGACGGUUGGGGUAGCCGAAACCCACCUCGAUGAGCUGAAGGAGUGGUGGUGUAAGCAAAGUGGGUUCUGGGAAGUGGAACUCGACUUUGUAGUCAUGCCACUUUUGGGGCAGAUCCGCUGGCUUCACGUUAUCAUCAUCAUUUGCCACAUUCUUUCCCUUCCCCUUCCCCUUGGCAACUUCUUUAUGGGCCUUUGACAUUGCUUGGUCUUUAACCUUAUCUUGUGCAGCCUUGCUCCCAGUCUUCCUUGCUGCUUUCAUCUGCUUUUCAUACACCUCAAACUUCCUGUUCAUCUCCUUCCUCUUCUGCUCGUACCCGCUCUCGAAGUCAUCAAAAUUGCCACGGUAGACAUGCAGACUCUUAUCGUGCAAAUGAAUGAUAUCAUUGCACACUGUGUUCAAGAAGUCCCGGUCAUGGGAAACCACAAUUAGGGUCUUCUUCCACUGCGAGCACAAGUACUGCUCCAACCAAAGCACAGCUCGGAGGUCCAAAUGGUUGGUAGGCUCAUCAAGGAGCAGCAACGUUGGCUGCAUGAAGAGAGCACGGGCAAGCGAGAUGCGCAUCCUCCAACCACCACUGAAGGACUUUGUGGACCUUGCCUGCAUCGCCUGAUCAAAACCCAGCCCCGCGAGGAUUUUGGACGCACGUGCUCGUGCAGCAUCAGAGUCGCAUAGAUUUAGCUUCUCGUAUACCUCAGCAAGCUUGUCGUUGUCAUCGGGGUCGUUAGAGGCCUCAAGCUUUGCCUGCUCAGCUCGGAGCGCGGUGAGCUCCUCAUUGGCUGCAACCACCGCCUCGGUUGCCGAGCGGUCAUCACCAACAAUCUCCUGCUCCACAAGCAGGACAUCAAUGUUCUUGGGCACGGGCACCUGCCGCCACGAGAGCAGCUUCAGGAGGGUAGAUUUGCCCAUGCCAUUGGGCCCCACGAGACCGUAGCGGCGACCAUGCGAGAUCCGGAGGGAGGCGCCCUUGAGCAGCUCCUUUCCCCUCGCAGAGACAGAGAAGUUGUCGAGCACGAUGUCCUUGAUGUUCCCAUCGAUGGCGGCAUCGCCCUCGGCGGAUCCGGGGACGCGCGCUCCUAUGACGACGGAGAAGGCGUCGCGGUCGUCGCGGAGCGCCUCCCGCUUGGCAGCCUCAGCGACGGCCGCCGCCAUCAUCUCGCGCUUCUCCUUCUUCUUCGAGUCCUUGUCCGAGGGCGCGAGGGCGUUGAGGUCGACGGUGGCGCGAGCUGGCUUGGGCUUGGCAGCGACGGCGGCGACGUCGGCCUCGUCCUCCUCGUCGUCCGACGGGGGCAGGUCGAUGCCGCCCAUGUACGACGACGCGGGCGCCUUGGAGGGCUUGGCUUUGGGAGCCGCCUUGGCGGGCUUGGAUUUGGGCCCCGUGCCGUCCAUCGAAGCUAGCAUGGCCGACACGGAGAGAGGUUUUUCCUUCUUGCCGGCGGCCCCCGCGGCUGAGGAGGACGAGGAGGCGUUUUUGCGACUCAUGGCGGCGGAGGAGGAGGAGAAGAACGGCGAGGUUGGGGAAUCUGGGUUUGGCUGUGGUCCGGCGAGGUCAAGCUCGAGAGGAUAUGGAGGUGCCGGGGUGGCGGCUGGGGUCCGGGUGGGUUGGCGGCGUGACGGACCGGGAGGCGGCGGCGGCGGCGGCGGCGCGCUAGGGUUAGGGUUAGAGCUCCGCGCGGGCGGGGUGUGAGGACAGGAGACCGCACGGGUCGGUGAGAGCUAAGUCAUUGUCAUGUCAUUUAUGACCCUUUUUGAAACCAUAAUACAUUAUAAUAAUCUGAAUUAUGAACAUACAUUAUAUAAUCUGGUUUUAAAAAUAAUCCAGAUGAGUAUGUUUGGAGACCAGAUUAUAUAAAUUGUAAACUAGCUUUUAAAUUUUACAAUGACAUAUUUGCCCUCAGUUACAAGGAAAAAUAUGAAAUUGGCGGUGGCACUGCGUAAUUCUUUUGAAGUUUACAAGGAUAACACGUCAUUUGUAAUUCAUAAUCUCAUUUUAGUUGGGGUAGAGGAGAUUAUGAGAUUAUAAUAAUCUGGUCAUCUAGUUUAUAAAAUAUAUAGUAUAAAUUGUCCUGUUUGAAAAUACAAUAGAUUAUAAAAACCAGAUUAUAUAAUCUGGUUGGUUCCAAACAGGGCCUAUAGCAUAUCUAUAAGAGCAAGUACAAUAGUAGAGCCGGCUAUCGGCUGUAAGCUCAUGUCAUGUCACCUAUAAUCCAUCUUAUAGCUAACAUGUACAAUAGUUGGUUAUAAGAGUAUACUAUUUAUUUAUUAUAUGACCCACCUUUCAUUCUCACAAAGUGCCUAGGAGCACGUGCUAGAGCUCGCUCUUAACUAAGAGUCCGCUUACCUUCUCUCUCCUCCAACUAAGCAAAAAUAUACUACUUUAUUCCUUAUAGCCAGCUCACUCAGCUCUAUUGUACUUGCUCUAACCAAUAUGUAUAAUAGUUUAUUGUAAAAGUGUACUACUUUUUUAUUAUAUGGUCCACCUUUCGUACUCACAAAAGGCCUAGGAACACGUGAUAGAGUUGGCUCUUAGCUAAGAGCCCGCUUACUUUCUCUCUCUUCUUCUCUUUCCUCUAACUAAACAAAAAUGUAUUAGUUUAUUCCUUAUAGCCAGCUGACUCAGCUCUAUUGUACUUGCUCUCAGGACGACAUUUUUUCCUUUUUUUUGAAAGUCUAAAUAUGGCUCCUAAGGGCCUCUUCCGAGCAUACCUGGCCAAAUGGACUGGCCCGGCACGGCACAGCAUGGCCGUGCUAAACGUGCCUGGUCCGGCACGGCCCGUCGAGGCACGUUUAGUAAUCGGGCCAUCCCGUACCAGCCUGUGGGCUGCGCCUCCAGGCCCAGGCACAACCGGUUACUAAAUGGAUCGGCCUGUUGGCCCGAUUAGCACGCUAGGCUGCAUAAUUUUAACCUCAUGGGCUUAUUUUAGGCCUAUUGGGUCAUAUAUUAUGUGUGUGUGUGUGUGUGUGUAUGUAUAUAUAUAUAUAUAUAUAUAUAUAUUAAAAAUAUGUAAAAAAUAACGAACCGUGUCGUGCCGGCCCGCGUGCCCAGCCUCGAGGCUCAGGCACGGCCCGAGGCGUGCCGCGUGCCUGGCACGACCCGUUUAAGUCGUGUCGGGCCGGGGCCGGGCCCGUGUUGGGCCUGGCCUGCGGGUUGUCGGGCCGGCCCGACUAGCACGGCCCGUUUGGCGAGGUAUGCUUCGGAGUUCGGAUCGUGCGAAAAAAACGAAACUUGUCGUGGAGACGACGCUUCCUUGCCAAUAUGCAUCAUCAUAUUAUACUAUGACGCGUUUGGUUGUUCGUGUGAGGCCUCAUCAGGUUUAUGAGGAAAGAAUUUACACAGUUGACGUGGAUACAUUGUUUGAUCUACUCGACAUGAACUUCAUAACACUUUUAAUCAGCCUUGCGAGGUACUUUCAGAUCGACAGUUUUUACAGAGCCAGGCUCGUGCGAGACAUGGGAGGGAAACGCGGCACUGAGCUCCUGUGUGACCAGGGAGAUGACGUGAGCUCGCACGCGUCUUUGACAAAUCGAUGAGAGGAUUUACGCUCACCUCCCGCCGAUUUGAUCACCCUAUUUAGCCCCAUCCUCUCACCGUCCAAAGUCUCGCCACCCUUCUCCCCCCUUUAGAGCUUUUCCGCCAACGCGCAUCAUUGCCCUCUACCUUUUAUUGAUCUAAUGAUAGAAAGAUUAUCCAAACAUACACAUUUUUGCUUUCUAGACGGUUAUUCUGGUUUCUCUCAAAUACAUGUCUCAAAAGAGGAUCAAGAAAAGACCACUUUUACUUGCCCUUUCGGUACCUUUGCUUAUAGACGUAUGCCUUUUGGUUUAUGCAAUGCACCUACUACCUUUCAAAGAUGUAUUAUGGCUAUAUUCUCUGAUUUUUGUGAAAAGAUUGUGGAGGUUUUCAUGGAUGAUUUUUUUCCGUUUACGGAACUUCUUUUGAUGAUUGCUUGAGCAACCUUGAUCAAGUUUUGCACACAUGUGAAGAAACUAAUCUUGUCUUGAAUUGAAAGAGGUGAGACUUUAUGGUUAAUGAAGGCAUUGUCUUGGGACACAAAAUCUUCGAAAGAGGUAUUGAAGUUGAUAAAGCUAAAGUUGAUGUUAUUGAAAAAAUGUCGUGUCCAACAAAUAUCAAAGGUAUAAGAAGUUUCCUUGGUCCUGUUGGUUUCUAUAUGAGGUUUAUUAAAGACUUCUCUAAGAUUUCAAAGCCUCUCACUAAUAUUUUGCAAAAGAAUGUUUCAUUCAUUUUUUAUGAUGAUUGUGUAGAAGCAUUUGAAAUUCUUAAGAGAGCCUUGAUCACUGCACGUGUUGUUCAACCACCUGACUGGAACCUACCAUUUGAAAUUAUGUGUGAUACUAGUGAUUAUGUUGUUGGUGUUGUUCUAGGACAAAGAGUUGAUAAGAAAUUAAAUGUUAUCCAUUAUGCUAGUAAAACUCUAGACAUUGCUCAAAGCAACUACGCUACCACUGAAAAGGAAUUUUUAGCAGUUGUGUUCGUUUGUGAUAAGUUUAGACCUUAUAUUGUUGGUUCCAAAGUGAAUGUUCACAUUGAUCACGCUCCUAUUAAAUAUCUUAUGAAAAAGAAAGAUGUUAAACCUAGACUUAUUAGAUGGGUUCUCCUGCUACAAGAAUUUGAUUUGCAUAUUAUUGAUAGAAAGGGUGCUGAUAACCCCGUAGCAGAUAACUUCUCUAGAUUAGAGAAUGUUCUUGAUGACCCACUAGCUAUUGAUGAUAGCUUUCCUGAUGAACAAUUAGUUGUCAUAAACGCUUCACGCAGUACUCCUUGGUAUGCUGAUUAUGCUAAUUACAUUGUUGCUAAAUUUAUACCGCCUAGUUUCGCAUACGAACAAAAGAAAAAGUUCUUCUAUGAUUUAAGACAUUACCUUUGGGAUGAUACACACCUUCAUAAAAAAGGAGUAGAUGGUAUUAUUAGACGUUGUGUACCUGAGCAUGAAGAGUGACAGAUCCUACACAAGUGUCACUCCGAGGCCUAUGGAGGACAUCAUGCUGGAGAUAGAACUGCACACAAGGUAUUACAAUCUGGUUUUUAUUGGCCUACUCUCUUCAAAGAUGCUCGUAAGUUUGUCUUGUCUUGUGAUGAAUGUCAAAGAAUUGGUAAUAUUAGCAGACGCCAGGAAAUUCAUAUGAAUUACUCUCUUGUCAUUGAACCAUUUGAUGUUUGGGGUUUUGAUUAUAUGAGACCUUUUCCAAAGUUCAAUGGGUAUACUCAUAUUCUAGUUGCUGUUGAUUAUGUUACUAAGUGGGUAGAAGUUAUUCCAACUAGUAAUGCCGAUCAUAACACUUCUAUUAAAAUGUUGAACGAAGUCAUUUUCCCUAGAUUUGGAGUCCCUAGAUAUUUAAUGACUGAUGGUGGUUCACAUUUUAUUCAUGGUGCUUUCUGUAAAUUGCUUGCUAGGUACGAUGUUAAUCGUAGAAUUGCAUCUCCUUAUCAUCCUCGGUCUAGUGGUCAAGUAGAACUGAGCAAUAGAGAAAUUAAAUUGAUCUUGCAAAAGACCGUUAAUAGAUCUAGAAAGAAUUGGUCUAAGAAACUUGACGAUGCAUUAUGGGCGUAUAGAACCGCUUACAAAAACCCUAUGGGUAUGUCUCCGUAUAAAUGGUUUAUGGUAAAGCAUGUCAUUUACCUCUAGAGCUAGAACAUAAAGCUUUUUGGGCAAUUAAAGAGCUUAACUAUGAUUUCAAACUUGCUGGUGAAAAGAGGUUAUUUGACAUUAGCUUGCUUGAUGAAUGGAGAACCCAGGUCUAUGAGAAUGCCCGGUUGUUUAAAGAAAAGGUUAAGAGAUGGCAUGAUAGAAGGAUACAAAAGCGUGAAUGCAAUGUAGGUGAUCAUGUCCUGCUGUACAACUCUCGUUUAAGAUUUUUUGCAGGAAAACUUCUCUCUAAAUGGGAAGGGCCUUACAUUAUCGAGGAAGUAUAUCAUUCCGGUGCCAUCAAGAUCAACAACGCCGAAAGCACAAAUUUGAAGGUGGUAAAUGGGCAAAGAAUCAAACAUUAUAUCUCACGUACUCCCAUAAUUGUUGAAACCAAUAUUAUCAAUACCAUAACUCUGGAGGAGUACAUUAGGGAGACCUAUUAGAACGUUUCAGACUUCGAAAAGGAAUAAAUAUGUGUUACGGUAAGCAAACCGACUCCAAAACUUUUCCAAUGGCAAUUUUUAUCAGUUUUGGAAUAUUUAAAAAAUUAAGAAAAUUUAAAGCAGUCCGAAAAGUGCACGACGAGGCGACAAGCCAGGGGCGCGGCCUAACCCCCCCCCCCCCCCGUCCGCGCCCUGCAGGCUUGUGGCCACCCCGUGUACUCUCCGGACUCCGUUUUCUUGUGGAAUACUCUUCCAGGUCGGUAAAAAUUCAUUAUAUAAUAUCUCGAAGGUUUUGACCUUCGUAUCACGACAAUAUCUCCUGUUUUCGUUUUGAGCUGUUUCUGCAGCAGAUUUAGAGUAAGAUGUCGUCCCAGGAUUCCGAUGAGGAGAGCUAUGUAUCGCAUUAUCUUGCCAAUCCCAAGCUCUAUGGGGACUUAGAUCCUUAUGGGUUGUUCUCGGAGGAGGAACUAGAGAUAUGCAAGUAUGCGGAAGAAAGCUCAGACGAAGAGGAGAUUCCCCUGCCUCGACCCAAAGAUAUGCAUGUGGAGUUCAAGAAGUCGAGCCUCCCAAAUACAAGGAGAAAACCCAAGGUUCUAUUUAUCCCUUUACGUCUUGUGCAGGAGAGCAAGGAUGAAUUACGGCAAAAGAUAUUGAGGCUUGAGCAGGAAGUAGACGAUAUGAGGGAACAUAAUUUCAGGCUUAAGAGGAAACUUGAUAAGCUCUCAACCUCACCAACAACUCCAACAUCACCACCCCCGAAGAAAGACAACUAAACACAUGGGUGUGGGCACUGCCCUUGACUUGUGCCAAGCUUGGGGGAGGUUCCCCUGUAUCGUAUCACCAUCACAUCUUUUACCGUUUUUCGUUUUUCUUUGUUCGAUCCUUUUGGUAAUAUCUUGAUCUAGUAGAAUAAAGUUUUAGUGUGAUCUAGUUUUGAGUUUUGCUUUAUGUUUCCCCUAUGUAAGCAAGUCUGAGAGUUAUAUAAUAGAUAGUAGUUUUGAGUUGAGGGCUUUGCUUGCUUGCUAUGAUCUUGAGAAAUAGAAAUAGAAAGAAGUAUAGGAUAAAAGCAAAAGAGUAUAUAUAAUGAUCUUAUGGGGAGUGAUGACUUCACAUAUAAAAAGUAUGUCGAUUGAAAUUUGUUAUGAGUUGAUAAACAAAGCUAUUGAUCAUUGUUGCAAUUAAAAGGAAGUAAUAAAGAAAGAGAGGUUCACAUAUAAAUAUAUUAUCUUAGACAUCUUUUGUGAUUGUGAGCACUCAUUAAAAUACUAUAUGUUAAGAAGCUGAUAUUGGACAAGGAAGACAACAUAAUGAGUUGUGUUUGCUUGUUUACGAAUAGAAGUUAUAUGGUUAUAGAUCGUUCAACAUGUGUCGCUUGCUUCCUCCCCAUAUUAGGAAAAAACUUCCGCACCAAGUAGAGAUACUACUUGUGCAUCCAAACACCUUUAACCCAGUUUUGCCUUGAGAGUCCACCAUACCUACCUAUGGAUUGAGUAAGAUCCUUCAAGUAAGUUGUCAUCGGUGCAAGCAAUAAAAAUUGCUCUUUAAAUGUGUGUGGUUUAUUAGUGUGAGGAAAAUAAACUUUAUGCGAACUUGUGAUAUAGAAGAAAUAAAACCGACGAACUACAUAAUAAAGUUCUUUAUCACAAGGGACAAUAUAAAGUGACGUUCUAUUGCAUUAAGGGAUUGCACAUCCAACUAUAAAAGCGCAUGACAACCUCUGCUUCCCUCUGCGAACGGCCUAUCUGUUACCUUUACUUUCUAGUACUUACCUUUAUGUAAGAGUCGUGGUGAUCUUCACCAUUUCCCAUAUUUUGCCUUUAUAUUUUGGCAAGCAUCGUGUGUUCGGGAAUGAUCUACACAAAUAUAUCCACUCAGAUGUGGGUGAUCAUGAGUUAUUAUUGUUGACAUUACCCUUGAGGUAAAUAGUUGGGAGGCAAAACUAUGAGCCCCUAUCUUUCUCUGUGUCCGAUUGAAGCUUUGACCUCAUAGGUACCGCGUGAGUGUUAACAAUUAUGAAAGACCAUAAGAUGAUUGAGUAUGUGGAUUUGCUUUAAAAUCUCUUGUAUUGACUCUUUCCUACGUUGCGAUAAAUUGGAAUUGCUUCAAUGAGUGAAAUCAUAGUGUGUUAGUUCUUAGUAGAGUUCUUGAUUCAUAUUUUACCAUGUGAAUGAAUUGUUACUCUAGAAUAAGAACUUAUAUGUCAAUAUUGUGUUGCUUCUCUGAAGAUAACCAUAAUGCCUUCAUGUCCAUAUUUUAUUUUUAUCGACACCUCUAUCUCUAAACAUGUGGGCAUAUUUAUCGAUCUCGGUUUUCGCUUGAGGACAAGCGAGGUCUAAGCUUGGAGGAGUUGAUACGUACAUUUUGCAUCAUGCUUUUAUGUCAAUAUUUAUUGCAUUAUGGGAUUUUAUUACAUAUUAUGGUAAAAUACAUAUGCCUUUUAUCUCUUAUUUUACAAGGUUUACAUAAAGUGGGAGAAUGCCGGCAGCUGGAAUUCUGGACUAGAAAAGGAGAAAAUAUGAGAGACCUAUUAUGCACAACUCCAAAAGUCCUGAAGAGUUAUGGAGAAUUGUUUUGGAAUAUAUAAAAAAACUAUUGGGUGAAGGAAAUACCACAGGAGACCCACCAGGAGGUCACAAGCCAGGGGGCGUGGCCUACCCCCCUGGUCGUGCCUUGUAGGCUUGUGGGCCCCCUAACAGGCCACCGGUGCCCAUCUUCUGCUAUAUGAAGGGUUUUGACCUGGAAAAAAUCAUGUCAGAGCAUUCGGGAUGAAGCGCCGCUGUCUCUAGGCGAAACUUUGGUAGAACCAAUCUAGAGCUCCGACGGAGCUAUUCUGUCGGGGAAACUUCCCUCUCACAUGGGGAAAUUGAAGCCAUCGUCGUCACCAACGAUCCUCUCAUCGAGAGGGGUUCAAUCUCCAUCAACAUCUCCAUCAGCACCAUCUCCUCUCCAAACCCUAGUUUAUCUCUUGUAUCCGAUCUUUGUCUCAAACCUGAGAUUGGUACCUAGGGGUUGCUAGUAGUGUUGAUUACUCCUUGUAGUUGAUGCUACUUGGUUUACUUUGUGGAAAAUCAUAUGUUCAGAUCCUUAAUGAUUAUUAAACUCCUCUAAUUAUAAACAUGAAUAUGCUUUGUGAGUAAUUAUGUUUGUUCCUGAGGACAUGGGAUAAUUUUGGCUAUAAGUAAUCAUGUGAAUUUGGUUUUCGUUUGAUAUUUUGAUGAGAUGUGUGUUGUCUCUCCUUUAGUGGUGUAAUGUGAACGUCGACUACAUGACACUUCACCAUUAUUUGGGCCUAGGGGAAUGCAUUGGGAAGUAAUAAGUAGAUAAUGGGUUGCUAGAGUGACAGAAUCGUAAACCCUAGUUUAUGCGUUGCUUCAUAAGGGGCUAAUUUGGAUCCAUAUGUUCCAUGCUAUGGGUUAGAUUUAUCUUAAUUCUUGUUUCGUAAUUGCGGAUGCUUGCGAGAGAGGUUAAUCAUAAUUCGGAUGUUUGUCCAAGUAAGGGCAGCACCCAAGCACCGGUCCACCCACAUAUCAAAUUAUCAAAGUAACGAACGCAAAUCAUAUGAGCAUGAUGAAAACUAGCUUGACAGAAAUUCCCAUGUGUGCUCGAGAGCGCUUUUCUUUAUAUAAGAGUUUGUCCAGGCUUGUCCUUUGCUACAAAAAGGAUUGGGAAACCUUGCUGCACCUUUGUUACAGUUGUUAUUUGCUAUCCGUUACAAAUUACCUUAUCACAAAACUAUGUGUUACCGAUAAUUUCAGUGCUUGCAGAGAAUACUUUAGUGAAACCCGCUUGUCAUUUCCUUAUGCUCCUCGUUGGGUUCGACACUCUUACUUAUCGAAAGGACUAUGAUAGAUCCCCUAUACUUGUGGGUCAUAAGCAACCCAAUACAUUUGUUGGCAUGUAUUUGUCAUUCCACUCAAUAUCCCCCCGGACAGAUUAUGCAAAGAAAGAACAAGUAAUGUCAUCUGCACUUAAACCAAACCAUAAGUUCCUUGCGUCAUACCCAAACUAUGGCCACUUUAUCUCAAUUUUUCUCCACUGCGACCCAUCAACGGGUACUCUCAACAUCUCGUCUUUCUUUUGUGCCAUUGCGACAACUUGGCAUGCUCUUUGUUUCUGAAUAGAGGUUUCAACCAUGGUAUUAUAGGAGCAUACCACAUCACCUUGGCAGGAACCCUCUUCCUGGGGCGCUAACCCUCAACAUCACGAGGCUCGUCUCAUGUGAUCUUAUGCGCAAUGCACCACAUACCAGGCAUGCAUUCAAAUUCUCAUACUCCUCAUCGCGAUAAAGGAUGCAGUCAUUAGGGCAUGCAUGUAUCUUCUGCACCUCUAAUCCUAGAGGACGGAGAACCUUCUUUGCUUCGUACAUACUGUCAGGCAAUUCGUUAUCCUUUGUAAGCUUCUUCUUCAUUAUUUUUAGUAAAUUCUGAAAUCCCUUGUCAGAUACACCAUUCCAUGCCUUCCAUUGCAACAAUUCUAGUGUGAUACCGAGCUUUGUGUUGCCAUUUUCGCAAUUUGGGUACAACCUUUUUUUGUCAUCCUCUAACAUGCGAUCGAACUUUAACUUCUCACUUUCACUUUCGCAUUCUUUGUGUGCAUCAACAAUGACCCGACGAAGAACAUCAUCAACGGGCACAUCCGGUGCCUCUUGAUCUUCAACUUCCUCCCUUGCAGUAUGACCUUAUUCGGGUAACAUAGGAUCCCGAUAGUUGUCAUCAUCCUCUUCUUCUUCAUUGUGUUCCAGCAUAACCCCUCUUUCUCCGUGCUUGGUCCAACAAUUAUAGUGGGGCAUGAAACCCUUCUCAAGCAGGUGAAAGUGAAGGUUUUUUGAGGAAGAGUAGUCCUUCAUAUUCUCACACACAACACAUGACAAUACAUAAAACCAUUUUGCUUGUUUGCCUCAUCCACAUCGAGAAAAUUAUGUAGGCCUGUAAUGUAAUCGGAAGUGCGUCGGUCACCAUACAUCCAUUGCCGGUUCAUCUGCAUUAUGUAAUUAAGUAUAUCAAAAACCAUUACAGAAUAUCAUGAAUAGAGAAAUGACCAAAUUAAUAAAAUUUCAUCAUCACAUUAAAACCAAAGUAUAAUAGUGAUCAGAUGUUAUUACUACAAAAAUAAAUACAUAAAGUUCAUACAUAGUUCUCAUAAAACAACAUACAACUAUGUAAAACAUUUAAAUGCAACAACAAAUGCAAUCAAAAUUGCAACUAAGGUAACAAUUGAUCCAACAACAUAAUGAUAUCAAGCUUCUUUAUGAGUGUCAUAUUUUCUAAUCUUUCUAAUCUUCAAGCACAUUGCAUCCGUUUGGAUCUUAUGUAGAUCGACGACGUCGGCAAUAUGCAACUCCAAUUUCAUCUUCUCUUCUUCAAUUCUUUUCAAUUUUUCUUUAAAAUAAUUGUUUUCUUUUUCAACUAAAUUUAACCUCUCGAAAAGAGGGUCGGUUGGAAUUUACUGUUCACAUACCUCCUAGAUAAAGACAUCUAUGUCAAGUUGGUCAGCAUAAUUGUCAUAAACACUAAAUGAAACAAAUACUUAUAAAAUAUAAUAUACCACAUCCGAAUCAUAGACCGGACGAGAGCCGACGGGGGCGUAUUCCAAAACCAUGGCACUAUAUAAUAACAAACAAUAAUACAAGUAGCUAUCUAAAUCAUACAAGUAAGAAAUUUUUUUCUUUUAGAAAGAUAGGAACAAGAGGCUCACCACAGUGGUGCGGGCGACAAAAUCGGCGCGGACAAUCGACGACGGUGAGGACGGAGACGGGGAUGGGACGACACCCUACACAUGUGCAAACUAAAAAAUCAAUUUGAGCUUAAAUUUUGCAUCUAAAUCAAAUAAACUCCCACAGAAACUCCUCCACGAAAACCCACAAACCACUCUACUUCUAGAGCAUAUGAAAUGAGCUAAACUAGCAAUGAGAGAUGAAAGGAUGAAGUUGCUAACCUUCUAGAACACUUGGAUAGUUGGUGCACCGCCAAAUCUAGAAAAAUAUUGGGGAAAUGGAGCUUGGACGUUGAGCUCAGAGGAAGAACGGAGGAGAAAUCUUAAGUGUGUCUCGGACAUUUCAUCGAACACCUCAUGUGCAUAAAAAGGCAGAACAUAGCAGCACACACACCUCCCUGAUGGGGAACGUCGCAUGGGAAACAAAAAAUUCCUAUGCGCACGAAGACCUAUCAUGGUGAUGUCCAUCUACGAGAGGGGAUUUCCGAUCUACGUACCCUUGUAGAUCGCACAGCAGAAGCGUUAGUGAACGUGGUUGAUGUAGUGGAACGUCCUCACGUCCCUCGAUCCGCCCCGUGAACCGUCCCACGAACCGUCUCGCGAUCCGUCCCACGAUCUAGUGCCGAACGGACGGCACCUCCGCGUUCAGCACACGUACAGCUCGACGAUGAUCUCGGCCUUCUUGAUCCAGCAAGAGAGACAGAGAGGUAGAUGAGUUCUCCGGCAGCGUGACGGCGCUCCGGAGGUUGGUGAUGAUCUAAUCUCGGCAGGGCUCCGCCCGAGCUCCGCAGAAACGCGAUCUAGAGGUAAAACCGUGGAGGUAUGUGGUCGGGCUGCCUUGAAAAAGUUGUCUCAAAUCAGCCCUAAUUGCUCCAUAUAUAUAGGAGGAGGGAGGGGAGGCUUGCCUUGAGGCUCAAGGAGCCCCAAGGGCUGCGCCACCAAGGGGAGGAGGAGUCCUCCUCCAAUCCGAGUCCAACUAGGAUUGGAAGGUGGAGUCCUUCUCUCUUUUCCCACCUUUCCUUUUUUUCCUUUCUCUUCUUUUGGUUUUUUCUUUCUCUUGCGCAAGACAGCCUUGGGCUGACCCCACCUACUUGGUGCACCAACCCCAAGGUCCUUGGGCCCUCCCGGGUGGGUGGUCCCCCCUCCCGGUGAAGAUCCGGAACCCAUUCGUCAUUCCCGGUACAUUACCGGUAAUGCGUGAAAACCUUCCGGUAACCAAAUGAAGUCAUCCUAUAUAUCAAUCUUCGUUUCCAGACCAUUCCGGAAACCCUCGUGACGUCCAUGAUCUCAUCCCGGACUCCGAACAACAUCCGGUAACCAACCAUAUAACUCAAAUACGCAUAAAACAACGUCGAACCUUAAGUGUGCAGACCCUGCGGGUUCGAGAACUAUGUAGACAUGACCCGAGUGACUCAUCGGUCAAUAUCCAAUAGCGGGACCUGGAUGCCCAUAUUGGAUCCUACAUAUUCUACGAAGAUCUUAUCGUUUGAACCUCAGUGCCAAGGAUUCAUAUAAUCUCGUAUGUCAUUCCCUUUGUCCUUCGGUAUGUUACUUGCCCGUGAUUCGAUCGUCAGUAUCCUCAUACCUAUUUCAAUCUCGUUUAUCGGCAAGUAUCUUUACUCCUUCCGUAAUACAAGAUCCCGCAACUUACACUAAGUCACAUUGGUUGCAAGGCUUGUGUGUGAUGUUGUAUUACCGAGUGGGCCCCGAGAUACCUCUCCGUCAUACGGAGUGACAAAUCCGAGUCUCGAUCCAUACUAACUCAACGAACACCUUCGGAGAUACCUGUAGAGCAUCUUUAUAGUCACCCAGUUACGUUGCGACAUUUGAUACACACAAAGCAUUCCUCCGGUGUCAGUGAGUUAUAUGAUCUCAUGGUCAUAGGAACAAAUACUUGACACGCAGAAAACAGUAGCAACAAAAUGACACGAUCAGCAUGCUACGUCUAUUAGUUUGGGUCUAGUCCAUCACAUGAUUCUCCUAAUGAUGUGAUCCCGUAAUCAAGUAGCAACACUGUUAGAGCAUAUAUCUCCAUAUGUGGUUUUGGUAAUUGAUGACAAUUCCUAUGGACUAAUGGUUGCCUUAAGUUACAUUUAUAGGAUUUGUCCAUAGGCACUUCUUGAAGUCCAUCUGUUGGGUUCAAGGAGUUUAUAUGAUGACCAAGAUGGUAUUCAAGGUAUUAUCCAAAGAAUGGUCAUAGAGACACAUGGUUGAUCAAGAUCUCAGACAAAGAGUAAAUCAAGAUGAUCAACACACAAAACGUACAAGAUGUACCGAGAGGGAUCAAGUGAUCCCAUGGUAUGGUAAGCAUUGUCCAUUACGUAUUUGUGUACUAACCCAUGGUCUUCGUGAGAGUUCUAUGUGGGGGUUAGGUGUGUUUCCAUGGGCUUGCGUCAAAGGGAAGAUCUCAUACAACCCAUGAGCAAAUCAAGAUGAUCAACACACAAAGCGUACAAGAUGUACCGAGAGGGAUCAAGUGAUCCCAUGGUAUGGUAAGCAUUGUCCAUUACGUGUUUGCGUACUAACCCAUGGUCUUCGUGAGAGUUCUAUGUGAGGGUUAGGUGUGUUUCCAUGGGCUUGCGUCAAAGGGAAGAUCUCAUACAACCCAUGGAGUAUGACGUCAAGUUGUGAUCGUCAUCAAGAUUGCGGUGUGCAAGUUCAAGUGGAUCAGCACGAAGAUAGCAUGCUUGAAGCUUGCCGUCCACUAUGAUGGCAAUGGACUUGUGAAGAUAUGCUGAAGAGUGGCUCACCCAUAGUGAGUAUGGGGAGCAAUCACUAGUCUUCAUCAAGCCAACACAAUCAAGAAAGGUGGUCCAUCUUGAGGAAGCCAAGAUCAUCAUCAUCUAGCUCAAGAGGAUGAGGUGCAAGGUAUAGGUUUGCCCUUGAUAGGUUUUCUGGUUAGGAUAGAUUGUUGUUCUAUCAAGGGGGGCUCUCAAGUGAGUAGCUUGAUCGUAUCGUUCAUUGAGAGCUCAAACCAUUUGCAUCCUUGCAUCAUACUUCUUGGUUCUUAUUUGGUGUUUCUCUUUGUGAGUUUUAGAGAUUAUGGUCAUCUUCAUGACAAGCUCGAGUUCAUCGAAAAUGGAGUCCAUAUGCAACUACUAUGAUGUUUUCGAUGUUGGAGUUUUUGCCGGUUCUUCAUUCUUAGAGGACUCACAUCUUUAUAUCAUUGACAUUUUCAUAUCAUUGGUCGCUGUUUGGAUAGCCCUUGUCGUCCUGAAUCCAACAAGCUUGGGUUUGCUCGAUUCGGAGCUCGUAUGCGAAAGUUAUGGCUGUUUCAGUGGCGAGCGGUAGUACCGCUGGACCUAGCGGUAGUACCGCUAGAGUUGGCGGUAGUACCGCUGGCCCAAGCGGUAGUACCGCUGGCUGGCGGUAGUACCGCUGGCCCAAGCGGUAGUACCGCUGGCUGGCGGUAGUACCGCUGGCCCAAGCGGUAGUACCGCUGGCUGGCGGUAGUACCGCCCCUGGUCAGCGGUAGUACCGCUCCAGGAGCUUAGUACCGCCUGCCUAGCGGUUGUUCGUGGACGGACCUUUUUGCGAAGACUUUCUUGGCGGUGGUAGUGCCGUUGCACUACCAGGGGCCCAGUGGUAGUACCGCUGGAGUGCCAGCGGUAGUACCGCUGCAGCUAGUGGUAGUACCGCUAGCUGGCGGUAGUACCGCUGCAGCCAGCGGUAGUACCGCUGGAGCUCGGGCAGAAAGUGGGGGUAACGGUCUCAUUCCUUCCCCCACUAUAUAAAGGGGGUCUUCUUCCCCCUUGGUCUUAUCCAUCCGUUGAGCUCUUGUUCUACCUCCAUUGUUGACAUUCUUAGAGCUUGAUUACUCUCUAUCCCUCCAAUGAUUCUUGCUUGUUCUUGAGGGAAAAGAGAGAGGAGAUCUAGAUCCACAUCUCCACCAAUCACUUUCUCCUCUAUGUGAGGGGAACCCCUUGGAUCUUGAUCUUGGAGUUCUUUGUGAGCUCCUUGUUCUUCCUCUCAUAUUUCUCCAUAGCUUUUGUUGUUGUGGAGGGAUUUGAGUGUGAGGGACUUGACCACUUCAUGUGUUCUUGCCAUUGCAUUAGUUGCAUCGGUUUGAGUUCUCCACGGUGAUACGUGGAAGUGAGAAGUUGAGAAGCUUACUACCUUUGGUACUUAGUACCCUUGAUAUUGUUCUUCGUGGAUGCUUUGGCGUCCUAGAAGCUUGGUGGUGUCUCGGAGCUCAAUCAUUGUGGUGUGAAGCUCCGGGAAGCGUCGGGGUCUCCAAUUAGGUUGUGGAGAUUGCCCCGAGCAAUUUGUACGGGUACCGGUAACCGCCCCCAAGGGUUGCCACGUGUACGGGUUCGGUGACUGCCCCCAAGGGUUGCCAUUUGUACGGGUUCGGUGACCGCCCUCAAGGGUCCCUUAGUGGAAUCACGACAUCUUGCAUUGUGCGAGGGCGUGAGGAGAUUACGGUGGCCUUAGUGGCAUCUUGGGGAGCAUUGUGCCUCCACACCGCUCUAACGGAGAUUAACAUCCGCAAGGGUGUGAACUUCGGGAUACAUCAUCGUCUCCCCGUGCCUCGGUUAUCUCUUACCCGAACCCUUUACUUAUGCACUUUACUUUGUGAUAGACAUAUUGUUUAUUGUAAUAUAUCUUGCUAUCACUUAGUUGUUUAUCUUGCUUAGCAUAAGUUGUUGGUGCACAUAGGUGAGCCUAGUUGUUUGUAGGUUUUGUGCUUGACAUAUUAAACGUUAGUUUUAUUCCGCAUUUGUUCAAGCCUAAACCUUAACUAUUUUAAAGCGCCUAUUCACCCCCCCUCUAGGCGACAUCCACGUCCUUUUCAAACACUUGCCUAUGGCCAGGAAACAUUCACCAUCUUUGAUCAACGAGCUAGUCAACUAGAGGCUUACUAGGGACAGUGUUUUGUCUAUGUAUCCACACAAGUAUUGUGUUUCCAAUCAAUGCAAUUAUAGCAUGGAUAAUAAACAAUUAUCAUGAACAAAGAAAUAUAAUAAUAACUAAUUUAUUAUUGCCUCUAGGGCAUAUUUCCAACAGUCUCCCACUUGCACUAGAGUCAAUAAGCUAGUUCACAUCACCAUGUGAUUCCAACGAAUCCAACACCCAUAUAGUCAUGGGGUCUGAUCACAUCUUGCUCGUGAGAGCGGUUUUAGUCAACGGUUCUGAAACUUUCAGACCCGUGUGUUCUUUACAAAUCUUUAUGUCAUCUUAUAGAUGCUGCUACUAUGUGCUAUUCGGAAAUACUCCAAAUAUCUACUCUACUAUACGAAUCCGUUUCACUACUCAUAGUUAUUCGGAUUAGUGUCAAAGCUUGCAUGCNNNNNNNNNNNNNNNNNNNNNNNNNNNNNNNNNNNNNNNNNNNNNNNNNNNNNNNNNNNNNNNNNNNNNNNNNNNNNNNNNNNNNNNNNNNNNNNNNNNNGCCACGGCAGCCCGAUCACAUACCUCCAUGAGUUUUUCCUCUAGAUCGUAUUUCUGCGGAGCUCCGGGUGGAGCCCUGCYGGGAUAGAUCACCACCAACAUCCGGAGCGCCGUCACGCUGCCGGAGAACUCAUCUACCUCUCCGUCUCUCUUGCUGGAUCAAGAAGGCCAAGAUCAUCGUCGCGCUGUACGUGUGCUGAACGCGGAGGUGCCGUCCGUUCUGCACUAGAUCGGAGCGGAUUGUGGGACGGAUCGCGGGACGGUUCGUGGGACGGUUCGCGGGGCGGAUCGAGGGACGUGAGGACGCUCCACUACAUCAACCGCGUUUCUUAACGCUUCCUGCUGUGCGAUCUACAAGGGUACGUAGAUCGGAAAUCCCCUCUUGUAGAUGGACAUCACCAUGGUAGGUAUUGCAUGUGCAUAGGAAUUUUUUGUUUCCCGUACCAUGUUCCCCAACAGUGGCAUCAUGAGCUAGGUUCAUGCGUAGAUGUCAUCUCGAGUAGAACACAAAAGUUUUUGUGGGCGGUGAUGUGCGAUUUGCUGCCCUCCUUAGUCUUUCCUUGAUUCCGCGGUAUUGUUGGAUCGAAGCGGCUCGGACCGACAUUACUCGUACACUUACGAGAGACUGGUUUCAUCGCUACGAGCAACCCCGUUGCUCAAAGAUGACUGGCGAGUGUCGGUUUCUCCAACUUUAGUUGAAUCUGAUUUGACCGAGGAGGUCCUUGGAGAGAGGUUAAAUAGAAAUUCAUACAUCCCCAUUGUGGUGUUNNNNNNNNNNNNNNNNNNNNNNNNNNNNNNNNNNNNNNNNNNNNNNNNNNNNNNNNNNNNNNNNNNNNNNNNNNNNNNNNNNNNNNNNNNNNNNNNNNNNAGUUACCGGGAAUGUACCGGGAAUGACGAAUGGGUUCCGGGAGUUCACCGGGGGGGGGGGGGCAACCCACCCCGGGGAAGCCCAUAGGCAUUGAGGGACCCACACCAGCCCUUAGUGGGCUGGUGGGACAGCCCACAAGUGCCCAAUGCGCCAAGAGAAGAAAAAUCAAGAGGAAAGAAAAAAAAGGAAGGAGGUGGGAAGGGAGGGGGACUCCUCCCACCAAACCAAGUCCAACUCGGUUUGGGGGGGGGAGGUCCUCCCCCCUUGGCUCGGCCGACUCCUUGGGGGUCCUUGGACCCCAAGGCAAGGCCCCCCUCCCUCCUCCUAUAUAUAUGGAGCUUUUAGGGCAGAUUUGAGACGAUUUUUUCUCACGGCUGUCCGACCACAUACCUCCAUAGUUUUUCCUCUAGAUCGCGUUUCUGCGGAGCUCGGGCGGAGCCCUGCUGAGACAAGAUCAUCACCAACCUCCGGAGCGCCGUCACGCUGCCGGAGAACUCUUCUACCUCUUCGUCUCUCUUGCUGGAUCAAGAAGGCCGAGAUCAUCGUCGAGCUGUACGUGUGCUGAACGCGGAGGUGCCGUCCGUUCGGUACUAGAUCGUGGGACUGAUCGCGGGAUUGUUCGCGGGGCGGAUCGAGGGACGUGAGGACGUUCCACUACAUCAACCGCGUUCUCUAACGCUUCUGCUGUACGGUCUACAAGGGUACGUAGAUCUCUCAUCCCCUCUCGUAGAUGGACAUCACCAUGAUAGGUCUUCGUGCGNNNNNNNNNNNNNNNNNNNNNNNNNNNNNNNNNNNNNNNNNNNNNNNNNNNNNNNNNNNNNNNNNNNNNNNNNNNNNNNNNNNNNNNNNNNNNNNNNNNNCGACGUAACCCUUUACGACGAACUCUUUAACCACCUCCAUAAUCGAGAAAAAUUCCUUAGUCCAUCAGUUACUAAGGAUAAAUUUUGACCGCUGCUAGUGAUUCAAUAAUGGAUCACUCUCUGUACCUCUCAACAGACAUUGAGUCAAGGCACUCAUCAGGUGCAGUACCCAGCAUGGCAUACUUCAGAUUCUACGGCCAAGGCAUAGAAGACGACCUUCGUCUAUUCUCUUUAUUCUGCCGGGGUCGGGUUUUGAGUCUUACUCAAAUUCACACCUCACAACGCAACCAAGAACUCCUUCUUUGCUGAUCUAUUUUGAACUCCUUCAAAAACUUGUCAAGGCAUGCAUCUUGUUGAAACUUCUAUUAAGCGUUUUGAUCUAUCUCCAUAGAUCUUGAUGCUCAACGUUCAAGUAGCUCAAUCCAGGUAUUUCUUUGAAAAACUCCUUUCAAACAACCUUUUAUGCUUCACAGAAAUUCUACAUUACUUACGAUCAUCAAUAUGUCAACCACAUAUACUUAUCAGAAAUUCUAUAGUGCUCCCACUCACUUCUUUGAAAAUACAAGUUUCUCAUAAACCUUGUACAAACCCAAAAUCUUUGAUCAUCUCAUCAAAGUGUAUAUUCCAACUCCGAGAUGCUUGCACCAGUCCAAUGAAGGAUCGCUGGAGCUUGCAUACUUGUUAGUAUCUUUAGGAUCAACAAGACCUCCUGGUUGUAUCACAUACAAUGUUUGCUCAAGGAAACCGUCGAGGAAACAAUGUUUUGUCUUCCUAUGUGCAAUAUUUCACAAAUAAUGCAACAACUACUAACAUAAUUCCAACAGACUUUUAGCAUCGCUAUGAGUGAGAAAGUGUCAUCAUAGUCAACUAUUUGAUCUUGUCAGAAACAUCUUUGCGACAAGUUGAGCUUUUCUUAAUAGUGACUUAUCACCAUCAUCGUCUGUCUUUCUUACAAAGAUCCAUCUUUACUCAAUAGUCUUAUGACCAUCAAGUAGUUCUUCCAAAGUCUACACUUUGUUUUCAUACAUGGAUCCUCUCUCGGAUUUCAUGGCCUCCAGCCAUUUGUCGGAAUCCGGGCCCACCAUUGCUUUCUCCAUAACUCGUAGGUUCAUUGUUGCUCAACAACAUGACCUCCAAGACAGGGUUACCGUACCACUCUGCAGUAGUACGCAACCUUGUCGACCUACGAGGUUUGUAGUAACUUGAUCCGAAGCUCAAUGAUCACCAUCAUCAGCUUCCACUUUAAUUGGUGUAGGCGCCACAGGAACAACUUCCUGCUCCCUGCUACACACUGGUUGAAGUGAUGGUUCAAUAACCUUAUCAAGUUCUACCACCCUCCCACUCAAUUCUUUCGAGAGAAACCUUUCCUCAAGAAAGGAUCCGUUUCUAAAAACAAACACUUUGCUUUCGGAUCUGAGAUAGGAGAUGUACCCAACUGUUUUGGAUAUCCUAUGAAGAUGCAUUUAUCCGUUUUGGGUUCGAGCUUAUCAGACUGAAACUUUUUCACAUAAGUGUCGAAGCCCCAAACUUUCAAGAAACGACAGUUUAGAUUUCUCUAAACCUCAGUCUAUACUGUGUCAUCCCAACGGAAAUACGCGGUGCCCUAUUUAAAGUGAAUGCGGUUGUCUCUAAUGCAUAACCCAUAAACGAUAGUGGUAAUUCGAUAAGAGACAUCAUAGCAUGCACCAUCCCAGAUAGUGCGUGGCUAUGACGUUCAGACACAUCAUCACAUUAUGAUGUUCCAGGUGGCAUGAACUGCGAAACAAUUUCCACAUUGUCUUAACUACGUACCAAAACUCGUAACUCAGAUAUUCAUUUCUAUGAUCAUAUCGUAGAUCGUUUAUCCUCUUGUUACGAAGAACUUCACUCCGAAACAGAAUUGAACUUUUCAAUAUUUCAGACUUGUGAUUCAUUAAGUAAAUACUCUUGUAUCUACUCAAAUCAUCAUUGAAGUAAGAACAUAAUAAUAUCCACUGCGUGCCUCAGCACCCAUUGGACUGCAUACAUCAAAAUGUAUCACUUCCAACAAGUUACUAUCUUGUUUCAUCUCAAUGAAAACAAGGCCUUGCUCAUGUGGUAUGAUUUGCAUGUCACUAGUGAUUCAAAAUCAAGUGAGUAUAAAGAUCCAUCAGCAUGGAGCCUCUUCAUGCAAUUUGUACCAACAUGACUCAAGCGGCAGUGCCACAAGUAAGUCGUACUAUCAUCAUUACCUCGUAUCUUUUGGCACCAAUAUUAUGAACAUGUGUAACACUACGAUCGAGAUUCAAUAAACCAUUGAAGGUGAUUUAUUCAAGCAAAUAGAGUAACCAUUAUUCUCUUUAAAUGAAUAAUCGUAUUGCAAUAAACACGAUCCAAUCAUGUUCAUGCUUAACGCAAGUACCAAAUAACAAUCAUUUAGGUUUAACACCAAUCCCGAUGGUAGAUGGAGUGUGCGACGUUUGAUCAUAUCAACCUUGGAAACACUUCCAACACGUAUCGUCACCUCGCCUUUAGCUAGUCUGCGUUUAUGCCGUAGCUUUCAUUUCGUGUCACUAAUCACUUAGCAACCGAACCGGUAUCUAAUACCCUCGUGCUACUAGGAGUACUAGUAAAGUACACAUCAAUAUCAUGUAUAUCAAAUAUACUUCUCUCGACUUUUGCCAGCCUUCUUAUCUACCAAGUAUCUAGAGUUGCUCCGCCUCAGUGACUGUUCCCCUCAUUACAGAAGCACUUAGUCUCGGGUUUGGGUUUAAUCUUGGGUCUCUUCAUCAGUGCAACAACUGUUUUGUCGUUUCACGAAGUAUCCCUUCUAGCCCUUGCCUUUCUUGGAACUUAGUGGUUUUACUAACCAUCAACUAUUGAUGCUCCUUCUUGAUUUCUACUUCCGCAGUGUCAAACAUCGCGAAUCGCUCAAGGAUCAUUGUAUCUAUCCUUGAUAUGUUAUAGUUCAUCACGAAGCUCUCACAGCUUGGUGGCAGUGACUUUGGAGAACCAUCACUAUCUCAUCUGGAAGAUUAACUCCCACUUGAUUCAAGCGAUUGUCGUACUCAGACAAUAUGAGCACACGCUCAACGAUUGAGCUUUUCUCCUUUACUUUGUAGACAAAGAAUCUAGAGUGGCCUAGCACAUGCACAUAUUGUCUAGCACAUGCACAUAUUGGCCUAGCACACUCUAGAUUCUAGACAAUAUGUGCAUGUGCUAGGCCACUCUAGAUUCUUUGUCCACAAAGUAAAGGAGAAAAGCUCAAUCGUUGAGCGUGUGCUCAGAUUGCCUGAGUACGACAAUCGCUUGAAUCAAGCGGGAGCUAAUCUUCCAGAUGAGAUAGUGAUGGUUCUCCAAAGUCACUUCCACCAAGCUGUGAGAGCAUCGUGAUGAACUAUAACAUAUCAAGGAUAGAUACAAUGAUCCUUGAGCGAUUCGCGAUGUUUGACACUGCGAAAGUAGAAAUCAAGAAGGAGCAUCAAUAGUUGAUGGUUAGUAAAACCACUAAGUUCCAAGAAAGGCAAGGGCUAGAAGGGAUACUUCGUGAAACGGCAAAACAGUUGUUGCACUGAUGAAGAGACCCAAGAUUAAACCCAAACCCGAGACUAAGUGCUUCUUUAAUGAGGGGAACAGUCACUGAGGCGGAGCAACUCUAGAUACUUGGUAGAUAAGAAGGCUGGCAAAAGUCGAGAGAAGUAUAUUUGAUAUACAUGAUGUUGAUGUGUACUUUACUAGUACUCCUAGUAGCAUGAGGGUAUUGGAUACCGGUUCGGUUGCUAAGUGAUUAGUGACACGAAAUGAAAGCUACGGCAUAAACGCAGACUAGCUAAAGGCGAGGUGACGAUACGUGUUGGAAGUGUUUCCAAGGUUGAUAUGAUCAAACGUCGCACACUCCAUCUACCAUCGGGAUUGGUGUUAAACCUAAAUGAUUGUUAUUUGGUACUUGCGUUAAGCAUGAACAUGAUUGGAUCGUGUUUAUUGCAAUACGAUUAUUCAUUUAAGGAGAAUAAUGGUUACUCUAUUUGCUUGAAUAAAUCACCUUCAAUGGUUUAUUGAAUCUCGAUCGUAGUGUUACACAUGUUCAUGAUAUUCGUGCCAAAAGAUACGAGGUAAUGAUGAUAGUACGACUUACUUGUGGCACUGCCGCUUGAGUCAUGUUGGUACAAAUUGCAUGAAGAGGCUCCAUGCUGAUGGAUCUUUAUACUCACUUGAUUUUGAAUCACUAGUGACAUGCAAAUCAUACCACAUGAGCAAGGCCUUGUUUUCAUUGAGAUGAAAUAAGAUAGUAACUUGUUGGAAGUGAUACAUUUUGAUGUAUGCAGUCCAAUGGGUGCUGAGGCACGCAGUGGAUAUCAUUAUGUUCUUACUUCAAUGACGAUUUGAGUAGAUACUAGAGUAUUUGCUUAAUGAAUCACAAGUCUGAAAUAUUGAAAAGUUCAAUUCUGUUUCGGAGUGAAGUUCGUCGUAACAAGAGGAUAAACUGUCUACGAUAUGAUCAUAGAAAUGAACAUCUGAGUUACGAGUUUUGGUACGCAGUUAAGACAAUGUGGAAAUUGUUUCGCAGUUCAUGCCACCUAGAACAUCAUAGUGUGAUGAUGUGUCUGAACGUCAUAGCCACACACUAUCUGGUAUGGUGCAUGCUAUGAUGUCUCUUACCGAAUUACCACUAUCGUUUAUGGGUUAAGCAUUGGAGACAACCGCAUUCACUUUAAAUAGGGCACCACGUAUUUCCGUUGAGAUGACAUAGUAUAGACUGAGGUUUUGAGAAAUCUAAACUGUCGUUUCUUGAAAGUUUGGGGUUUCGACACUUAUGUGAAAAAGUUUCAGUCUGAUAAGCUCGAACCCAAAGCGGAUAAAUGCAUCUUCAUAGGAUAUCCAAAACAGUUGGGUACAUCUCCUAUCUGAGAUCCGAAAGCAAAGUGUUUGUUUCUAGAAACGGAUCCUUUCUCGAGGAAAGGUUUCUCUCGAAAGAAUUGAGUGGGAGGGUGGUAGAACUUGAUGAGGUUAUUGAACCAUCACUCCUACCAGUGUGUAGCAGGGCGUAGGAAGUUGUUCCUGUGGCGCCUACACCAAUUGAAGUGAAAGCUGAUGAUGGUGAUCAUCGAGCAUCGGAUCAAGUUACUACAAGCCUCGUAGGUUGACAAGGUCGCGUACUACUACAGAGUGGUACGGUAACCCUGUCUUGGAGGUCAUGUUGUUGAGCAACAGUGAACCUACGAGUUAUGGAGAAAGCAAUGGUGGGCCCAGAUUCCGACAAAUGGCUGGAAGCCAUGAAAUCCGAGAGAGGAUCCAUGUAUGAAAACAAAGUGUAGACUUUGGAAGAACUACUUGAUGGUCAUAGGACUAUUGAGUAAGGAUGGAUCUUUAAAAGGAAGACAUACGAUGAUAGUGAUAAGUUACUAUUAAGAAAAGUUCGACUUGUCGCAAAGAUGUUUCCGACAAGAUCAAACAGUUGACUAUGAUGAGACUUUGUCACUCGUAGCGAUGCUGAAAGUCUGUUAGAAUUAUGUUAGUAGUUGCUGCAUUAUUUAUGAAAUAUUGCAUGUAGGAUGUCAAAACAUUGUUUCCUCGACGGUUUCCUUGAGCAAACAUUGUAUGAGAUACAACCAUGAGGUUUUGUCGAUCCUAAAGAUACUAGCAAGUAUGCAAGCUCCAGCGAUCCUUAAAUGGACUGGUGCAAGCAUCUCAGAGUUGGAAUAUACACUUUGAUGAGAUGAUCAAGGAUUUUGGGUUUGUACAAGGUUUAUGAGAAACUUGUACUUCCAAAGAAGUGAGUGGGAGCACUAUAGAAUUUCUGAUAAGUAUAUGUGGUUGACAUAUUGUGGAUCAGAAGUAAUGUAGAAUUUCUGUAAAGCAUACAAGGUUGUUUGAAAGGAGUUUUCAAAGGAAUACCUGGAUUGAGCUACAUGAACGUUGAGCAUCAAAGAUCUAUGGAGAUAGAUCGAAAGCGCUUAAUGGAAGUUUCAACAAGAUGCAUACCUUGACAAGUUUUGAAGGAGUUCAAAAUAGAUCAGCAAAGAAGGAGUUCUUGGUUGCGUUGUAAGGUGUGAAUUUGAGUAAGACUCGGAACCCGACCACGGCAGAAUAAAGAGAAUAGACGAAGGUCGUCUUCUAUGCCUUAGCCGUAGACUCUAAAGUAUGCCAUGCUGAGUACCGCACCUGAUGUGUGCCUUGCAGCAAGUCUGUUGAGAGGUACAAAGAGUGAUCCAUGAUUGAAUCACUAGCAGCGGUCAAAAUUUGUCCUUAGUAACUGAUGGACUAAGGAAUUUUUCUCGAUUAUGGAGGUGGUUAAAGAGUUCGUCGUAAAGGGUUACGUCGAUGUAAGCUUUAACACUAAUCCGAAUAACUAUGAGUAGUGAAACGGAUUCGUAUGGUAGAGUAGAUAUUUGGAGUAUUUUCGAAUAGCACAUAGUAGCAGCAUCUAUAAGGUGACAUAAAGAUUUGUAACGAACACACGGAUCUGAAAAUUUUAGAACCGUUGACUAAAACCUCUCUCAUGAGCAAGACGUGAUCAGACCCCAUAACUAUAUGGGUGUUGGAUUCGUUGGAAUCACAUGGUGAUGUGAACUAGAUUAUUGACUCUAGUGCAAGUGGGAGACUGUUGGAAAUAUGCCCUAGAGGCAAUAAUAAAUUAGUUAUUAUUAUAUUUCUUUGUUCAUGAUAAUCGUUUAUUAUCCAUGCUAUAAUCGUAUUGAUUGGAAACACAGUCCAUGUGUGGAUACAUAGACAAAACACUGUCCCUAGUAAGCCUCUAGUUGACUAGCUCGUUGAUCAAAGAUGGUCAAGGUUUCCUGACCAUAGGCAAGUGUUGUCACUUGAUAACGGGAUCACAUCAUUAGGAGAAUCAUGUGAUGGACUAGACCCAAACUAAUAGACGUAGCAUGUUGAUCGUGUCAUUUUGUUGCUACUGUUUUCUGCGUGUCAAGUAUUUGUUCCUAUGGCCAUGAGAUCAUAUAACUCACUGACACCGGAGGAAUGCUUUGUGUGUAUCAAACGUCGUAACGUAAUUGGGUGACUAUAAAGAUGCUCUACAGAUAUCUCCGAAGGUGUUAGUUGAGUUAGUAUGGAUCGAGACUGGGAUUUGUCACUCCGUGUGACGGAGAGGUAUCUUGGGGCCCACUCGGUAAUACAACAUCACACACAAGCCUUGCAAGCAAUGUGACUUAGUGUAAGUUGCGGGAUCUUGUAUUACGGAACGAGUAAAGAGACUUGCCGGUAAACGAGAUUGAAAUAGGUAUGCGGAUACUGACGAUCGAAUCUCGGGCAAGUAACAUACCGAAGGACAAAGGGAAUGACAUACGGGAUUAUAUGAAUCCUUGGCACUGAGGUUCAAACGAUAAGAUCUUCGUAGAAUAUGUAGGAUCCAAUAUGGGCAUCCAGGUCCCGCUAUUGGAUAUUGACCGAGGAGUCUCUCGGGUCAUGUCUACAUAGUUCUCGAACCCGCAGGGUCUGCACACUUAAGGUUCGACGUUGUUUUAUGUGUAUUUGAGUUAUAUGGUUGGUUACCGAAUGUUGUUCGGAGUCCCGGAUGAGAUCACGGACAUCACGAGGGUUUCCGGAAUGGUCCAGAAACGAAGAUUGAUAUAUAGGAUGACCUCAUUUGAUUACCGGAAGGUUUUCGGAGUUACCGGGAAUGUACCGGGAACGACGAAUGGGUUCCGGGUGUUCACCGGGGGGGCAACCCACCUCGGGGAAGCCCAUAGGCCUUGGGCUGGCGCACCAGCCCUUAGUGGGCUGGUGGGACAGCCCAAGAAGGCCAUAUGCGCCAUAAGAAGAAAAUCAAAGAGAACAGGAAAGAAAAAGGGGAAGUGGAAAAAAGGGGAAUGACUCCUCCUUCCAAACCUAGUUGGAUUCGGUUUGGAAGGGGAGGACUCCCCCCUUUGGCUCGGCCGACCCCCUUGGGGAUCCUUGGACCCCAAGGCAAGGCCCCCCCCUCUCCCACCUAUAUAUACGGAGAUUUUAGGGCUGAUUUGAGACAACUUUUGCCACGGCAGCCCGACCACAUACCUCCACGGUUUUACCUCUAGAUCACGUUUCUGCGGAGCUCGGGCGGAGCCCUGCUGAGAUUAGAUCACCACCAACCUCCGGAGCGCCGUCACGCUGCCGGAGAACUCAUCUACCUCUCCGUCUCUCUUGCUGGAUCAAGAAGGCCGAGAUCAUCGUCGAGCUGUACGUGUGCUGAACGGGGAGGUGCCGUCCGUUCGGCACUAGAUCGGAGCGGAUCGUGGGACGGAUCGCGGGAUGGUUCGUGGGACGGUUCGCGGGGUGGAUCGAGGGACGUGAGGACGUUCCACUACAUCAACCGCGUUUCUUAACGCUUCUGCUGUGCGAUCUACAAGGGUACGUAGAUCGGAAAUCCCCUCUCGUAGAUGGACAUCACCAUGAUAGGUCUUCGUGCGCGUAGGAAAAUUUUUGUUUCCCAUGCGACGUGCCCCAACACUCUAUGUCGGCCCUCUCGACAAAGUCGUCACAGCUCCAGUAGGCGCCCGCGCCCGCGAACUCGCGCACCUCGCCGCUGGUCCUAGCGAACCGCGACAUCGGGUCACCGUGGUGGCCGAGCACGUCGAACGCGACCACUGCCAUUUUUAUUUUUUUGAGCCGGUGUGCUCGUCACCGUGGCACCACCUAUUUCUGCUCCAGGCGAAGUUGCUGUGCACGAGGCCAGGCUGUGUGCUGGGAGUUUCGUCCCCCUGCACCCUCGUCAGCUCCCCCCGCCCCGUCCCGCCCCCGCUCCACCGCCGACGUAAGCACCACCCAACACCCUCCCCUCAAGAUCCAAUCCACGCUCGCCCGCUCGCCUCGCGCAAUGCCCCGCUCCUGACCAUGUCCUCGCUCUCGAUCCCGGCUCCGCUCCUGCGCUCCUCGCCGUCUCCGUCUCCACCCGCGAACUGAAGGAGGCGCGCCGCGCGUGCGGGUGUGCGGGGACCGGGAUGGAGCAGCAGCACCUCCAGGCAGGGAGCGCCUCCGGCAGCCCAGGUUCGUGGGGACGGCGCACACCGGUGGGCCGGCAGCGCGCGAUGAGGCGGGACGGGCGCGGCAGGAGGUGGCGGUGCGCUGGAGGUGAAGAUGAAGAUGGGGAUUGGAAGGCAGGGGACGAGCGGUGGUUGCGUUCUAAGUAAUGCGGGGGAAUUUUGUGAAAAACUGAAACGUUUUUUAACUUACAAAAGGACCGUGGGUUGAUUUUUAGAAAAUAGAGGGGCCAUUUUACAAAAAGGCCGACGGCGUUUGUUAUUAGGGGAGAAGAUAAAAAUAGAGCUCAUAAUUUGAUUCGAAAGAAAAAGAACCCCAUGAUUUGUGCAUGUGUGGGUUGCGAGCGUAACAUGGCCCGGUCGAUCGACCCAUGUGAGCCUGCACUGGACGCGGGCUACGAGUUCCGGAAUCUGCUAACAUGCGGGUGCCUCUGUGCUGACAGUUGACACCGCCCGGCAUUUUUUGUUUCCUUUUCUUGUAGGCAAGAACAUACAGCUAGCUCGAUCAGGGGUUCUUUUGAGAUGUAGCACCCACAAAACGAAAAGAUAUCCCCCUAAAAGAAAACAUGAAAAGACAUAAUUUCCACCGAAAUUGGAAAUAUAAUAACUCCAUUGGGACAGAAAAGGUACUACUUAUAACGUACUAAUAAAUAAACCAAUUUCUAACCGGUUAAGCAUAAUUAACAGGCACUUAUUGGACAAUGUAGGAGCAUUAUGUAGGAGUAUAUAUAUUGUGCCAGAACUGACGAUACUCGUCGUGCUGGAAAGGGAAUAAUUACUAGGAUCUCCGUAUAGAACCGUUAGAAAAGGAACCCCGAUCCGUACCAGCGCAUUUUUGUGAGACAUUUAAGAAAACAAGUUGGAUUUGUGAUAACGGUGCAUGAUUUGGUUUUGUUAUUGCAUGGUCGAUUCCCUCUUGGGUUUGCACGUGGCUCUCUGCUAAUCAUGUGAGGAUGGCUCAUGAGUGAAGCGCGCACUGACCCAAUAGAAAUGGCGAGCCCGGUCCUGAGAUUCCUGUACAUGCGCCUCAUGACAUGAGUGCCAUUUGUUUACGCUCGUAGGAAGCUUCGUGGCGACAUCCGAAACGUACGGAGGACAUACAGUAUAUACUCGCCAGCCAGCCAGCCAGCCAGCCAUGUCAACCAAGAGAGCAGCAGCCGGUAGUACACUAGUACGUACGUGCCAAGUUGGCUAUACUUUGCAAAGAUGAGAGCACCACAUCAGCAAACACGAAUGUUAAUCUCGUAAUCAUGCAGAUGCUUAUAUGCUUAACUGAUGGCCACGUCCAGCAAGCAAGCUAGUCCUUAAACCAGACGCGGGUAGGAGCCAUGCACAUGCACAGGCAUGCAGCUCCGCGCGCCAUGGAUAUGCAUGCGCAAAGUCAAUGCCCUUUGGAGCCAAGAACUGCCAGAUCGCUCACAAAUUAAAUCACUACCCCAUGUUAGUAGGAGUACUGGUGAACAGGCUCAUAAUAAUUGAGAAAACAAAUUGCAGACGAGCGUGCGCUGGGCAGGCUAUAUAUACGUCUGUGGUGCCCUGUAGUUCACUCAAGCAGGCGGUAGCAUCAUAUCGUAGUAGUAGCUAGAGGCUAGAGCUAGCCAGGCAGGCAGGUCUCCUCGUCCUCAGUAGUUUUCUGACUCUUGAAGAUGUCGCAGAGGCCGGGGAGGCACCAGAGGAGGGCGUCGCAGAGCGUGUUCUCCCUGCCGGAGAACUUCGCCAGCCUGGAGGACGUGCCGGCGGACGGCGUCGGCGAGCAGCGGAAGCCCGCCGCGGCGGGGGCGGACGCCUCCGAGCAGCAGCAGCCCGCCAGGCCGGCGGCGGGGCGCCACCGGCGGGCAAUGUCGAUGGCCGUGCCCUCCAGGGACCUGGACAUGAUCGCGGAGGACAUGGGAAGCUACAGCAAGUACGGCGCCUGAUUGGUAGAAAGACGUACGUCUAGUUCAUUCACGCUGGUGUGUUUAUGUACGUACGUGUUCUUCCGUGGCCGGUGGGUACGUUAGGUGUAAACCAGUUGGUUGUUUUGUUCUGUGCUGUGUUUUUCCUGCUUCUCUGAAUGUGUACUCCUCCUUUGCCUGCCUGACCAGAGUAAAAAAAUCCCGCUGUUGCAAAUUUGUUGUGUAUGGCAUUCACGGGGUGUUUCUUUACAGGGACUUUUUACUGUAAGGAUUAAAAAAAAGGAUUUUUAGGGACUAAAAGAGGUACUUUGGGACUAAAGGAAGAAGUCGUUAUGGAAGAGUCUUUUUGAUACUUUUUUGAUACUUUUUCCAACAGUGCUCCUACUUUUAGCAUGUCAUUUUACAAUUUCUAAUAUAUUAGUAGGGGUAACAUGAUCUUUUUGCAGGUCAUUUAAUGACCUCUAAUCUUUAUUUAGUCUCUGAAAAAAAAACUAGGAACUUUUUAGUUAAGAUUAAAAAAAUAUAAGACUUUUAAAAAAAACAGGGCCUCAUUCCGUCGCUAAGCCGAGAGCAGGGAACCGACGCUAAUCCACGAUGGCGGAGAACGACGAUGCCUCGGUGGCGCCGGCCGGCGAGAAGAGUUGAUGGUAGCAGAUCCGGCGAUAGAGAUGAUGGAAUCUUGCGAGGCAAGGCCAACGAGCGGCGAGGUGGAUCUGGUAGGCAACACGACCUGUCCCCGAGAAAAUAAUUACAAGAAGGAAAGUGACAUCAGCACAUCGCUCGUGCUUUCGUGCGCAUGACCGACCUGUCCCCGAGAAAAUAAUUACAAGAAGGAAAGUGACAUCAGCACAUCGCUCGUGCUUUCGUGCGCAUGACCUCGCCGGCCCGUGCGGCCGUGCUGCUCGAAGAUCGCGCGCGCGAUCGAUACGCUCGCGUCGCCCGCAAUCGAUAUGCUCGCGUCGCCCGCAGCACGCGCUUACAGCCUCCCGUUAAUGGGAUAGCCCAGGAACGCGUCUUCAAUUUUGCACCUGGUUUUUUCCUAGGUCCUUCGUUUUUAGCUAAGUCGCCUUCUAAUUCAAAAAUAUUGUCAUAAAUUUUAAAACGUAUUAAAAAAUGUUAAAUAAUUCAGAAAAAUCUCACGAAUUCCCAAAAAAAUAGCGGAUUCGAAAACUGUUUGUGGCAUCAAGAACUGUCCACAAGUUACAAAAUUGCUCGAGUAUUUAAAAUAUUUCUUGCCCAUUGAAAAAAUACUUUAUGAACUCUAAAAUUAGUCAUGAAUUUAAAAAAUGAUAAAGGAUAUGAAAACUUAUUCAUGAAUCCAGAAAAGGUUCUAGAAUUUUUUUAAAAAAAUCGUAAAUUCAAAGCAUAUUCAUGAAUUAAAAAUAAUCACACAAAUCUGAAAAAAGUUCAUGAAUCUAAAACUUAUUUGCGUAUUUCAAAAAAAUCUCAUGAAUUCUAAAAAAAAAUCUCCGAUUCGAAAAAAAAAUCCAGAAAUUAGAAUUUUUCUCUAGUAUUUAAAAUAUUUCUUGCCCAUUUAAAAAAAUUAUGUAUUUUAAAAUUAGUCAUGAAUUCAAAAAUGAUAAACGAUGUGAAAACUUAUUCAUGAAUCCAAAAAUGAUUAGAAUUUGAAAAAUUAUCAUAAAUUUAAAGCAUAUUCAUGAAUUAAAAAUAAUCGCACAAAUCUGAAAAAAGUUCAUGAAUCCAAAAAUUAUUUGCGCAUUUCAAAAAAGAAUCAAGGAUUUGGAAAAAAUGUUCAUGAACAAUAGUUCAAAUUGGAAUAAAAAUUUAAACAUUCUCAAAAAGUGAACAUUUGUUCCAAAAUAAUGUCAAAUUUUGAAAUUGCUACCAUUUUAUUGAAAAGAAAACUAUUUAUGAUUUUUUUGUAUAUUUAAACAAUUUUAACAUGAGAAAAAUGGUUAUGUAAUUGCGAUCAAUGUUUUAAAUUUAUGAGUUAAAAUAACCAAAAAUAAGAAAAGGAAAACACACACAAAAAAGAAAACCCCGGAAAAGAAAAAAGAGUUUCAAAACAUUAUAGAAGGUCCCAAAGCUGGCUAGGAACCUUCCACAAGGUUCUUAAAACCGAUCGAACGCAAGCUUCUCUCGAUCUAUGUUGGGGAGGUGAUGUCUAUUAUGCAACUUGUUCUUGUAGACUCGUUUUGAGCAUUCAAACGUAGAGUUUGAUAGGACAAUAUCAAAUUUCCCUCAAGUGGAUAAAUUAAGGUUUAUCAAUCCGUGGAAAGCAUAGGAUAUAGAUGGUCUCUCUCAAACAACCUUGCAACCAAAUAAUAAAAAGUCGCUUGUGUCCCCAACACACCAGAUACAAUUGUAAUUUGUAUAAGUGCACUAGUUCGGCAAAGAGACGAUGAUAGAAAUGUAGCAAUGAUAGUAGAUAUUGAUUUCUAUAAUUUGAAAAUAUAAAAACAGCAAGGUAGAAAGUAACAAAAGUGAGCAUAAACGGUAUUGCAAUGCUUGAAAAUGUGGACGACUCUAAGUCGCAAACCGGAUACGUAUUUAUUCUUAAUGGGGGUGCGGUAAGCUGGUGCAGUUCCAAGCAAAGCGUCGUAGCAGAUUCUACAUGUGAGCGGAGUACAUGGCUGCCUCGAAGGCGGCUAAGGAGGGUGUCUGGAUGAAGCAAUUCAUGACGGAUCUUGGAGUGGUGCCAAGCGCACUGAAUCCAAUAACCUUGUUAUGUGACAACACGGGUGCCAUUGCCUUAGCUAAGGAACCACGGUUUCACAAGAAGUCCAGACACAUCAAACGACGCUUCAACCUCAUCCGCGACUACGUCGAAGGGGAGGACGUAAAUAUAUGCAAACUGCACACGGAUCUCAAUGUAGCAGACCCGCUGACUAAACCUCUUCCACGGGCAAAGCAUGAUCAUUACCAGAACUGUAUGGGUGUUAGAUUUAUUACAAUGUAAUUCGCAUGAUGAUGUGAGGGCUAGAUUAUUGACUCUAGUGCAAGUGGGAGACUGUUGGAAUUAUGCCCUAGAGGCAAUAAUAAAUAUAGUUAUUAUUAUAAUUCCUGUAUCAAGAUAAUCAUUUAUUAUCCAUGCUAUAAUUGUAUUGAAUGAAGACUCAUUUACAUGUGUGGAUACAUAGACAAAACACUGUCCCUAGCAAGCCUCUAGUUGGCUAGUCAGUUGAUCAAAGAUAGUCAGUGUCUUCUGAUUAUGAACAAAGUGUUGUUGCUUGAUAACUGGAUCACGUCAUUAGCAGAAUCACGUGAUGGACUAGACCCAAACUAAUAGACGUAGCAUGUUGAUCGUGUCAUUUUGUUGCUACUGUUUUCUGCGUGUCAAGUAUUUUUUCCUAUGACCAUGAGAUCAUAUAACUCACUAACACCGGAGGAAUACUUUGUGUGUAUCAAACGUCGCAACGUAACUGGGUGACUAUAAAGAUGCUCUACAGGUAUCUCCGAAGGUGUUCGUUGAGUUAGUAUGGAUCAAGACUAGGAUUUGUCACUCCGUGUGACGGAGAGGUAUCUCGGGGCCCACUCGGUAAUACAACAUCACACACAAGCCUUGCAAGCAAUGUAACUUAGUUUAAGUUGCGGGAUCUUGUAUUACGGAACGAGUAAAGAGACUUGCCGGUAAACGAGAUUGAAAUAGGUAUGCGGAUACUGACGAUCGAAUCUCGGGCAAGUAACAUAUCGAAGGACAAAGGGAAUGACAUACGGGAUUAUAUGAAUCCUUGGCACUGAGGUUCAAACGAUAAGAUCUUCGUAGAAUAUGUAGGAUCCAAUAUGGGCAUCCAGGUCCCGCUAUUGGAUAUUGACCGAGGAGUCUCUCGGGUCAUGUCUACAUAGUUCUCGAACCCGCAGGGUCUGCACACUUAAGGUUCGAUGUUGUUUUAUGCGUAUUUGAGUUAUAUGGUUGGUUACCAAAUGUUGUUAGGAGUCCCGGAUGAGAUCACGGACGUCACGAGGGUUUCCAGAAUGGUCCGGAAACGAAGAUUGAUAUAUAGGAUGACCUCAUUUGAUUACCGGAAGGUUUUCGAAGUUACCGGGAAUGACGAAUGGGUUCCAGGAGUUCAUCGGGGGGGCAACCCACCCCGGGGAAGCCCAUAGGCCUUGAGGGUGGCACACCAGCCCUUAGUGGGCUGGUGGGACAGCCCAAGAAGGCCCUAUGCGCCAUAGGAAGAAAAUCAAAGAGAAAAGAAAAAAAGGAGGAGGUGGGAAAGGAAAGAAGGACUCCACCCACCAAACCAAGUAGGACUCGGUUUGUGGGGGGAGACCUUCCCCCCUUGGCUCGGCCGACCCCCUUGGGGCUCCUUGAGACCCAAGGCAAGGCUCCCCCUCUCCCACCUAUAUAUACGGAGGUUUUAGGGCUGAUUUGAGACGACUUUUCCACGGCAGCCCGACCACAUACCUCCACGGUUUUUCCUCUAGAUCGCGUUUCUGCGGUGCUCGGGCGGAGCCCUGUUGAGACAAGAUCAUCACCAACCUUCGGAGCGCCGUCACGCUGCCGGAGAACUCUUCUACCUCUCCAUCUCUCUUGCUGGAUCAAGAAGGCUGAGAUCAUCGUCGAGCUGUACGUGUGCUGAACGCGGAGGUGCCGUCCGUUCGGCACUAGAUCGUGGGCCUGAUCGCGGGACGGUUCGCGGGGAGGAUCGAGGGACGUGAGGACGUUCCACUACAUCAACCGCGUUCACUAACGCUUCUGUUGUACGGUCUACAAGGGUACGUAGAUCACACAUCCCCUCUCGUAGAUGGACAUCACCAUGAUAGGUCUUCGUGCGCGUAGGAAAUUUUUUGUUUCCCAUGCGACGUUCCCCAACAGUGGCAUCAUGAGCUAGGUUCAUGCGUAGAUGUCUUCUCGAGUAGAACACAAAAGUUUUUGUGGGUGGUGAUGUGCGUUUUGCUGCCCUCCUUAGUCUUUUCUUGAUUCCGCGGUAUUGUUGGAUUGAAGCGGCUUGGACCGACAUUACUCGUACGUUUACGAGAGACUGGUUUCAUCGCUACGAGUAACCCCGUUGCUCAAAGAUGACUGGCAAGUGUCAAGUUUCUCCAACUUUAGUUGAAUCGGAUUUGACCGAGGAGGUCCUUGGAUGAGGUUAAAUAGCAACUCAUAUAUCUUCGUUGUGGUGUUUGCGUAAGUAAGAUGCGAUCCUACUAGAUACCCAUGGUCACCACGUAAAACAUGCAACAACAAAAUUAGAGGUCGUCUAACUUGUUUUUGCAGGGUAUGCUUGUGAUGUGAUAUGGCCAACCAUGUGAUGUGAUAUAUUGGAUGUAUGAGAUGAUCAUGUUGUAAUAGAUAAUAUCGACUUGCACGUCGAUGGUACGACAACCGGCAGGAGCCAUAGGGUUGUCUUUAUACUAAUGUUUGUGCUUGCAGAUGCGUUUACUAUUUUGCUAGGAUGUAGCUUUAGUAGUAAUAGCAUGAGUAGCACGACAACCUCGAUGGCAACACGUUGAUGGAGAUCAUGGUGUGGCGUCGGUGACAAGAAGAUCGUGCCGGUGCUUUUGGUGAUGGAGAUCAAGAAGCACAUGAUGAUGGCCAUAUCAUGUCACUUAUGAAUUGCAUGUGAUGUUAAUCAUUUUAUGCACCUUAUUUUGCUUAGAACGACGGUAGCAUUAUGAGGUGAUCUCUCACUAAAAUUUCAAGACGAAAUUGUGUUCUCCCCGACUGUGCACCGUUGCUACAGUUCGUCGUUUUGAGACACCACGUGAUGAUCGGGUGUGAUAGACUCAACGUUCACAUACAACGGGUGCAAAACAGUUGCGCACGCGGAACACUCGGGUUAAGCUUGACGAGCCUAGCAAGUGCAGACAUGGCCUCGGAACACAUGAGACCGAAAGGUCGAUCAUGAAUCAUAUAGAUGAUAUGAUUAGUAUAGGGAUGCUUACCACUGAAACUAUACUCAACUCACGUGAUGAUCGGACUUGAGCUAGUGUAAGUGGAUCAUGAACCACUCAAAUGACUAGAGAGAUGUACUUUUUGAGUGGGAGUUUAGCGAAUAAUUUGAUUAAGUUAAACUCUAAUUAUCUUGAACAUAGUCUAAGUCCACUUUGAAUAUAUUUGUGUUGUAGAUCAUGGCUCACGCGACAGUCACCCUAAAUUUUAAUACAUUCCUAGAGAAAGCUAAGUUGAAAGAUGAUGGAAGCAACUUUGUAGACUGGGCUCGUAAUCUCAAGCUAAUCUUACAAGCUGGGAAGAAGGAUUAUGUCCUUAAUGCUGCGCUAGGAGAUGAACCACCCGCUACGGCUGAUCAGGAUGUUAAGAACGCUUGGUUAGCACGUAAGGAGGACUACUCAGUAGUUCAAUGUGCAGUCUUGUAUGGCUUAGAACCGGGACUUCAACGUCGCUUUGAGCAUCAUGGAGCAUUCGAGAUGUUCCAGGAGUUGAAGUUUAUCUUUCAGAAGAACGCCCGGAUCGAGAGGUAUGAGACCUCCGAUAAAUUCUAUGCUUGCAAGAUGGAGGAGAACUCGUGUGUCAGUGAACAUGUGCUCAAAAUGUCUGGGUACUCAAACCGUCUAGCUGAGCUGGGGAUUGAACUCCCGCAAGAGGCUAUCACUGACAGAAUCCUUCAAUCACUGCCGCCAAGCUAUAAAGGCUUUGUGUUGAACUACAACAUGCAAGGGAUGAACAUGUCUCCCGGCGAGUUGUUUGCGAUGCUGAAAGUCGCAGAGUCUGAACUCCGUAAAGAGCAUCAAGUGUUGAUGGUGAAUAAGACCACUAGUUUCAAGAGAAACGGCAAAGGCAAGAAGGGUAAUUCAAAGAAGAGCGGCAAGCCUGUUGCCAAUCCGACGAAGAAACCCAAAGCUGGACCUAAGCCUGAAACAGAGUGUUACUAUUGCAAGGGUAUGGGUCACUCGAAGCGGAAUUGCCCCUAGUAUCUGGCAGAUAAGAAGGCGGCCAAAGAAAAAUCAGGUAUAUUUGAUAUACAUGUUAUUGAUGUGUACUUAACCGGCUCUCGUAGUAGUGCCUGGGUAUUCGAUACCGGUUCUUUUGCUCAUAUUUGCAACUCGAAACAGGAACCAUGGAAUAGACGAAGGCUGGCGAAAGAUGAAGUGACGAUGCGCGUAGGAAAUGGUUCCAAGGUUGAUGCAAUCGCCGUCGGCACAGUUUCACUUCAGUUACCAUCAGGAUUAGUUAUGAACUUGAAUCAUUGUUAUUUAGUGCCUGCGUUGAGCAUGAACAUUAUAUCUGGAUCUUGUUUAUUAUGAGACGGUUACUCUUUUAAGUCAGAGAAUAAUGGUUGUUCUAUUUCUAUGAGUAACAUCUUUUAUGGUCAUGCACCCAAUGUGAGAGGAUUGUUCAUAUUGAAUCUUGAUAGCGAUACACACAUACAUAACAUUGAGACCAAAAGAGUUAGAGUUAACAAUGAUAGCGCCAUAUUAUUGUGGCACUACCGCUUAGGUCAUAUUGGUGUAAAGCGCAUGAAGAAACUCCAUGCCGAUGGACUUUUGGAGUCACUUGACUUUGAUUCACUUGACACGUGCGAACCAUGCCUCAUGGGCAAGAUGACUAAAACUCCGUUCUCCGGAACAAUGGAGCGUGCAAGUGACUUGUUGGAAAUCAUACAUACCGAUGUGUGUGGUCCGAUGAGCGUAGAGGCACGCGGCGGAUAUCGUUAUUUUCUCACCUUCACUGACGAUUUGAGUAGAUAUGGUUAUGUCUACUUAAUGAAGCACAAGUCUGAAACAUUUGAAAAGUUCAAGCAAUUUCAGAGUGAAGUUGAAAAUCAUCGUAACAAGAAGAUCAAGUUCCUACGGUCUGAUCGUGGGGGUGAAUAUCUGAGUUUCGAGUUUGGUGCUCACUUAAGACAAUGUGGAAUUGUUUCACAGUUGACACCGCCUGGAACACCACAGCGUAAUGGUGUGUCCGAACGUCGUAAUCGUACUUUAUUAGAGAUGGUGCGAUCUAUGAUGUCUCUUACCGAUUUGCCGUUAUCGUUUUGGGGUUAUGCAUUAGAAACAGCUGCAUUCACUUUAAAUAGGGCACCAUCAAAAUCCGUUGAGACGACACCAUACGAACUGUGGUAUGGCAAAAGGCCAAAGUUGUCGUUUCUUAAAGUUUGGGGAUGUGAUGCUUAUGUCAAAAAGCUUCAGCCUGAAAAGCUGGAACCCAAAGCGGAAAGGUGCGUCUUCAUAGGUUACCCAAAAGAGACAAUUGGGUACACCUUCUAUCUCAAAUCCGAGGGCAAAGUGUUUGUUGCUAAAAUCGGAGCUUUUCUCGAGAAGGAGUUUCUCUUGAGAGAAUUGAGUGGGAGGAAGAUAGAACUUGACGAGGUUGUCGAACCUCUCAUCCCUCUGGAUGGUGGCGCAGGGCAAGGGGAAACCUCUGUCGUUGCGAUGCCGGUUGAGGAGGAAGUUAAUGAUAAUGAUCAUGAAACUCCGGUUCAAGUUUCUGUCGAACCACGCAGGUCGACGAGACCACGUGCUGCUCCAGAGUGGUAUGGUAAUCCCGUCUUAUCAAUCAUGUUGUUGGACAACAAUGAACCUGCAAAUUAUGAAGAAACAAUGGUGGGCCCAGAUUCAAACAAAUGGCUAGAAGCCAUGAAGUCCGAGAUAGGGUCCAUGUAUGAGAACAAAGUGUGGACUUUGGAGGUACUGCCUGAGGGCCGCAAGGCUAUUCAGAACAAAUGGAUCUUUAAGAGGAAGACGGACGCUGACGGCAAUGUGACCGUUUAUAAAGCUCGACUUGUGGCAAAGGGUUUUUCACAAGUUCAAGGAGUUGACUACGAUGAGACAUUCUCACCCGUAGCGAUGCUUAAGUCCGUCAGAAUCAUGUUAGCAAUAGCUGCAUUUUUCGAUUAUGAAAUCUGGCAGAUGGAUGUCAAAACGGCGUUCCUUAACGGUUUCCUUAAGGAAGAAUUGUAUAUGAUGCAACCCGAAGGUUUUGUCGAUCCUAAGAAUGCUAACAAGGUUUGCAAGCUCCAGCGAUCCAUUUAUGGACUGGUGCAAGCAUCUCGGAGUUGGAACAAACGCUUUGAUGAGGUGAUCAAAGCUUUUGGGUUUAUACAAGUGGUUGGAGAAUCUUGUAUUUACAAGAAAGUGAGUGGGAGCUCUGUGGCGUUUCUAAUAUUAUAUGUGGAUGACAUAUUACUGAUUGGAAACAACGUAGAGUUUUUGGAGAGCAUAAAGGAUUACUUGAAUAAAAGUUUCUCUAUGAAGGACCUAGGAGAAGCUGCUUACAUUCUAGGCAUUAAGAUCUAUAGGGAUAGAUCAAAACGCCUGAUAGGACUUUCACAAAGCACAUACCUUGAUAAAGUUUUGAAGAGGUUCAAAAUGGAACAGUCCAAGAAAGGGUUCUUGCCAGUUUUACAAGGUACGAGAUUGAGUAAGACUCAGUGCCUAGCAACUGAUGAGGAUAGAGAGCAUAUGCGCGCCGUCCCCUAUGCUUCAGCCAUAGGUUCUAUCAUGUAUGCAAUGAUGUGCACUAGACCGGACGUUAGCCUGGCCAUAAGUAUGGCAGGUAGGUUCUAGAGUAAUCCAGGAGUGGAUCACUGGACGGCGGUCAAGAAUAUCCUGAAGUACCUGAAAAGGACUAAGGAGAUGUUUCUCGUGUAUGGAGGUGACGAAGAGCUCGCCGUAAAAGGUUACGUCGAUGCAAGCUUUGACACAGAUCCGGACGACUCUAAGUCGCAAACCGGAUACGUAUUUAUUCUUAAUGGGGGUGCGGUAAGCUGGUGCAGUUCCAAGCAAAGCGUCGUAGCAGAUUCUACAUGUGAAGCGGAGUACAUGGCUGCCUCGGAGGCGGCUAAGGAGGGUGUCUGGAUGAAGCAAUUCAUGACGGAUCUUGGAGUGGUGCCAAGCGCACUGAAUCCAAUAACCUUGUUAUGUGACAACACGGGUGCCAUUGCCUUAGCUAAGGAACCACGGUUUCACAAGAAGUCCAGACACAUCAAACGACGCUUCAACCUCAUCCGCGAGUACGCUGAAGGGGAGGACGUAAAUAUAUGCAAAGUGCACACGGAUCUGAAUGUAGCAGACCUGCUGACUAAACCUCUUCCACGGGCAAAGCAUGAUCAUUACCAGAACUGUAUGGGUGUUAGAUUUAUUACAAUGUAAUUCGCAUGAUGAUGUGAGGGCUAGAUUAUUGACUCUAGUGCAAGUGGGAGACUGUUGGAAUUAUGCCCUAGAGGCAAUAAUAAAUAUAGUUAUUAUUAUAAUUCGUGUAUCAAUAUAAUCGUUUAUUAUCCAUGCUAUAAUUGUAUUGAAUGAAGACUCAUUUACAUGUGUGGAUACAUAGACAAAACACUGUCCCUAGCAAGCCUCUAGUUGGCUAGGCAGUUGAUCAAAGAUAGUCAGUGUCUUCUGAUUAUGAAAAAAGUGUUGUUGCUUGAUAACUGGAUCACGUCAUUAGGAGAAUCACGUGAUGGAUUAGACCCGAACUAAUAGACGUAGCAUGUUGAUCGUGUCAUUUUGUUGCUACUGUUUUUCUGCGUGUCAAGUAUUUGUUCCUAUGACCAUGAGAUCAUAUAACUCACUAACACCGGAGGAAUACUUUGUGUGUAUCAAACGUCACAACGUAACUGGGUGACUAUAAAGAUGCUCUACACGUAUCUCCGAAGGUGUUCGUUGAGUUAGUAUGGAUCAAGACUGGGAUUUGUCACUCCGUGUGACGGAGAGGUAUCUCGGGGCCCACUCGGUAAUACAACAUCACACACAAGCCUUGCAAGCAAUGUAACUUAGUGUAAGUUGCGGGAUCUUGUAUUACGAAACGAGUAAAGAGACUUGCCGGUAAACGAGAUUGAAAUAGGUAUGCGGAUACUGACGAUCGAAUCUCGGGCAAGUAACAUACUGAAGCACAAAGGGAAUGACAUACGGGAUUAUAUGAAUCCUUGGCACUGAGGUUCAAACGAUAAGAUCUUCAUAGAAUAUGUAGGAUCCAAUAUGGGCAUCCAGGUCCCACUAUUGGAUAUUGACCGAGGAGUCUCUCGGGUCAUGUCUACAUAGUUCUCGAAUCCGCAGGGUCUGCACACUUGAGGUUCGACGUUGUUUUAUGCGUAUUUGAGUUAUAUGGUUGGUUACCGAAUGUUGUUAGGAGUCCCGGAUGAGAUCACGGACGUCACAAGGAUUUCCGGAAUGGUCCGAAAACGAAGAUUGAUAUAUAGGAUGACCUCAUUUGAUUACCGGAAGGUUUUCGGAGUUACCGGGAAUGUACCAGGAAUGACGAAUGGGUUCCGGGAGUUCACCGGGGGGGGGGGGGCAACCCACCCCGGGGAAGCCCAUAGGCCUUGGGGGUGGCACACCAGCCCUUAAUGGGAUGGUGGGACAGCCCAAGAAGGCCCUAUGCGCCAUAGGAAGAAAAUCUAAGAGAAAAGAAAAAAAGGAGGAGGUGGGAAAGGAAAGAAGGACUUCACCCACCAAACCAAGUAGGACUCGGUUUGGGGGGGGAGACCUUCCCCCCUUGGCUCGGCUGACCCCCUUGGGGCUCCUUGAGCCCCAAGGCAAGGCUCCCCCUCUCCCACCUAUAUAUACGGAGGUUUUAGGGCUGAUUUGAGACGACUUUUCCACGGCAGCCCGACCACAUACCUCCACGGUUUUUCCUCUAGAUCGCGUUUCUGCGGAGCUUGGGCGGAGCCCUUUUGAGACAAGAUCAUCACCAACCUCUGGAGCGCCGUCACGCUGCCAGAGAACUCUUCUACCUCUCCGUCUCUCUUGCUGGAUCAAGAAGGCCGAGAUCAUCGUCGAGCUGUACGUGUGCUGAACGCGGAGGUGCCGUCCGUUCGGCACUAGAUCGUGGGACUGAUCGCGGGAUGGUUCGCGGGGCGGAUUGAGGGACGUGAGGACGUCCCACUACAUCAACCGUGUUCACUAACGCUUCUGCUGUAUGGUCUACAAGGGUACGUAGAUCACACAUCCCCUCUCAUAGAUGGACAUCACCAUGAUAGGUCUUCGUGCGCGUAGGAAUUUUUUUGUUUCCCAUGCGACGUUCCCCAACACCAAGAUGGGCCACGAGGUGCCCACUAGACAUCAACCGAUGCGAGGGGGCUCGCGCGGCCUCAUGUCUAGUGGGCACCAAGGGCCCCCUCUGGUGGUUCUUUGCUCCAGUAUUUCUCUUUUCUUCCAAAAAAUGUCAAAAAGUUUCGUCCAAUUCCGAAAACUUUUAUUUCUGCACAAAAAACAACACCACAGUAGUUCUGCUGAAAACAACGUCAUUACGGGUUAGUUCCAAAUAAAUCAUAUAAAGUGCAGCAAAACCAUAAAAAAAUAUUGUAAACAUAGCCAACAUGACAUGAAUACUUCACAAAUUAUCGAUACGUUGGAGAUGUAUCAGCAUCCCCAAGCUUAAUUCCUCCUCGUUCUCGAGUAGGUAAAUGAUAAAAGAAAUAAUUUAUGAAGUGUGAAUGCUAGCAUAGUACAUAAGUUUGAUCAAUGAUAAUUUCAACCACUUUUCCUAGCAUCAUAACAACAACUCUUUCUCAUAAAACUCAUCAUGAUAAAUUACCAACCAAUUCACAUGUUAUGGUUCAAACAAUGGACUCUCUUGAAACUUAACAACCUAUGUUCUUACUCACCAAACAAUUGCAAUUCAACUUAUUCUCAACAAAGUCUAAGUAAGAGCUCCACAUACUCAAUCAUCAUAUAGUCUUCUAUGAUUGCUAGUACUCAAAGCAUAUUUUUAGAAUAAAUGGCAUCCAUCAAACACAGAGAAAGAUAGGGAUAAUUGUCAACAACAAUAAGUCAUGAUCAAAUAUAUUUGACUGUCCAUAUGUGCAUAGAUCUUUUCCCACCACAUGAUGCUUGCCAACUGUAUAGUAAUUGAGGUUGAAAUGAGAAUGCAUACUAUUGACUCUUGCAUAAAAGUAAAUACUGAAAGGAAAAAAGAUAGGCCCUUCGCACAGGGAAGCAGAGCUUGGCAUGCGCUUUUUGGUUUUGUAUGCACAAUCCCUUAAUGCAAAAGAACAUCACCUUAUAUUGCCCCUCAUGAUAGCAACCUUUAUUAUACAGUCUAUCGCUUUUAUUACUUUGCCAUCACAAGUUUGUGCAACGCUCGUUUUUCUCUUACACUAAAUGAUCAAACACAUUUAGAAGCAAGUUUUAUUGCCUUUUUGCACCGAUGAAAGCAUACUUGAAGGAUCUUAUUCAAUCCAUAGGUAGGUAUGGUGAACACUCAUGGCAAGAAACUGGGUUUAAGGAUGCAGAAGUACUAUCUCUACUUAGUACGAAUUUUUGGCUAGCAAAAGAUCCUAAGCAAACACCACAUGUUGGAGGAUCCAUAACAAUAUAACUUCUAUGCAAAUAUACCCAACCAUAACUCAUUAAAUUGUCUUCCUUGUCCAACUUAAACUAAUUUUCUCAAGUUUGAAAAUAAUUAAUGGGUAUUCACAAUCAUAGAAGAUGUCCAAGAUAAUAUAUUUAUAUGUAAAAGUUCUCUUCCUUAUAUCAAUCAUUCAUGAAUUGCUUGUAUGACCAAUAUUGUGAUUGUCAAGCUUCAAAAGAUUUCACUUUCUAAACACAAUGUGAAGCUACUACUAGGCAUGAAAUGAACAUAUAAUUUCCACCUCAUGGUAUUCAAUUCAUUCAAUAAUUUAUGCAUAUAAUAUAAGUGAAGCACAAGAGCAAACAAUCAAAAUACUCUCAAAAGAUAUAAGUGAAGAUCAAUGAGUGGUUAAACAAUCAAGUAGCUAUUUGAGGACUCUCUCUCAAUAAAGAUUUUCAUAUCUGAUAAUUUUAUUCAAACAACAAACUAAAAAAAUGCAUUCCAAGAAUAUCACAUAUCAUGUGGAAAAAUAAAAAUUUAGGCUCAACAUAGGCUAAUCGAUAGUUGUUGAUGAAGAGAGGUGGGAUGCAUAGCAUCCCCAAGCUUACAUGCUUGAUACUUCUUGAAAUAUUUACUUGGGGUGCCUUGGGAAUCCCGAAGCUUGAUAUCUUGUAUCUCGUUCAAUCCUCUCAUAUCCCGGUUUCUCCUAAGUCUCAAAAACUUCAUCCACACAAAACUUGAAAAGAACUCGUGAGAUAGGUUAGUGCACAUAAGCAUAAAUCAACUAUUUAUGUACUGCCAAGACAAGUUGCAUCAUAAUUUUCAAACAUUAGGUAUUGUAUACUACCAUUUCCAAAAUUUAUAUCUACCAAUAUAAGCUAUGGAAACUAUAGGAUAAGUAGAUAACAAAACUAUGAUAGCAAUCUGUCCAAACAGAACAGUGUGUAGCAAUUUAUAUAAAAACUACACUUUUGUAUCACCCAAAAUUCUGUAAAUUUAGUAAGUAAUAAAUAAUUUGUAUGAAAGUACUGUGUAUAAAUUUUAGAAACUAUCCAUGUUCCAGUAAAAUAUGAUAAUUCAAAUACUACAGCAAAAGUUUAUGUUUUUGUACAUAACACAUCACACAUGCAAUUCAAGCAUUCUAAAGGCAAUUCUUGGAACUUCUUAUUGAAAAACAAGAUUAUAAAAUAACAGAUAACAGAUAACAACAAAAUAAAAUGACGCUCCAAGAAAAACACAUAUCAUGUUAUGAAUAAAAAUAUAGCUCCAAGUAAGAUAUAUCGAUAACGUUGGAGACGAAAGAGGGGAUGCCUUUCGGGGCAUACCCAAGCUUAAGACGCUUGAGUCUUCCUUGGAUCAUACGUGGUAAAUGAGCUUACCUCUUUGGGACAUUUUCCUCGCUUAAGGGCAACACUCUAUGUUUUACGAGAGUAAAAAGAAGAUCUUCACACUUUAUAGGAAAUACUCAACAUAAAGACAAAUGAAAAACUAUCAUGAUGUAUGCAAAUGUAUGCCUCUGCCAGUGUAGCAGGAUAUGCAAUGAAACUAGCGCGUCAUGUAGCAAUGAUAAGGGCAAGGCCCAACUAGCAUGUGGCUCUACGAUCAAGAAAAAGCAUGUAUCACAUGAAGAUCAAGUCAUGAGAUGAUGUAUGUUGCAUGACAAUGUAUCUCGGAAAGGCUAUGGAAAUGCCUUGAUAGGUAGGUAUCGUGGCUGUUUUGAGGAAAGAUAUAAUGAGGCUUAUGAUGACAGAACAUAUCAUGCCAAAGGGUUUGGAUGCACUGGGUAAGUAUGCACCAACUCUCAAGAUGAGAAAGGGCAAUGCACGGUACCGAAUAGGCGAGCAAAAUAUGGAUGGUGGAAGUGCCAACACUCGAAUACUCACAUUAGUCCGAAGAACUCAUGCACUUAUCAUCGGUAACUCUCUAUCUAGUCAGGAGAUUCACAAAGAGACAAGUACCCCAAGGAGGAGUGUUUGGGGGUUUGGUUAUCCUUGUGCAUCCUCGACCCAUGAUAACGUGAGAGUAGUCUAUAUAUUCCAACCCCUUCAGAGGUUAGCAAUCCAUCUAGUAGCUAGAGUUCUUAACUUUUUUUUUUGUAAAAUACACAUGGAUUUCCCAAAAUACGACACUUAUCACUAAUAGGCUCAAGCUCUUGACACCAAAAGUCCAAACAUUACUCAAAUCAAUACCUCAAAACUAUUGCAAGUUACUACUAUACUUAAAUAGCAACCUCAUUUACCUACUCAUGCAAGACACACAACUCAGUGCAACAAGCCAACUCUCUAAACAAGAUAAGUAUGAUAACUCAAGAGAGUUCCAAAAGCAUCUAAAUAAAAUCUCUUAAAAAGAUAAAGCGUGGAAAGUAAGAGCUAAGCAUGAUAGCAGCUAUGAAAAGAUAAAGAACACACAAAAAGUUAAGCAUGAAAACCUAUGUUGUGUUCUAUGGUGGAGUGGAGCAUGUUUCUCCCCCAAACAAAUAAGGCUAGGGUCCAACUUGUUAUGAACAGCAAGCAAAACUAAAACAAACUAAAAAGUAAAGAGCGGGACGCUCCAAGCAUAGCACAUAACAUAUGAAGUGAUAAAAAUAUAGCAUGGAGAAGGACGAACUGAUGAUUGUUGAUGGAGAAGGGGAUGCACGGGGGCAUCCCCAAGCUUAGACGCUUGAGUCUCCUUGAAUAUUUCUUGGGAGUGCAUGGGGGAAUUCCCAAUCUUGAGCGCUUGACACUCCUGGAUCUUCUUUGAUCAUCUUCCAUCGCAUACUUCAAAACUCCCUUCAAACAAAACUCAUCAUAAGCUGAUUAGAGUGGUUAGUACCCAUAAUAAAAUAUAUUUUCUCCACUGUAAAUAAAGAUUUUCAUGAAGAGCUAUUGUUUCUCAAGAUUGCCAAAAAGUUUUUGCAAAGAAAAAGCAAGCUUAAGAUUUGCAAAACGAUGAAAACGCAAAACGUGGCAGAAUCUGUUAAAAAUAGACCACAGGUAGUAAAUAAUUUUUUUCAGGGCACUUCUGCAACUCAAAUCAAAAAACUGAGAAGAGACGCCAGAAAGACAAUUGAUAGAGAAAAUUUUCAAAAAACUUCAGAUCAAAAAGUUGAUCCUGUGAUUUUUAGUGAAUUUUUCCGUCAAGCAGACAGAAUCUGCUUAUGGACAGCAAGUCACAACUUUUGUACUUUCUUGCAAUCGGAGGCUAAAACUUGGCAUAAAGAUAGGCUUAAGAUUUUAAUGAUGCUCUCGUUGGAAUAAGAGUUGUAGAACAAAAGAGAGCAUUAAGAAACAAAUACCAAACACAUUUAAGUCUAACAUGCUUCCUAUGCAUAGGAAUAUUGCAAUAGAAUAAUUCAUUGAAGCACAAAGCAAUAAGCAUAGGAAGGCAAAACAAGUGCAACUUCAAAAUCUUCGACAUAAAGAGGGGAAAGUUCUUAUUUUUUAGAUAUUUAGAACCAUGUCUCCCCCUAUCAUUAUAAAUUUCAGUGGCAUCAUGGAUGAACUCAACAAUAUAACUAUCACAUAAGGCAUUAUUUCCAUGAUCCAAAAGCAUAAAAGUAUCAUUACUCUUCUUAUAAGCAAAAUAUUUCUUAUUAGAAAUAGUGAGAGUAAAGCAAUCAUUAUCAUCAUGGUAAUCAUCAUAUUUAGGAAGCAUAGUAUCAUCAAAGCAAAUUUUCUCCUCAAAAGUUGGCGGACUAAAAAUAUCAUGUUCAUCAAACCCGUCAUCCCCAAGCUUAGAGCUUUCCAUGUCAUUAGCAAUAUUGAUAUUCAAAGAAAGCAUACUAAUAACAUUACCACCAUCAUAAUUGUUAUGCAAAUAAUAAAGUUCCAUAGCUUUUAAAUUUUCUCCUCAAACACUUCAUGUCUUAGUUCAAGAUAAAGUUUAUAAAGCUCUCUGAUAUUUUUGUUGUUUUCCAUUAAGCCUAAUUAGUGAAAUAAAAACAAGAAACAAAAAUAUUUAAUUGCAAGAUCUAAAUAUAUACCUUCAAGCACUCACUUCCCCGGCAACGGCGCCAGAAAUAGCUUGAUGUCUACGCACGCUUCUAUUCUUGUAGACUAUGUUGGGCCUCCAAGCGCAGAGGUUUGUAGGACAGGAGCAAUUUUCCUCAAGUGGAUGACCUAAGGUUUAUCGAACUCAGGGAAGUAGAGGUUGAAGAUGGUCUCUCUCAAGCAACCCUGCAAUUAAGAAACAAGAAGUCUCUUGUGUCCCCAACACACCUAAUACAAUGGUAAAUUGUAUAGGUGCACUAGUUCAGCGAAGAGAUGGUAAAAUAUGGGUGAUAGGUGUGGCAAAGCAAGGUAAUAUAAAUCUAUAAUAAAAAUUACAACAAGGUAGCAAGUGACAAAAGUGAGCAUAAAUGGUGUAACAAUGGUGAGAAACAAGGCAUAGGCUUCAUACUUUCACUAGUGGCAACUCCCAACAACAUUAACAUAGUCUAAUCACAUGAUAUUUCCACUAAAACAUGCAAUGGAGACGUACUGGCAGGUCAUUCGUUUGUGAUCAAGAGAGGACGAGAAUUGUGUAGGGCUACAAAAGCACACCUCGGAGUUCGUAGUUCUCAUCUAUGGAUUUCCCAAUGUCACCGCGGCCAUCCAAAUAGAGUACCACAAUCACCAGAACGUAUCUCAAGUAUAGUCAAAGACAAGCACCAAGAGACUCUCAAUAUUCAAUCAAUUCACAAAAGAGGAAAUCACUCAUGAAAAUAUUCUUCUAAUCCAUGUCCAAUAGACUGCUGUCACCAUGGUCUCGGGGAUUAUACUAGAUAAGAUCAAGUGAGUACAUCAAUCCAAUACAUAGAAGAAGGGGAAACAUCAUGGGAUCACCCUAGGUUAACAUAGCCUAUGAUCACAAUCAAGAUCACAUCAUGGGAGAGGGAAUUAACCACAUAGCUACUGUCGAAGACCUCGGCCCCGAGGAGGAACUACUCCCGCUUCAUGAAGGGAGGAAGCAACGUCGAUGGAGAUGAAUCCGGGGGCACUUCCCUGUCCCGGCAGGGUGCCGACACAAGAAUUCUUGUCCCCCAAAACUUGUUGGCGAUGGCGGCGGAGAUCGGAAUUGCUGCUGGAGAAAAGGGUUCCCGAAUAAGGGUUUCCUCCACGGGGGUAAAAAUAGGAGCCAAGGUAGGGCACCAAAGGGGGUGGGGCCCACCCAGACAGCCUCCCUGCGCGGCCAGGGGGCAGGCCGCGCCACCAGGGCGCCUGGGGUCCUGGUGACCCCCCUCUAGCCCUCCUUCGGUCGUAUGGAGUCUUCUGGAACGCUGAUUUUUUAUAUAUUUUUGUGGAAUUUUUCGGGCACUGUAAGUAUGGGUAUAAACCAGCAAUUCACAAACAUCAGCACACAGUAACUGGCACUGGGUGCACUGAGUUAGUAGGUUAGUCCGAAUAUGUUGAAAAAGGUAUUAAAGUAUACAAAACACAUAGCAAUUGUUGGAAAUAUGCCCAAGAGGCAAUAAUAAAUUAGUUAUUAUUAUAUUUCCUUGUUCAUAAUAAUCGUUUAUUAUCCAUGCUAAAAUUGUAUUGAUUGGAAACUCAAAUACAUGUGUGGAUACAUAGACAACACACUGUCCCUAGUGAGCCUCUAGUUGACUAGUUCGUUGAUAAAAAAUGGUCAAGGUUUCCUGACCAUAGGCAAGUGUUGUCACUUGAUAACGGAAUCACAUCAUUAGGAGAAUCAUGUCAUGGACAAGAUCCAAACUAUGAAUGUAGCAUAUUGAUCAUGUCCUUUUAUUGCUGUUGUUUUCUGCGUGUCAAGUAUUUGUUCCUAUGACCAUGAGAUCAUAUAACUCACUGGCACCGGAGGAAUACCUUGUGUGCAUCAAACGUCGCAAUGUAAUUGGGUGACUAUAAAGGUGCUCUACAAGUAUCUCCGAAGGUGUCCGUUGAGUUAGUAUGGAUCAAGACUGGGAUUUGUCACUCAGUGUGACGGAGAGGUAUCUCGGGGCCCACUCGGUAAUACAACAACACACACAAAGCCUUGCAAGCAAUGUGACUAAGUGUAAGUCACGACAUCUUGUAUUACAGAACGAGUAAAGAGACUUGCCGGUAACGAGAUUGAAAUAGGUAUGCGGAUACCGACGAUCAAAUCUCGGGCAAGUAACAUACCGAAGGACAAAGGGAAUGACAUACAGGAUUAUAUGAAUCCUUGAUACUGAGGUUCAACCGAUAAGAUCUUCAGAGAAUAUGUAGGAUCCAAUAUGGGCAUCCAGGUCCCGCUAUUGGAUAUUGACCGAGGAGUACCUCGGGGUAUGUCUACAUAGUUCUUGAACCCGCAGGGUCUGCACACUUAAGGUUCGGCGAUGUUUUAGUAUAGUUGAGUUAUAUAUGGUUGGUAACUGAAAGUUGUUCGGGGUCCUGGAUGAGAUCCAGGACGUCACGAGGAGCUCCGGAAUGGUCCGUAGGUAAAGAUUAAUAUAUAGGAAGUCCUCUUUUGGUCACCUGAAAAGUUUCGGGCUCAUCGGUAGUGUACCGGGAGUGCCGGGAGGGGUGUCGGGGACCAUCGGGAGGGGUCUCAUGGGCUAUGAGAAGAGAUAAACCAGCCCCUAUUGGAUUGGAAUAAGUUCCCACUAAGGCCCAUAAGGUUUGAGAAGGAAAAAACACAAGGUGGAAAGAGUUUCCAAGUGGGAAGGUGGAAUCCUACUCCAAGUAGGAUUGGAGUAGGACUCCUCCACCCUCCAAUUUCGGCCAAACCUUGAGGUUUUGAGGCUGCCUCCUCCCCUCCCUCCCUCCUAUAUAUAGUGGUGAUUUAGGGCUGAUUUGAGACAACUUUUUGCCAUGUGCAACUCAGAUCUAGACACCAUAGUUCUUCCUCUAGAUCGUAUUUCUACGGAGCUCGGGCGGAGCCCUACAGGAGUAGAUCCUCACCACCAUCGGAGCACCGUCACGCUGCCGGAGAACUCAUCUACUUCCCCGUCUUUCUUGCUGGAUCAAGAAGGCCGAGAUCAUCGUCGAGCUGUACGUGUGCUGAACGCGGAGGUGUCGUCCGUUCGGCACUAGAUCGGAACGGAUCGUGAGACGGAUCGCAAGACAGUUUGUGCAACAGAUCGCAAGACGGUUUGUGGGACGGAUCGCGGGACGGUUCAUGGGACGGAUCGUGGGAUGGUUCGUGGGGUUGAUCGAGGGACAUGAAGACGUUCCACUACAUCAACCGCGUUUCUUAACGCUUCCUUCUGUGCGAUCUACAAGGGUACGUAGAUCCAAAUCUCCUCUCAUAGAUGGACAUCACCAUGAUAGGUCUUCGUGUGCGUAGGAAAUUUUUUGUUUCCCAUGCAACGUUCCCCAACAGCAAUACCACCCAAAACUUGCAUGGAGCAAGCAGAAAUUAUAGAUACGUUUGGGACGUAUCAAAGAGCCACCGUCGGAGAUGGACUUGUGCAUGUGCGAGAAGUUUCUGCUCCAGGAUUCAUCCUCUUCGGAUGACUUGGAUGUUGAGAGGAUGCUUCUCACAUUUCCCCAGUAGAGCUUGUUGGGGAACGUUGCAUGGGAAACAAAAAAAUUCCUACGCACACGCAAGACCUAUCCAUGGUUAUGAUCAUCUAUGAGAGGGGAGAUCGGAUCCACAUACCCUUGUAGAUCGCUAAGCGGGAAGCAUUAAGAAAUGCGGUUGAUGUAGUCGAACGUCUUUGCGAUCCAAAUCGCAAGCCGUCCCAUGAACUCCGCCCGAUCUAGCGCCGACCGGACGACACCUACGCAUUCAGCACACGUGCAACUCGAUGACGAUCUCCGCCUUCUUGAUCCAGCAAGAGAGACGAAGAGGUAGCUGAAUUCUCCUACAACAUGAGGCGUGGCGGUGAUAGUGAUGGAGCUACUCCGGCAGGGCUUCUUCGUACCAUACCGAACUAGCUACGAGGUGUCACGAAGUGGUGGAGGGAGAGAGGGCUGCACCUUGGCUUGAGGUGCCAAAAGCCUAUCUCACCUCCACCAUAUAUAGGUGGGAGGGAGGGGUGGCACCCUAGGGACAAAGCCCUAGGGUUCGGUCGGCGCAAGAAAGGAGGAGGAGUCGUCCUCCAAUAUGAUUUGGAAGGAAGACUCCCUUCCCCAAUUUGGUUUGCCCCUCCUCUCCUUUCCUUUCUUCUCUUGGUCAAAUAGGCCUCCUUGGGUUGUCCACUAGCCCACUAGGGGAUGGUGCACCACCCUUGGGCCUCUUUGGUUCCCUCCCGGGUGGGUGGCCCCUCCCGGUGGAACUCCGGAAUCCAUUCGUCACUUCCGGUACUUUACUCGUAAUGCCCGAAAAUCUUCCGGAAGCCAAAUGGAUACUUCCUAUAUAUCAAUAUUUGUCCCUGGACCAUUCCGAAAACCCUCGUGACGUCCCGGAUCUUAUCCGGGACUCCGAACAACAUUCGGUUACCAACAUCAAUAAUUCAACUAUACCGAAACGUCAUUGAACCUUAAGUGUGCAGACCCUGCGGGUUCAAGAACUAUGUAGACAUGACCGAGACACUCUCCGUUCAAUAUCCAAUAGCGGGACCUUGACGUCCAUAUUGGAUCCUACAUAUCCUACGAAGAUCUUAUAGGUUGAACCUCUAUGUCAAGGAUUCAGUUAAUCCCGUAUGACAUUCCCUUUGUCCUUCAAUAUGUUACUUGCCCGAGAUUUGAUCGUAGGCAUCUCUAUACCUAUUUCAAUCUCGUUACCGGCAAGUCUCUUUACUCAUUCCGUAAUAUAAAAUCUCAUGGCUAACUCUUUAGUCACAUUGCUUGCAAGGCAUUGUUUGUGAUGUUGUAUUACCGAGUGGGCCUCGAGAUACCUCUCUGUCAUACGGAGUGACAAAUCCCAGUCUUGAUCCAUGCUAACUCAAUGGACACCUUUGGAGAUACGUGCAGAGCACCUUUAUAGUCACCCAGUUAUGCUGCGACAUUUGAUACACACAUGGCAUUCCUCCGAUGUCAGUGAGUUACAUGAUCUCAUGGUCAUAGGAAUGUAUACUUGAGAUGCAAAAAACAAUAGCAAUAAAAUAACACGAUCAGAUGCUACGUUCAUAGUUUGGGUCUUGUCCAUCACAUCAUUCUCCUAAUGAUGUGAUCCUAUUAUCAAGUGAAAACACUUGUCUAUGGCUAGGAAACCUUAACCAUCUUUGAUCAACGAGCUAGUCAACUAGAGGCUUACUAGGGACAAUGUUUUGUCUAUGUAUACACACAUGGAUUUGUGUUUCCAUUCAAUACAAUUAUAGCAUGGAUAAUAAACGAUUAUCUUGAAACAGGAAAUAUAAGAAUAACUAUUUUAUUAUUGCCUCUAGGGCAUGUUUCGAGCAGUCUCCCACUUGCAUUAGAGUCAAUAAUCUAGCUUCACAUCACUAUGUGAUUUACAACGUAACGAAUCUAAUACCCAUUGGGUUGUUGUGUUGAUCAUGUUUUGCUCGUGGAAGAGGCUUAGUCAAUGGGUGUGCAACAUUCAGAUCCGUGUGUACUUUGCAAAUAUUUAUGUCCUCCUCCUUGAUGUAAUCGCGGAUGGCAUUGAAGCAUCGCUUUAUGUGUAUGGUCCUCUUGUGAAACCUUGGUUCCUUGGCUAGAGCAAUGGCACCACUGUUGUCACAGAACAGAUUUAUUGGAUCCAGUGCACUCGGCAUAACCCCAAGAUCUGUCAUGAACUGCUUCAUCUAGAUACCCUCUUUAGCCACCUCCGAGGCAGUUAUGUACUCCGCUUUGCAUGUAGAAUCAGCUACGACGCUUUUCUUGGAACUGCACCAGCUUCCGCACCUCCAUUAAGAAUAAAUACGUAUCCGGUUUGUGACUUAGUGUCAUCCAGUUCAGUGUCGAAGAUUGCAUCAAUGUAACCCUUUACAAUGAGCUCUUCGUCACCUCCAUAAACGAGAAACAUUUCCUUAGUCCUUUUCAAGUACUUCAGAAUAUUCUUGACCGCUCUCGAGUGCUCCAUUCCUGGAUUAUUUUGAAACCUUUCCACCAUACUGAUGGCAAGGCUGACAUUAGGUCUUGUGCAUAGCAUUGCAUACAUGAUAGACCCUAUGGCUGAAGCAUAGGGGACGACACUCAUCUUUUCUCUAUCUUCUGCACUCACUGGGCAUUGAGUCUUACUCAACUUUAUAUCUUGUAACACAGGCAAGAACCCUUUCUUGGAUUUUUCCAUUUUGAACUUCUUCAAAAUCUUAUCAAGGUAUGUACUCUGUGAAAGUCCUAUCAAGCGUCUUGAUCUAUCUCUGUAGAUCUUGACGCCUAAUAUGUAAGCAGCUUCUCCCAGGUCCUUCAUUGAAAAACUUUUAUUCAAGUCAUCCUUCACGCUUCCCAAAAGUUCUAUAUUGUUUCCAAUCAGCAAUAUGUCAUCCACAUAUAAUAUUGGAAACACAAUAGAGCUCCCACUCACUUUCUUGUAAAUACAAGCUUCUCCAAAAACUUGUAUAAACCCAAACGCCUUGAUCACCUCAUCAAAGUGUUGAUUCCAACUCCGAGAUGCUUGCACCAGUACAUAAAUGGAUCGCUGGACUUUGCAUACUUUGUCAGCAUUUUCUGGAUCGACAAAACCUUGUGGUUGCAUCAUAUACAAAUCUUCCUUAAGAAACCCGUUAAGGAACGCUUUUUUGACAUCCAUCUCCCAAAUUUCAUGAUCGAAAAAUGCAUCUAUUGCUAACAUGAUUCUGACAGACUUAAGAAUCCCUACGGGUGAGGAAGUCUCAUCAUAGUCAACUCCUUGAACUUGUGAAAAACCCUUUGCCACAACUUGAGCUUUAUAGAUGGUCACAUUAUCGUCCGCGUCCAUCUUCUUAUUAAAGAUCCAUUUGUUCUAGAUGGCCUUUCGCCCUUCCCGUAAUACUUCCAAAGUCCAUACUUUGUUUUCAUACAUAGAUCCUAUCUCAGAUUUCAUGGUGUCUAACCAUUUGUUGGAAUCUGGGACCACCAUUGCUUCUCCAUAGCUCUUAGAUUCAUUGUUGUCUAACAACAUGAUUGAUAAGACAGGAUUCCUGUACCACUCAGGAGCAGUACGUGCCCUUGUGAACCUACGAGGUUCGAUAACAACUUGAUUUUAAGUUUCAUGAUCAUCAUCAUUAGCUUCCUCUUCAACUGGUGUAGCUUUGACAUAAACUUCUUUUUGUCCUGCGCCACCAUCUAGUUGAAGCAAAGGUUCUACAACCUCAUCAAGUUCUAUCUUCCUCCCACUCAAUUAUUUCGAGAUCAACUCUUUCUCAAGAAAUGCUCCGCUUUUAGCGACAAACACUUUGCCUUCGGAUCUGAGAUAGAAGGUGUACCCAACUGUAUCUUUUGGGUAUCCUAUGAAGACGCACUUUUUUGCUACGGGUUCCAACUUUUCACGCAGAAGCUUUUUGACAUAAGUAUCACAUCCCCAAACUUUAAGAAACAACACUUUGGCUUCUUGCCAUACCACAGUUCAUAUGAUGUCGUCUCAACAGAUUUUGAUGGUGCCCUAUUUAAAGUGAAUGCAGUUGUCUCCAAUGCAUAGCCCCAAAACGAUAACGACAAAUCGGUAAGAGACAUCAUAGAACGCACCAUAUCUAAUAAAGUACGAUUACGACGUUCGUACACACCAUUACGCUGUGGUGUUCCAGGCGGUGUCAACUGUGAAAAAAUUCCACAUUGUCUUAAGUGAGCACCAAACUCGUAACUCAAAUACUCACCUCCUCGAUCAGAUCGUAGGAAUUUGAUCUUCUUGUUACGAUGAUUUUCAACUUCACUCUGAAAUUGCUUGAACUUUUCAAACAUUUCAGACUUGUGCUUCAUCAAGUAAAUACAACCAUAUCUACUCAAAUCAUCAGUGAAUGUGAGAAAAUAACAAUAUCCACCGCGCGCCUCUAUGCUCAUUUGUCCGCACACAUUGAUACGUCACAAACGUAUCUAUAAUUUCUACUUGUUCCAUGAUCUUUUGGGUGACAUUGUUAUAUGUUUUGCUACACUUUUAUAUCAUUUUACACCUAUUUGGACUAACCUACUAACUCAGUGCACCAAGUGUUAGUUUCUGUCUGCUAAUGUCUAUUUUGCAAGGGCUUUUACCCAAUUUUCUGAAGCCCGAAAAAUUCCAGGAAAAAUAUAUAAAAAAUUAGUGAAACAGAAUCUUUCGGAUCACCGAAGAUGGGCCAGAGGGGGCCAGGGGCUGCCUAGGCGACCUGCUGGCGCGACAAGGCCCUAGGCCGCGCUAGGAGGCCGCCUGGGUGGGCCCCACCUCCGGUGCCCUCCUUUGGCCUAUAUUUAGAGUCCCAAGAGGAAACCCUUGGAAAACUUCCAAAAUCGCGAAUUUCUCCAUUGUUCCGCCGCUGCAGCGCUUCUGAGAUCGGGAGCGUCACAAGACCUUUUCCCGGCACCCUGCCGGAGGGAGGGUUGACCUCCGGGAGCUUCUCCACCGCCAUGGACGCUUCUCGGACGUGUCGUGAGUAGUCCUUCUUGGACCAUGGGUCCAUGACCAGUAGCUAUGUGAUGUCUUCUCUUCAAUCUUGGGCUUCAAUGGUUAGUCUUUGUGAGCUGCCAUACAUGAUCAAUGCAUCUAUGUAAUUCUCUUGCUAUUGCUAUGCUCGGUUUGUUGGGAUCCGAUGGAUUAUGAUAUUAUGUUCAAAUUUUUAUGAGUUAUAUAUUUUAUUAUCCUUUUAUAUUAUGUUCCUUAGUGAUUCAUGCAUGUUCUUCGUUGCUAGUUAUUGCUUUGGUCGAGUAGUAGAUUGUAACUCCAAGUGGGAGCAUUAUGCAUGAUUGUGGGUUCAUGCCCCUCGAUGUCUAGCUUGAGUGACAGAAACAUGAGACUAGGGGAUGUGUUGUUGCCACCAGGGAGAAAACAACGGUGCUUGUGACCAUGGUUGCAAGGAUUGUUUACCUUACGUAUAGUUCGUUAAUGCAGUUGUCUGUUGCUUUGAGUUUACACUUUGGAUGGGGCUCGCAACUUUAAUACCGGAGAUAUGUUCUUGAUAGAUAUAUCAAGGUGGAUGAUUAGUAAGUAGAUGCUGAUAAAUAAACGGUCUACUUGUCUUGGCGUACUGCCCAUUACUAUUGAACCUCUAACUAUCAAGUAGCAUAAUUAGCAUUGCGGUGCGUUCAUAAUUCUGUCAAUUGCCCAACUGUGAUUUGUUUACCCACGCAUAGUUGUUUAUCGUCUUUUUGGAGAGAGACGUCACUAGUGAACAUCAUGUGACUCCAGUCCAUAUCAUCAUCAUUGUUUACACCUCCAUCAUUUACCACUUUCACUUACUUUUUCGUUGCAAUCACUAUUACCUUCCCGCUUGUGUUUUGAUCCUUUGCAAACUACAAGGAUGGAGAGAUUGACAACCUCUCUGUACUCAUUUGGAGCAAAGUUAUUUGUUGUGUGUGCAGGUCCACGUUUUCUGCUAGCGCCAGGGUGGGAUACACCUACUUGUUGAUCCUAGGAGUCCUCCUGGUUCGAUAAACCUUACAGUUCCCGUAUGAGGGAAAACUUGCUGCUGACUACAUCUCAACCUUCCACUUGGGGUAACCAACGGGGUGCGAGAAGUAUAUACAUCAUCUCAUCAUCACACAUCAGUAUGUAUGAUCUCCAACAAGUCACUUGCAUGCUCCAUUGUUCCGGAGAACGUAGUCUUAGUCAUCUUGCCCAUGAGGCAUGGUUCACAUGUGUCAAGUGAUUCAAAAUCAAGUGACUCCAAAAGUCCAUCAACAUGGAGUUUCUUCAUGCGUUUUAUACCAAUAUGACCUAAGCGGCAGUGCCACAAAAAGUGGCGCUAUCAUUAUUAACUCUACAUCUUUUGGCCUCAAUGUUAUGUAUAUGAAUGUCAACACUAUCGAGAUUCAACAUGAACAAACCCCUCACAUUGGGUGCACGACGAUAAAAGAUAUUACUCAUAUAAAUAGAACAACCAUUAUUCUUUGACUUAAAUGAGUAACUGUCUCGCAAUAAACAAGAUCCAGAUAUAAUGUUCAUGCUUAACGACACUUAUUUAGGUUCAUCACUAAUAUCGACGGUAAUUGAAGUGAGAGCAUGCCGACGGCGAUCGCAUCAACCUUGGAAACAUUUUCCAUGCACAUUGUCACUUCGUCCUUCGCCAGCCUUCGUUUAUUCCGCAGUUCCUGUUUCAAGUUGCAAAUGUGAGCAACAGAACCGGUAUCAAAUACCGAGGCAUUGCUAUGAGAGCUGGUGAGGUACACAUCAAUAACAUGUAUAUCAAAUAUACCUUAUUUUGCGUUGGUCGCAUUCUUACCGGACAGAUACUUGGGGCAGUUCCGCUUCCAGUGACCAGUCCCCUUGCAAUGAUAACACUCAGUCUCCGGCUUGGGUCCAGCCUUGGGUUUCUUCAUCGGAGGGGCAACAGCUUUGCCACUCUCAUUGGAGUUACCCUUCUUUCCCUUGCCUUUUUUCUUCAAACUAGUGGUCUUAUGACCAUCAACACUUGAUGUUCUUUCUGGAUUUCUGAGUGAGCGACUUUCAACAUCGCAAACAGCUCGACGAGUGACAUAUUCAUCCCUUUCAUGUUAUAGUUCAACACAAAGCUCUUAUAGCUAGGUGGCAGUGAGUGAAGAACUCUGUCAGUGAUAGCCUCUUGUGGGAUAUCAAUCCCCAGCUCAGCUAGACGGUUGGAGUACCCAGACAUUCUGAGCACAUGUUCAGUGACAGACCCGUUCUCGUCCAUUUUGUAAGCAUAGAAUUUAUCGGAGGUCUCAUACCUCUCGAUCCGGGCAUUCUUAUCAAAGAUAAACUUCAACUCCUGGAACAUCUCAUAUGGUCCAUGGCGUUCAAAACAUUUUGAAGUCCCGGUUCUAAGCCAUACAAAACUGCACAUUGAACUAAUGAGUAAUCAUCCUUGCGCGUCUGCCACACGUUCAUAACUUCUCGCAACGCCGGUUGGGGUAGUUCAUCACCUAGCGGUGCAUCAAGGACAUAUUGCUUUUGGGCAGCCGUGGGGAUAAGCCGCAGAUUAAGGGCCCAAUCAACAAAGUUGCUUCCAUCAUCUUUCAACUUAGCUUUCUCUAGGAACGCAUUAAAAUUUAGGGUUGCUACUACGCGAGCCAAUGAUCUACAACAUAAAAUUUUGCAAAGAUUACUUGGACUAUGUUCAAGAUAAUUGAGUUUAGUUAAACAUAUUACCAGUAAACUCCCUCUCAAAUUGAUAUCCCUCUAGUCAUUCGACUGACACAUGAUCCAAAUUCACUAACUCAAGUCCGAUCAUCACGUUAGUUGAGUUAGCUUCAAUGGUGAACAUCUCCAUGUUGAUCAUAUCCACUAUAUGAUUCAUGUUUGACCUUUCGGUCUCUUGUGUUCUGAGGUCAUAUCUUUACAUGCUAGGCUCGUCAAGUUUAACCCGAUUUCUCUGCGUGUGCCACUAUUUUUCACCUGUUGUAUGUGAAUGUAGAGUCUAUCACACCCGAUAAUCACGUGGUGUCUCAAAACGACAAACUGCCGCAACGUUGCACACUCGGGGAGAACACAACUUUAUCUUGAAAUUUUAGUGAGGGAUCACCUUAUAAUGCUACCGUCGUCCUAAGCAAAACAAGGUGCAUAAAAAGGAUUAACAUCACAUGCAAAUCAUAAGUGACAUGAUAUGGCCAUGAACUUGUGCUUCUUGAUCUCCAUCACCAAAGCACCGACAUGAUCUCCAUUGUCACUGGCGCCACACCAUGAUCUCCAUCAUCAUGAUCUCCAUCAUUGUGCUGCCAUAGAGGUUGCCGCACCAUGUAUGUUGUUACUACUAAAGAUACUAACUAGCAAUAAAACAAAGCAUCACCAAGCACAAAAUAAUUAAAGACAACCCUAUGGCUCCUACCGGUUGUCGUAGCAUCGGCGUGCAAGUCGAUAUUUAACUAUUACAACAUGAUCAUCUCAUACAUCAAAUAUAUCAUAUCAUGUCUUUGGCCAUAUCACAUCACAUGCAUACCCCGCAAAAAAAAGUUAGACGUCCUCUAUUUUUUUUGCAUGUUUUACAUUGAACGUCUUUGCGAUCCAAAUCGCAAGCCGUCCCACGAACUCCGUCCCGAUCUAGCACCGAACGGACGACACCUCCACGUUCAGCACACGUGCAGCUCGAUGACGAUCUUUGCCUUCUUUAUCCAGCAAGAGAGACGAAGAGGUACCUGAAUUCUCCGACAACACGAUGACGUGGCGGUGAUGCUGGUGGAGCUACUUCAGCAGAGCUUCGCCAUACCAUACAAAACUAGCUUCGGGGUGUCACGAAGUGGUGGAGGGAGAGAGCGGUGCGCCUUGGCUUGAGGUGCCAAAAGUGUCUCUCACCUCCACUAUAUAUAGGUGGGAGGGAGGGUGGCACCCUAGGGACAAAGCCCUAGGGUUCGGUCGGUGCAAGAGAGGAGGAGGAGUCCUCCAAUACGAUUUGGAAGAAGGACUCCCUUCCCUAAUUCGGUUUGGCCCACCUCUCCUUUCCUUUCUCCUCUUUUCCGAAUAGGCCUCCUUUGGCUGGCCACCAGCCCACCACGGGAUGGUGCGCCACCCUUGGGCCUCUUUGAUUCCCUCUCGGGUGGGUGGCCCCUCCCGGUUGAACUCUGGAACUCAUUCGUCACUCCCGGUACUUUACCGAUAAUGCCCAAAAAUCUCCUGGAAGCCAAAUGGAUACUUCCUAUAAACCUGUAAUAGCCCAAGUGCUUUUCUUUCCCCUUCUCUAAUCCUUUCCUUGUUGGGCAACUAUGUUGAGGCAAUGUUAUGGGUGUGGGGUGAUAACCCACAAGUAUAGGGUAUCAAUUGUAGCCUUUCUCGAUAAGUAAGAGUGUCGAACCCAACGAAGAGCUAAAGGUAGGACAAAUAUUCCCUCAAGUUCUAUCGACCACCGAUACAACUCUACACACACUUUACGUUCGCUUUACCUAGAACAAGUAUGAAACUAGAAAUACUUUGUAGGAGUGAUAGGAUAGGCUUGCAAGAAAGUAAAGAACACGUAAAUAAAACUAGGGGCUGGUUAGAUAAAGAAACAACUACGAGUGUCUAACGAGUGUGGAAAAGUGGUGGUAGGAGUUGCGGAAUUGUCCCUAAGCAAUUUACUACGUUACUAGAUCGAUAGCAAGUAUCAUGUGGGAGAGGCUCUGCUAGCAUGUCAUCCCUUACUUGGAAUUCUAUGCACUUAUGAUUGGAACUAUUAGCAAGCGUCCGCAACUACUAACGUUCAUUAAGGUAAUUAAAACCCAACCAUAGCAAUAAGAUAUAUUGGUCCCCCUUCAAUCCCAUAUGCAUCAAUUUCUAUGCUAGGUUUGAAGCUUCUGUCACUCUAGCCUGCCAAUACAUAGUCCUAGCAACAUACAACUAACCCUAUGGUGUGAUCAGCGCGCGCGAUCAUAUGAUGGGCACCAAAGGACAGCAACAUAACCACAAGCAAAUUAAACCAAUCAUAGCAAUUCAUCAAUCACCGAUAGGACAACGAUAAUCUACUCAGACAUCAUAGGAUAGCAACACAUCAUUGGAUAAUAAUAUGUAGCAUAAAGCACCAUGUUCAAGUAGGGGGUACAACGGGUUGCCGGAGAGUGAACCACUGAAUAUAGAUGAGGGAAGAUGAUGGAGAUGUUGGUGAAGAUGACGGAGGUGUUGGUAUAGAUCGCCGUCACACGAUGAUGUCCUGGGUGGCGUUCCGGCGCCGCCGGGAGAGAGGGGGAGAGAGCCCCCCUCCUUCUUCUUCUUCCUUGACCUCUUCCCUAGAUGGGAGAAGGGUUUCCCCUCUGGUCCAUGUUCUCCAUGGCGGCGGAGGGGCGAGAGCCCCUUCGAGAUUGGAUCUCUCUCUUUGUGUCCUUCUGUUUCUGCGCUCCCAGAAUCUGCAUUUCACCGUUUCUUAAUUUCUCGGAGAUUCGUAACUCCGAUUGGGCUGAAAUUUUAACACGAUUUUCUUCCGGAUAUUAUCUUUCUUGCGGCGAAAGAAUGGCUCCAACCGCCUUAAUGAGUGGCCAAAAGCCUGCCUGCCGCGGGCCCACCCCCUGGCCGCGGCGACAGGGCUUGUGGGAACUCUGUGCAUCGCCUCACAUUGAUUCUUCUUCCCAAAAAUCAUAAAUAUUCCUAAAAAAUUCCCGUAAGUUUUUAUUACGUUUGGACUUCGUUUGGUAUGGAUAUUCUGCGAAACAAAAAACAUGCAACAAACAGGAACUGACAGUGGGCACUGGAUCAAUAUGUUAGUCCCAAAAACAGUAUAAAAAGUUGCCAAAAUUAUAUGAAAGUUGUAGAAUAUUGGCAUGAAACAAUCAAGAACUAUAGAUACGACGGAGACGUAUCAACAUCCCCAAGGUUAAUUCCUGCUCGUCCUCGAGUAGGUAAAUGAUAAAAAAGAUAAUUUUUGAUGUGGAAUGCUACCUAGCAUAAUCUUGAUCAUAUAAUCUAAUCUUGGCAUGAAUACUAAAACACGAGUGAUUCAAAACAAUAGUCUAUCAUUUGACAUAAAGACAAUAAUAUUUCAAGCAUACUAACAAAGCAAACAUGUCUUCUCAAAAUAUCAUGGCCAAAGUGUGACAUCCUCGACUUUUGCUACAGUAGUGAUUGUAAUUAAGCUACUGUGAUCAACCGCUAAUGAUGCCACGUCAUCGAAUUCCCAUCUCUGACCCGCGUGGAUUCGCGUCUGUCCGGAUCGAUGAUUUGAAAGCAAAGGAAAGCACUUUAUCGGUUCAUUACAAGUAUUAAAAGGAUAUAUAUAUAAGGGGGGGGAAGUAUUAAAGAAAUAAUAAUGAUAAAAGAAAGAAAAGAAAACUAGAAAGAAAGGAUUAAUAAAAGAAAGGGAAAAGAGAAAACAAAAUAAAACAAAUCAAAAAAAAAGAAGGGAAACAACCCCCCCGUGGCCCAACUGGGCUCAAGGCCCAGCCGGCCACCUCCCGCGCCCCCUCCCGCCAAACCCUAAUCGCCCUCCUGGGCGCCACCCCCCCACUCGCUACUCCCUCCCUUUCCCACGCCGCCGCCGCCAGCCCCCCCCCCUCGUGGGGGGCCCCACCCCACGCGCCAUCUCCUCCCCCUCUCUCGGCCCCCACCUCACGAGAGCCCCCCCACCCCCGAGAUCCCGUCGCCCCCCUCUGCCCCUCUCGCCUCUCCCUCCCACGUCACCUCCACCUCGCCCCUCUCGCCUCUCCCUCUCACGUCGCCUCCACCUAGCCCCUCUCCCUCCCGCAGAUCCCCGGCGGCCUCCCCCCGGCGGCCACUCCUCCUCCCACCGGCGGCCCCCCUCGGUCCCCCUCAUCACGCCGGCGGCCUCCUCUCCCCACGGCCGCCUCCCUCCACCGACCAUCCUCUCCCGGCGGCCCCCCACCUCUCGGCCUCCACCCCGCCGGCAGGGGCGCCGGCCACCUCGGCCCCCCAUCUCGGCGGCCGGCCCCUUCCGGGAGGUCCAUCUCCGGCGGCCCUCUCUACGGUGGCCGCCCCUCACCGUCGGCGGCUCCAUCUCCGGGGGGCCCUCCUCACCGGCUCCCCCUCGUCGGCACAUCACCACCAUCGGCACCGUCACCGCCUCCACGUCCGUCUCCACCGUCAACUACGUGCGAACUCCGGCUUCACCGGGCCGUCACGUCACCGUCGGUGAGCCCCUCCUCGGGCUCCUCCCACCGUGUCGAUCUCCUCGCCGCCCCGGUUCCGUUCCGGCAAACGGGGAUGAAAAAGAAUAAAUGGUGUAUUAGAUGCGUAUGUAUGUAUGUAUGUAUGUAUGAGAUGUGAUGUAUGUAUUUGUGUAUUUGGAUAUUUAGAGGAAUACGGUAUUUGCACGGAUAGGUAUCUAAUAAAAAUAAAUGAGAAAAUAACCUUAGGCCACUUACCGGUGGGGCCAAUGCACCGCUGUCAAUGACAGGGAGGCCCCACGCGAUGAUUAAAAAUAAUGUUUUUCUUAAAUAAAUAAAUAAAUAGAUAUAUUAGUUAAAAUAAUUAAUUAACAUAAUUAGAGUAUGACACGUGGGUCCCUCGUUGAAUUAAUCUGAUUAAUAAAUAAUUAAUCUUAAUAAAAACUUGUGCCUAUAACGUUCGGGACCCGCUGGUCAGUUGACCGGUCAAAUGUGAUGUCAGCCUGACAUCGCGAUGAUGUCAUAAUAGGAUUUUACUAAAUCUUUUAAAUCUGUUUUUAAUUCUUAAAUAAUUAAUAAAACUUUAAAAAUUAAUAUUAAAUAAUCCGUAAGUCAGAUCGAAAUAAUUUCAACAUGANNNNNNNNNNNNNNNNNNNNNNNNNNNNNNNNNNNNNNNNNNNNNNNNNNNNNNNNNNNNNNNNNNNNNNNNNNNNNNNNNNNNNNNNNNNNNNNNNNNNUGUACCCCCUACUUGAACAUGGUGCUUUAUGCUACAUAUUAUUAUCCAAUUAUGUGUUGCUAUCCUAUGAUGUUUGAGUAGAUUAUCGUUGUCCUAUCGGUGAUUGAUGAAUUGCUAUGAUUGGUUUAAUUUGCUUGUGGUUAUGUUGCUGUCCUUUGGUGCCCAUCAUAUGAUCGCGCGCGUGGAUCACACCAUAGGGUUAGUUGUAUGUUGAUAGGACUAUGUAUUGGCAGGCUAGAGUGACAGAAGCUUCAAACCUAGCAUAGAAAUUGAUGCAUAUGGGAUUGAAGGGGGACCAAUAUAUCUUAUUGCUAUGGUUGGCUUUUACCUUAAUGAACGUUAGUAGUUGCGGACGCUUGCUAAUAGUUCCAAUCAUAAGUGCAUAGAAUUCCAAGUAAGGGAUGACAUGCUAGCACAGGCCUCUCCCACAUGAUACUUGCUAUCGAUCUAGUAACAUAGUCAAUUGCUUAGGGACAAUUCCGCAACUCCUACCACCACUUUUCCACACUCGUUAGACACUCNNNNNNNNNNNNNNNNNNNNNNNNNNNNNNNNNNNNNNNNNNNNNNNNNNNNNNNNNNNNNNNNNNNNNNNNNNNNNNNNNNNNNNNNNNNNNNNNNNNNACCAUCUCCUCUCCAAUCCCUAGUUUAUCUCUUGUAACCAAUCUCGGUCUCACGACUCCGAUUGGUACUUGUAAGGUUGCUAGUAGUGUUGAUUACUCUUUGUAGUUGAUGCUAGUUGGAUUACUUGGUGGAAGAGCUUAUGUUCAGAUCCUUGAUGCUAUUCAUUACACCUCUGAUCAGGAUUAUGAUUAUGCUUUGUGAGUAGUUACUUUUGUUCCUGAGGACAUGGGAUAAGUCAUGCUGAUAAUAGUCAUGUGAAUUUGAUAUUCGUUCGGUGUUUUGAUAUGUUGUAUGUUGUUUUUCCUCUAGUGGUGUUAUGUGAACAUCGACUACAUAACACUUCACCAUAUUUGGGCCUAGAGGAAGGCAUUGAGAAGUAGUAAGUAGAUGAUGGGUUGUUGGAGUGACAGAAGCUUAAACCCGAGUCUAUGCGUUGCUUCGUGAGGGGCUGAUUUGGAUCCACUAGUUUAAUGCUAUGGUUAGACUUUGUCUUAAUNNNNNNNNNNNNNNNNNNNNNNNNNNNNNNNNNNNNNNNNNNNNNNNNNNNNNNNNNNNNNNNNNNNNNNNNNNNNNNNNNNNNNNNNNNNNNNNNNNNNNNNNNNNNNNNNNNNNNNNNNNNNNNNNNNNNNNNNNNNNNNNNNNNNNNNNNNNNNNNNNNNNNNNNNNNNNNNNNNNNNNNNNNNNNNNNNNNNNNNNNNNNNNNNNNNNNNNNNNNNNNNNNNNNNNNNNNNNNNNNNNNNNNNNNNNNNNNNNNNNNNNNNNNNNNNNNNNNNNNNNNNNNNNNNNNNNNNNNNNNNNNNNNNNNNNNNNNNNNNNNNNNNNNNNNNNNNNNNNNGCGAAUCAUAUGAACAUGAUGAAACUAGCAUGACAGAAAUUCUCGUGUGUCCUCGGGAGCGUUUUUCCUCCUAUAAGACUUUGUUCAGGCUUGUCCCUUGCUACAAAAGGGAUUGGGCCACUUGCUGCACCGUUGCUACUACUUGUUACUUGUUACUCUUUGNNNNNNNNNNNNNNNNNNNNNNNNNNNNNNNNNNNNNNNNNNNNNNNNNNNNNNNNNNNNNNNNNNNNNNNNNNNNNNNNNNNNNNNNNNNNNNNNNNNNUUCACACUGCCUACAUGAUUCCUCAAAGGCCAUAGUGUAUGCCGAUUUGACAGUGAAAACACCAGUCAUUGUUGGACCCCAAGCAAGCACAUCAUCGCCUAGCCUUGGUGAAGCUCUAAUUUUCAGAAUUUCAUUAACAUCACAGGGAAGAAAGGCUUCUUGAAGAAGAUUCUCAUUCCAUGAACCGUUAUCUCUAAGGAGUUGGGAGACCCACCGGUACUUGCAAGACCCUUGCACCGAAUUGGCAUAUAUAUAUGAGAAGGGCCUGGGUAUCCAUGGAUCACGCCAAAUACGGAUGUUAUAUCCAUUGCCCACUCUCCAUAUCAAACCUUUCUUGAGUAGAUCGAGGCCAUGACUGAUAGCAGUCCAAGUUGAGGAAGCACUACCCGAGAAGAUUGUGUCCUCUAGUCUGCCAUUAGGAUAGUACUUGCACUACAACAACCUUGCACACAGACUAUCAGGUCUUGUUAAAAGUCGCUAGGCUUGACGAACGAGAAGGGCUUGGUUGAAAAUGCGAAAAUCAUGGAAGCCUGCACCACCCUUGCUCUUAGGUUGUUGAAGUUUCUGCCAAGAUUUCCAAUGAACCUUCCUUUUCCCUUUUGUAGCUCCCCAAUAAUAAUUCCUGACCAUCUCCGUGAGAUCAUCAUAAACAGAAAAGGGUAGUUUAAAGACACCCCAUAACAAACACCGGAAGAGACUCAGCCACAGAUUUAAUCAAAACUUCUCUACCUGGUUGAGCAAGAUGCCCAUCUCCCCACUGAAUCAGUCUUUUCAUGACUUUUGCGUGCAGAUUUUGAAAUUUCCCUUUCGACAUUCUGCCAUUGGGUGUUGGAAUCCCUAAAUACUUCUCUUCAAAUACCAAACUUGUGACAUUUAAGGACAUCCGCACCUCAUCUUGGGCAUCGGCCGAGCAACUCUCUCCAAACAUAAUGGAGCAUUUGUCAUAGUUCAGGUGUUGGCCUGUAGCACUUGCAUAAAGAUCAAGGCAAGAUUUAAUUUGUUCAGCCUGAGCACGUAAUGCAUCAAAUAAUAACAAUGUAUCAUCCGCAAAUAGAAGGUGUGAUAUGCCAGGAGCACGUGUGCAAAUCUUUACUGGAGAAAUCAAGCCUUCUUGAACAUUCUGUCUCAAUAUAGCAUAUAGCCCAUCAGCCACAAACAAAACAAGAACGGGAAGAGCGGAUCACCUUGCCGAAGUCCACACGUCGGUGCAAAUGAAUCCAAGUGGGUUCCAUUGAAUUUAACAGAGCACCUCACUGAUGUGACACAGGAAAUAAUCCAGUCAAUCCAUCGAUGAGAAAACCCCAACUUUUGCAUCGCUUGCCUCAAGAAGAUCCAGUCAACCCGAUCAUAAGCUUUAGACAGAUCAAGCUUAUAUGCACAAAAGCUUUUUGUGGGAUCCUUUUCUUGCUUUAUGUGGUGGAUACACUCAAAGGCGAUUAACGCAUUAUCAGCGAUCAUCCUACAGAUAUGAAGGCACUAUGUUCAGGGGAGAUAAUGUCAUCUAGAAGAGGUCGUAAUCUGUUUACAGGACAUUUAGAAACCACCUUGCAGAUUACAUUGCAAAGACUGACGGGUGAAAAUUCAGAUACCUUCACAGGGUUAGCAACUUUAGGAAUUAGCAUAAUAUAUGUAUCAUUAACUCCAUCUGGCAUGACGCCUGUUCUAAAGAAUUCCUUUACCGCUCUGGUAAUAUUUUCCUUCAGAAUCUCCGAGUUGCACUGAAAAAAUCUAGCAGGAAAGCCAUCAGGACCAGGUGCCUUUAAUGGCCCUAUUUGGAAGAGAGCAUCCGAAAUCUCCUGGUUAGUGAAAUCUGCACAAAGCUCCACAUUAUCAUCAUCAAUAAUCACCGUAUUGAUCAACUCCACGACUCCCGAUGCAUCGAGCGAUGAGUCCGCCAUGAAUAUGUUAUGAAAAUAUGAAGACACCAUGUUGCACAUAGUGCUAGUGUUUGUAAACACAUUGCCAUCAUUAUCAUGCAACUCUCUUAUUUGGUUUUUCCUUGCCCCUAGACCGCCUUGCCAUGAAAAAAUGUAUUUCUAUCUCCCUCUUUCUGCCACAUGAUGCGAGACCUUUUAAGCCAAAGCAUAUCUUCCUUAUACAGUAAUUCAUUAAGCUUAUCAGAGACUUCUCUUAUUUCCUGUCUAUCAACAUUCAUUCUCAUCAACUCUUCCAAACGGCUACUCGAUUUAUGAAUGUCCUUCGCGAUGUUUCUGUAUCUCUUAUUACUCCAAGAACGCAGGGAUGACAUGGUGGAGUUCAAGGACUCACUGACCUGGCCCAAAUUAUCCAUUGCGCCGAAUGCCGACCAUGCCUUCUGAACAAUUUCCGGUAGCUCUAAGUCCCGUUCCUACAAAACUGCAUAUCGUUGAGCCUCAUUCCUGGGUUUCUCCUGUUCUGCUGUAAAUCUAAGCAACAAUGGAAUAUGAUCCGAACUGGAGGAUGCAAGGUGUUGCACCGUCGAGAAUGCAAACAUAUUCCUCCAUUCGUUUGAAGCAAUCGCACAAGCAAGCGAACAAGAACAUUUGCACCUCCUGGGCGCAUAUUAUCAUAUGUGUAUGAGAUGCCUCAAAACCCUAGAUCAACCAACUCACAAUCCAUCAAUACAUCUUGAAAUGCAGCCAUUUUGGAUUCAGGUCUAGGUGAUAAGGACAUGUGCUAGAAACUCCAAAGCACCUCAUUAAAGUCUCCGAUAACUACCCAUUGUAGAUCAGACUAUUGCUUCAAAGCUUCUAACUUAGACCACAUCAAGUGUCUAUUCUCGACCCUGGGUCCCCAAAGAGCAUAGUAAGUCACCACUGGUCUCCACUAGGUGAAGAUACGCACACAUCAGUGAACCGCUGGUGUGUUCCCAAAACCGUGACUUGGAAUGAUUCAUGCCAGAAAAGAGCCAGCCCACCACUUAAACCAACGCUAUCAACACCUUCAAACCCUUGAAGACCAAGACGCCCUCUUAUUCUCCUCAUCUUACUUGCUUUUUGCCGGGUCUCACACAAGAACACGAACAUGGGGGAAUACGACUGCACUAGCGUCGCUACAUCACGAAUUGUCCGAGGAUUCCCCCCACCCCGGCAGUUCCAAUUGAGUAGAUUCAUUGGGACGGGUGGUCCUCCACCACGGAGGCCGCCGUUGUAUUAGUUGUGUUGCUAUUAAUGGCCACACUAUCAUCAGUCCUCAACUUUUUCUGAUUAGUAUUUUUUUGAGGAGUACCACCACCAUUGAGGGGGCUGGGUAUAUCAUAACCUUCAAACUGACCCACUCGGUCCACUGUGAUCCCCAUCGGAACAAUAGUGCCCACGCACACAUCCAUGCCCCCUUGAUCAACAACGUUGAUAGGUGCGCACGAGUCAUUAGCCACCCUUUUGCCCAUGUUAAGUGCAUCUUCCGUCUACCCAGGCUGAGUCUCAUCAGCGCCGGUAUCCAUCUCCACACUAGGAACAUAUAGUGCGUUUGUCGCAUUGAAUCGCCAGCUUUUUUGCAUGAACUGCCUUUGUUCACUGGCAUCAACUAAACCUAGGUCCUUAGCGUGCAUCUCUGCAGUCUGCACAACACUUGGAUCAAAGUUUCGAUGAUCGUAGCCACGGCCACAUCCAUGAGUUCUACCUACACCCCUGCCCCUGGCAUAGGCAUUACCAGCAUCCUCAUCACCAAAUACCCCAACAUCUCGCUCAGAUCUUCGACCAAAGCCUCUCCUAGCACUACGGUUAGCAUUAGCUAUCCUACGAGAAGCAAGGAUAAAGGGUCCCCACUCCAUAUAUUUUGGGUCGUGAUCACCUGACCUACACUCUUCAUGCCAAUGGCCGAACAAACCACACAUGUAGUAGAAGACCGAUAGUUUCUCAAAUUUAACUUGGUAAUAUCCAGUUGACCCAGCCUUGGUGAAGCCAAUAAACCUUGUCAGCUUUUUAGUAAUGUCAAGCUUAACUCUAACCCGUAUGAACUUACCAAUGAAGCCAUUAGGAAGAACAAUAUGUACCUCCACUACCUCCCCGAUGCGUUGUGCCCUUUUCCUCACAAAUUGUUCCCUCUUAAGCACCAUAUCUGGAAGACGAUGGAUCUGGCACCAUGUCUUGAUUUUAUCCAGCUUGACUGAUUUUGGAUUCUUAAACCCAUCAUAUUCAUCAAUGACCAGGGCCAUGCCCUUGAAAUCCCACGGCCCUUCAUGUAGAGCCUUGUUCCAGUCUGCUAGACAGUUGAAUUGAACAGAGAACAGGUUGGGGUUGAUUCUUCUCCACACCACUUCUUUCGCAGGGUUCCAAGCUGCUUUCAUGUCGGAAAUCAACGCCCCUUGACCGAAGGACUUGGUUGUCAAAACCCUAGCUAGCACUAGCGACUUUGGCUUCUCAUCUGGUUCAUCCGCUUCAUGCUCCCAAACUAUAUUAUCCAACUCAUCUUCCUCCAGAUGCAAACGUUCCAACAAGACGCUAGGAUCUUCUGUAGGUUUUGGUCACGACCCACUAGCCUCCGUAGGCGCAGCCAUCACGAACAAUGGUAAAACCCUAACCGCUCGCACCCGAAGAAGGCGCAGACUUGGCGGCAAGGGGAAAGACGGGAGGUGUGAUCGACGCUAGGCCUGUUCAACGACAGGGGAACUCACAACGCGGCCGCCGGAGGACAAAGGAACCCUAGCUUUUCAUGAGAGGGAUAAUAAUUACCAACAUGAUCAGAGAUUCAUAGUUUAGUCGAAGUUGUUUACAUACAUGAGCAUACAAUCAUCCUUAUAAAGAUACACAAAUGCACGUCAUAGUCGUCAGAAACGUCUUCUCUGACUAAAAUGAAGUUGUUCACAUACAUGAGCGUGCAUUCACCCUUAUAAACGCACACAAAUGCACAUCAUAGUCGUCGAAAACGUCUCCUCUCAUUGAAUGCAUAUCAUCGAAAGGCCUAAAAUAAACCUAGAAAAAUGCAAGCACCAAUAUCAAGUCUGGAACUUAAACUCUGAUGGAUAAGGGAUACUAUUGUUUCCCUAACCAUCCAACUACAGAUUGGUUCACACUCGAGUAGGUUUGUGAAAUAUACAUACAAAGGUAGUCAAGUCUGUGCAUGUGUAUGAAUAAUGGUGCCGCUACCUCAAAAAAAAUUCAGUCUAAUCGCACUUUAUUAACCAACAAUAUUCAUAGGGAUACAAUAGGGAUACUUUCUCGCUGCUUCAAUCUGAUUGUGGGCUUUCUACCAACAGUAUUUCAUGUUAGAAAAUUAGAUAAUGCAAAGAAGAUGUUUUCCAGAAUUUUUCUUGUACUCCCUCCGCCCCGAAUUGCUUGUUGUACAUUUAUCUAGAUGCGGAUGUAUCUGAACAUGUUUUGAUAUUACAUACAUUCAUAUUGAGAUAAAUCUAAAAAAAGUAAUUCGAGACAUAGGUAGUAGUUCAUAGUUAUUUUUAGAGAAUUGUAUUCGAUAUCAACUUAAUAAAUAAAUUCAUACGCAAACGUCAUCCAAUAAACGACAAUUACAAACAGAGUGCAAGGCUCAACAUGCCAGAUAUAGAUCAACACAAGUUCACUCAAAAGGCCAUUAAGCUAAAAGAGAAAAGCAUGGUUAGUGCUGAGCCGUAGGCUGAGCAAGUGUGCUAGCAAUAGCUUGAAUCUUGGAAAUGAUCAUAACGAUGGCGAAGCUAUACACAACCUUAAAUAGGGGCCUCCACUACUGUAUAAAGGCCGCAACCCUCCCUCGUCGCACCCGUAGGCAACACGGAGGGCUCCCCCGUCGCACCCGUCGGUCCCCUUUCCCCGCACUCCUCCCUUGUUGUCGCCAGAAGGUGUGGCCACGCAACGGCUGGCUCGCGUCGGCGGCGGGCGGGGGGGGGGGGUUAUUCCUUCUUGCUCGGGGGUGCUGCGGCAGGGCGACAUCCUCGCACCAGGGCGGCGCUCCGACAUGGGGCGCGGCGAGGACGAUGGCACUCAGUGCCCCUGCGAUGGCGGGUACGGGUAGGUGGCGGCCUAGAGUGCCUCGUGGUGGAGGGGCGUGCGUGCACCGUUGCCGGUCUGGAUCAGCAUCUGGCAACUAAUCUGGAUCAAGGGGGCUGCUGAUACGUCUCCAACGUAUCUACUUUUCCAAACUCUUUUGCCCUUGUCUUGGACUCUAAUUUGCAUGAUUUGAAUAAAACUAACUCGGACUAACGCUGUUUCCACGAGAACUGCCAUGGUGUUGUUUUUGUGCAGAAAUAAAAGUUCUUGGAAUGACCUGAAACUUACGAGGAUUUUUUAUGGAAUAUAUAAAAAAUCAGAGAAAGAAUCAACUGAAGUUACGCUGCCAGUGGGCCACGAGCACUGCAGGCGCCCCCCCCCCUUCCCAGGGCGCGCCUAGCAGGCUCGUGGGGCCCACGUGGCUCCCCCGACUUCAUCUCCAACUCCAUAUAACCUCUCUCGCCCAAAAAAAAGGAGAGAAGAGUUCAUCACGUUUCACGAUACGGAGCCGCCGCCACCGCUUGUUCUUCCUCGGGAGGGCAGAUCUGGAGUCCGUUCUGGGCUUUGGAGAGGGGAAAUCGACGCUGUCGUCAUCAUAAACCAUCCUCCAUCGCCAAUUCCAUGAUGCUCUCCAUCGUUCGUGAGUAAUUUUAUCGUAGGCUUGCUGGACGGUGAUGGGUUGGAUGAGAUCUAUCAUGUAAUCGCGUUAGUUUUGAUGGGGUUUGAUCCAUAGUAUCCACUAUGUUCUAAGAUUGAUGUUGCUACUGCUUUGCUAUGCUUAAUGCUUGUCACUAGGGCUUGAGUGCCAUGAUUUCAGAUCUGAACCUAUUAUGUUUUCAUCAAUAUAUGUGUGUUCUUGAUCCUAUCUUGCAAGUUGUAGUCACCUACUAUGUGUUAUGACCCGGCAACCCCGGAGUGACAAUAGCCGGAACCACUCCCGGAGAUGACCAUAGUAUGAGGAUCCCAUGUAUUCACUAUGUGCUAAUGCUUUGUUCCGAUUCUCUAUUAAAAGGAUACCUAAAUAUCCCUUAAUUUCCAUUAGGACCCCGCUGCCACAGGAGGGUAGGACAAAAGAAGCCAUGCAAGUUCUUUUCCAUAAACACGUAUGACUAAAUACGGAAUACAUGCCUACAUUACAUUGACGAACUGGAGCUAGUUACAUAUCACCCUAUGUUAUAACUGUUACAUGAUGAAUGCCAUCUGACAUAAUUAUCCAUCACCGAUCCAAUGACUACGAGCUUUUCCUAUACUGGUCCUUGCUAAGUUACUUUACCGCUACUGCUGUCACACUUGCUAUACAAAUUACUACUGCUACUGUUACCGCCGCUACCAUUACUAUCAUACUACUUUGCUACUAAAACUUUAUUGCAGAUACUAAGUCUUUCAGGUGUGGUUUAAUUGACAACUCAACUACUAAUACUCGAGAGUAUUCUUUGGCUCCCCUUGCGUCGAAUCAAUAAAUUUGGGUUGAAUACUCUACCCUCGAAAACUGUUCCGAUCCCCUAUACUUGUGGGUUAUCAAGACCUUUUUCUGGCGCCAUUGCCGGGGAGCAUAGCUCCAUUCUCUGAGUCACUUGGGAUAUAUAUCUGUUGAUCACUAUGAGGAAUCCGAGAGAUCCAAUAACUAAAGUCUUGCCCUCAACUAUGAGGACAGGUAAGGAACUGCCAUCUAGCUUUGCACUUGAUUCACCUACUGUUAUGAGUAAAUUUGCGACACCACCACCUACUAGUAAUUCUGAUAUGUCUCUUGUGCUUGAUGAUUGAUGACCCACAAGUAUAGGGGAUCGCAUCAGUUUUUGAGGGUAGAGUAUUCAACCCAAAUUUAUUGAUUCGACACAAGGGGAAGCCAAAGAAUAUUCUCAAGUAUUAGCAGUUGAGUUGUCAAUUCAACCACACCUGAAAGAUUUAGUAUCUGUAGCAACGUAUCAGUAGCAGAGUAGUAUGAUAGCAACAAUAGCAACAAUAACCAGUAGCAGCAAAGUGACAGCAGUAGCAGCAAAGUAACAGUAGCAGCAGCAGAGUAACAGUAGCAGAAGUGACAGCAGUAGCAGCAAAGUAACGUAGCAAGGACAAGUAGGAAAAAGACUCGUAGGCAUUGGAUCGGUGAUGGAUGAUUAUGCCGGAUGCUAUUCAUCAUGCAACAGUUAUAACACGGAGAGAUAUGUAACUAGCUCCAGUUCGUCAAUGUAAUGUAGGCAUGUAUUCCGUAUGUAGUCAUACGUGCUUAGGGAAAAGAACUUGCAUGACAUCUAUUGUCCAUCCCUCCCGUGGCAGCGGGGUCCUAAUGGAAACUACGGGAUAUUAAGGUUCUCCUUUUAAUAAAGAGACGGACCAACGCAUUAACACUUGGUGAAGACAUGAACUACUCAUAAUAUGGUCAUCUCCGGGAGUGGUUCCGGCUAUUGUCACUCCGGGGUUGCCGGGUCAUAACACAUAGUAGGUGACUACAACUUGCAGGAUAGGAUCAAGAACACACAUAUAUUGGCGACAACAUAAUAGGUUCAGAUCUGAAAUCAUGGCACUCGGACCCUAGUGACAAGCAUUAAGCAUGGCAAAGUAGUAGCAACAUCAAUCUCAGAACAUAGUGGAUACUAGGGAUCAAUCACCGUCAAAACUAACUCGAUUACAUGAUAGAUCUCAUCCUGCAAGCCUACGAUGAGAUUACUCACGAACGGUGAAGAGCUUCGUGGAAUUGGCGAUGAAAGAAGGUUCGUGAUGACGAUGGCGAGGAUCUCCCCUCUCCGGAGCCCAGAACGGACUCCAGAUCUUCCCUCGAGAGGAAGAACAGGAGGUGGCGGCGCCUCCGUAUCGUAAAACGCGAUGAACUCUUCUCCUUGAUUUUUUUCCGGAUGAAAGAGGCUAAAUAGAGCUGAGAUUGGAGGCGGUGGAGCAACGUGGGCCCCACAAGCCUGCCAGGCGCGGCCAGGGGGGCCACGCCUGGUGGGCUUGUGGACUCCACGCUCCACUUCCUCCGUUGAUUCUUGCGCCAACUAUUUUUAUAUAUUCCACAAAAAUUCUCCGUAAAUUUCCAGGUCAUUCCAAGAACUUUUAUUUCUGCGCAAAAACAACACCAUGGCAAUUCUGCUGAAAACAACGUUAGUCCGGGUUAGUUCCAUUCAAAUGAUGCAAAUUAGAGUCCAAAACAAGGGCAAAAGAGUUUGGAAAAGUAGAUACGAUGGAGACGUAUCAACUCCCCCAAGCUUAAAACCUUGCUUGUCCUCAAGCAAUUCAGUUGACAAACUGAAAGAGACAAAAGAAAAACUUGUACGAACUCUGUUUGAUCUUGUUGUUGCAACUAUGUCUAACUCAUAUCCAGAAUUUCAGCAAGAUCACAAGCUAACCACAUAAGCAAAUGACAUCUAGGUCUCAUGGUAAACUCAUAUCAAUGGCAUAAUCAACUAGCGAGCAAAUAAUAAAAAGUUUCAAAUGUUAACACAUCAAUCAAAACAAUCAUGAAGCAGUACGAAUAGAUGGUAUCUCGCUAGAUCUUUCUGAGACCGCAAAACAUAAAUGCACAGCACCUUCGAAGACCAAGGGCUGACUAAAUAUUGUAAUUCAUGGCGAAGAAGAUCCAGUCACAGUCAUACUCAAUCACAGUUAAAAGCAAAGCAUAAAAAUGACAUAGGUGCUCUCUAAUUGGUGCUUUUAGAAGAAGAGGAUGACUCAACAGGAACAUAAAUAGACAGGCCCUUCGCAGAGGGAAGCAUUGAUUUGCAGAGGUGCCAGAGCUCAAGCUUUGAAAACAGAGAUAAUAACUUUGGGUGGCAUGCUUUCAUUGUCAACGCAAUAACUAAGAGUUUUCACCAUCUUCCACGCUACACAUGCUAUAGGCGGUUCCCAAAUAGAAAAGUAAAGUUUUGACUCCCCCACCACCGAUCAAUCACACUCCACGGCUAGCCGAAUACUCGGGUGUCGUCCAUACCAACAUCAAUCCAGGGGGAGUUUUGUUUCCAACUAUCUUUUCGAUUUGAGCAUGGAACUGGCAUUCCAAUUGCCGCCCCCUUUCUCAUGAAUGAUAGUGAAUAAGCACAUACUGAGGAUAACAUGCCUAGCAUGGAAGAUACUGAUAGCCCCCUGUCACCACAUGAGCGGUUCGGGCAUGCAAAACAGAUUAUUUCUUGAAGAUUUAGAGAGUGGCACAUGCAAAUUUACUUGGCACGGCAGGUAGAUACCGCAUAUAGGUAGGUAUGGUGGACUCAUAUGGAACAACUUUGGGUUUAUGGAAGUGGAUGCACAAGCAGUAUUCCCGCUUAGUACAAGUGAAGGCUAGCAAAAGACUGGGAAGCGACCAACUAGAGAGCGACAACAGUCAUCAAAAUGCAUUGAGAUUAACCAACAAUGAGUGCAAGCAUGAGUAGGACAUAAAUCACCAUGAACAUGAAUAUCAUUGAGGCUAUGUUGAUUUUGUUUCAACUACAUGCAUGAACAUGUGCCAAGUCAAGCCACUUGAAUCAUUCAAAGGAGGAUACCAUCCUAUCAUACUACAUCACAAUCAUCUCAAAAUUCAUGUUGGCAUCCAAGACAAACCAUUAUAAGCUCUUAGCUAAUUAAGCAUGGCAUCAGAAACCAUGGUCUCUACGUUGUCAUUGCAAACAUGUUUCUCUCACAACAAAGCUGAAUCAGGAACGAUGAGCUAGUCAUAUUUACAAAAACAAAAUAGAUCGAGUUCAUACCAGCUUUUCCAGGCUCAGUCACUUAAUCAUAUAUCGUCAUUAUUGCCUUUCACUUGCACGACCGAAUGAUGUGAACAAUAAUAAGAGUGCUCGUGUAUUGGACUAAGCUGGAAUCUGCAGGCAAACACAAAGGAGAAGACAAAGUAAUAUGGCUCUUUGACAGAUAAACAGAUAUGCAUGCGAGAGCCAUUAAACAUUGUAACCAUGGUCUUCUACCUUGACCCAAAGAAAAGAAAACUAUUUACACGGGAAAACUCCCAACAAGCAAAAGAAGAAUGAGAAAUCUUUUUGGGUUUUUCUCAAACUAGACAAACACACGAAAAGAAAACAAGAAAAGGAAAAUAAACUAGCAUGGAUGAUACAGUGGCAAAGUGUGAACACCGACUAACAAAGUGAAAGUGUAAGCAAGAAUAUAAAGUCGGUGAGAAACACGUACUCCCCCAAACUUAGGCUUUUGGCCUAAGUUGGUCUACUCCCAAGGAGGGAAAUAACCAUCUCCGGGGUACUCCGGAGUGUACUGAGGGUGCCAUUGCUGUGUGAGCUCCUCUGGCUCCCACUGAUAAACUAGCGUCUGGUACUCGACUGAUGGCUCGGGCAUGGGCACCUGUGGUUGGGCUAUGCCCCAAUAUGCGCAGAUGUCCGAGGGCAUAAUAAUGUACCUGCCUGCAUGAAGAUUGAACAAAGAAGGAGCAGGCAAAGUAAUAGUCUCACGAGUACCCUAACUAAAUACCAGGUUAUAAAUCGUCCUUCUAUUUAUAUCUCUAUCAAGAAAGUCAUGGCGAACCAUGCUAUCAUAAUCUAGAUAUCUCUCGGGAAGAAGAAUCUCUUCUUCCUCGUCCAGUCUAAUAGGUAUCUCAAAGUGUCUAGCAAGACGAGUAGCAUAGAUACCUCCAUAAACAACGCCUUUAGAACGGUUCGUGUUCAACUGUUGAGCUACUAUAGCGCCCAAGCUAUAAGUUUUAUCUUUAUAAAGGGCUUCGCGCAAGACCGCAAGAUCCGGGGAGCUAAGGGAGCUAGCUUUCCCACGGCCAAUUAAACAUUUUCCCAUGAAUAGUGAGAAGUACCGAAGCACGGGAAAAUGUAUGCUAGCAGCUCUAGCGCAAGACACUCCUCUGUCCUCUUCUACAACAAUAGUAUCUAUGAAAGCCUCCAAGUCCCGUGGACGAGGUUCAUGAAUAUCCCCAACAAAAGGAAAUUUGCAAACAUUGCAAAAAAUCCUCGAGUGACAUGCGCUGGGGGAUAUCAUAUAAUUUUAACUCAACCAUAGGAGGAUUCUUCCUUGGAUAGAAAUUAAAGCUUUGCACGAAAAUAUUAGUGAGGAGGAGGUAUUGCGGACACUUAUCUUCAACGAAGGCAGUAAGGCCUGCGUUCUCCACCAAGUAAUAAAAAUCCUGAUAAAGUCCGGUGGCACGUAAGAACACAUCGCUUGGCCAUUCACACGCUUGAACUUCUGCAACUCGGGGGACCGGAUACUUGGGUUUCUUCUUCUCAUUCCCAUCAUCCUUGGGGUCACGGCUUGAAGAGCCUCUUAAGAACCUCCUCAUCUUUUCCCUUUUCUAUCUCUGAAAAUUUCUGAAAUUUUAGUGACUCUCAGGAAAACUGAAUAAGGCCCAACGAAACUCGUAGCAACUACUCCCACAAGUGCCUAGAGCCAUAUCACGCAUCAAAACUACUUGGGACCAGCUAAAAUUAGCAUGCAAAGCUCAAGAACAAGGUCACCAAGGCAGCAAAAAUACGCGAAGUAUAAGGCAUUAGAGCGAAAACUAAUUGGACCAAUGGAGGAGUCACUUACCAAGGAGUAAUUUCCCCUAAACAACUUGGUGAAUGGUGCUUUGCACAAGGAGAUCGAAAAUCCCAGCAAGAAGAGCAAGAACACGGGUUUUAGCUGCGAAACGAUUUUUUUCUGGAGGUAGGAGAAGCAGAUGGCAGGUAGAAUGAGUGGAGGGGCUAUACGUGGGCCCCACAAGCCUGGAUGGCGCGGCCAGGGGGGUGCCCGCGCCUCCACGGCUUGUGGCCCACUGGUGCAGCCCCCUGAUUAGCUCUUCGUCUCAGUAUUUUUCAAAAAUUCUAGAAAAAAAUCAUACUUGAUUUUCAGGACAAUCGGAGAACUUUAAUUUUUGGGGUACUUUUCUACGGGACGCUAAAAGCAGAAAACAGGGAAAACUAAACUAAAUCUAUCAUUUUUCUUCUAAGCUACCGAAGUUGAAAGCUUGGAACAAAGGUUUGUGACUGCUCGAUUCAUCCAUCUCAUGGUUAUCGAAAGAAAUCUGUCAAUGAGGUUGAUCAAGUCUCCUUGACAAACUUUUUUCGAAUCGCAAAAGAAGACGGAGAAUUUUCAAAUAGUCACUAAAUUACCUCAAUGGGGAUGUGGAUAUCCCCAACAAGCAAAUCAUACUUCAUCUUAACAGUAGGUAUAGGGCAUUCAAAGCUCCCAAUAAGAAUCCAUGAAGUUUUUUCGAUAGCAUUGAUGCAAUGUACUCGAUAUUGUUUCUUCGGAAAGUGCAUAGUAUGCUCAUUACCGAAAGUGAAAUUGCCUUUGUUGCAAUCUAUAACAGCCCCUGCAGUGUUUAGAAAGGGUCUUCCAAGGAUGACCGCCAUGGCAUCAUCCUCGGGAAUAUCCAGAAUAACAAAGUCUGUUAAGAUAGUGACAUUCGCAACCACAAUUGGCACAUCCUCGCAAAUGCCGAUAGGGAAAGCAGUUGCUUUGUCGGCCAUUUGCAGAGAGAUUUCAGUGGGUGUCAACUUAUCCACUUCAAGCCUACGAUAAAGAGAGAGAGCCAUAACACUAACACCGGCUCCAAGAUCGCAUAAAGCAGUUCUAAUUGGACCAAUGGAGGAGUCAUUUACCAAGGAGUAAUUUGCCCAAAACAGCUUGGUGAAUGGUGCUUUGCACAAGGAGAUCAAAAAUCCCAGCAAGAAGAGCAAGAACACGGGUUUUAGCUGCGAAACAAUUUUUUCUGGAGGUAGGAGAAGCAGAUGGCAGAUGGAAUGAGUGGAGGGGGUAUACGUGGGCCCCACAAGCCUGGAUGGCGCGGCCAGGGGGUGCCCGCGCCUCCAACGCUUGUGGCCCACUGGUGCAGCCCCCUGAUUAGCUCUUCGUCUCAGUAUUUUUCAAAAAUUCCAGAAAAAAUCAUACUUGAUUUUCAGGACAUUCGGAGAACUUUUAUUUUCGGGGUACUUUUCUACGGGACGCUAAAAGCAAAAAACAGGGAAAACUAAACUAAAUCUAUCAUUUUUGUUCUGAGCUACCGAUGUUGAAAGUUUGGAACAGAGGUUUGUGACUCCUCGAUUCAUCCAUCUCAUGGUUAUCGAAAGAAAUCUAUCAAUGAGGUUGAUCAAGUCUCCUUGACAAACUUUUUUCGAAUCGCAAAAGAAGACGGAGAAUUUUCAAAUAGUCACUAAGUUACCUCAAUGGGGAUGUGGAUAUCCCCAACAAGAAAAUCAUACUUCAUCUUAACAGUAGGUAUAGGGCAUUCAAAGCUCCCAAUAAGAAUCGAUGAAGUUUUUUCGAUAGCAUUGAUGCAAUGUACUCGAUAUUGUUUCUUCGGAAAGUGCACAGUAUGCUCAUUACCGUUGACAUGGAAAGUGACAUUGCCUUUGUUGCAAUCUAUAACAGCCCCUGCAGUGUUUAGAAAGGGUCUUCCAAGGAUGACCGCCAUGGCAUCAUCCUCGGGAAUAUCCAGAAUAACAAAAUCUGUUAAUAUAGUGACAUUCGCAACCACAAUUGGCACAUCCUCGCAAAUGCCGAUAUCUGUCAUACUUAGCAUACAGAGACAUUUUGAGCAUAUCUGUCAAACACAUUUGCAAGAAGACAAGUCUAAUCAUUUCAACAAAUCGCUCAAAAUCCUCAUCAUCCUUUUUCUUUGAUGGUUUGGGAGGAAAGGGCAUGGGUUUCUGAACCCAUGGUUCCCUUUCUUUACCAUGCUUCCUAGCAACGAAGUCAUUCUUAUCGUAUCUUCUAUUCUUUGGCUGUGGGUUAUCAAGAUCAACAUGUUCAAUCUCCACAUCCUUAUCAUUGCUAGGUUGAGCAUUAUCAUGAACAUCACUAUUUAUAUUAUCAUUAGGCUCAUGUUCAUCACCAGAUUGCGUUUCAGCAUCAGAGACAGAGACAUCGUUUGGACUCUCAGGUGUAGCAGCAACAGGGUUGCUAGCGUGCAAAUCCCUAUCAUCUUUCUUCUUCUUAUUAGGAUGACUAGGUGCAUUAGUGCUAACUCCUUGAGAAUCUUGUUCAAUUCUCUUAGGAUGACCCUCAGGAUACAAAGGUUCCUGAGUCAUUCUACCGCCUCUAGUGACGACUCUAACAGAAUUGUCAUUCAACUAAUUGAGCAAGUCAUUCUGAGCCUUAAGUACUUGUUCUACUUGAGUAGUAACCAUAGAGGCAUGUUUACUCAGAAGCUUAAGAUCAUUGACAUUUCUGUCCACACAAGCACUUAAAUGACUAAGCAUACGAGCAUUCUGUUCCAAUUGUCUGCUAACAUAAUCGUUGAAACUUUGUUGUUUGGCAACAAAGUUAUCAAAUUCAUCCAAGCAUAAGCUAGCAGGUUUAUCAAAAGGAAUAUCACUCUCAUAGAAUCUACGUAGAGAAUUUACUUCUACUACCUGUAUCGGGUUAUCAAGACCAUGGAUCUCUUCGAUAGGUGGUAGAUUUUUGACAUCUUCAGAUUUAAUGCCUUUCUCUUUCAUAGAUUUCUUAGCUUCUUGCAUAUCUUCAGGAGUGAGGAAUAGAAUACCUCUUUUCUUCGGAGUUGGCUUCGGAGGUGGUUCGGGAAUAGUCCAAGCAUUCUCAUUGCACAAGAUAUUAUUCAAUAGGAUCUUAGCUUGUUCUACAGUUCGUUCCCUAAAAACACAACCAACACAACUAUCUAGGUGGUCUCUAUAAGCAUCGGUGAGUCCAUUAUAGAAGAUAUCAAGUAUUUCGUUCUUCUCAAGAGGGUGAUCAGGCAAAGCAUUCAGCAGUUGGACGAGCCUCCCCCAAGCUUGUGGGAGACUCUCUUCUUCAACUUGUGCAAAGUUGUAUAUUUCAUGCAAGGCAGCUUGCUUCUUAUGGGCAGGGAAAUAUUUUUCAGAGAAGUAGUAGACCAUAUCCUGGGGGCUACGCACACAACCAGGAGCAAGAGAAGUGAACUAGGUCUUACCAUCAUCCUUUAGCGAGAAAGGAAACAUCUUGAGGAUAUAGUAGUGGUGGAUCUUUUCCUCACUCGUGAAUAGGGUGGCUAUAUCGUGCAGUUUGGUAAGAUGGGCUACAACCGUUUCAGACUCAUAACUGUGAAAAGGAUCAUAUUCGACCUGAGUGAUUAACUCAGGGUCGACAGAGAAUUCAUAAUCCUUAUCGGUCACAAAGAUAGGCGAAGUAGCAAACUUCGGGUCGUAUUUCAUCCUAGCGUUCAGAGAUUUUUCUUUCCACUUGAGCAGUAAUUUCUCAACAUCAUAGCUAUCCUUACAAGCAAGAAAGUCCUCAGCUAUCUCUCCCUCCAUAACAUAACACUCAGGCAUACCAGGCAAUUCAUGUCUAGGAGAGCUAGUUCCAGCAGGCAAAAUAGCAGGUUCUACUUCAAUAGUAUCAGCAGUUUCAGAAGUAUCAUCACAUCUAGCAGCAACUCUAGCAAUUUGUGCAUCAAGGAAUGCACCUAGUGGCAAAGCAGUAUCAAGCAUAGCAUCAUCAUAAGCAUCAUGGGCAGCAGAAGUAGCAUCAUCAAGCACAGGCGACAUAUCAAUAUUUCUAGCAGGAGGUGGUGUCGCAAACUUACUCAUAACUGAAGGUGAAUCAAGUGCAGAGCUAGAUGGCAGUUCCUUACAUGUCCUCAUAGUUGAGGGCAAUACUUUAGUUCUUGGAUCUUUCAGAUUCCUCAUAGUGACCAGAAGACGUAAAUCCCAAGUGAGUCAGAGAAUAUAGGUAUGCCUCCCCUGCAACGGCGCCAGAAAAAGGCACAUUGACAGGAGAAUAUUCUUGACUUGGCUUCCCCGGCAAUGCCACCAAAAAAAGGUCUUGAUAACACACAAGUAUAGGGGAUCGCUACAGUUUUUCAGGGUAGAGUAUUCAACCCAAAUUUAUUGAUUCGACACAAGGGGACGCCAAAGAAUAUUUUCAAGUAUUAGAAGUUGAGUUGUCAAUUCAACCACACCUGAAAGAUUUAGUAUCUGCAGCAAAGUAUCAGUAGCAGAGUAGUAUGAUAGCAACAUUAGCAACAGUAACCAGUAGCAGCAAAGUGACAUCAGUAGCAGCAAAGUAACAGUAGAAGCAGCAGAGUAACAGUAGCAUUAGUGAGAUCAGUAGCAGCAAAGUAACGUAGCAAGGACCAGUAGGAAAAGACUCGUAGGCAUUGGAUCGGUGAUGGAUGAUUAUGCUGGAUGCUAUUCAUCAUGCAACACUUAUAACGCGGAGAGAUAUGUAACUAGCUCCAGUUCGUCAAUGUAAUGUAGGCAUGUAUUCCGUAUGUAGUCAUACGUGCUUAGGGAAAAGAACUUGCAUGACAUCUAUUGUCCAUCCCUCCCGUGGCAGCGGGGUCCUAAUGGAAACUACGGGAUAUUAAGGUUCUCCUUUUAAUAAAGAACCGGACCAACGCAUUAACACUUGGUGAAUACAUGAACUCCUCAUACUAUGGUCAUCUCCGGGAGUGGUUCCGGCUAUUGUCACUCCGGGGUUGCCGGGUCAUAACACAUAGUUGAUGACUACAACUUGCAAGAUAGGAUCAAGAACACACAUAUAUUGGCGACAACAUAAUAGGUUCAGAUCUGAAAUCAUGGCACUCGGGCCCUAGUGACAAGCAUUAAGCAUGGCAAAGUAGUAGCAAUAUCAAUCUCAAAACAUAGUGGAUACUAGGGAUCAAUCCCCGUCAAAACUAACUCGAUUACAUGAUAGAUCUCAUCCAACCCAUCACCGUCCAGCAAGCCUACAAUGAGAUUACUCACGAACGGUGAAGAGCAUCAUGGAAUUGGCGAUGAAGGAAGGUUGGUGAUGACGAUGGCGACGAUCUCCCCUCUCCGGAGCCCAGAACGAACUCGAGAUUUGCCCUCUAGAGGAAGAACAGGAGGUGGCGAUGCCUCCGUAUCGUAAAACACGAUGAACUCUUCUCCUUGAUUUUUUUUCUGGACGAAAGAAGCUAAGUAGAGCUGAGAUUGGAGGCGGUGGAGCAACGUGGGCCCGACAAGCCUGCCAGACGCGGCCAGGGGGGCGUGCCUGGUGGGCUUGUGGGCUCCACGCUCCACUUCCUCCAUUGAUUCUUGCGUCAGUAAUUUUUAUAUAUUCCACAAAAAUUUGCCGUAAAUUUCCAGGUCAUUCCGAGAACUUUUAUUUCUGCGCAAAAAUAACACCAUGGCAAUUCUGCUGAAAACAACGUUAGUCCGGGUUAGUUCCAUUCAAAUCAUGCAAAUUAGAGUCCAAAACAAGGGCAAAAGAGUUUGGAAAGUAGAUACGAUGGAGACGUAUCAAUGAUGCUACUUCUGCUAUCCAUGAUGUUUAUUAUGAUGCUUUGCUUGAUAAUGAUAUGCCACUGGGUGAAUUUCUUGAUGCAGAAAUUGCUAGAGUUAUUGCUGAAUCUGAUGAUACUUCUGAAACUGAUGAAAUUAUUGAAGUUGAACCUGCUGUGACACCUGUUAGACCUAGUUCUCCUAGAUAUGAAUUGCCUAAUAUACCUAAGGGUUAUGUUAUGGAGGGAGAGGUAGCUAAAGACUUUCUUUCUUGUAAGGAUAGCUACGAUCUUGAGAAUUUUUACGCAAGUGGAAAGAAAAAUCUCUGAAUGCUAGAAUGAAAUAUGAUCCUAAGUUUGCUACUUCACCCAUCUUUGUUACUGAUAAGGAUUAUGAAUUCUCUGUCGAUCCUGAGUUAAUCACUUUGGUUGAAUCUGAUUCUUUUCAUGGUUAUGAAUCUGAAACUGUUGUAGCACAUCUUACUAAACUGAAUGAUAUAGCCACCGUAUUCACUAAUGAGGAAAAAAUUCGCUAUUACUAUAUCCUUAAGUUGUUUCCUUUCUCACUAAAGGGUGAUGCUAAAACUUGGUUUACUUCUCUUUCUCCUGGUUGUGUGCGUAGUCCCUACGAUAUUAUAUACUACUUCUCUGAGAAAUAUUUUCCUACCCAUAAGAAACAAGCUGCCUUGCAGGAUAUAUAUAACUUUGUGCAAAUUGAAGAAGAGAGUCUCCCACAAGCUUGGGGGAGGUUUGUCCAGUUACUUAAUGGUUUACGUGAUCACCCUCUUAAGAAAAAUGAAAUACUUGAUAUCUUUUAUAAUGGACUAACAGAUGUUUCUAGGGACCACCUAGAUAGUUGUGUUGGUUAUGUUUUCAGGGAACAAACUGUGGAACAAGCUGAAAUUCUAUUGAAUAAUAUCUUGAGAAAUGAUAAUGCUUGGACUAUUCCCGAACCACCUACGAAGCCAACUCCAAAGAAAAGUGGUAUUCUAUUCCUCAGUCCUGAAGAUAUGCAAGAAGCCAAGAAAUCUAUGCAAGAGAAAGGUAUUAAAUCUGAAGAUGUUAAGAAUCUACCACCUAUUGAAGAAAUACAUGGUCUUGAUAACCCGACACAGGUAGUAGAGGUAAAUUCUCUUCGUAGAUUCAAUGAGAGUGAUAUUCCUUAUGAUAAACCUGCUAGCUUAUGCUUAGAUGAACUUGAUAACUUUGUUGCCAAACAACAAAGUUUUAAUGAUUAUGUUAGCACACAACUGAAACAAAAUGCUUGUAUGAUUAAUCAUAUAAGUGCUUGUGUCGAUAGAAAUGUUAAUGAUCUUAAGCUUAUGGGUAAACAUGCUUCUAUGGUCAAUACUCAAGUAGAACAAGUACUUAAGGCUUAAAAUGACUUGCUUAAUGAAUUGAAUGAUAAUUCUGUUGGAGUUGUUACUAGAGGUGGUAGAAUGACUCAGGAACCUUUGUAUCCCGAGGUCCAUCCUAAGAGAAUUGAACAAGAUUCUCAAGGAGUUAAUACUGAUGCACCUAGUCAUCCUGGUAAUAGGAAGAAAAAGAAAGAUGAUAGGAACUUGCAUGCUAGGAAACCUGUUGCUGUUACACAUGAGAAUCCAAAUGAUGUUUCUAUUUAUGAUGCCGAAACACAAUCUGGUGAUGAACAUGAGCCUAGUGAUAAUAUAGAUAAUGGUGUUCAUGUUGAUGCUCAACCUAGUAAUGAUAAUGAUGUGGAGAAUGAACCUGCUGUUGAUCUUGAUAACCCACAACCUAAGAACAAGAGAUAUGAUAAGAAUGAUUUUAUUGCUAGGAAGCAUGGUAAAGAAAGAGAACCAUGGGUUCAGAAACCCAUGCCCUUUCCUCCCAAACCAUUCAAGAAAAAGAUGAUGAGGAUUUUGAGCGCUUUGUUGAAAUGAUUAGACCUAUCUUUUUGCAAAUGUGUUUGAUUGAUAUGCUUAAAAUGUCUCCUUAUGCUAAGUACAUGAAAGAUAUUGUGACUAAUAAAAGAAAGAUACCUGAUGUUGAGAUUUCCACCAUGCUUGCUAAUUACACUUUUAAGGGUGGGACUCCGAAGAAACUAGGUGAUCCCGGGGUGCCCACUAUACCUUGCUCCAUUAAAGGAAAUUAUGUUAGAACUGCUUUAUGUGAUCUUGGAGCCGGUGUUACUGUUAUGCCUCUCUCUUUAUAUCGUAGACUUGAAUUGGAUAAGUUGACACCUACUGAAAUUUCUUUGCAAAUGGCCGACAAAUCAACUGCUUUACCUAUCGGCAUUUGCGAGGAUGUGCCUGUUGUGGUUGCGAACGUUACUAUCUUAACGGACUUUGUUAUUCUUGAUAUUCCCGAGGAUGAUGCCAUGGCGGUCAUCCUUGGAAGACCCUUUUUAAACAUUGCACGGGCUGUUAUUGAUUGCAACAAAGGAAAUUUCACUUUCCAUGUUAAUGGUAAUGAGCACACGGUGCACUUUCGGAAGAAACAAUAUCGAGUUCAUUGCAUUAAUGCUAUUGAAAAAUCUUCAUCUUAUUAUUGGAAGCUUUGAAUUCCCUAUACCUGCUGUCAAGAUGAAAUAUGAUAUACUUGUUAUUGGGGAUAUGCACACCCCCGUUGAGGUAACCUAGUGAUUAUUCGAAAAUUCUCCGGUUUUAUGUGAUUCAAAAAAAGUUUGUCAAGGAAACUUGAUCAACCUCAUUGACGGAUUUCUUUUGAUGACCAUGAGAUGGAUGAAUCUAGAAGUCACAACCUUCUGUUCCCAACUUUUACUUUCUGUUAUUUCGUAGAAAAAUAAUAAAUAUAGCAUUAUUUUCUUGUUUUCUGCAUUAUCCGUUCAAUAAAAAUGACCUGAAAAUAAAAGUUCUCCAAAUACCGUGAAAUUCAAGUAUGAUUUUUUCUGGAAUAUUUAAGAAUUUUUGAGAUAGAUAACUAGUCAGGGGGAUGCACCAAUGGGCCACGAGCCCAUGAGGCGCGCCCACCCCCUGGGCGCGCCUGGCAGGCUCGUGGGUCCCACAUGGCCCCCUCCACUUAUUCCAUCACCCAUCUUCUUCGUCUACCUCCAGAAAAAAUCAUUCCACAGCUCAAACCCGUGUUCUUUCUCAUUUUGCUGCAUUUUUCGAUCUCCUUGUGCAAAGCCCCAAUCACCAAACUGUUUUGGGGAAUUGUUCCUUCGUAUGUGACCCCUCCAUUGGUCCAAUUAGUUUUUAUUCUGGUGCUUUAUUCAUUGCAUAUUAUUGUUGCCUUGGUGACCCUGUUCUUGAGCUUUACAUGUUAAUUUUAGUUGCUCCCAAGUAGUUUUGAUGCAUGAUAUGGCCUCUAGGCACUUGUAGGAGUAGUUGCUAUGAGUUUUGUUAGACUUUGUUCACUUUUAUUUUGAGUCACUAAAAAUUUCAGAAUUAGUUCAUAAAAAGGAAUAUGUCUAGGAAGAACUAUCAUGGUGGUUUCUCAAGCAAAAGGGGUCCCUGUCUCGCGAUUCGGGAGCCCGAUCCUUAUCAGCCGAGGAACGCACCGGUGCAACCAUGUGAAUGGCCUUCAGAUGAACUCAUGAUUGAUGCAGGUUUCAAGGACGAGUUUGAUACAUUUGUUCGCAACGCCGGGCUCGAAGAAUUCAUCUCCAAUAAAUGUGAACAGUAUACUACAAUCAAUGCCUCUUUUGUUCGUAGAUUCAAAUUUUCAGUUGGCCGACACAUCCAUACUGUUUGAUCUUUAUGACAAAUCGUAUACUAUGGAUUUAGAGGAUUUUAAUAGAUUAUGCAAGAUACCUGAUUGGGGUAGUCCCAAUGACCCUCCUAAGUCUUCAGUUAGAGAUUUUAUUUCUAGUAUAACUGUUGGAGAAACUAGAGAUAUUCCGCAGGCUACCAUGGGGAGCAUUCAUUUUCCCACCUUACAUUAUUUUGCCCUCUUCAUAGGUAGAUGCAUUAACGGCAAGCAUGACCAUAGUCACCUCUGCGCACCUGACCUUCGUAUUCUAAAGAGCACAGUAACGGGUGAUAGAAGUUUCAACAUGGGAGCUAUAAUUGCUAGGAGCUAAAUAAUAAUGCUAAUGAAGGGGAUUUCUUCGGUGGGAUAUAUGCCACUUGCAUAGCAAAUUCUCUUGGAAUAGCCAUCCGCACACGAGAUCCCCCGCUCCACACAACUUUCCUUGAUCGCGCUGCGAUGAUACGUUAUCAGUUCCUUGAGAGGGAUAAUGAAUCCCUCCUGCCUUCCUUGACUUUCAGGGAAAACAUAGAUAUUACAUAACCAUAGGAGAGGCAAAGGAGUAUGAGAGGGAGGUGAAGGCUGCUCUCCUCCAUGAGGCAGCUAUUCAGGCGGUAGCUGCCGCGUCCCAGUACAACCCCCAUUAUGAUUUUGGAUAUCGCCCGGACCAACCGUGGAACUAGACCAACUUAGGCCAAAAGCCUAAGCUUGGAGGAGCAUGUGUCUCUCACCGACUUUAUAUUCAUGCUCACACAUUCACUUUGAUAGUCAGUGUUCACACUCUUCCAUUGUAUCAUUCAUGCUAGUUUAUUUAUUUUUCUUGCAUUCUUCUAGUGUGUUUGUUUAAAAAUGGGAAAAACAAAAAAAUAGUUGUAAGUUUACUUUCCAGCAUGCUUAGUGGUAAUUAAAAAGAAAACCCAAAACGAUUUCCCGUUCUUCUUUUGCUUGUUGGGAGCUUUCCCGUGUAAAUAGUUUUCUUUUUCUUUGGGUCGAGGUAGAAGACCAUGAUUAAAAUGAUUAGUGGCUCUCGUAUGCGUUAUUGUUUAUCCGUCAAAGAGCCAUAUUACUUUGUCUUCUCCUCUGAAUUUGCUUGCAGAUUCCAGCUUAGUCUAAUGCAUGAACACUCUUAUUAUUAUUCACAUCAUUCGGUCAUGCAAGUGAAAGGCAAUAAUGAUGAUAUAUGAUGUAGUGACUGAGCCUGGAAAAGCUGGUAUGAACUCGACCUUUUUUUGUAAAUAUGACUAGCUCAUCGUUCCUAAUUCAGCAUUGUUAUGAGAGAAACAUGUUUGCAAUGAUAACUUAGAGAUCAUAGUUUCUGAUGCCAUGCUUAAUUAGCUAGGAGCUUAUAAUGGUUUGUCUUGGAUGCCAACAUGAAUUUCAAGAUGAUUAUGAUGUAGUAUGAUAGGAUGGUAUCCUCCUUUGAAUGAUUCAAGUGGCUUGACUUGGCACAUGUUCACGCAUGUAGUUGAAACAAAAUCAACAUAGCCUCUACGAUAUUCAUGUUUAUGGUGAUUUAUAUCCUACUCAUGCUUGCACUCAACAUUGGUUAAUUUCAAUGCAUAUUGAUGAUUGUUGUCGCUCUCAGUUGGUCACUUCCCAGUCUUUUGCUAGCCUUCACUUGUACUAAGCGGGAAUACUGCUUGUGCAUCCACUUCCAUAAACCCAAAGUUGUUCCAUAUGAGUCCACCAUACCUACAUAUAUGCGGUAUCUACCUGUCGUUCCAAGUAAAUUUGCAUGUGCCACUCUCUAAAUCUUCAAAUAAUAAUCUGUUUUGUAUGCCCGAACCGCUCAUGUGGUGACAAGGGGCGGUCAGUAUCUUCCAUGCUAGGUGUCUUAUCCUCGAUACGUGUUUAUUCACUAUCACUCACGAGAAAGGGGUCGGUAAUCGGAAUGCCCAGUUCCAUGCUCAAAUCAAAUAAAAAAUAUAAUUGCAAACAAAACUCCCCCUGGAUUGUUGUUGGUAUGGACGGCAUCCGAGGAUUCGGCUAGUCGUGGAGUGUGAUUGAUCGGUGGUGGGGGAGUCAAACUUUAAUAUUCUGUUUGGGAACCGCCUAUAAUAUGUGUAGCAUUGAAGAUGGUGAAAACUCUUGGUCAUCGCGUUGACAAUGAAAGCAUGCCACCCAAAAUUAGUUAUCUCUGUUUGAAAAAGCUUGAGCUCUGGCACCUCUGCAAAUCAAUUCUUCCCUUUGCGAAGGGCCUAACUAUUUACGUUUAUGUUGAGUCAUCCUCUUCUUAUUAAAAAGCACCAGUUAGAGGGCACCUCCUUCAUUUAUAUGCUUUGCUAUUAAUUGAUAUUGAGUAUGACUGUGACUGGAUCUUCUUUGCCAUGAAUUACAAUUUCCAGUCGGCCUUUGGUCUUUGAAGGUGCUGUGCAUUUAUGUUUUGUGGUCUCAGAAAGGGCUAGCGAGAUACCAUUUAUUCAUAUUGUAUCAUGAUUAUUUUGAUUGCAGUGUUGAUGUUUGAAACUUAUUAUUAUUGCUCGCUAGUUAAUUACGACAUUGAUAUGAGUAUACCAUGACACCUAAAUGUCAUUGCUUAUGUGGUUAGCUUAUGAUCUUGCUGAAAAUCUGAAUAUGAGUUAGACAUAAUUACAACAACAAGAUCAAACAGAGUUCGUAAAAGUUUUUCUUUUGUCUCUUUCAGUUUAUCAACUGAAUUGCUUGAGGAAAAGCAAGGCUUUAAGCUUGGGGGAGUUGAUACGUCUUUAAUGUAUCUACUUUUCCAAACUCUUUUGCCCUUGUCUUGGACUCUAAUUUGCAUGAUUUGAAUGAAACUAACUCGGACUGACGCUGUUUUCAGCAGAACUAUCAUGGUGUUGUUUUUGUGCAGAAAUAAAAGUUCUCGAAAUGACCUGGAAACUUACGAGGAUUUUUUAUGGAAUAUAUAUAAAAUAUCAGAGAAAGAAUCAACUGAAGAUACGCUGCCAAUGGGCCACGUGCCCUACAGGUGCCCCCCUAGGGCGCGCCUAGCAGGCUCGUGGGGCCCAUGUAGCUCCCCCGACUUCAUCUCCAACUCCAUAUAACCUCUCUCGCCCAGAAAAAAUAGGAGAGAAGAGUUCAUCACGUUUCAUGAUACGGAGCUGCCGCCAUCGCCUGUUCUUCCUCGGGAGGGCAGCUCUGGAGUCCGUUCUAGGCUCCGGAGAGGGGAAAUCGACGCCGUCGUCAUCAUCAACCAUCCUCCAUCGUCAAUUCCAUGAUGCUCUCCAUCGUUCGUAAGUAAUCUUAUCGUAGGCUUGCUGGAGGGUGAUGGGUUGGAUGAGAUCUAUCAUCUAAUCGAGUUAGUUUUGAUGGGGUUUGAUCCCUAGUAUCCACUAUGUUCUAAGAUUGAUGUUGCUACUACUUUGCUAUGCUUAAUGCUUGUCGCUAGGGCCCGAGUGCCAUGAUUUCAGAUAUGAACCUAUUAUGUUUUCAUCAAAAUAUGUGUGUUCUUGAUCCUAUCUUGCAAGUUGUAGUCACCUACUAUGUGUUAUGACCAGGCAACCCCAGAGUGACAAUAGCCGGAACCACUCCCGGAGAUGACCACAGUAUAAGGAUCCCAUGUAUUCACUAUGUGCUAAUGCUUUGUUCCGGUUCUCUAUUAAAAGGAGACCUUAAUAUCCCUUACUUUCCAUUAGGACCCCGCUGCCACGGGAGGGUAGGACAAAAGAUGUCAUGCAUGUUCUUUUCCAUAAGCAUGUAUGACUAAAUAUGGAAUACACGCCUACAUUACAUUGACGAACUGGAGCGAGUUACAUAUCACCCUAUGUUAUAACUGUUACAUGAUGAAUGCCAUCCGUCAUAAUUAUCCAUCACCGAUCCAAUGCCUACGAGCUUUUCCUAUACUGGUCCUUGCUAAGUUACUUUACCGCUACUGCUGUCACACUUGCUAUACAAAUUACUACUGCUACUGUUACCGCCGCUACCGUUACUAUCAUACUACUUUGCUACUAAAACUUUGAUGCAGAUACUAAGUCUUUCAGGUGUGGUUGAAUUGACAACUCAACUGCUAAUACUCAAGAGUAUUCUUUCGCUCCCCUUGUGUCGAAUCAAUAAAUUUGGGUUGAAUACUCUACCCUCGAAAACUGUUGCGAUCCCCUAUACUUGUGGGUUAUCAGCUGCAUACGACGUGGGCGACAGUCAGGGCGGCGCCCCUGCCAUGCGGUGGCUGGAGUCUCCAUGGUCGGCGGUGUGGCGGCUGCAUGCACAUAGAUGGCUUUUUUGACCGUGGAUCUGGCGUCCUGUCCAGAUCCGUCUCGGUUUGGCCUUGGCCGACCGGUGGCGGGAGGGAGGACCGGUGAGGGGCGGGAGGAUCCCUGCCGGCAUGCCGACGGUGGCCCUCGACUCCGUGGCGAGUCUCCGUUCGGUUCCACAUAGCUGCGAGUUCGGGGUAACAUGACUUCCGAUAAAAAUCGCGCCGACUUCGGUCUUGGCGGACGAUCGCAACGUCUAGGACGUCGUUCUCUUCUCGAGGAGUCGUUGUUGCAAGUCGUGGCACCACACUCGGAUGAUGCUUCGGGGGAAAUCCUAGAUCUGGAUUUACUGUAUCAGACGAUGGUGGCACCUUCGAUGCCGUUGACCCUCCCGGGAGCAUCAUUUUGGAGCAAAUUCUGGUUGUACAUGACAAGCGAAGGAGCGGUGUCGCAUUCAUCGCGAGGCCGACGGCGGAUCCCGGUGGCAUGGCGAUGCGGAGGUUCGGUGACAGGAGCAUGUGGACGAAUACGUGCAGGAUGGUGGAGUUGUUUGGUGUCAUGGUGGCACUGACGACGGGCCACGCAAGGUCGAUGCGUCAGUUCCUGCUCUAGGGAUGGACCGACGGAAGAUGGAGGUGGCAGCCUCUGAGAGUGCGUAGGACUGGAUGGACCCAGUCCUGAUGUGUGGCUGGGCUGGGGCAUCCGGCUAUAGAUGUUAGGUUUUGGUGCGAUAUCUAUUUGGUAUUUGGCCCGGAUAUUCAGCACACCUUCAUCAAGGGAAUAUGAGUAGCAACAAGUGUUUUCUAGAUGGUGGUGAUACGUCUCCAACGUAUCUAUAUUUUUUGAUGGUUCCAUGCUAUUAUCUUGUCAAACUUUGGAUGUUUUGUAUGCCUUUUAUAUCUUUUUUGGGACUAACUUAUUAACUCAGUGCCAAGUGCCAGUUCCUGCUUUUUUCCGUGUUUUUGACCUUAUCAGAGGACAAUAUUAAACGGAGUCCAAAUGGAAUAAAACCACUGAAAAGAUUUUUUUCCGGAACAGAAGUUACGUAGUGAGCUUGAGAACCAAGGCAGAGGGCGCGAUGGGAGGCCACCAGCCCCCUAGCCGCGGCCUGGGGGGCGCGCCUAGCAGGCUUGUGGCCCCCCUGUGGCUCCUCUACCCUACUUCUUCCGCCUAUAAAUCCCCGAAAAAUCCAAAACCACGGGAGAGAUCCACGAAAAUACUUUUCCGCCGCCGCAAGCUUCUGUCUCCGCAAGAUCCCAUCUAGGGCACGUUCUGGUGCCCUGUCGGAGGGGGGGAUUCGGAUAUGGAGGGCUUCUUCAUCAACACCAUUGCCUCUCUGAUGAUGCGUGAGUAGUUCACCAUAGACCUUCGGGUCCAUAGCUAGUAGCUAGAUGGCUUCUUCUCUCUCUUGGAUCUUCAAUACAAAGUUCUCCAUCAUCUUCAUGGAGAUCUAUGCGAUGUAAUCUUCUUUUGCGGUGUGUUUCUCGAGAUCCGAUGAAUUGUGGAUUUAUGAUCAGAUUAUCUAUGAAUCUUAUUUGAGUUUCUUCUGAUCUCUUAUAUGCAUGAUUUCAUAUCCUUGUAAUUUUCUUCGAGUUGUGGGUUUUGUUUGGCCAACUUGAUCUAUGAUUCUUGCAAUGGCAGAAGUGCUUGGUUUUGGGUUCAUACCGUGCGGUGACCUCACCCAGUGACAGAAGGGGUAGCGAGGCACACGUCAUGUUAUUGCCAUCAAGGGUAAAAAGAUGGGGUUUAUAUCUAUUGCAUGAAUUUAUCCCUCUACAUCAUGUCAUCUUGCUUAAGGCGUUACUCUGUUUGUCAUGAACUCAAUACACUAGAUGCAUGUUGGAUAGCGGUCGAUGUAUGGAGUAAUAGUAGUAGAUGCAGAAAGUAUCGUCUACUUGUCUCAGACGUGAUGCCUAUAUGUAUGAUCAUUGCCUUAGAUAUCGUCAUGACUUUGUGUGGUUCUAUCAAUUGCUCGACAGUAAUUCGUUCACCCACCGUAAUAUUUGCUAACUUGAGAGAAGCCUCUAGUGAACACUAUGGCCCCCGGGUCUACUUCACAUCAUAUUUUCAGCCCUACACUUUUACUUUGUUGCACUUUCCGCCUUCAGAUCUCACCUUGCAAUCAAUCGUGAAUGGAUUGACAACCUCUUUGUAACGUUGGGUGCAAGUUUGUUGUUUUUGCGCAGGUACAUUGGUGCCUCAUCUUGAUACUCCUACUGGAUUGAUACCUUGGUUCUCAAACUGAGGGAAAUACUUACUGCUACUGUUCUGCAUCACCCUUUCCUCUUCAAGGGAAAAAAACAACGCAAGCUCAAGAGGUAAUAAGAAGAAUUUCCCGCGUCGUUGCCGGGGAGGAGGAUCAAGUCAAGAAUAGUCUCCCGUCAACGUGCCAAUUUCUGGCGCCGUUGCCGGGGAGCAUCAAGUGAAGCUUAUCCAAGUAACCGUCCCAAACCCAUCUCUUGCAUUUACUUUUUUGCCUCUCGUUUUCCUCUCCCCCACUUUUGAAAAACAAAAUUUACAAAAAUAUUUGCCUUUCCUUUGCCUAUGUGCUAUGUGCCUUCAAUAUGCUUGCAUCGUCGCUUGCUGAAAAUCUAGUGAUAUGGAUCCUCGCCCACAUGCUAAUCUCUUUAAGAGAUCCAAUUAUGUUGAACCAUUUGCUAGUGAGUUGAGUGCACUUGACUUUCUCUAUGGAGUUUUGCUUGAGAUGCGUGAAUCUGAAAAUCAUGAUGAAGAAAUUUAUGAAGUGAUUCACGAGGGCUCCUUGAAUGAAAAGCAUGAUUGCAAUGAUUUCAUUAUAAAUUCUAUUAAUGACAAUCAUGCUAAAAAUAUGCAAAACCCCAAGCUUGGGGAUGCUGGUUUUGCUAUGCCCACUACUUGUUGCAAUGAUCAUGAUUGGGGUAAUCAUUUUUCUUAUGAUCUUGAAAAUUUGUUUAAGCCUCAUGAUGAAUAUGAUACUUCCAAUGAUAUUGAAAGUGGGUUUGGAGAAGUCAUGACUUUAGUUGAUGAUAAUCCCACUAUUUUUGAAGAGCGUCAACUUUGCAUGCAUGUGGAUCAUGAAAAGAAUAUCCUAUGUGAUAGCUAUAUUGUUGAAUUUGAUUAUGAUCCCACAUGCAAUUGUUAUGAGAGAGGAAAAUAUUGUGGUAGAAACUUUCAUAUCACUAAAUUACCUCUCGUUAUGUUGAGAUUGAUGUUGUCUCUUUCUUCUUCCUUGCAUAUGGUAACUAUUGGUUGUCUUGACAAUCUGUUUUCCUAUAAAAUGCCUAUGCAUAGGAAGUAUGUUAGACUUAGAUGUGAUUUUCACAUGCUUUAUGAUGCUCUCGUUGUGCUUCAAUUCUUGUCUUUCGUGUGAGCAUCAUUGAAUUAUCAAUGCCUAGCUAAGGGUGUUAAACAAUAGCGCUUGUUGGGAGGCAACCCAAUGAAUUUAUCUUUGCUUUUUUGCUUUAUGUUUUGUUGUGUCCACACCAUCAUAAUUCUGUUAUGAUUGUGUUUUUUGUGUUUCUUUUUGUGUUUGAGCCAAGUAAAACAUUUAUGACUAGUUUUGGUGAUGGUUGAUUGAUCAUGCUGGAAAAAGACAGAAACUUUUCGCUCACGAAAUUAUUUUUCAUUUUUAUCUAGAAAGAGAUUUUGUGUUGAUUAUUUUUUAUGAUGGUUUAUAUGCCAAUUGCCCAAACUUUCAUAAUUUUUCAGUAUUUGUGAGAUAACAGAAGUAUACGAAGUAUACAGAUUGCUACAGACCGGUCUGUUUUUAACAGAUUCUGUUUUGUUGUGUUAAUUGCUUAUUUUGAUGAAACUAUGGAUAGUAUCGGGGGUACUAGCCAUGGAAACGUGAGAAUGCAGUAAUCUAGCACCAAUAUAAAUACAAAUCAAGUUUGCUACAGUACCUCAAGAGGUGGUAGUUUGUUUUCUUGUGCUAAUGAUAUCACGAGUUUCUGUUUAAGUUUUGUGUUGUGAAGUUUUCAAGUUUUGGGUGAUGUUCUCAUGGACAAAGGGAUAAAGAGUGGAAAGAGCUCAAGCUUGGGGAUGCCCAAGGCAUCCCAAGCCAAAUUCAAGGACACCAAACAUCCUAAGCUUGGGGAUGCCCCGUGAAGGCAUCCCCUCUUUCGUCUUCAAUCCAUCGGUAACAUUACUUGGAGCUAUAUUUUUAUUCUCAAAAUGAUAUGUGUUUUACUUGGAGCAUCGUGUAUUAUAGGAGUCUUUUAUUUUUGUUGUGUCACAAUCAUCCUUGCUGCACAACUUUUGAGAGAGACAUGCACUCAUCGUGAAUUUGCUAGAAUACUCAUUGAGCUUCGCUUAUAUCUUUUGAGUUAGGCAAUUUAGCUCACAUGUGCUUCACUUAUAUCUUUUGAGCUAGAUAACUUUGCUCUAAGUGCUUCACUUAGAUCUUUUAGAGCAGGGCGGUGUCACAUUUUGGAGAAAUAAGAACUGUCGAUCUUCACUUAUAUCUUUUUGAGAGUGCUCUCUCUCAGUAACUUGGUAGUUGGCUUGUGCUAUGAAAGUAGUCCCAAAGAUCAUAGGCAUCCAAAGAGGAUAGAAUAAAACUUCCAUAUUCAUGUGCAUUGAUUAGAAAGAGAGGUUUGAUUCCUCUCAAUUAGUUUUGAGACAUGGAUUUGGUAAUAUUAAGAGUUAUGUUAGUAGGGUGUUGUAAAUCUAGAAAUACUUGUGUUGAAGUUAGUGAUUCCCAUAACAUGCACGUAUGAUGAACCGCUAUGUUAGGAAGUCGGAGCAUAAUUGAUUUAUUGAUUCUCAUCCUUUGUGUUGCGGUCGGGAUCGCGUGAUGGUUAACACCUACCAACCCUUUCCCUGGGAGUAUGCGUUUAGCACUUUGUUUUGAUUACUAAUAAAAACUUUCGCAAUAAGUAUGUAGGUUCUUCAUGACUAAUGUGAGUGCAUGGUAUAGAUGCACUUUCACUUUCCACCAUUGCUAGUCUCUCUAGUGCCGCGCAACUUUCGCCGGUGCACAAACACACCAUAUACCUUCCUCAAAACAGCCACCAUACCUACCUAUUAUGGAAUUUUCAUAGCCAUUCCGAGAUAUAUUGCCAUGCAACUCCCACCGUUCCGUCUCAUGGCAUGUUUUUCCAUGAGAGUCCACCAUACCAACCUAUUUGCGGUAUCUACCUGCCGUUCCAAGUAAAUUUGCAUGUGCCAUUCUCUAAACCUUCAAGAAAUAAAUUUGUUUUGCAUGCCCGAAUCGCUCAUGUGGUGACAGAGGGCUAUUGGUAUCUUCCAUGCUAGGAGUGUUAUCCUCGACAUGUGUUUAUUCUCAGUCAUUCACGAGAAAGGGGCCGGUAUUUGGGAUGCCCACUUCCAUGCUUAAAUCAAAAACAUAACUGUAAAACAAGACUCCCCCCAGAUUGAUUUUAGUAUGGACGGUACCCGAGGAUUCGGCUAGCCGUGGAGUGUGAUUGAUUGGUGGUGGGGGAGUUAAAAGUUUACUUUUCUGUUUGGGAACCGCCUAUAGCAUGAGUAGCAUGGAAGAUAUUGAGAACUCUUGGUCAUUCCGUUGACAAUGAAAGCAUGCCACCCAAAAUUAUUAUCUCUGUUUUCAAAGCUUGAGCUCUGGCACCUCUACAAAUCAAUGCUUCCCUCUGCGAAGGGCCUGUCUAUUUAUUUUCCUGUCGAGUCAUCCUCCUCUUUUAUAAGCACCAAUUAGAGAGCACCUCUCUCAUUUUUAUGCUUUGCUUUUGAUUGAUAUUGAAUAUGACUAUGACUGGAUCUUCGUUGCUAUUAAUUACAAUGUUUUGUCAGCCCUUGAUCUUUGAAAGUGCUCUGCAUUUAUGUUUUGCGGUCUCAGAAAGAGCUAGCGAGAUACCACCUAUUCAUAUUGCUUCAUGCUUGUUUUGAUUGAAGUGUUGGUAUUUGAAAAUCAUUAUUAUUUGCUCGUUAGCUGAUUAUGCCAUUGAUAUUAGUUUACCGUGAGACCUUUGUGUCAUUUGCUUAUGUGGUUAACUUGUGAUCUUGCUGAAAUUAUGGUUAUGACUUAGACAUAGUUGCAACAACAAGAUCAAACAGAGUUUGUCAAAGUUUUUCUUUCUCUCUCAGUUUGUCAACUGAGUUGCUUGAGGACAAGCAAGGUUUUAAGCUUGGGGGAGUUGAUACGUCUCCAACGUAUCUACUUUUCCAAACUCUUUUGCCCUUGUUUUGGACUAUAAUUUGCAUGGUUUGAAUGGAACUAACCUGGACUGACGCUAUUUUUAGCGGAAUUGCCUUGGUGUUAUUUUUGUGCAGAAAUCAAAGUUCUCCAAACGUCCUGAAAAUUUACAGGGAGCAGUUUUGGAAACUAUCAAAAAUAUCUGCGCCAAGUUCCACCUCCGGGGGUGGGCCAGUGGGCCACAAGCCCCUGCUCCGCCACCACCCCACUGGUGGCGGUGGGCGGGCUUGUGGGGCCCACAGGCACCCGCCGCCCCCAAAUCCAGCUCUAUAAGUUGCCUUUCAUCCCAGAAAAAAUAAAAAGAGAAGUUUUCGUCGCGUUUUCGAUACGGAGGCGUCGCCACCUCCUGUUCUUCAUCUCGAGGGCAGAUCUGGAGUCCGUUUUGGGCUCCGGAGAGGGGAAAUCGUCGCCAUCGUCAUCAUCAACCUUCUUCCCUCUCCAAUUCCAUGAAGCUCUUCGUCGUUCGUGGGUAAUCUAUUCGUAGGCUCGCUGGGCGGUGAUGAGUAGGAUGAGAUCUGUCAAGUAAUCGAGUUAGUUUUGAUGGGGAUUGAUCCCUAGUAUCCACUAUGUUCUGAGAUUUGAUGUUGCUACUACUUUGCCAUGCUUAAUGCUUGUCACUAGGGCCCGAGUGCCAUGAUUUCAGAUCUGAAAUUAUUAUGUUUUCACCAAUAUAUGUGUGUUUUAGAUCCGAUCUUGCAAGUUGUAGUUACCUACUAUGUGUUAUGAUCCGGCAACCCCGGAGUGACAAUAACCGGAACCACUCCCGGUGAUGACCAUAGUUUGAGGAGUUCAUGUGUUCACCAAGUGCUAAUGCGUUGGUUCGGUUCUUUAUUAAAAGGAGAACCUUAAUAUCCCGUAGUUUCCUUUUGGACCCCGCUGCCAUGGGAGCGAUGGACAAUAGAUGUCAUGCAAGUUCUUUUCCCUAAGCACGUAUGACGACACACGGAAUGCAUGCCUACAUCACAUUGACGAACGGGAGCUAGCCACAUAUCUCUCCGUGUUAUAGCUGUUGCAUGAUGAAUAUCACCCAAACAAAUCACCGACCAUUGCCUACGAGUUUGUCCUGCUACUGUUGUUACUUGUCUUGCUCUGUUGCUACUACUGUUGCUACUCCUGUUACUUGUCUUGCUCUGCUGCUGCCACUGCUGUUGCUACUGCUGUUACUUGUCUUGCUCUGCUGCUGCUACUACUGUUGCUACUGUUGUCACUUGUUUUGCUCUGCUGCUGCUCUACUACUGUUGCUACUACUGUCGCUUGCUACUGUUGCUACUUGCUACUGCUGUCACUACUGUUGUUCCUUGCCACUGCUAUUGCUCGUUACACUGCUACUACCUGCUACACUGUUGAUUCGCUAGACGUUGACGGGAAUUGACAACUUCCGUCGACGCGCAACGAAGGCGCCAUUGACAAUUGUUAGGAAUAGUCUGCCGUCAACAGAUCGUUUCUCACAUCAUUGUUAUCAUACUACUUUGUUGUUACUACUGUGCUUGCAGAUACUAAUCUUUCAGGUGUGGUUGAAUCCAACAAAUUCAGCUGCUAAUACUCGAGAGUAUUCUCUCACCUCCUUCAGGCGAUCUACAAAUUUGGGUCGAAUACUCUACCCUCGAAAACUGCUGCGAACCCACGCGCUGGUGGGGCGUCAACAACAUUCUUCUAGUUUCAUUACCGGGGAGUGCUAUCAGCAUUCUUCUGGUGCCGUUGCAGGAGAAGGUUUGUUGUCAUAAGCAUUCGUCUAGCUAACGUGAGAGAUUGCGCGAUCACUCCUCUGCCCUACUUCUUCCGCCUAUAAAUCCCCUAAAAAAUCCAAAACCAUGGGAGAGAUCCACGAAAAUACUUUUGCGCCGCCGCAAGCUUCUGUCUCCGCAAGAUCCCAUCUGGGGCAUGUUCUGGUGCCCUGACGGAGGGGGGAUUCGGAUACGGAGGGCUUCUUCAUCAAAACCAUUGCCUCUCCGAUGAUGCGUGAUUAGUUCACCAUAGACCUUCGGGUCCAUAGCUAGUAGCUAGAUGGCUUCUUCUCUCUCUUGGAUAUUCAAUACAAAGUUCUCCAUGAUCUUCAUGGAGAUCUAUCCGAUGUAAUCUUCUUUCGCGGUGUGUUUGCCGAGAUCCGAUGAACUGUGGAUUUAUGAUGAGAUUAUCUAUAAAUCUUAUUUGAGUUUCUUCUGAUCUGUUAUAUGCAUGAUUUCAUAUCCUUGUAAUUCUCUUCGAGUUGUGGGUUUUGUUUGGUGAUACGUCUCCGUUGUAUCUACUUUUCCGAACUCUUUUGCCCUUGUUUUGGACUCUAAUUUGCAUGAUUUGAAUGGAACUAACCCGGACUAACGCUGUUUUUAGCAGAAUUGCCAUGGUGUUGUUUUUGUGCAGAAAUAAAAGUUCUCAGAAUGUCCUAAAAAUUUACGGAGAAUUUUUCCAGAAUUAAUGAAAUAUACGUGCGCAAAGAUCCACCGGAGGAGGUGGGCCAGUGGGCCACAAGCCCCUAGGCCGCGGCCACCCCCCCUGGCCGCGACGUGAGGGCUUGUGGGGCCCACAUGGCAGCACCGCCUCCAAACUCAGCUCUAUUUAUUCUGUCUCACUCGGAAAAAAAUCAGAGAGAAGGAUUCAUCGCGUUUUAUGAUAUGGAGGCGCCGCCACCUCCUGUUCUUCAUCUGGAGGGCAGAUCUAGAGUCCGUUCUGGACUCCGGAGAGGGGAAAUCAUCGCCAUCGUCAUCAUCAACCUUCCUCCAUCGACAAUUCCAUGAUGCUCUUCACCGUUCGUGAGUAAUCUCAUCGUAGGCUUGCUGGAUGGUGAUGAGUUGGAUGAGAUCUAUCAUGUAAUCGAGUUAGUUCUGAGAUUAAUGUUUCGAGUUAAUGCUUGUCACUAGGGCCCGAGUGCCAUGAUUUCAGAUCUGAACCUAUUAUGUUGUCGCCAAUAUAUGUAUGUUUUAGAUCCUAUCUUGCAAGUUGUAGUCACCUACUAUGUGUUAUGACCCGGCAACCCCGGAGUGACAAUAGUCGGAACCACUCCGGAGAUGACCAUAGUAUGAGGAGUUCAUGUAUUCACCAAGUGUUAAUGCGUUGGUCCAGUUCUUUAUUAAAAGGAGAAUCUUAAUAUUCCGUAGUUUCCAUUAGGACCCCGCUGCCACGGGAGGGAUGGACAAUAGAUGUCAUGCAAGUUCUUUUCCCUAAGCACGUAUGACUACAUACGGAAUACAUGCCUACAUUAGAUUGACGAACGGGAGCUAGUUACUUAUCUCUCCAUGUUAUAACUGUUACAUGAUGAAUCACAUCCGUCAUACUCAUCCAUCACCGAUCCACUGCCUACGAGUCUUUUACUACUGGUCCUUUCUACAUUACUUUGUCGCUACUAUUGUUGCUACUUCUGUUACUCUGCUGUUACUACUGCUGUUGCUGCUGCUGCUGCUGUCACUACUGUUGUUCCUUGCUACUGUUGUCACUACUGCUGUUACUUUGCUGCUACUUGUCGCAAUACUUUUCUGGAGCUGUUGCCGGGGAAGAAUAGUUCCCCGUCCAAGUGCUAUUUACUGGCGCCAUUGAUACAACAGUUAGGAAUAGUCUGCCAUCAACAGAUAUUUUUCUGACACCGUUGCUAUCAUACUACUUUGCUACUGAUACUUUGCUUGCAGACACUAAUCUUUCAGGUGUGGUUGAAAUUGACAAACUCAGCUGCUAAUACUUGAGAAUAUUCUUUUGCUUCCCUUUGUGUCGAAUCAAUAAAUUUGGGUUGAAUACUCUACCCUCGAAAACUGUUGCGAUCCCCUACACUUGUGGGUUAUCAAAACUAUUUUCUGGCACCGUUGCCGGGGAGGCACAACUAUAUUCUCUGAGUCACUUGGGAUUUUUGUCUGCUGAUCACUAUGAGGAAUCCGAAAGAUCCAAGAACUAAAAUCUUGCCUUCCACUACGAGGAGAGGUAAGGAACUGCCAUCUAGCUCUGCACUUGAUUCACCUUCAGUUAUGAGUAAGUUUGCGACAUCGCCUCCUGCUAGAAAUCUUGAUAUGUCGCAUGUGCUUGAUGAUGCUACUUCUGCUGCCCAUGAUGCUUAUGAUGAUGAUAUACUUGAUACUAUGCCUGAUGAUGCUAUGCUUGAUACUAUGCCUGAUGAUGCUAUGCUUGAUACUAUGCCUGAUGAUGCUAUGCUUGAUACUAUGCCUGAUGAUUCUACGCUUGAUACUUUGCCUGAUGAUGCUAUGCUUGAUACUAUGCCUAAUACUGCUUUGCCACUAGGUGCAUUCCUUGAUGCACAAAUUGCUAGAGUUGCUGAUAGACGUGAUGAUAUUUCUGAAACUACUGAUACUAUUGAAGUAGAACCUGCUACUAUGCCUGAAUUGCUUGUUAUGCCUGAGCGCUAUGUUAUGGAGAGAGAGAUAGCUGAGGACUUUCUUGCAUGUAAGGAUAGCUAUAAUGUUGAGAAAUUACUGCUCAAGUGGAAAGAAAAAUCUCUGAACGCUAGGAUGAAAUACGACCCGAAGUUUUCUACUUCGCCUAUCUUUGUGACCGAUAAGGAUUAUGAAUUCUCUAUCGACCCUGAGUUAAUCACUCUAGUCGAAUCUGAUCCUUUUCAUGGUUAUGAGUCUGAAACGGUUGUAGCACAUCUUACCAAACUACACGAUAUAGCCACACUAUUCACUAGUGAGGAAAAGAUUCGCCACGACUAUAUCCUCAAGUUGUUUCCUUUCUCGCUAAAGGAUGAUGCUAAGACCUGGUUCACUUCCCUUUCUCCUAGUUGUGUGCGUAGCCCCCAGGAUAUGGUCUACUACUUCUCUGAAAAAUAUUUCCCUGCCCAUAAGAAGCAAGCUGCCUUGCAGGAAAUAUACAACUUUGCUCAAGCUGAAGAAGAGAGUCUCCCACAAGCUUGGGGGAGGCUCAUCCAGCUACUUAAUGCUUUGCCUGAUUACCCUCUUGAGAAGAAUGAAAUACUUGAUAUCUUCUAUAAUGGACUUACCGAUGCUUCCAAAGACCACCUAGAUAGUUGUGCCAGUUGUGUUUUUAGGGAACGAACUGUAGAACAAGCUGAGAUCCUACUGAAUAACAUCUUGUGCAAUGAGAAUGCUUGGACUAUUCCCGAACCACCUCCUAAGCCAACUCCGAAGAAAAGAGGUAUUAUAUUCCUCAGUCCUGAAGAUAUGCAAGAAGCCAAGAAAUCUAUGCGAGAGAAAGGCAUUAAAUCUGAAGAUGUCAAAAAUCUACCACCUAUCGAAGAGAUCCAUGGUCUCGAUAACCCGAUACAGGUAGUAGAAGUAAAUUCUCUGCGUAGGUUUGAUGAGAGUGAUAUUCCUUUUGAUAAACCUGCUAGCUUAUGCAUGGAUGAAUUUGAUAACUUUGUUGCCAAACAACAAAGUUUCAAUGAUUAUGUUAGCAGACAAUUCGAAUAAAAUGCUCGUAUGCUUAGUCAUUUAAGUGCUUGUGUGGACAGAAAUGUCAAUGAUCUUAAGCUUCUCAGUAAGCAUGCCUCUAUGGUUACUACUCAGGUAGAACAAGUACUUAAAGCUCAAAAUGACUUGCUCAAUGAGUUGAAUGACAAUUCCGUUAGAGUCGUUACUAGAGGCGGUAGAAUGACACAGGAACCUUUGUAUCCUGAGGGUCAUCCGAAGAGAAUUGAACAAGAUUCUCAAGGAGUUAGCACUCAUGCACCUAGUCAUCCUAGAAAGAAGAAGAAAGAUGAUAGGAACCUGCAUGCUAGCAACCCUGUUGCUGCUACACCUGAGAGUCCAAACAAUGCCUCUGUCUCUGAUGUUGAAACACAAUCUGGUGAUGAACAUGAGCCUAAUGAUAAUAUCAAUAGUGAUGUUCAUGAAUAUGCUCAACCUAGCAAUGAUAAGGAUGUGGAGAUUGAACAUGUUGAUCUUGAUAACCCACAGCCUAAGACUAAGAGGUACAAUAAGAAUGACUUCGCUGCUAGGAAGCACGGUAAAGAAAGGGAACCAUGGGUUCAUAAACCUAUGCCCUUUCCUCCCAAACCAUCCAAGAAAAAGGAAGAUGAGGAUUUUGAGCAUUUCGUUGAAAUGAUCAGACCUGUCUUUCUGCAAAUGCGUUUGACAGAUAUGCUCAAAAUGUCUCUGUAUGCUAAGUACAUGAAAGAUAUUGUGACUAAUAAGACGAGGAUACCUGAGGUUGAGAUUUCCACCAUGCUUGCUAACUAUACCUUCAAGGGUGGAACUCCCAACAAACUAGGUGAUCCCGGUGUGCCCACUAGACCUUGUUCCAUUAAGGGCAACUACGUUGUAACUGCUUUGUGCGACCUUGGAGCCGGUGUUAGUGUUAUGCCUCUAUCUCUUAAUCAUAGGCUUGAACUGGAUAAGUUGACACCCACUGAAAUCUCUCUGCAAAUGGCCGACAAAUCAAUUAACUUCCCUAUCGGCAUUUGCGAGGAUGUGCCUGUUGUGGUUGCUAACAUCACUAUCUUAACAGACUUCGUUAUCUUGGAUAUUCUUGAGGACGAUGCCAUGGCGGUCAUCCUCUGAAGACCCUUUUUAAACACUGCAGGGGCUGUUAUAGAUUGCAACAAAGGCAAUGUCACUUUCCAUGUCAACGGUAAUGAGCAUACGGUGCACUUUCCGAAGAAACAAUAUCGAGUACAUUGCAUCAAUGCUAUCGAAAAAACUUCAUCCAUUCUUAUUAGGAGCUUUGAAUGCCCUAUUCCUCGUGUCAAGAUGAAGUAUGAUUUGCUUGUUGGGGAGAUUCACAUCCCCAUUGAGGUAACCUAGUGACUAUUUGAAAAUUCUCCGUUCUCUUUUGCGAUUCGAAAAAAGUUUGUCAAAGAGACUUGAUCAACCUCACUACCAGAUUUCUUUCGAUGACCAUGAGAUGGAUGAAUCGAGGAGUCACAAACCUCUGUUCCAAGCUUUCACCUUCGGUUGCUUAGAACAAAAAUGAUAGAUUUAGUUUAGUUUUCCCUGUUUUCUGUUUUAGCGUCCGGUAAAAAAAGUAACCCGAAAAUCAAAGUUCUCCGAACGUCCUGAAAAUCAAGUAUGAUUUUUUCUGGAAUUUUUGAAAAAUUCUGAGACAAAGAGCUUGUCUCGGGGCUGCACCAGUGGGCCAUAAGCCCUUGGGGCGUGGGCACCCCCCUGGCCAGGCCACCCAAACUUGUGGGGCCCUAAGGCACCCGCUCCACUCAUUCUUGCUCUCAUCUGGUUCUCCUACCUCCACAAAAAAUCUUUCGCAGCUCAAACCCGUUUUCUUGCUCCUCUUGCUGGGAUUUUCGAUCUCCCUGCUCAAAUCACCGUUCUCCGAACUGUUUUGGGGAAAUUACUCCUUGGUAAGUGACUCCCCCAUUGGUCCAAUUAGUUUUGAUCUAGUGCCUUAUACUCCGUGCAUUUUUGCUGCCUUGGUGACCAUGUUCUUGACCUUUGCAUGCUAAUUCUAGCCGGUCCCAAGCAGUUUUGAUGCGUAAUAUGGCCUCUAGGAACUUGUUGGAGUAGUUUCUACGAGUUUUGUUGAGCCUUGUUCACUUUUCCUUAGAGUCACUAAAAAUUUCAGAAAUUUUCAGAGAUAGAAAAGGGAAAAGAUGAGGAGGUUCUUAAGAGGCUCAUCAAGCCGUGACCCCAAGGAUGAUGGAAGUGAGAAGAAGCCCAAGUAUCAGGUCCCUCGUGUCGCAGAAGUUCGAGCGUGUGAGUGGCCAAGCGACGUGUUCUUACGCGCCGCUGGAAUUUAUGAGGACUUUUAUUACUUGGUGGAAAAUGCAGGCCUUACCGCCUUCGUUGAAGAUAAGUGUCCGCAAUACCUCCUCCUCACUAAUAUCUUCGUUCAAAGCUUUAACUUCUAUCCGAGGAAGAAUCCUCCUAUGGGUGAGUUUAAACUUUAUGAUAUCCCCCCAACACAUGUCACUCCAGGAUUUUUGCAAUGUUUGCAAAUUGCCUUUUAUUGGGGAUAUUCAUUAACCUCGUCCACGGGACUUGGAAGCUUUCAUCGAUACAAUUGUUGUAGGAGAGGAGAGAGGAGUGUCUUGCGCUAGAGCUGCUAGCAUUCAUUUUCCCGUGCUUCGGUACUUCUCAUUAUUUGUGGGAAAAUGUUUGAUUGGUCAUGGGAAAGCUGGGUCACUUAGUUCCCCAGAUCUUGCGGUCUUGUGCGAAGCCCUUUAUAACGAUAAAACUUAUAGCUUAGGCGCUAGCUACUGCGACAACAGACCUUCCCUCACAACGGCGCCAGGAAUCCUGCUUCUACGGCUACGCCUAUAGGGACUUCCUUGGCAAAUAUGCAAAGGGUUUCCCCCGCGGCCUUGGAGCCUUGCGUUGGUGUUCCCUUGAAGAGGAAAGGGAGAUGUAGCACAGCGGCGGUAAGUAUUUCCCUCAAUUUGAGAACCAAGGUAUCAAUCCAGUAGGAGGAGCGUUUCACAAGUACGUGCACAAACACAAGGAGCUUGCACCCAACGCUAUGAAGGGGUUGUCAAUCCCUUAUAGAUUGUUUGCAAAGUAAGAACUGAAAAGCAAAGAGUAAACAAAGCAAAGUAAAAGCGAAACUGGAAACGAUAGUUGUGAAUAGACCCGGGGGGCGUAGUGUUGACUAGUGGCUUCUCUGAUGAAAGUAAGUAGACGGUGGGUGAACGAAUUACUAUCAAGCAAUUGAUAGAACCGCAGAAAGUCGUGACAUUAUCUAAGGCAAUGAUUAUAUCUAUAGGCAUCACGUCCAAAACAACUAGACCGAUACUUUCUACAUCUACUAUUAUUACUCCACACGUCGACCGCUAUCCAGCAUGCAUCUAGUGUAUUAAGUCCAAAAGAACAGAGUAACGCCUUAAGCAAGAUGACAUGAUGUAGAUGGACAAUCUCAUAUCUAUGAUAAAAGCCCAUUAAUGACCCACAAGUAUAGGGGGUCAAUCGUAGUCCUUUCGAUAAGUAAGAGUGUCGAACCAAACGAGGAGCAGAAGGCUCUGAUAAACGGAUUUCAGCAAGGUAAUAACUGCAAGCACUGAAAGUAGCGGUAACAAGUGAUUGUGUAGCGAGGUGAAACGUAGCAAGCAAAGAGUAACAAGUAACAAGUAGUAGCAACGGUGCAGCAAGUGGCCCAAUCCCUUUUGUAGCAAGGGACAAGCCUGAACAAAGUCUUAUAGGAGGAAAAACGCUCCCGAGGACACACGGGAAUUUCUGUCAUGCUAGUUUCAUCAUGUUCAUAUGAUUCGCGUUCAUUACUUUGAUAGUUUGAUAUGUGGGUGGACCGACGCUUGGGUACUGCCCUUACUUGGACAAGCAUCCCACUUAUGAUUAACCUCUCUCGCAAGCAUCUGCAACUACAAAAGAAGAAUUAAGACAAAGUCUAACCAUAGCAUUAAACUAGUGGAUCCAAAUCAGCCCCUCACGAAGCAACGCAUAGACUGGGGUUUAAGCUUCUGUCACUCCAGCAACCCAUCAUCUACUUACUCCUUCCCAAUGCAUUCCUCUAGGCCCAAAUAUGGUGAAGUAUUAUGUAGUCUACGUUCACAUAACACCACUAGAGGAAAAACAACAUACAACAUAUCAAAACACCGAACGAAUAUCAAAUUCACAUGACUAUUAUCAGCAUGACUUAUCCCAUGUCCUCAGGAACAAAAGUAACUACUCACAAAGCAUAAUCAUAAUCAUGAUCAGAGGUGUAAUGAAUAGCAUCAAGGAUAUGAACAUAAACUCUUCCACCAAGUAAUCCAACUAGCAUCAACUACAAAGAGUAAUCAACACUACUAGCAACCUUACAAGUACCAAUCGGAGUCGUGAGACGGAGAUUGGUUACAAGAAAUGAACUAGGGAUUGGAGAGGAGAUGGUGCUGAUGAAGAUGUUGGUGAAGAUGCCUCCCCUCCGACGAGAGGAGUGUUGGUGAUGACGAUGGCGAUGAUUUCCCCCUCCGGGAGGGAAGUUUCCCCGGCAGGAUCGUCCUGCCGGAGCUCUAGAUUGGAUCUGCUCAAGUUCCGCCUCAUGGCGGCGGCGAAACCACGAAAAAGCUUCCUUCUGAUUUUUUUCCAUACUAGGAUGUUUCAUAUAGCAAAAGAGGGGGGCUAGUGGGCCUUCAGGCAGCCCACAAGCCUGCCCUCCGCCACCAGGGGGGUGGUGGCGGUGGGCAAGCUUGUGGAGCCCUGGUGACCCCCCUCCGGUAGUUCUUUCGCCUAGUAUUUUUAAUAUAUUCUAGAAAAAAUCCACGUAAAUUUUUAGGGAAUUUGGAGAUGUGCAGAAUAGUGGACUAGGAUUUGCUCCUUUUCCAGUCCAGAAUUCCAACUACCUGAAUUCUCCCUCUUCAAAUAAUCCUUGCAAAAUAAGAGAGAAAAGGCAUAAAUAUGGUACCACAAGUAAUAUAACAGCCCAAAAAGCAAUAAAUAUCAACAUGAAAGCAUGAUGCAAAAUGGACGUAUCAACUCCCCCAAGCUUAGACCUCGCUUGUCCUCAAGCGAAAACCAAGUUCCAUAAACAUGUCCACAUGUUGAGGGACGAAGGUGUCGAUAAAACAUAAUACGGACAUGAGGACAUCAUGAUCACACAUAGAACAGCAAUUCAUCAUAAAGAUUCUUAUGGGAAAGUAACAAUUCCUUCAGAAAGCAAAGCAUGAAGCAAAAAACCUUACCGAGAAGUAACCAAGAAUUGUCCAUAAUCAUUGAAGCAAUUGCAAUUUAUCACAACAUCAGAAAGAGUCAAAUAAGAGCUUGUAAGGCAAACCCACAUACUCAAUCAUCUCUUUUGUUUUCCACAAUUGUUACAACUUAUGUGGUACUCAUGGUGUCAAAGUUUCAGCUGGACACACAGGAAGAUAGGGGCUUAUAGUUUUUCCUCCCAACCAUUUACCUCAAGGGUAAAGUCAACAACAAUAAAGCAUGAAUACUCAACUCCAAGUUGAUAUAUGAAUAUAGAUCUUUCCCAAGCAUGUGACGGUAGCCAAGACAAAGGCAAAAAGGGAAUUGGUGAAGAUCACCAUGACUCUUACAAGGGUAAAAAGUAAAGGUACAAGAUAGGCCCUUCGCAGAGGGAAGCAGAGGUUGUCAUGCGCUUUUGAUGUUUGAAUGCUUGUCCUCUUAGUGCGGAGGAACGUCACUUUAUAUUGCCUCCUGUGAUAAAGAACUUUAUUAUGCAGUCUGUCGCUUUUAUGUAUUCCUCAUCAUAGGUUCGUACAAAGCUUAUUUUCCACACACUAAUAGAUCAUACAUAUUAGAGAGCAAUUUUUAUUGCUUGCACCGAUGACAACUUACUUGAAGGAUCUUAUUCAAUCCUUAGGUAGGUAUGGUGGACUCUCAUGGCAAAACUGGUUGAAGGUUUAUGGAUGCACAAGUAGUAUCUCUACUUGGUGCGGGAGUUUUUGCUAAUAUGAGGUGGAAGCAAUCGUCACAUGCUAAGGGAUCUCUAAUCAUAUAACAUUGUUUGGAACCAAGCAAACACAAUUCAUUAUGUUGUCUUCCUUGUCCAACAUCUACUCCUAGGCAUGUAAUAGUUUGGUGAGUGCUCACAAUUGUAAAAAGUUGUCUAAGAUGAUAUAUUUAUAUGUGAACCUCUAUUUCCUUAUUACUUCUUAUUAAUUGCAACAAUGACUGAGGUCUAUAUUGAUUUAUUCUCAACAAGUUUCAAUCAUCAUACGUGUCAUAAGUGAAGUUAUCACUUUCCAUAAGAUCGUCUCAUGAUCUUUCAUGCUAUCGUUCUUUUCAUAAUUUUGAUCAUGGCACAAAGCAAAGCCCUUUGACUAAGAAACUCUUUAUUAUAUAGCUCGUAAGCUCGAAUACAACGGGGGAGAGACAAAAGCAAAAGACUCAAACUAAAAACUAAAGACUUAGUCCUCUAAAAGAAGAAAUAAAAACUAAAAAGGAAAGAACUAAAACAAAGGUAAAAGCAAAAGAUAUAAAGGUGAUACAAUACCACGGCAACUCCCCCAAGCUUGGCAGAAGCCAAGGGGAUUGCCCAUACCAAUGCUUAGUUGUCUUCCUUUGGUGGUGAUGGUGGUGUUGUUGGAGUAGUCUGAUCCUCCGUCUUCCAAGGCAUAGGUGCUCCAUCAUGGCAGGAUGAACGAGUCACCGGAAUCCUCAAAUUUGCAGCCAACCUUAUUGAUUUAAAUCUGUACUCAUACUCACAGUUUUGAUUCUGCGGGUCAUAGAUCUGGCCCUGAAGUUGGUCAACCCUAUCGUAGAGCCUGGAGAGGUGUUUCCCAAUAUCAAUGGCAUCCAUCUUGUGAUUGCUAGUGAACUCCGUGAUCAUCGUGUGGUUGGCGUGGAGUCCACGCUCCACCAUCCCUUGGCACCUGAAGACUUGUUGCUCCAUUACUUCGAGCCUCGUCUCCACGCUUCCGGUCUUCUUAGGCCCCUCAACAUCACGGAUGUGCAACAUCCCCUCGCUCAUCUUGAUAGAUUGAGGGUGUUUCAACACUUCCGUGAGGUAGGGACUGAUGACCUUCUCGAAGAUCUUGUCCUUAGGAGCGUUUGGGGAAGUCAUGAUGAUCUAGAUCUGCGGCAGAAACAAGCUCGAAACGAAAACAGAGGAAAACUGCGUGAUACGGAGAUCAAAACCUUCGGGCAACUAUAUAUUGAUUUUUUCUGGGCCAGAAGGAGUCCUCUGCAAGAAAACAGAGUCCGGGAGGCACACGAGGUGCCCACAAGCUUGCCCACCGCCACCAGGGGGUGGUGGCGGAGUGGGCCCUUGUGGCUGCCUCUUUCGCUCUCCGGGCUGCUUUUUAUUUUCUAAUUUUCCAAAAAUUCCAAAACUGAGGAAAUUUCCUAUUGGAAAAGUAUCGGAGUCCAAUUUCUUGCCGAAACAGAUACAUCUUCGUUUUCAAGGUCUGAAACGGGCUGAUAAACAUCCCUUAUGUACUCCUCUGGAGUUAUGACAUUGAUGAUAUUGGUCUCAACAUUUAUGGGAGUACCACAGAUGUAAUGCUUGAUUCUUUGCCCAUUUACCACUCUAGGAAAAUUUCCUUCCGUGUUAUUGAUUUUGAUGGAACCGGAACGAUAUACUUCCUCGACAACAUAGGGACCUUCCCAUUUAGAGAGAAGCUUGCCUGCAAAGAAUCUCAAACAAGAAUUGUAUAGCAAGACAUAAUCACCUACAUUGAACUCUCUUUCUGUAUUCUUUUGUCGUGCCAUCUCUUAACCUUUUCCUUGAACAACCUGGCAUUCUCAUAUGACUGGGCUCUCCAUUCAUCUAACCAGCUAAUAUCAAACAACCGCUUCUCACCAGCAAGUUUGAAAUCAAAGUUGAGCUCUUUGAUUGCCCAAUAAGCUUUGUGUUCCAGCUCAAGAGGUAAAUGACAGGCCUUACCGUAAACCAUUUUAUACGGUGACAUGCCCAUGGGAUUCUUAUAAGCAGUCCUAUAAGCCCAUAGUGCAUCGUUAAGUUUGCUAGACCAGUUCUUUCGAGAUCUAUUGACGGUCUUUUGUAGGAUCAACUUGAUCUCCCUAUUACUCAACUCCACUUGACCACUAGACUGAGGAUGAUAAGGAGAUGCAACUCUAUGGUUGACAUCAUACUUAGCUAGCAUCUUGCGGAAAACACCAUGAAUGAAGUGUGAAUCGCCAUACGUCAUCAAGUAUCUAGGGACUCCAAAUCUUGGGAAUAUGACUUCUUUCAGCAUCUUAAUAGAGAUGUGGUGAUCAACAUUUUUAGUGGGGAUAGCUUCUACCCACUUAGUAACGUAAUCCACAGCAACUAAGAUGUGAGUGUACCCAUUGGAACUCGGGAAGGGUCCCAUAUAAUCAAAGCCCCAGACAUCAAAUGGUUCAAUGACAAGUGAAUAGUUCAUAGGAAUCUCUUGACGCUUACUGAUGUUCCCUAUCCUUUGGAAUUCGUCACAAGACAAGACAAACUUACGGGCAUCCUUGAAGAGAGUGGGCCAAUAGAAACCUGAUUGCAAUACCUUAUGGGCAGUUCUAUCUCCAGCAUGGUGUCCUCCGUAGGCUUCGGAAUGACACUUCUGUAGGAUCUGUCCCUGUUCAUGUUCAGGCACACAACAUCUAAUAACACCAUCUACUCCUUCCUUAUAAAGGUGAGGAUCAUCCCAAAAGUAGUGUCUCAAAUCAAAGAAGAAUUUCUUCUUUUGUUGAUAGGUGAAACUGGGUGGUAUGUAUUUGGCUACGAUAUAGUUUGCAUAAUCGGCAUACCACGAUGCACUAUGUGAAGUGCGGAUGACAUUUAAUUGCUCAUCAGGAAAGUUGCCAUCAAUAGGUAGUGGGUCAUCAAGGACACUCUCUAGCCUAGACAAGUUAUCUGCUACAGGGUUAUCAGCACCCUUUCGGUCAACGACGUGCAAAUCAAAUUCCUGUAGCAGGAGAACCCAUCUGAUUAGCCUAGGCUUAGCGUCCUUCUUCUCCAUGAGGUACUUAAUAGCAACAUGAUCAGAGUGAAUAGUGACUUUGGAGUCAACUAUGUAAGAUCUGAACUUUUCACACGCAAACACGACUGCUAAAAAUUCCUUCUCCGUAGUGGCAUAGUUUCUUUGGGCACUGUCUAGAGUUUUACUAGCGUAGUGAAUGACAUUCAACUUCUUGUCAACUCUUUGUCCUAGAACAACACCAACAGCAUAAUCACUAGCGUCGCACAUGAUUUCAAAGGGCAAGUGCUAGUCAGGUGGUUGAACAAUAGGUGCGGUUAUCAAAUCCUUCUUAUGUAUUUCAAAGGCUUCCUCACAAUCCUCAUCAAAAACAAAAGGAACAUCCUUCUGCAACAGGUUGGUAAGAGGCCUAGAAAUCUUAGAGAAGUCUUUAAUGAACCUUCUAUAGAAACCAGCAUGACCUAGGAAACUUCGUAUACCUCUGAUAUCUGUGGGGCAAGGCCUUUUCUCAAUUGCAUCAACCUUAGCCUUAUCAACUUCAAUGCCUCUUUCAGAGAUAUUGUGUCCUAAGACGAUACCUUCAUUAACUAUAAAGUGGCACUUCUCCCAAUUCAAGAGGAGGUUGGUUUCUUCGCAUCUCUGUAAGACUCAAUCAAGGUUGCUGAGGCAAUCAUCAACGGAAGGCCCGUAAACGGAGAAGUCAUCCAUGAAAACCUCGACGAUCUUUUCACAAAAGUCACAGAAUAUAGCCAUCAUACAUCUUUGGAAGGUGGCAGAUGCAUUACAUAAGCCAAAAGGCAUACGUCUAUAGGCAAAGGUACCGAAAGGGCACGUGAAAGUGGUUUCCUCUUGAUCAGAUUAUGCAACAGGUAUUUGCGAGAAACCUGAAUAACCAUCUAGAAAGCAGAAGUGUGUGUGUUUUGAUUGCCUUUCUAGCAUUUGGUCGAUGAACGGCAAAGGAUAAUGAUCUUUCCUGGUUUCCUUGUUCAGUUUCCGGAAGUCUAUCACCAUUCUAUAGCCGGUAAUAAUCCUUUGUGGGAUUAGUUCAUCCUUAUCAUUAGGAACGACGGUGAUACCUCCCUUCUUAGGUACGCAAUGUACUGGACUUACCCAAUCACUAUGAGCAACAGGAUAAAUGAUUCCUGCUUCCAGAAGCUUCAAUGUUUAUUUUCUAACGACCUCUUUCAUCUUAGGAUUCAAUCUCCUUUGAUGAUCAGCAACUGGUUUAAAGUCAGGAUCAGUUUUAAUCUUGUGCUGACAUAGAGUAGGACUAAUACCCUUAAGAUCAUCAAGAGUAUAUGCAAUAGCAGCGCGGUGCUUCCUUAGAGUUUUUAGUAACUUCUUCUCUUUGUGCUCUGAGAGGAGAGCACUAAUAAUGACAGGAUAUAUCUCCUUCUCAUCAAGAUAGGCAUACUUAAGAGUAUCAGGCAACUGUUUAAGCUCGAACACAGGAUCACCCUUUGGUGGGGGGAGAUCCCCAAGCAGUUCAACAGGCAGAUUAUUCUUGAGAACAGGAUAUUGUUCUAAGACAAUUUUAUCUAUCUCAUCUCUCUCCUCCAUAUGCAUAUCAUUUUCAUGCUCAAGCAGAUAUUGCUCUAAAGGAUCCGUAGGAGGUACGGCAAUAGAGGCAAGAGCAAUGAUUUCAUCUCUAAUAGACGACUCUCUUUCAUGGGGUUGUCUUCCAAACUUGCAGAAGUUAAAUUCAUGAGACACACCCUCGAAACUUACUGUGAUAGUCUGCUUAAUGCAAUCAAUGUGAGCAUUGAUAGUGUUGAGAAAGGGUCUACCAAAUAUGAUGGGACAAAAGCUAUCUUGUGCAGUACCAAGGACGAGGAAAUCAGUAGGAUACUUUGUCUUACCACACAGGACUUCUACGUCUCUCACAAUUCCCAGAGGGCAAAUAGUGUCUCUAUUAGCUAGCGUAAUAGUGACAUCAAUGGGUUCUAACUCAGCAGGUGAAAGGUCAUCUUUGAUUUCAUCAUAUAGAGAACGGGGUAUUGCACUAACACUAGCUCCCAUAUCACAUAAACCAUGGUAACAGUGAUCUCCUAUCUUAACAGAAACAAUGGGCAGGCCAACUACAGGUAUGUGUUUGUCUUUCGCGUGAGGUUUAGCAAUUCUAGCGGAAUCCUCACAUAAUUUGAUAACAUGCCCAUCUAUGUCUUCGGCUAAGAGAUCUUUGAUAAUAGCAACACUACGUUCAACUCUAAUCUCCUCAGGGGGUGCAAGUGGUCUAAUGUAUCCCCUACGUAUCACAGUUGGAGCUUUAGAACAAUCCUUUAUCCUAGCAGGGUAUGGUGGUUUCUCAGUGUAAGCACAAGGAACAACACGAUCACUAAAAGCUAUGAUUUUAUCCUCAACUAGAUUGGUUUUGGCUAUGUUGCUUUCUAUAGGAGGAUUAUAUUUAAACCACUUCUCUUUGGGAAGAUCAACAUGAGCAGCUAAAGAUUCACAUAGAGAAGCUACUACCUCAGAGUCAAGUCCAUACUUAGCGCUAAAAUCUCUAGAAGUGUUUGUCUCAACAAAAGAUUUAACGCAAUCAAACUGGAAAUUCAUACCUCACUCCUUAACUUCCUCCAGCUCCCAAUCUUCAGAGUUGCGUUUGAUUCUCUCCAAUAAAUUCCACUUGUGAUCAAUAUCCUUCUUCAUAAAAGAACCGGCACAAGAAGUGUCAAGCAUGGUACGAUCUUCAUGAGAAAGCCGAGCAUAAAAGUUUUGACUGAUGAUUUAUCUCGAGAGCUCAUGAUUGGGCCAUGAAUAUAGCAUUGAUUUAAGCCUCCCCCAAGCUUGAGCUAUGCUUUCCCUGUCACGAGGCCAAAAGUUAUAAAUAAAGUUCCGAUCACGAUGUACUAAAUGCAUAUGAUAGAACUUUUGAUGAAAUUCCAAUUUCAACCGAUUUUAGCCCCAUGAUCCAGCAUCAUCACAUAGCCUAUACCAUGUCAACGCAUUAUCCUUCAAAGAUAAAGGAAAUACUUUCUUCUUUACCUCAUCCUCGGGCAAAUCUGCAAGCUUAAAUAAACCACAAACUUCAUCUACAUAGAUUAGAUGAAAGUCUGGAUGUGAAGAUCCAUCUCCUGUAAAAGGAUUAGCCAGUAGUUUCUCAAGCAUACCCAAAGGAAUUUCAUAAAAGAUAUUUUCAGUAGGUACCUCAGGUUGAGGAGCAACUCCUCGUGCUUCCGUUCGUCGUGAAGAUACCCCAAACAAACUCCUCAAAGGAACAGUUUCCAUAGUGACAAGUGACAAUAAAUUUCAGCACAGUAUAUAAAUGUUUCCUUACCAAUUUCCACUUACCAAAGGCGCUUCAUUCCCCGGCAACGGCGCCGGAAAAGAGUCUUGGUGACCCACAAGUAUAGGGGAUCAAUCGUAGUCCUUUCGAUAAGUAAGAGUGUCGAACCCAACGAGGAGCAGAAGGCUGUGAUAAACGGAUUUCAACAAGGUAAUAACUGCAAGCACUGAAAGUAGCGGUAACAAGUGAUUGUGUCGCGAGGUGAAACGUAGCAACAAAGAGUAACAAGUAACAAGUAGUAGCAACGGUGCAGCAAGUGGCCCAAUCCCUUUUGUAGCAAGGGACAAGCCUGAACAAAAUCUUAUAGGAGGAAAAACGCUCCCGAGGACACACGAGAAUUUCUGUCAUGCUAGUUUCAUCAUGUUCAUAUGAUUCGCAUUCGUUACUUUGAUAGUUUGAUAUGUGGGUGGACCAGCGCUUGGGUACUGCCCUUACUUGGACAAGCAUCCCACAUACGAUUAAGACAAAGUCUAACCAUAGCAUUAAACUAGUGGAUCCAAAUCAGCCCCUCACGAAGCAACGCAUAGACUCGGGUUUAAGCUUCUGUCACUCCAACAACCCAUCAUCUACUUACUACUUCUCAAUGCCUUCCUCUAGGCCCAAAUAUGGUGAAGUGUUAUGUAGUCGAUGUUCACAUAACACCACUAGAGGAAAAACAACAUACAACAUAUCAAAACACCGAACGAAUAUCAAAUUCACAUGACUAUUAUCAGCAUGACUUAUCCCAUGUCCUCAGGAACAAAAGUAACUACUCACAAAGCAUAAUCAUAAUCCUGAUCAGAGGUGUAAUGAAUAGCAUCAAGGAUCUGAACAUAAGCUCUUCCACCAAGUAAUCCAACUAGCAUCAACUACAAAGAGUAAUCAACACUACUAGCAACCUUACAAGUACCAAUCGGAGUCGUGAGACCGAGAUUGGUUACAAGAGAUAAACUAGGGAUUGGAGAGGAGAUGGUACUGAUGAAGAUGUUGGUGAAGAUGCCUCCCCUCCGAUGAGAGGAGUGUUGGUGAUGACGAUGGCGGCGAUUUCCCCCUCCGGGUGGGAAGUUUCCUCGGCAGGAUCGUCCUGCCGGAGGUCUAGAUUGGAUCUGCUCAAGUUCCACCUCGUGGCGGCGGCGAAACCACGAAAAAUCUCCCUUCUGAUUUUUUUCCAGACCAGGAUGCUUCAUAUAGCAAAAGAGGGGGCUAGUGGGCCUUCAGGCAUCCCACAAGCCUGCCCUGCGCCACUAAGGGGGGUGGUGGCGGUGGGCAAGCUUGUGGAGCCCUGGUGUCCCACCUCCGGUAGUCCUUUCGCCCAGUAUUUUUAAUAUAUUCCAGAAAAAAUCCACGUAAAUUUUCAUGGCAUUUGGAGAUGUGCAGAAUAGUGGACUAGGAUUUGCUCCUUUUCCAGUCCAGAAUUCCAGCUGCCUGAAUUCUCCCUCUUCAAAUAAUCCUUGCAAAAUAAGAGAGAAAAGGCAUAAAUAUGGUACCACAAGUAAUAUAACAGCCCAAAAAGCAAUAAAUAUCAACAUGAAAGCAUGAUGCAAAAUGGACGUAUCACCCAUCUUGUUACCCUUGAUGGCAACAACACGAUGUGUGCCUUGCUGCCCUUCUGUCACUAGGAAAGGUCACCACACGGUAUGAACCCAAAACCAAGCACUUCUCCCAUUGCAAGAAUCAUAGAUCUAGUUGGCCAAACAAAACCCAAGACUCGGAGAGACUUACAAGGAUAUCAAAUCAUGCAUAUAAGAAAUCAGCAAAGACUCAAAUAUAUAUCAUAGAUAAUCUGAUCUCAAAUCCACAAUUCAUCGGAUCUCGACAAACACACCGCCAAAGAGGAUUACAUCGGAUAGAUCUCCAUGAAUAUUAUGGAGAACUUUGUAUUGAAGAUCCAAGAGAGAGAACAAGUCAUCUAGCUACUAACUACGGACCCGUAGGUCUGAAGUGGACUACUAACGAGUCAUUGGAGAGGCGGUGAUGUUGAUGAAGAAGCCCUCCAACUCCAAAGUCCCCUCCGGUAGGGCACCGGGAAGGGUCUCCAGAUGAGAUCUCGCGGAAGCGGAAGCUUGCGGCGGCGGAAAAGUGUUUUCGUGGAUGCCCUGAUUUUUUCUGGAUUUUUAGGGAAUUUAUAGGCCAAAGAGCUAGGGUAGGGGAGCGCCAGGGAGGCCACAAGCCUGGUUGCCGCGGGUCCCCCUAGCCACGGCAACAGGGCUUGUGGGCUCCCUGUGGGCCCCCUGCCUUGGCUCUCAAGCCUCCCGAUCUUCUUUCGUUCUGGAAAAAUUUAUUUCGGGGAUUUUAUUCCGUUUGGACUCCGUUCCAAAAUCAUAUCUGAAAAGAGUCAAAAACACAGAAAAAACAAGAACUGGGACUUGGCACUGGAUUAAUAAGUUAGUCCCAAAAAAGAUAUAAAAGGUAUACAAAACAUCCAAAGUUGACAAGAUAACAGCGUGAAACCAUCAAAAAUUAUAGAUACGUUUGAGACGUAUCAGCGCUAUAGUAGCUCAACGGUUGAACCUGAACCAUUCUAAAGGUGUUGUCUAUGGAUGUAUCUAUGCUACUCGUCUUGCUAGACACUUUGAGAUACCCAUUAGACUGGAGGAGGAAGAAGAGAUUCUUCUUCCCGAGAGAUAUCUAUAUUACGAUAGCAUGGUUCGCCAUGACUUUCUUGAUAGAGAUAUAAAUAGAAGGAUGAUUUAUAACCUGGUAUUUAGUCAGGGUACUCGUGAGACUAUUACUUUGUCUGCUCCUUCUUUGUUCAAUCUUCAUGCAGGUAGGUACAUUAUUAUGCCCUCGGACAUCUACGCAUAUUGGGGCUUGGCCCAACCACAGGUGCCCGUGCCCGAGCCGCCAGUCGAGUACCACACGCCAGUUUAUCAGUGGGAGCCAGAGGAGCUCAUACAGUAGUGGCAUCCUCAGUCCACUCCGGAGUACCCUAGAACUGGUUAUUUCCCUCCUUGGGAGUAGACCAACUUAGGCCAAAAGCCUAAGCUUGGGUGAGUACGUGUUUCUCACCGACUUCACAUUCUUGCUUAUGUUUUUACUUUGUUUGUCGGUGUUCACACUUUGCCACUGUAUCAUCCAUGCUAGUUUAUUUUCUUUUUCUCGUUUUCUUUUCGUGUGUCUGUCUAGUUUGAGAAAAACCAAAAAGAUUUUCUUUUCUUCUUUUGCUUGUUGGGAGCUUUCCCGUGUAGAUAGUUUUCUUUUUCUUUGGGUCAAGGUAGAAGAUAUUGGUUACAAUGUUUAGUGGCUCUUGCAUGCAUACCUAUUUAGCUUUCAAAGAGCCAUAUUACUUUGUAUUCUCCUUUGUGUUUGCCUGCAGAUUCCAGCGUAGUCCAAUGCACGAGCACACUUAUUAUUGUUCACAUCGUUCGGUCGUGCAAGUGAAAGGCAAUAAUGGCGAUAUAUGAUGAAGUGACUGAGCCUGGAAAAGCUGGUAUGAACUCGAUCUAUUUGUUUUUGUAAAUAUGACUAGCUCAUCAUGCCUGAUUGAGCUUUGUUGUGAGAAACACAUGUUUGCAAUGACAACUUAGAGAUCAUAGUUGAUUAUUCCAUGCUUACUUAGCUAGGAGCUUAUAAUGGUUUGUCUUGGUUGCCAACAUGAAUGUUGAGAUGACUAUGAUGUAGUAUGAUAGGAUGGUAUCCUCCUUUGAAUGAUUCAAGUGGCUUGACUUGGCGCAUGUUCACGCAUGUAGUUGAAACAAAAUCAACAUAGCCUCUAUUAUAUUCAUGUUCAUGGUGAUUUAUGUCCUGCUCAUGCUUGCACUCAAUGCUAGUCAAUCUCAAUGCAUUUUGAUGACUGUUGUCGCUCUCUAGUUGGUCGCUUCCCAGUCUUUUGCUAGCCUUCACUUGUACUAAGUGGGAAUACUGCUUGUGCAUGCACUUCCAUAAACCCAAAGUUGUUCCAUAUGAUUCCACCUUACCUACCUAUGUGUGGUAUCUACCUGUCGUUCCAAGUAAAUUUGCAUGUGCCACUCUCUAAACCUUCAAGAAAUAAUCUGUUUUGCAUGCCCGAACCGCUCAUGUGGUGACAGGGGGCUAUUGGUAUCUUCCAUGCUAGGCGUGUUAUCCUCGAUAUGUGUUUAUUCACUAUCAUUCACGAGAAAGGGGCCGGUAAUUGGAAUUCUCAGUUCCAUGCUCAAAUCGAAAAGAUAAUUGCAAACAAAACUCCCCCAGGAUUGAUGUUGGUAUGGAGGGUACCCGAGGAUUCGGCUAGCCGUGGAGUGUGAUUGACUGGUGGUGGGGGAGUCAAAACUUUACUUUUCUGUUUGGGAACCGCCUAUAGCAUGUGUAGCGUGGAAGAUGUUGAGAAGUCUUAGUCAUUGCGUUGACAAUGAAAGCAUGCCGCCCAAAUUAUUAUCUCUGUUUUAAAAGCUAGAGCUCUGGCACCUCUGCAAAUCAAUGCUUCCCUCUACGAAGGGCCUGUCUAUUUAUGUUCCUGUUGAGUCAUCCUCCUCUUAUAAAAGCACCAAUUAGAGAGCACCUCUGUCAUUUUUAUGCUUUGCUUUUAACUGUGUUGAGUAUGACUCUGACUGGAUCUUCGUUGCCUUGAAUUACAAUGUUUAGUCAGCCCUUGGUCUUUGAAGGUGCUCUGCAUUUAUGUUUUGUGGUCUCAAAAAGAGCUAGCGAGAUACCAUCUGUUCAUACUGCUUCAUGUUGUUUUGAUUGAAGUGUUGACAUUUGAGGCUUGUUAUUAUUUGCUUGCUAGUUGAUUAUGCCAUUGAUAUGAGUUUACCAUGAGACCUAGAUGUCAUUUGCUUACGUGGUUUACUUGUGAUCUUGCUGAAAUUCUAGUUAUGAGUUAGACAUAGUUGCAAUAACAAGAUCAAACAGAGUUCGUCAAAGUUUUUCUUUUGUCUCUUUCAGUUUGUCAACUGAAUUGCUUGAGGACAAGCAAGGCUUUAAGCUUGGGGGAGUUGAUACGCCUCCGUCGUAUCUACUUUCCGAACUCUUUUGCCCUUGUUUUGGACUCUAAUUUGCAUGAUUUGAAUGGAACUAACCCGGACUAACGCUAUUUUCAGCAGAAUUGCCAUGGUGUUGUUUUUGUGCAGAAAUAAAAGUUCUCGGAAUGUCCUGAAUAUUUACGGAGAACUUUUCUGGAAUUAAUGAAAAAUACCUACGCAAAGAUCCACCGGAGGAGGUGGGCCAGUGGGACACAAGCCCCUGGGCCGCGGCCACCCCCUGGCCGCGCCGUGAGGGCUUGUGGGGCCCACGUGGCACCACCGCCUCCAAACUCAGCUCUAUUUAUUCCGUCUCGCCCGAAAAAAAUCAGAGAGAAGGAUUCAUCGCAUUUUACGAUACGGAGGCGCCGCCACCUUCUGUUCUUCAUUUGGAGGGCAGACCUGGAGUCCGUUCUGGGCUCCGGAGAGGGGAAAUCGUUGCCAGCAUCAUCAUCAACCUUCCUCCAUCGACAAUUCCAUGAUACUCUUCACCGUUCGUGAGUAAUCUCAUCGUAGGCUUGUUGGACGGUGAUGAGUUGGAUGAGAUCUAUCAUGUAAUCAAGUUAGUUUUGACGAGGAUUGAUCCCUAGUAUCCACUAUGUUCUGAGAUUGAUGUUGCUACUACUUUGCCAUGCUUAAUGCUUGUCACUAGGGCCCGAGUGCCAUGAUUUCAGAUCUGAACCUAUUAUGUUGUCGCCAAUAUAUGUGUGUUUUAGAUCCUAUCUUGCAAGUUGUAGUCACCUACUAUGUGUUAUGACCCGGCAACCCCGAAGUGACAAUAGCCGGAACCACUCCCGGAGAUGACCAUAGUAUGAGGAGUUCAUGUAUUCACCAAGUGUUAAUGCGUUGGUCCAGUUCUUUAUUAAAAGGAGAACCUUAAUAUCUCGUAGUUUCCAUUGGGACCGCGCUGCCACGGGAGGGUUGGACAAUAGAUGUCAUGCGAGUUCUUUUCCCUAAGCAUGUAUGACUACAUACGGAAUACAUGCCUACAUUAGAUUGACGAACAGGAGCUAGUUACUUAUCUCUCCGUGUUAUAGCUGUUACAUGAUGAAUCACAUCUGUCAUACUUAUCCAUCACCGAUCCACUGCCUACGAGUAUUUUACUACUCGUACUUGCUACGUUACUUUGUCGCUACUACUGUUGCUACUGUUGUUACUCUGCUGUUACUACUUCUGCUGCUGUCACUAUUGUUGUUCCUUGCUACUGUUGUUCCUUGCUACCGAUGUCACUACUGUUGUUACUUUGCUACUACUUGUUGCAAGACUUUUCUGGAGCCGUUGCCGGGGAAGAAUAGUUCCCCGUCCACGUGUUAUUUACUAGCGCCAUUGAUACAACAGUUAGGAAUAGUCUGCCGUCAACAGAUCUUUUUCUGACACCGUUGCUAUCAUACUACUUUGCUACUGAUACUUUGCUUGCAGACACUAAUCUUUCAGGUGUGGUUGAAAUUGACAAACUCAGCUGCUAAUACUUGAGAAUAUUCUUUCGCUUCCCUUUGUGUCGAAUCAAUAAAUUUGGGUUGAAUACUCUACCCUCAAAAACUGUUGUGAUCCCCUACACUUGUGGGUUAAAAUUUGGCCAACUUGAUCUAUGAUUCUUGCAAUGGGAGAAGUAUUUGGUUUUGGGUUCAUACCGUGCGGUGACCUCACCCAGUGAUGGAAGGGGUAGUCAGGCACGCAUCGUGUUGUUGCCAUCAAGGGUAAAAAGAUGGGGUUUAUAUCUAUUGCAUGAAUUUAUCCCUCUACAUCAUGUCAUCUUGCUUAAGGCCUUACUCUGUUUGUCAUGAACUCAAUACACUAGAUGCAUGCUAGAUAGCGGUCGAUGUGUGGAGUAAUAGUAGUAGAUGCAGAAAGUAUCGGUCUACUUGUCUCGGACGUGAUGCCUCUAUGUAUGAUCAUUGCCUUAGAUGUCAUCAUGACUUUGCACGGUUCUAUCAAUUGCUCAACAGUAAUUCGCUCACCCACCAUAAUAUUUCUAUCUUGAGAGAAGCCUCUAGUGAACACUAUGGCCCCCGGGUCUACUUCACAUCAUAUUUUCAGCCCUACACUUUUACUUUGUUGCACUUUCCGCCUUCAGAUCUCACCUUGCAAUCAAUCGUGAAGGGAUUGACAACCCCUUUGUAGUGUUGGGUGCCAGUUUGUUGUUUUUGCGCAGGUACAUUGGUGCCUCAUCUUGAUACUCCUACUGGAUUGAUACCUUGGUUCUCAAACUGAGGGAAAUACUUACUGCUAGUGUGCUGCAUCACCCUUUCCUCUUCAAGGGAAAAACCACCGCAAGCUCAAGAGGUAGCAAGAAGAAUUUCUGGCGCCGUCGCCGGCGAGGAGGAUCAAGUCAAGAAUAGUUUCCCAUCAACGUGCCAAUUUCUGGCGCCGUUGUCGGGGAGCAUCAAGUGAAGCUUAUCCAAGUAACCGUCGCGAACUCAUCUCUUGCAUUUACUUUUUUUGCCUAUCGUUUUGCUCUCCCCCACUUCUGAAAAACAAAAAAUUACAAAAAUAUUUACCUUUUUCGUUUGCCUUUCCUUUGCCUGUGUGCUAUGUGCCUUCAAUAUGCUUGCAUCUUCGCUUGCUAAAAAUCUAGUGAUAUGGAUCCUCACCCACUUGCUAAUCUCUUUAAGAGAUCCAAUUAUGUUGAACCAUUUGCUAGUGAGUUGAGUGCACUUGACUUUCUCUAUGGAGUUUUGCUUGAGAUGCAUGAAUCUGAAAAUCAUGAUGAAGAAAUUUAUGAAGUGAUUCACGAGGGCUCCUUGAAUGAAAAGCAUGAUUGCAAUGAUUUCAUUAUAGAUUCUAUUAAUGACAAUCAUGCUAAAAAUAUGCAAAACCCUAAGCUUGGGGAUGCUAGUUUUGCUAUGCCCACUACUUGUUGCAAUGAUCAUGAUUGGGGUAAUCAUUUUUCUUAUGAUCUUGAAAAUUUGUUUAAGCCUCAUGAUGAAUAUGAUACUUCCAAUGAUAUUGAAAGUGGGUUUGGAGAAGUCAUGACUUUAGUUGAUGAUAAUCCCACUAUUUUUGAAGAGCGUCAACUUUUGCAUGCAUGUGGAUCAUGAAAAGAAUAUCCUAUGUGAUAGCUAUAUUGUUGAAUUUGAUUAUGAUCCCACAUGCAAUUGUUAUGAGAGAGGAAAAUAUUGUGGUAGAAACUUUCAUAUNNNNNNNNNNNNNNNNNNNNNNNNNNNNNNNNNNNNNNNNNNNNNNNNNNNNNNNNNNNNNNNNNNNNNNNNNNNNNNNNNNNNNNNNNNNNNNNNNNNNCGGGGAUGAUCCAACAGUUUGAGCUGAACCGCCAGUUUAUGCAAGGGCUCAUGGAUCAGUUCCAAAGGCCGAACAUGAACCAACCACAAGGCGUGACACUGCAAGACUUCUGCCGUCUCAACCCUGCGAUCUACCGCAGCUCAACUCAGCCUCUUGAUGCUGAUGACUGGCUCCGUGACAUUUCUUAUGAGCUAGAGUCUGCCAAUGUGCCCCUGGCGAGCUAUGUCAACUUUGCCGCCUACUUUCUGAAGGGUCCCGCUGCUCAAUGGUGGGACAGCCACAGGCGCUCUCAGCCCGAUGGAACUAUCAUCACUUGGGCAGAGUUCAAGGCUGCUUUCCGUGCUCGAUACAUUCCCCAGGGAAUCAUGGACCGGAAGAAGCGUGAGUUCCGCAACUUAGUCCAGGGCAACAAGACUGUGGAUGCUUAUCAGCGGGAAUUUCUGGAAUUAUCUCGCUAUGCUGAAGAAGACAUUGCGACUGAUGCACGCAGGCAGGAGAAGUUCCGUGAAGGCCUCCACCCUGAUAUCAAGCUGACACUCCUCGUUCAGGACUAUGCUGAUUUCGCCACCCUCGUGAACAAGGCUAUUCAGGUUGAGACUGGUCUGCAGGAAUACAAAGAUAGCAGCAAGCGCAACCGUGACAUGGGCUCAUCUUCGGGCUCAUCUGCACAGAAGCGGAAGAUCUGGAUUCCCAACAACAUGUACCAUGCACCUGCUCCUACUCCGAGGCCGUCCUAUGCUGCACCUCGCCUGCCUCCUCCACCGCCUAGGCAGCCGAGGCUCCCAGCUCCACCGCCUCGAGUUCCUCCUUCCCGUCCUGAGGACGGGCUGUGCUUCAAGUGUGGCCGUCCAGGUCACCGUGCUAGAGACUGCAGGCAGAAUCAGAAUCAGCUGGCACUUCCCGCAACUGGCCGUGGCAACAACCAGAACCGCAACUUCAACACUAAGCCUGCUUAUGUUCGUGGUCAGGCCAACAACAUUGAUAUGGGUCAAGCUCAAGACCAGCCUGCUACCGUGAUGGGUACACUUCUCGUUAACUCAGUACCUGCUUCUGUAUUGUUUGAUACAGGAGCAUCGCAUUCCUUUAUGUCGGAAAAUUUUGCAUACAUGCAUGACAUUAGGAGCGAAGAGAUGAACCUCCCGAUAGUGGUAAACACCCCUGGGGGCGAAUGUCGAACCUCUGUGGUUUGCCCCCAUGUUCCAGUUGAAAUUGAAGGAUUAGAAUUCCUUGCCAACCCCAUCCUACUAAAGUCAUCCAACAUUGAUCUCAUAUUGGGGAUGGACUGGUUGAAAGCUCAUACGGCAUCGAUCGUUUGUGCCACCAAAACCGUCCACCUCCUACACCCUUCAGAUGAACUAGUAAGCUACCAGGCUCAUCUCGUCCGUAAUGCUGAGGCACGGCUGUAUGCCUUGAAUGCAUUAAAUGCGUCGCCUCUUGAAGGGAUUGAAAACAUUCCAGUGGUCCGAGAGUUCCAAGAUGUCUUUCCAGAAGAACUUCCGAGGAUUCCCCCUGCUCGAGCUGUCGAGUUUGUCAUUGACUUGGUACCCGGUACCACUCCUAUUGCCAAGCGUCCUUAUAAAAUGCCACCACAUGAACUCCUUGAACUUAAGCAAGAAAUUGACAACUCGCUCCGUCUGGGUUUCAUCCGUCCGAGUUCCUCUGCUUGGGGAGCACCUUCUCUCUUUGUUAAGAAGAAGGAUGGGACAAAUCGAUUGGUUCAAGACUAUCGUCCUAUCAACCAGGCCACUAUUCAAAACAAAUAUCCUCUCCCGCGGAUAAGUGAUUUGUAUGAUCAACUUGCUGGUUCCACCGUUUUCUCUAAGCUCGACUUGAGAUUGGGAUACCACCAGAUUCGUGUUCGCAAGGAGGAUAUUCCAAAGACCGCCUUUGUUACUCGAUAUGGAUCAUACGAGUACACCGUCAUGUCCUUCGGCUUAACCAAUGCACCGACAACUUUCUCUCGAUUGAUGAAUUAUAUAUUCAUGGACUACCUCGACAAAUUUGUCGUGGUAUAUCUGGAUGAUAUUCUGGUGUUUUCGAAGAACAAAGAAGAGCAUGCUGAACAUCUUCGUCUUGUACUGGAUAAGCUUCGGGAGCAUAAACUCUAUGCGAAGUAUUCCAAAUGUGAGUUCUGGCUAGACGAAGUGACUUACCUUGGUCAUGUGAUUUCCAAGGAUGGUAUUGCGGUCAACCCCGAACGAAUUCAAGCUAUUCUUGACUGGACUCCCCCGAAGAAUGUCAAGCAAGUCAGAAGUUUUCUCGGACUCGCCAGCUAUUGCCGUCGAUUCGUCGAGAACUUCUCCAAGAUUGCGAAGCCCUUAACCAACCUGCUUCACAAAGGUGUUAAGUAUGAAUGGACUGAUAAAUGUCAGGAAAGUUUCCAGGCACUCAAGGACAAACUGACAUCCGCUCCAGUACUUGCUCCUCCAGAUACGAAAAGGGAUUUCGUCAUAUACUGUGAUGCUUCUCGUCAAGGAAUAGGUUGUGUCCUAAUGCAGGAUCGCAAGGUGAUCGCUUAUGCUUCGCGUCAACUGCGUGCUCAUGAAGAGAACUACCCAGUUCAUGAUCUCGAGCUUGCCGCAGUCAUUCAUGCAUUGAAGGAAUGGCGACAAUACCUUGUCGGUAAUCGCUGUGAAAUCUACACCGACCAUCAAAGUCUGAAGUACUUGUUCACUCAACCGGAGCUGAACCUGCGUCAACAAAGAUGGAUGGAGCGUAUAGCAGAUUUUGACUGUAGUAUAUCAUAUACCCCUGGCAAGGCUAAUGUAAUGGCUGAUGCCUUAAGUCGCAAGUCAUAUGCAACCACCUCCAGGUUCAUCAGGUUCACGAUCGUCUGCAAGAGGAAUUCCGUAAGCUGAACCUCCACAUUGUUCCUCAGGGUUACCUUGUUCCUCCCCCUGAAGAGUAUCAAAAGAUGAACCUUCGUGUUGUUAAUCAGGGUUCCCUCAGUAACCUAGUGGUUGAACCAGAUCUUGUGAGCUCCAUAAAGAAUAUACAAAACUUUGACGAUGAUGUCGACAGGAUUAAGAGUUAUAUUGCGAAGGGUAAACCCUCCUUUUUCACUGUUGAUGAAGGUGGUGCCUUGUAUUUCAAGGGUCGCCUAUUCGUCCCAAAUAAGAAGGAAAAUCUCAUGAUGACUGGGAAGGUGAUGGAAGAAGCUCAUGACACACCAUUGUCUAUUCACCCGGGUAGUACCAAGAUGUACCAAGACAUCCGGCAAAGAUUCUGGUGGCCCAAUAUGAAACAAGACAUUGCACGCUAUGUGGCAGAAUGUGAUAUAUGCCGGCGUAUCAAAGCAGAACACCAAAAGCCUGCUGGAACUCUGCAACCUAUCUCUAUUCCCGAGUGGAAAUGGGAUCACGUUGAAAUGGACUUCGUCACUGGUUUUCCCAGGUCUCAGAAAGGUAAUGAUGCUAUUCUUGUCGUCAUUGAUCGACUGUCCAAAGUUGCACAUUUCCUGGCCGUCAAAGAAACGAUUAAUGCUAGUCAGCUGGCAGAUCUUUAUAUGUCAAGAGUUGUUUCACUUCACGGUAUUCCGUUGGUAAUCAGUUCGGACCGUGGCAGCUUGUUUACUUCAAAAUUCUGGGAAAGUUUUCAAAAGGCUAUGGGGACUCAUCUGUCCUUCAGCACUGCAUUUCAUCCUCAAUCCCAGGGACAAGUUGAACGAGUCAACCAAAUUCUCGAGGACAUGCUUCGAGCUUGUGUCAUUUCUUUCGGUAAGAAGUGGGAGGAAUCUCUCCCGUAUGCCGAGUUCUCGUACAACAAUAGCUAUCAAGCUAGUCUGAAGAUGGCCCCUUUCGAAGUAUUGUAUGGGCGAAGGUGUCGAACUCCUCUGAAUUGGUCAGAAACUGGGGAACGAUCACUCUUCGGUCCGGAUAUAAUUCAACAUGCCGAAGAUCAAGUCCGCAUUAUUCAUGAGAAUCUGAAGGCUGCUCAGUCUCGUCAGAAGAGUCAGUAUGACCGUCAUCAUCAAGAUAUGGUCUAUCAACCUGGCGAAAAGGCUUAUCUUCGUGUCACACCAAUGAGAGGUGCACACCGUUUCGGAAUCAAGGGCAAGUUAGCUCCUCGUUAUAUUGGUCCUUUCACUGUUCUUGAAAGGCGUGGAAGAGUGGCUUAUCAAUUGGAACUGCCGGCGAACCUUUCUCAGGUUCACGAUGUCUUCCAUGUUUCUCAACUCCGUCGCUGCUUCAAGGAUCCUAUUCGAGCAGUGGAUCACGAUAUGCUUGAGCUACAACAAGACCUCUCUUAUAAAGAGCACCCGGUCCGCAUUCUCGACCAAGCUGAACGUAAGACUCGUCGCAAGGUCACCAAGUUCCUUAAGGUGCAGUGGUCAAAUCACUCCGAAGAUGAAGCCACUUGGGAACGCGAGGAUCAUCUUCGUGAUGAAUACCCCGGGCUCUUUCCCUCUACCUCUUAAUUCUCGGGACGAGAAUUCUUGUUAGUAGGGGAGAAUUGUGACAUCCUCGACUUUUGCUACAGUAGUGAUUGUAAUUAAGCUACAGUGAUCAACCGCUAAUGAUGCCACGUCAUCGAAUUCCCAUCUCUGACCCGCGUGGAUUCGCGUCUGUCCGGAUCGAUGAUUUGAAAGCAAAGGAAAGCACUUUAUCGGUUCAUUACAAGUAUUAAAAGGAUAUAUAUAUAAGGGGGGGGGGAAGUAUUAAAGAAAUAAUAAUGAUAAAAGAAAGAAAAGAAAACUGAAAGAAAGGAUUAAUAAAAAGAAAAGGGAAAAGAGAAAACAAAAUAAAACAAAUCAAAAAAAAGAAGGGAAACAACCCCCCCGUGGCCCAACUGGGCUCAAGGCCCAGCCGGCCACCUCCCGCGCCCCCUCCCGCCAAACCCUAAUCGCCCUCCUGGGCGCCACCCCCCCCACUCGCUACUCCCUCCCUUUCCCACGCCGCCGCCGCCAGCCCCCCCCUCGUGGGGGGGCCCCACCCCACGCGCCAUCUCCUCCCCCUCUCUCGGCCCCCACCUCACGAGAGCCCCCCACCCCCGAGAUCCCGUCGCCCCCCUCUGCCCCUCUCGCCUCUCCCUCCCACGUCACCUCCACCUCGCCCCUCUCGCCUCUCCCUCUCACGUCGCCUCCACCUAGCCCCUCUCCCUCCCGCAGAUCCCCGGCGGCCUCCCCCCCGGCGGCCACUCCUCCUCCCACCGGCGGCCCCCCUCGGUCCCCCUCAUCACGCCGGCGGCCUCCUCUCCCCACGGCCGCCUCCCUCCACCGACCAUCCUCUCCCGGCGGCCCCCCCACCUCUCGGCCUCCACCCCGCCGGCAGGGGCGCCGGCCACCUCGGCCCCCCCAUCUCGGCGGCCGGCCCCUUCCGGGAGGUCCAUCUCCGGCGGCCCUCUCUACGGUGGCCGCCCCUCACCGUCGGCGGCUCCAUCUCCGGGGGGCCCUCCUCACCGGCUCCCCCUCGUCGGCACAUCACCACCAUCGGCACCGUCACCGCCUCCACGUCCGUCUCCACCGUCAACUACGUGCGAACUCCGGCUUCACCGGGCCGUCACGUCACCGUCGGUGAGCCCCUCCUCGGGCUCCUCCCACCGUGUCGAUCUCCUCGCCGCCCCGGUUCCGUUCCGGCAAACGGGGAUGAAAAAGAAUAAAUGGUGUAUUAGAUGCGUAUGUAUGUAUGUAUGUAUGUAUGAGAUGUGAUGUAUGUAUUUGUGUAUUUGGAUAUUUAGAGGAAUACGGUAUUUGCACGGAUAGGUAUCUAAUAAAAAUAAAUGAGAAAAUAACCUUAGGCCACUUACCGGUGGGGCCAAUGCACCGCUGUCAAUGACAGGGAGGCCCCACGCGAUGAUUAAAAAUAAUGUUUUUCUUAAAUAAAUAAAUAAAUAGAUAUAUUAGUUAAAAUAAUUAAUUAACAUAAUUAGAGUAUGACACGUGGGUCCCUCGUUGAAUUAAUCUGAUUAAUAAAUAAUUAAUCUUAAUAAAAACUUGUGCCUAUAACGUUCGGGACCCGCUGGUCAGUUGACCGGUCAAAUGUGAUGUCAGCCUGACAUCGCGAUGAUGUCAUAAUAGGAUUUUACUAAAUCUUUUAAAUCUGUUUUUAAUUCUUAAAUAAUUAAUAAAACUUUAAAAAUUAAUAUUAAAUAAUCCGUAAGUCAGAUCGAAAUAAUUUCAACAUGAAAGUUGAUCAGCAAAGCGAGACGAACCCGGAUACACGGUCCGUUCGUCUGUCACGCGUCCCUAGCAUAGCAAACAUGGGACUUUUCCAUCGUAUCCAUGUAACCGGUAGUAGCCCGAGACCCGGAAAAUAUCGUCAGAUAUUCUUCCGACCCGUCUAUGACGGAUGUUCCUGCGUUAGCUCAUGUCUAGCCUGCAUAUUUCCAUGUCAUGCUUUGUGUUGCAUCGGUGCUAUUAUUUAUUGUUUCUUCCCCCUCUUCUUACCGGUAGACCCCGAGACUGACGCUGCUGCCGGGUACAUCUACGACCCUGCCGAUCAGUCCUUUGCCGCAGAGCAGCAAGGCAAGCAAACCCCCUCUUGAUCAUUCCUAUAUCGCCUAUGUCUUUCUUCCUACUGCUUGCAUUAGUAUUUUGCUACUGUUGUAGUUAGCUCCUAUAUCUGAUGCAUAUCCUGUUUUUGAUGAACUGCUACUUUCAGUCCUGUACCUUUAACCUGCUUAGUAUAGGUGGAGCAGUCAUCCCCUCUGACCCCGUAGAUCAGUUGCCCCGCUUGUUUCCAAAUCUCGAUCUCUGAUCGACGAGCCAGACCCGACACAGCACGUUCACCCUCCUUCGUUGUACGACGCUACAGGGAUACUAUCGGGUACCGAGGGUGACACCUCGCUAAGUACUCCUGAUGAUAUCUCUGUAGUAUAGCUAGUCGGUCAUGGUUAUCGAGGGUGAUUCCUCUUUCACCAUUCCCGAUGACGUCUCUGUCGUGCCACCCCGCGAGUGUGGGACCCCCGAGGGUGAUUCCUCUAAGCCCACCUUGACGGGUACAUCGUUCGGAAUCCAACGAGGGUGAUUCCUCGGAUUCCCCUGAUGUUACAACCACACAGUUACUCGACCAUGUUACUGGGAUCUUCGGCGAUUAGUUGUAAGACGGGUGGAUUCCCGCGAGACUGUGUUGCUGGCCUAAUUAAGAUGCUAAUGGAUUUGGGUAUUUGAUCUGGGUUGGUCGGAGACCUUUUCGCACUAACCGGCUACGCGGAAAGAAUUAUGGGUACUCGGCGUCGCGGUAUCAGCCGAAGCUUUUCAGAUGCCAGCAGUGUAGCGGCGCGCGCCCGAGUGGUCCCGAGAUGCAUCGCGCUUGUGAUUAAGGGAUGCUAGGACUGACGUCGGCCGCCCACGCCACGUGCAGGAGCGUGAAGGGGAACUGGGCCCAUGAACCCUUUGUGCUUAGGAUUUAGACCGGCGGGCUGGCCUCUCUGAUUAGUCUUAGGUGGGGCUGCGACGUGUCGAUAUUCCGAGGCCGGGCAGGACCCAGAAAAGUAUGUCCGGCCAGAGUGUUAUCGAGCGUGACGGGACAUGUGGUGCACCCCUGCAGGGAUGAAAAUUAACUAUUCGGAUAGCCGUGUCCACGGUUACAGGACGACUUGGAGUUGUGCCCCGAUCUUAUACAACUACAAUUGUUACUUAACUGGAAUUAGUUUGCCUCGGGAUUGCUGCCUCGCAGGGAGUCGAGGGAGGAUCCUUAGGCGUGACCUCACUUUAAUAUUGCUGCAACAAUAUGACUAUUAAUGUGUUACCCCCCUGUUCUACUCUCGUCUAUUGCUGCAAGACCCUGAAGAUGCUAGUCUUCGAUAGGACUAGGCAUUCUCUCUCUUUUCUCGCAUUGCUGCAGUCAGUCCACAUAUAACCCCCUUCUUUGAUACUGAUGCAUUAUUAGAAUAGUUCUGAUGUAAGACUUGCGAGUACUUUGGAUGAGUACUCACCGCUGCUUUGCUCCCCCCUUGUUCCCUUGGUCCGUUUGCUGCGACCAGAUGAUGAAGCCCAGGAGAUGGAGGUCCCCGUCGCCGACGACUGCUACCCCGACGGUGCCUACUACUACGUGGAGGCCGCUGAUGAUCAGGAGUAGUUAGGAGGUUCCCAGGCAGGAGGCCUCGCCUCGUUCGAUCGUUGUAUCUUUUGUGCUAGCCUUCUCUAAGGCACCCCAUGUUUUAUGUCUGUACUCAGAUAUUUGUUGCUUCCGCUGACUCGUGUGUUUAUCGAGCUUUCGUAUUCUAGCCCUCGAGGCCCCUGGCUUGUAAUAUGAAGCUGAUGUUAUUUUAUUUGUGUCUAGAGUUGUGUUGUGAUAUCUCCCCGUGAGUCCUUGGGUUUGAUCGUACGCAUUUGCGUGUAUGAUUAGCGUACGAUUAAGCCGAGGGCGUCACAAGUUGGUAUCAGAGCCAACUGCCUGUAGGUAGCCCCCCUUUCCAACUCCUUGGCCGAAGUUGAGUCUAGUGUUUGAAAAAACUUACUAACGCUGAUGUUGUGGCUUACGGGCCCACAUCUCAAUUGGGUGGUAUUAGUAUCUUUUACUCCUUUCCUAUACUCUGGGCUCUACUGUCUCUUCUCUUUCGGGUCAAAGAUUUUACUAACUCUAACUUUAGGUUCUCGAAUCACAUCAAUCCGGAGCGCUGGACUAUCUACUCUUUUUCUCCUGAAUAUGUAUUACACACACUGUCAUUGACAUCCGUCAAUCUUAUUUUCAGAUGCGUCCCGCAAGACAGCACGUGCGCCUGACACAGGCCACCGAGACGACUGGGUUCCCGGCCAUUUUGGUCGAUCUCCUGACCAGGCUGGGAUAUCGCUGGUACCCUGAGUACACUGUGUUCGAGGAUUUCCGCGAGUACAACCAGUACCAGUACCAGGCUGAGGUUCGCAUCUUCGACCAGAGGGGCGGCGAGACCCUCGAGCGCCACGUGUUCUGUGGUAUUGGGGUGUCGGUCGAGAUGGCCGUCCACGAUGCGGCCUACAUCGCCAUCACCCGACUCCGUGGAGCGUACCCUCAUCUGGAGGAGAGCCCUUUCAGAUACAUCCCGCAUGCUCCUGCUGGGGAUGAGACUGGGUCUGAUCUCACUGCCUACGCUUCUGACGUUCGGGAGCGCAACGACCGUUCCUACGUCGCUGUCUGCGCCCCCUACGUGACGCGUCGCUACGACGCGCGGAUUCUGGUGCAGUACACUGAGGCAAUGGAUCGUGCUUUCCGAGCUCUGACUGUGGAGUUGUAUGCUACGCGUGCUCGUCUUUACGACGCGUUGACAGAGCUGCAGCCAUCACACUGUCCGAGGGUUCCACCUAUGCGCAUCCGCGAGCCGAGCAGGACAGAGCUACCAUCAGCUCUCGAGUGGACUGAUGUUGGGGGUAGAACCCCUGCACUUGGACCUCAGCUCCUCGACUGGAUGCGGUACCCUCACCAGAGUCACAACGGGACACAGGGUCCUGCCCCUACCUUCUAUCACCGCCAGCUACCAGGAUUCGAUCGUCCUCUCCGACGUUGAUGUAGCCUUAUCGCUACAUCUCGUUGUGGUACUCUUCCACCGCGUGCCUGCGCGCCGCCUAGUGAGUCCAGGGUAUCGUCAAAUGCGUCCGGGCUAUCGCCAAAUUUCGAGUUUUUAAUCGUUAGUCUGUAAUCGAACUUAUAUAUGGGUCUGUAUGUCGAACUCAACUACUAUGGAGUAUCUAUCGCAUUUCCCUUUCAUUAUGCUUGAUUACUUCAUGAAUGCGUGCGAUGCCUUUCGAUUACUUUAAGCUAAAAUACCCCUGCUAAAUAUUUAACAGGAUGGUUAGACCAGUUGGCCGUCCGCGUGGCCCUGCCAACGAUGCACCACCCCCCGCCUCCUGAGUAUAUGGCGGGGAUGAUCCAACAGUUUGAGCUGAACCGCCAGUUUAUGCAAGGGCUCAUGGAUCAGUUCCAAAGGCCGAACAUGAACCAACCACAAGGCGUGACACUGCAAGACUUCUGCCGUCUCAACCCUGCGAUCUACCGCAGCUCAACUCAGCCUCUUGAUGCUGAUGACUGGCUCCGUGACAUUUCUUAUGAGCUAGAGUCUGCCAAUGUGCCCCUGGCGAGCUAUGUCAACUUUGCCGCCUACUUUCUGAAGGGUCCCGCUGCUCAAUGGUGGGACAGCCACAGGCGCUCUCAGCCCGAUGGAACUAUCAUCACUUGGGCAGAGUUCAAGGCUGCUUUCCGUGCUCGAUACAUUCCCCAGGGAAUCAUGGACCGGAAGAAGCGUGAGUUCCGCAACUUAGUCCAGGGCAACAAGACUGUGGAUGCUUAUCAGCGGGAAUUUCUGGAAUUAUCUCGCUAUGCUGAAGAAGACAUUGCGACUGAUGCACGCAGGCAGGAGAAGUUCCGUGAAGGCCUNNNNNNNNNNNNNNNNNNNNNNNNNNNNNNNNNNNNNNNNNNNNNNNNNNNNNNNNNNNNNNNNNNNNNNNNNNNNNNNNNNNNNNNNNNNNNNNNNNNNUGACUUUAGUUGAUGAUAAUCCCACUAUUUUUGAAGAGCGUCAACUUUGCAUGCAUGUGGAUCAUGAAAAGAAUAUCCUAUGUGAUAGCUAUAUUGUUGAAUUUGAUUAUGAUCCCACAUGCAAUUGUUAUGAGAGAGGAAAAUAUUGUGGUAGAAACUUUCAUAUCACUAAAUUACCUCUCGUUAUGUUGAGAUUGAUGUUGUCUCUUUCUUCUUCCUUGCAUAUGGUAACUAUUGGUUGUCUUGACAAUCUGUUUUCCUAUAAAAUGCCUAUGCAUAGGAAGUAUGUUAGACUUAGAUGUGAUUUUCACAUGCUUUAUGAUGCUCUCGUUGUGCUUCAAUUCUUGUCUUUUGUGUGAGCAUCAUUGAAUUAUCAAUGUCUAGCUAAGGGCGUUAAACAAUAGCGCUUGUUGGGAGGCAACCCAAUAAAUUUAUCUUUUCUUUUUGCUUUCUCUUUUGUUGUGUCCACACCAUCAUAAUUCUGUUAUGAUUGUGCUUUUUGUGUUUCUUUUUGUGUUUGAGCCAAGUAAAACCUUUAUGACUAGUCUUGGUGAUGGUUGUUUGAUCAUGCUGGAAAAAGACAGAAACUUUUCGCUCACGAAAUUAUUUUUAAUUUUUAUCCAGAAAGAGCUUUUGAGUUGAUUCUUUUUGCUUAUGGUUGAUAUGCCAAUUGCCCAAACUGUCGUAAUUUUCAGUAUUUUUUAGAUAACAGUAGUAUACGAAGUAUACAAAUUGCUACAGACUGGUCUGUUUUUGAUAGAUUCUGUUUUUGUUGUGUUGAUUGCUUAUUUUGAUGAAACUAUGGAUAGUAUCGGGGGUACUAGCCAUGGAAAAGUGAGAAUACAGUAGGUACUAGCCAUGAAAAAGUGAGAAUACAGUAAUCUAACACCAAUAUAAAUAGAAAUCAAGUUUGCUACAGUACUUCAAGAGGUGGUAGUUUGUUUUCUUGUGCUAAUGAUAUCUCGAGUUUCUGUUUAAGUUUUGUGUUGUGAAGUUUUCAAGUUUUGGGUGAUGUUCUCAUGGACAAGGAGAUAAAGAGAGGAAAGAGCUCAAGCUUGGGGAUUCCCAAGGCAUCCCAAGCCAAAUUCAAGGACACCAAAGAUCCUAAGCUUGGGGAUGCCCCGGGAAGGCAUCCCCUCUUUCGUCUUCAAUCCAUCGGUAACAUUACUUAGAGCUAUAUUUUGAUUCACCACAUGAUAUGUGUUUUGCUUGGAGCGUCGUGUAUUAUAGGAGUAUUUUCUUUUUGUUGUGUCACAAUCAUCCUUGCUGCACAACUUUUGAGAGAGACAUGCACUCAUCGUGAAUUUGCUAGAGUACUCAUUGAGCUUCGCUUAUAUCUUUUAAGUUAGGCAAUUUAGCUCACAUGUGCUUCACUUAUAUCUUUUGAGCUAGAUAACUUUGCUCUAAGUGCUUCACUUGGAUCUUUUAGAGCACGGCAGUGUCACAUUUUGGAGAAAUAAGAACUCUCGAUCUUCACUUAUAUCUUUUUGAGAGUGCUCUCUCUGAGUAACUUGGUAGUUGGCUUGUGCUAUGAAAGUAGUCCUAAAGAUGAUAGGCGUCUAAAGAGGAUACAAUAAAACUUCCAUAUUCAUGUGCAUUGAUUAGAAAGAGAAGUUUGAUUCCUCUCAAUUAGUUUUGAGACAUGGAUUUGGUAAUAUUAAGAGUUAUGUUUGUAGGGUGUUGUGAAUCUAGUAAUACUUGUGUUUAAGUUAGUGAUUCCCGUAACAUGCACAUAUGAUGAACCGCCAUGUUAGGAAGUCGGAGCAUAAUUGAUUUAUUGAUUGUCAUCCUUUCUGUUGCGGUCGGGAUCGCGCGAUGGUUAACACCUACCAACCCUUUCCCUAGGAGUAUGCGUUUAGCACUUUGUUUCGAUUACUAAUAAAAACUUUUGCAAUAAGUAUGUGAGUUCUUCAUGACUAAUGUGAGUCCAUGGUAUAAAUGCACUUUCACUUUCCACCAUUGCUAGCCUCUCUAGUGCCGCGCAACUUUCGCCGGUGCACAAACCCACCAUAUACCUUCCUCAAAACAGCCACCAUACCUACCUAUUAUGGCAUUUUCAUAGCCAUUCCGAGAUAUAUUGCCAUGCAACUCCCACCGUUCCGUCUCAUGGCAUGUGCCGUCACUUUCAUAUUGCCAUUGCAUGAUCGUAAGAUAGCUAGCGAGAUGUUUCAACGUCAUAAGCCAAGCUAGAUCGUUGCACAUCCCGACACACUGUCGGAGGCAUUUCCUAUAGAGUCCUCAUCGUUCUAAGCAUUGAGCUGUGAGUAAAUUAAAGUGUGAUGGUCAUCAUUAUUAGAGAAUUGUCCCAUGUGAGGAAAUAAAUAAAUAAAUAAAUAAGAGGCCAAAGUUGCCCACACAAAGAGAGAGAGAGAGAGAGAGAGAUGGAAAGAGGCCAAAGAGCCCAAACAAAAUAAAAUAAAAAAGAGAGAAAAAAGAGAGAAGGGACAAUGCUACUAUCUUUUCCACACUUGUGCUUCAUAAUAGCACCAUGUUCUUCAUGAUUGAGAGUCUCUUGUUUUGUCACCACCAUAUGCUAGUGGGAAUCUUAAUUAUAUAACUUGGCUUGUAUAUUCCAAUGAUGGGCUUCCUCAAAAUUGCCCUAGGUCUUCGUCAGCAAGCAAGUUGGAUGCACACCCAUUAGUUCUCCUUUUGAGCUUUCACAUAUUUAUAGCUCUAAGUGCAUCCAUUGCAUGCCAAUCCCUACUCUUUCACAUUGAUAUCUAAUAAUGAGCAUCUCCAUAGACCUUUGAUACGCUGAGUCAAUGUAAUCAUAUCCUCCUUUUUGUCUCACAACCUCCACCACACUCUUUUUCACCUAUAGUGCUAUAUCCAUGGCUCACGCUCAUGUAUUGCGUGAGAAUUGAAAAAGGUUUGAGAAAGUAAGAGUGCGAAAACAAUUACUUGGCCAAUUCUGGGGUUGUGCAUGAUUUAAAUUCGUUGUGUGGGGAUGGUGGAGCAUAGCCAGACUAUAUGAUUUUGUAGGGAUAAAUUUCUUUGGCUUUGUUAUUUCAAAAGUUCAUGAUUACCUUGCUAGUUUGCUUGAAGUAUUAUUGUUUUCAUGUCAAUAGCAAACUAUUGUUUUGAAUCUUACGGAUCUGAACAUUCAUGUCACAUGAAAGAAGUUACAAAGGACAAAUAUGCUAGGUAAAAUUCCACAUCAAAAAUUCAUUCUUUAUCACUUCCCUACUCGAGGACGAGCAGGAGUUAAGCUUGGGGAUGCUUGAUACGUCUCCAACGUAUCUAUAAUUUUUUAUGGUUCCAUGCUAUUAUCUUAUCAAACUUUGGAUGUUUUGUAUGCCUUUUAUAUCUUUUUCGGGACUAACUUAUUAACUCGGUGCCAAGUGCUAGCUCCUGUUUUUUCGGUGUUUUUGACCCUUUUCAGAGGAGAAUAUUAAAUGGAGUCCAAACGGAAUAAAACCUCCGAAAUGAUUUUUUUUGGAACAGAAGAUACGCAAGGAGAUUGAGAACCAAGGCAGAGGGCGCCAAGGGAGGCCACAAGCCACCUAGACGCGGCCUGGGGGCACGCCUAGCAGGCUUGUGGGCCCCCUGUGGCUCCUCUGCCCUACUUCUUCCGCCUAUAAAUCCCCGAAAAAUCCAAAACCACGGGAGAGAUCCACGAAAAUACUUUUCCACCGCUGCAAGCUUCUGUCUCCGCAAGAUCCCAUCUGGGGCAUGUUCUGGUGCCCUGCCGGAGGGGGGAUUCGGAUACGGAGGGCUUCUUCAUCAACACCAUUGCCUCUCCGAUGAUGCGUGAGUAGUUCACCAUAGACCUUCGGGUCCAUAGCUAGUAGCUAGAUGGCUUCUUCUCUCUCUUGGAUCUUCAAUACAAAGUUCUCCAUGAUCUUCAUGGAGAUCUAUCCGAUGUAAUCUUCUUUUGCGGCGUGUUUGUCGAGAUCCGAUGAAUUGUGGAUUUAUGAUCAUAUUAUCUAUGAAUCUUAUUUGAGUUUCUUCUGAUCUCUUAUAUGCAUGAUUUUAUAUCCUUGUAAUUCUCUUCGAGAUGUGGGUUUUGUUUGGCCAACUUGAUCUAUGAUUCUUGCAAUGGGAGAAGUGCUUGGUUUUGGGUUCAUACCGUGCGGUGACCUCACCCAAUGACAGAAGGGGUAGCGAGGCACGCAUCGUGUUGUUGCCAUCAAGGGUAAAAAGAUGAGGUUUAUAUCUAUUGCAUGAAUUUAUCCCUCUACAUCAUGUCAUCUUGCUUGAGACGUUACUCUGUUGAACUCAAUACACUAGAUGCAUGCUGGAUAGCGGUCGAUGUGUGGAUUAAUAGUAGUAGAUGCAGAAAGUAUCGGUCUAUUUGUCUCGAACGUGAUGCCUAUAUGUAUGAUCAUUGCCUUAGAUAUCGUCAUGACUUUGCGCGGUUCUAUCAAUUGCUCGACAGUAAUUCGUUCACCCACCGUAAUAUUUGCUAUCUUGAGAGAAGUCUCUAGUGAACACUAUGGCCCCCCGGGUCUACUUCACAUCAUAUUUUCAGCCCUACACUUUUACUUUGUUGCACUUUCCGCCUUCAGAUCUCACCUUGCAAUCAAUCGUGAAGGGAUUGACAACCCCUUUGUAGCGUUGGGUGCAAGUUUGUUUUUUUUGCACAGGUACAUUGGUGCCUCAUCUUGAUACUCCUACUGGAUUGAUACCUUGGUUCUCAAACUGGGGGAAAUACUUAAUGCUACUCUGGUGCAUCACCCUUUCCUGUUCAAGGGAAAAAAACAACGCAAGCUCGAGAGGUAGCGGGUGGCUUCAGGAUGAGUGAUGUAUUACUUUGUAUGAUCUUUAUGAAUAAUUAAUAAAAUGGUUGCAUGCAUCAUCCACAUGCAAAGGCCGAGGAUUUAUCCUCCUUUUCUAAGAAAAACUAUUGUAUAAAGGAAAUCAAUUGACCAGGCCCUCAAGGUUUGUUAGGAAAGACAUGCUCAGCGGUAAACUUAUCAUGAGUCGUCCAAAGGACCCAACAAAGCACUACAAAAAACAUAGGUAGGCCAUAAUGAGUAGCGAGUGAAGGCAUGAGGUCAGAGAAGUUGUCCAGGUUCCAAUUAACACUAAGCCAAGAACAAACGCAUCUCCAUGCAAAUCUACAGUAGCUAAGACACACCUGAACAAGAUGUGUUAUACAGUAUGUUUCUGUUCUCUCGACAAAGAGAACAGGUCACCACAGCAUUGCCUAAUUUCCUGUCAAAGGAAGAUUUUGAUUUUAAGCUCGAUACAUGUCUUUCACACACCUUUGAAACUAUUCAAGCGAUGUCCUUCCACAUGCCCUUCCUCGUCAGCCGAGAGGCGAAGCCAAGGGAUGUGUUAUUCAUAACUUGGCUUCAAAGAGAGGUCCUUGUGCCAAAGGUUUCAUGUUCUAAAGAUAGCUGUUGAGGGUAACAACAUCGCAAAAAAGUGACAUGUUUAUUUAUUUUAUUUUUCAGAACAUAGACAAAAGAUUUUUCUCGUCCAUUAGCCAAGCCGAAGAGAGUUGUCCAAUUAAUUAACGUAAAACCGGACGAAAACCGUCACAAACUGUUGAGUGACACUCACACAAUACCCCACGCACACCUCACACAGAGUUCGUCAAGGUCACACACGACAUCAUCGUCAUCACCUCUCCCCAACAGACGUCAUCACCGUCCCUUAACUCCGAGCAAGCGAUUCGGACUUCGUGGAAGAUGAACGUCGACCCAACCCUUGCCAUAGAGGUUGUGCAUAAUGACUCACACUCAUCCACACUCAGCCACCCGCACGGAGAGCAGCGCAACUCUGACACUGGAGGAUAGGUUUGAAGAAGAACUAUGCAAGGUAGGCGUCGUGAAUGACCACCGAACAGACCAUCUUCUACCCAUCAUCGUCGCCACAGGAGCCCCGCCCCCGCAGCUCCGACUUCACCAUGACAAAACAAUCCGAGGUAAUCCCGCAAAUGCAUCAAAGAGCCGACUACCACAAACAUUGUCAUGUCUCCCACAUCACACUCUUUCAUCAUCAUUGCCACAAAAGCCUCGACGCCACAACCGCCGCCUACCAUCGAUCCUGCUUGCCGAUAUCGAGCUCCGAGACGAAGCCCCCAAGAGGGAAAACGACAUCAAAGUGUCGUCAUCGUUCGAUUAGAAGAUCAAGGGUUUCCCUUGGAGAGGCGGAGAUGACCGUAUCUGCGCAGGAGGGGUGUGGCAGCAACACAACAAUGCCUCCAGAAAGGCCAACGACAGCCACAGUCGCUGCCAUCACUGGUCAAAACACAAGGUCGAGAUAGGGUCUUCACCCCAGCUCCCACACCACCUCGAUCGCACAUCAUCUCGCAUCGGCGCUGACAAGCCCACCACCAAUGAACCAGCCUGCCAAGGAAGAAGCACUGAACCACACCCAUCGUAGCCAACCGCACCUCGCGGAGACCAACGACCAACACCCUGUGUAGAUCUAUCCACCGCCAACCAAAAACAGAGAUAUCGGACGCUGUUUGACCAGCUGUGCCUUGCCAAGCACCAUCACGGCAAAGGAACAAUGAAGAACUGCCCGAGACCGAAAACCACCACGUUUCCCAGCCACAGCGAUGAACCACACGCGCCAACGUGCACCAUGCGCGCCACCAGUGCCCAUCGUAGACCGGAAUAGAUCCGGCACAAUCACACCCUGCUCCAGCAUGCCCCGCACCUCCUAUCUGCCCAUGGGCCGCCGCCCAGCAUUGUGUGGCUCCGCACGCCCUUCAGCCAGCUGCAACUCUGCACCUUCCCCGGACGUUACAACAGAAGCGUCAUGGAGAGUUGUUCUUUCAUGUAUGAAAUAUUGACCUGUUUUGUCUGACUUAAAAAUGUAGGCGGAAUUGAUAUAUUAUAUGUGUGUGUGUUAUGUGACAAUCAAAUUGCAUUGGCAAACGACAUUACAUGAAAAGCAUGUCUAUUGUAUAUUGGAUGACAUAUGAAAAUUCAAUGAUUAUAUGUAUUUGUGUAUUGCGCAUGUGCAAUGAUGUGUGUUGUUGUGCUGUCGAGGCUACAUUGAUAGCAAUACUUGUAUUAUUAUUGGAGUAGUAGUGCAGCCCCAAUGUGCAAAAGCCAAUAUAAAGUCAUCAUCGACCAAGGUUUUGUCACUGUUGUUGAUCGUAUCAACCCAUCAUUGAUAGAAUUGUGAAAAAUAUCUCCGGCUGGCUAGGUAGAUACCUCACUUAUAGAGGUUUCUGUUGUGUGCUUGCAUUGUAAGUAUACCUACCUACCUGAUGAUUGUUUUGAAAUUUCCUAAAUGGGCAAUUAGUGCCAUCAAUUCUCAGAUGACUCAUUUUUUCUGGAGAAAUAUAGAAGACCAACAUAAAUACCAUCUAGCCCAUUGGGGACUUGUCUCAAGGAAGAAAGUCCUUGGUGACUGUACCCAACGUGAGAGACUUUAACAUGGCCCUUUUGGCGUCGUGGGGGAAUGCUUCUUUGAGAACAAUAAUAGUGAUUGGAAUAAACCGAUUGCUUUUAAAUAUAAUGUGUAAUCCCCAAAUAUAUUGUGGUCUAGGCAACAAGUUGGCUCUCCCUUCAGUGUGACUUGGGCUUUGAAUGCUGCCAAAACCUUUUAUCCCUAAAAAUUUAGGAGGGAAAUGAUAUUAGCUUUUGGCAUGACACUUGGGCGGGGGAUUAUUCCCUGAAAGUUAAAUUCUGGGACCUAUUUGACAUAUGUAAUCAGACUGAUUGCUCGGUACCCAGGUAUGGGAUGGGGCAACACUUAGACUAUUGUUUAGAGGAUGUGUUGAACAGAGGGGCAUGUCCAGCUGACUGCAACUUAUUGAACAUUUGACAAAGUUCCCUCUGGCUCACACAUAGGAUACUCGUGUGGGACUAAAAUCCAAUGGCAAAUACUCAGUAAAGUCUUUUUGUAGCAUCAUCAAUUUCGGAGGCGUGGUUUCUCCCUCUGGGGAUGCUUUAUGGAAAAAUUUAUGUCCACAAAAUAUACAUGUCUUCUUGUGGCUAUGCCUAAAUAACAAGACUUUGACCAGAGAUAAUUUAGCCAAGAGAAGACAUGUGAAGGAUAUGUCAUGCUUGUUCUCUAGUAAAACUCAAACCAUACAAUACUUGUUUUUUGAUUGCAUUAACACUAUAUGGGUGAUGGUGUAUGAGUUCUUUCAUAUACAUAAGAUUUCAUGCUUUGCUGAUGUAUGCAUGUUGUGGAAACUAAACAAGAGUAAACAUGUGCUUAUAUGGUGAUUGUUGCCUCCUUGUGGAGUGUUUGGAGAUUGAGAAAUGAGUUUUGUUUCUAGGGACGCACAUGAAGAGGGUUGGGCUACGGCCUUAUCAAACUAAAAGGAAUCUUGUAAUGCUGGAUGGCUCCGUGCGACGCUGUCUAGGCAGAUCUCCUUCGAUGCUUCGUCCUCCUGCUGGACAAACAUCGGGAAGAGCUCAUGAAGAUAGGCUGGGCCUGAUCGGUGAUUGGAUUCAUGUACUGGCUUGACAUAGGAAAAUGUAAUAAAUCUGUACUAGAUCUUUGAUCAGGUCUUCGAUACCUCCUACUGUGCCCUUUGGCGGUUGUUUUAGAUUGAUCCAGACAUCUAUGUGGUUUUGCCUGGAUCUUUUGAUUUGCUUUCUACUCCCUCUGUUUCUAAAUAUAAGUCAUUUUAGAGAUUUCACUAGAGGACUACAUACGGAGCAAAAGGAAUGAAUCUAUACUCUAAAAUAUAUCUACAUACAUCCAUAUGUAGUCCAAUAAUGGAACCUCUAAAAAGAAUUAUAUUUAGUAGCUGGUAGUAGGCUAUGAACUGAUCGUCUUUGUUUCUCGUUGCUGCUUCAUCAAUAAAAUAAGGCUGGGAAACCCCUCUUUCAAAAAAAAAUGUUCAUUGUAUCCUCGACGCCCACUGUGAAAACUUCACUGGCUGGCCAGCGGCCAGUGAUGGGAAAUCAUCAGUGAUCAGCCAAACAGCAUGUCUCACAGGGACAGAGAUCAGGUGACAUGUACGUUUUGCAUGUCAUCGUUUUGCAUGUCAUCGUGUGCCUUACUGCCUAAAUUCAAAUUUAAACACUACUAAAAAAUCUGAAAAAAAACAUGCAUGUUCACAGCACAUAUUAAGAUAACCCCUAAAAAAUUCAGAUCAAAAUUCGAAAUAUACAUCGAGAAACAAAAAAGAGAAAUCUCUCAUGAAUAGUUCGCGAAUGGUUCUCUGUAGGCUAUUCACAUCUGAGUUUCUCUUUUUUGUUUCUCGAUGUAUGUUUCGAAUUUUGAUCUGAACAUAUUAAGAGUUAUCUUAAUAUGUGUUGUGAACAUGCAUGAUUUUUUUAAAGUUUUUUACAAUGUUUAAAUUUAAAUUUAGACCGCAAGACACACGGUGACAUGCAAACGUGAUCUCUGUCCGUUUCACAGUCCGAGGUAUAUCAGCGAUGAUAUCUUUUGGCCGAUACUGAAAUACAUAUGCAACGUCGGUGAGAUGACAACUUAGAAAGGCACAAUCAACAUGGGCAUCGCCAUAUCUGGCACAGUCCCAGGUAAAUCAGCGAUGAUAUCUUUUGGCCGAUACUGAAAUACAUAUGCAACGUAGGUGGCAUGACAACUUAGAAAGGCACAAUCAACAUGGGCAUCGCCAUAUCUGUCACUCCAGUAUGCGCAUUUCAAUUAGGGGCGUUCACCGGGUGAUUUUUAAAAAUUAUCCGUCACCUAGUUAGCCGUCAGAUGCCGAUCUAACGUCCCGCAUCUCCGCUGCAUGGUCAGUAGUUAUUUCCUGAAACGACGCUCAAGUUACGGAAACUUUCGCUUUGUCGCAAGAAAUAAACUUUGGAUCCGUUAAUUCCUGAAACAACGGUCAAGUUUCAAAAACAAUUUGCUUGUUACAGAUUUUUUUCUUCGUCUUCAGGAAUUUUUGCAACGAAAGUCACGUUGCAGAAGCACUACCCAGUCGGGAUCCAUGCUCGACGGAGAGUCAGGCACGCGAGCUCGCCUUGGGAUGCUGCAGGAACAAGCAGGGAAGCUCCCCGACGACGGGAUCUGACCAGGGAAGGCGAGAUGCCGAUCUAACGUCCCGCAUCUCCGCCGCAUGGUCAGUAGUUAUUUCCUGAAACGACGCUCAAAUUACGGAAACUUUCGCUUUGCCGCAAGAAAUAAACUUUGGAUCCGUUAAUUCCUGAAACAACGGUCGAGUUUCAAAAACAAUUUGCUUGUUACAGAUUUUUUUCUUCGUCUUCAGGAAUUUUUGCAACGAAAGUCACGUUGCAGAAGCACUACCCAGUCGGGAUCCAUGCUUGACGGAGAGUCAGGCACGCGAGCUCGCCUUGGGAUGCUGCAGGAACGAGCAGGGAAGCUCCCCGGCGACGGGAUCUGACCAGGGAAGGCGGCGUGGUCCCGUUGCUUGCCGGACUGGAGAGGAGGCUGGUCCCGUUGCUUGCCGGACUGGAGAGGAGGCUGGUCCCGUUGCUUGCCGGACUGGAGAGGAGGCUGGUCCCGUUGCUUGCCAGACUGGAGAGGAGGCGGCCAGCGAGCUCUUGGCUUGAUCCAGUGGAAGUCGAUCGUCUCCACGCCUGGGUUCCCUCCUUUUGCGGUCAACUACUUCUAAGCUGCAUGAACAAAUUGUUUUAGGAAAACGGUCACGGCUCGUCCGUCCGGCCACGUGGCAAACAAAGGUGGCAGUGGACGCGAUAGCAGAAUCAGCCGGCUGGAAGGUAACGUUUCCCUUUCAAUUGAGUGCUGCACCCGCAGGUUUUUCCGCGAGGCUGACGAACAGCUGAUUUCUGAAACCAUUGACGCUAAAAAUAAACAGCUUCAGCCUUUAAUCUGUACAGAGCUGCACCCACUGCCUGAACCUGAAGCUACUUGUCAUGGGACAGAGCGUGCUCGGGCCGAUGUGUGAACUCAUAGUCGAGGUGGACGAAGGCGCGCUCGAUCUCGGGCAGGCACUCCAGCUUCUCCUGCAGGGCCUCACCGAUGUCGUGCGCCUCCUUCAGCGGCAUGCCCGCCGGCAGCACAAUGUCCACCUCCACAAAGUAGUGCGAGCCGAACGUGUAGGCGCGCACCGUGUCGAUGUGCCUCACGGCCUUGUGGUGGUUCCAGCAUAGGUAGGUCAGCUUCUGAAGGUACUCUGGCGAAGCCGACUGCCCGACAAGCGAGUGAACGUUUUCCAGCACCGUCAUCGACCAUGUCCUGAUGGUGUAGAUUGCUAGCUGCAAAUGAAGAACCAACUCAUGAUUAAUAUUUUUCUCUGAAAAUCAACUGUUAAUUUCAAAAUAGCACACUGUCCGCUCUUUCACUCGUGUUAUUCGGUUGUCGUCAUUUUUGGAGCCAGGCAACUGAAGGAAGUGAUCAAUAUUGGGAUGCAGCUUCGGAUACAGAAGGAAGAAGAGAUCAAUUGCCAUGAAAAUAAGACAGAAGAGAGGGAAGGGGAACCACUUACAAUAAUUGCACCGACUGGGUCGAUCCAUCCUUCAAAAUAAUUUGCUAGUAGUGCAGCCACAAGACCAAUUAUAUUAGUGAUCACAUCGAAAAUGUGAUCCUGUGCAUAAGCCUUGACAAUUUCAUUGGUGAAUGUGCGGCAAUAUAAAGCCAGGGCAAGUUUCACCAGCGUCACUGAGAGCAUGAUGUCCACAACCCACUUUUCCUGCUCAUUUGUCAAACUGAAUUCACCUCCCUAGAAAAUGAUAGGAUAAUAUGAGCAAACAAAAUUUAUAAUGGAAGAACUAAAGUUUGUAUCUAAGAGUCAUAGUUCCAGAGUAAGGGAUACAUAGAUGUGGUUCAAAAGGGAACUGCGCAGGAACAAAGGUUUUGCAAACUAUAUUGAUAAAAAAGGUACUCCCAGACCUACAUUUUUCAGAGGGAACUGUGCAGCAACAACAGUGGUUCAAAAGGGAGAAUUUCAGAAGCUCACAUUACAGCUGCCAUGGCCUACAUUUAGCUAAUUAUUUGCCAGACCACCAAAAAAAGAGAAUGUGAUAAGUCCGGGUACAACGUAACAAGAAAAGGUUUAGUAGGAAAAGUAUAGUGCUUAUAGCAAAAUCUUUAUUUCUUUUAAGGAGCAGAGUUGGCAAAAGCACACUGGUCAUGGCAACUGGGAAACUUAACUAGCCAAAAUCAACACAAGGCUUCUGUCUUCACAAUAAGGAUACAGAUCAAGGCUUUGACGAAGAAUUACUCUAUUAAUAAAUGGUAUCUAUGAUACAAAACCACGAAUAGCUGGAAGUACUGUUGAAAACGAAUCUAGUGACACCAAUUUCAUGUCAUAAAAUACACAUAUUAACAAAGCAAUUCCUGGGCAAGCCUUGUCUUAACGAAACCAAACAAGCAAUUAUUUAGUCAAUUCACAGUGUUGUCGUAGAAGUGAUUUAGCGAACUUAAAGUGGCAACAUAUGAAAUGUAUCAAAGUAUCAAAAAUACGAAACACUAGUACAAUGGGCAGAAUGAUUUUAAUAUGUCAUAAACCAAAAGGACAAACAUUUGACAUGAUCUAAAUCCAAAGAAGUUAUAAGAUAUGAAAUAAUGAAAGUACUUUUUGAGAUAAAUUUAUCUACACCAUUUUAAGGCGCCUCUAAAUACUUUCGAAUAUAUGUGUAAGUAGUUGAAGUUUGACUGUAAUCGUGUCCAAAAUAGCAGCAUUUAGUGAACAGGAGGGACUAUGUGUUAGUGAAUAGUGAUACUGAAAUAGCAAGGCUUCCACACAGCUAAUGUUGAAAAGCAGUACAGGAAAGUUAAUAAGCGAACAGUGUUCUGAUGCCCUGGUGAGUUGGGGGAGAUGCAAGUGCAACUCGUGAUUUUUUUUAAAGAAAUGUCCUUGGAGAAAUUUCUGCUAAAAAAGACAGUGAAGAUAAAAAAAAGUAUUUCGAAGCUGACAAAAACAGUGGACUUACAUCAGACAACAGUGAUCGAGUUGAUUCUAAGAUGAUCUGAAGGCCAAGCGUUGCCAUAACUGAGGCAAAGACAAGUAUUCCCUGGAGAAAGGUUAUCAUGAAGCUGUGAACAUACUGAAAAGUAAGCAAAAAAUGUGCAAUUCCUUACAGUACAAGAUGUGCCAGAACAAUUGUGAAUCUAAACCGGAAGGGUCGAAAGAAAGUAUAUUCUAUAGUUUUUAGGCUUACAAUUUCAUACUCCCUCUGUCCCAUAAUAUAAGAGCAUUUUUUACACUACACUAGUGUAAAAACCGCUCUUAUAUUAUGGGAUGGAGGGAGUAUACCACACCUAACUGGCAGCUAACGAAAACAAAAAUAAAUAAAAAUAGACAGGGUUACACUGGAACGCGCAGAGUGCCUUAGAAGUUAGAGCACAGUAUUAAGUCUUCUUAAAUCACAAAGCUGCAUCAUACGGUAUAAUUUCACCACUUCAUUCAAUCUUUUGCAUUAACUUAUUUUCUUUCCUGAUCUAAUAUCCGUUUGCAUUUCUUUUCAGAGUGCUACACAAAAUCACUGUUGAGAGUAAAAGUAGUAACUGAAGUAUGUAACACCUAUACUGAAUAGAACUAACUAAUAACACCAUUGAGACUGGUCAAAUGGAUUAUAAGAAUAGUUCCCUACAAAAGGAACUACAGGAAGUACAUGUUGAAACAGAACUCACCAGCGGCUGCAUACGCUUUUUACCAAUUGGGUAUCUGUAGGGAUUUGGUGUUUGCAUAGAAAAUGCAGUAAACCAUAAGAUGAACCCUGACAACAAGUCAAGAAGAGAAUCCAAAGUGGAAGCUAUAAUAGCAAGCGAGCCACUCCGUACUGAAGCAUACACUUUUGCAGCAAAAAGAACCAUGUUUGCAAUGUUUGAUAGCCGGAUGGCUAAGGUUUCACUCCUAGCAACCUGUUCACGCUCUUCCUGCAGGUAGAUAAGUUUCAUUUAAUUUUUAAGUUAGGUGUCCUCCCUAAUGUCACAACCUGAAGCUUAUUUAUAGAACAGACCUUGGACAUUCCAGGAAGAAAACCACGAUCGGUCAGCGCAUCCAUUUCAUUGAAACCCUCUAGCAUUUCCACUUGCUGUUGGUAGUAUUCAGCGACAACAUCCUCGGGAGCUUGACCUGCAGAUAGAAAUAAAGAUCUUAUAUGGAACCUUAGGUCAUCUCCAACGCGGAUCACCAAAUUUCCGCCCGUAAAUGCCCACGGACACAUCCGGCCAAGUGGAGGCCAUCCAACCAUGAUCACCAAAUGUCCACAUGAAAUUCGGACGAAAUUUAGCAAGUUCAAUAUAUUACAUGCAAAACGGAUGAAAUCUAACAAGUUCGAAAAUCGAAACAAACCUAGAGUAAACUAAACUAUGCAUAGUAGUGGGAAGUGACCUCAUAGGCGUGGCCGUUUGAGUUGUCGUCGUCGUCACACCAAUGGCGAAAGGACCGUUGGGCGUUGCAGCAUCCCCGCCCAGCCGCGGCGGCGCAAACGCUCGACCACAACCUCCACCGCCUGGCAUGGCUUGUCGGCGGCGGCUUGGAGGCCGUCAGCCCCGCAUGGAGGAGCUGGGUGUUGAGCUGGCUUUGACGACAGGCAUAUGACUCGAUGGUGGUCUUGGACCGGUAAAGGGACCAAGCGUCGGCAAGCAUGGGGUCCACAUGCACCCAGGCGACGCCACCCGAGUCUUGGUGAACGUCGCCUUGUGUUGUACCGCUCCCGACGGCACUCCUCCCCCAUGACUUUUCACUUGGACGACAACUUGGCGCCAGCGUCGCUACCUUUGAGGUAACAGUGGAGGCGUGGGUAGCUUGGACGGUAGUGGGGAGGACGGCUUAUCCUUGACGGCGGAAGGACCAGACGCCCGGUUGGCGAAGUGUUGGGGACGGUGGGGCCUCCUUCACACGGCGAUGUACGAUUUGGAUGUCAUGGUUGCACGAAGUGGGCGGCAAUGGCGGACCACGAUCGGUCAACGACCGGAACAAUGCCUCGUCCAUAUGUGUGGUGAACUCGUCAUCCAUAGACGCCACCGCACGAGCAAGGGCGGCUACUGCUCCUCUUGUCCCGAGGAGAUCGGCACCACCUUCAUGGUGGACAGAGCAAUGGACGACUACGGGCCUGGUAACCGUGGGCGACGUCCUGAGCUGGACCUGGAGCUGCCCCUGGUGACUGGUUGGAGCGGUAGCUGCCGAGCGGCCGCCAUGCCCCGAUCUUCUCAAUGUCCGUUCUUGCCCAUCGCAACGGCCGGAGGUGUGGGAGGGGAGGAGUGUGCAGAUAGGGUAGAGGGGGUGAGCCGAGUUUAUAGCCGGAGUAGGCUUCUCAGUCACCGUGCCGCCAAGAUUGUGGGUAUGGGGCAGGCCUGUCAGUCGGUAUGAUUACACCGAGGUUCUAGAGCCAGACAGUCGGAGAGGGUUUGUGGUGGGUCAGGGCUGUCAGAUUCCGAAGUGGUAGACGUCCAGACUCCCCCAAAGUACCCCUGAUUUGAGGCCAGGUAGCUGGAUUUUGGACAUUCGAACCAGUCAAACCCGAUUUGGUGACCCCGCAGGAGCUUUAAAAUUGUAUGAACUGAUUGGUCCGGACAUUUGCGGGCGUUUUGAUGAUCCGCGUUGGAGAUGCUCCCAUUCCAUUCCAUGUGCGUUAGAGCAAGUACAAUAGAGCUGAGUCAGCUGGCUAUAAGGAAUAAAGUAGUAUAUUUUUGCUUAGUUGGAGGAGAGAGAAGAGAGAAGGUAAGCGGGCUCUUAGUUAAGAGCCAGCUCUAGCACGUGCUCCUAGGCACUUUGUGAGAAUGGAUGGUGGGUCAUAUAAUAAAUAAGUAGUACACUCUUCUAACCAACUAUUGGACAUGUUAGCUAUAAGAUGGGCUAUAGGUGACAUGGCAUGAGCUUACAGCCCGCAGCCGGCUCUACUAUUAUACUUGCUCUUAAAAAGGGAAAGUCUCAAACAGCUCACGUGCUAUCCUAGUUAGAUCCUACAGUCCUUUUAUCCUUGUCAUCCAGUCCCCAACUACGAUAAUUCUGCUGACCUCACAUAGCACCUUCUUUUCAGGGAUAUGCAUGAGCAGUGCAAGACUGAAAGAACUGAACUUAAAAAAGCACAGAUUGCCCUUCCCACAUAUGGACAAUAUGCAAUAUCAGAGAAGCUCAAGAAGAAAAACAUCAACGGGAAACUACACAUUUCUGAUAAGCUAGCAUAGGAAGUCGAAUCUGGCGAACCACCACCGUCAGUAUCCAGAACCCAAUCUCCAUAUCCGAAAAGGACUGGUUAUAUCCUCUUACCAGGAACCAAAACAAAACAGAAAAGGGUUAAACUUUUACAUAAUCAUCACGAGUUGCAUAAAAGCAGCCGCCCCAUCGAGGAAACCAAGCUUGCCAAAUCACGAGACGCCAUGGACCAAGCACCAUGGACGCGCAUCGGCGUAUAAAGAGGGUAGCACGAGCACGCCAGUACGCCAGCACCAGUGUCAGGGAAAAGGAAGAGGUGUCCUACCUAUGACGCCGAGGCAGUGGUGGUGGAGCCGUCGGGCGGGCCUCUCCUGGCGCGCCUCAGGCGGGCGGAGGCCGUCGAAGUUGAGGCGCCAGGACUUCUCCUCCGCGGGCGCCGCGCCCGCCUCGACGGCGGCGAGCAGCCGCAGCUCCUCGCCCUCCCCGCCGGCCGCCAUUUCCGAACCCUAGCCGCCGCCGCCGCCGUUUCUGUCGACUUUCGCAACGGAGGCCGGGGAGGAAUGGAAGAGGUUGGGAGUUUGCGCCGUCGAGCAGAGCGAAUUAAGCGGCUACUAAAUGGAGUAGUGCGCGCGUCUCGAUGUGAUUGUGAUUGAAGACUGCGGGAGGCUCGGUGUCUUUCUUCUGGGCGCACCGGGUCUCUACGCCCGCGUCCUGGCGGGUGGACCCGGCAGGGAACAGCGGUUCACCGGUCUAGUGCAUCCGGUCUACGGACCGCUUUCGGUGGGCCGGCUACCCGGGGGGAAAGGUGGCGCCGUGGCAGGCAGGGGCGUGAUUUGAGAGGAUGCGAAUCAAUGGUCCGUCUGCGACAUGUUGAGGAUACGAAUCACUGGCCGUUUAUUAAUGUGAUAAUAAUAAUAAUAAUAAUAAUAUAGGAGUAUCUGCCAAGUGCAUGGUCAAUGAAUUUAUCCUUGAUCAUUUUUUGUUUAGGUGCUAAUAAUUGAACAGUACUCUUGUCUCUGCUGCUGCAUGUUGCCCAUAUGGUGAUACGGUCCGUGUGUUGUACUACCGCCUGCUUCUCCUCUUUGAGGCAGAAGAAACGAACAAGAUGAGCAUGACCACGGGACUCUCUCUUGUCUCGAUCCCAUGACUCCAAGAGAGUUCGUGUGCAACAUAGAAUUUUGUAGCAAGAAGUCAAGAAGGGCAAGGGAGGAAACAAACAAUCUGAAUAUCCGUAAGAAUGCCUCCGGGAACCAUUUUAGUAUAUCAAACUGGUACUACUAACCAUCUACCAAAAGCGGUCAAAUAUUCGAGUGGCGGAGUCAAGAAGAAGAGCAUUUGAUUGCACGAGGGCGGGUGCAGUUAGUUGGAGCCGUCAAGCAAACUCGCUUGCGGAAAAUGUUGCUUUCCAAGGGCCGAACGAGUGGACCACCACCGUCUCGCAUUUUUCUUCAGGUCCGUUUCUCUCGAGUCUCGGCCACACGGCGGCGUACUUCGUCGACGCCACCGGUUCUGAUUGAAACGUGUGGCCGAAGAUCGCCGGAGAUUCGCGCAUGCUACCGCAGAAUCGCGGCGAUCUUUCUCGUCGAAGGAGUGUUACUGACAGUGCUGCAAUCGAGCGACGGUCUGUUCUUAGGCUGGUUGUAGUGGAUGUAUAAUAUAUUAGUAUCAUACAUAUGAUACUAGUGUAUGAUACAACAACCGUAAUACAUAAUAUUAUAUGUUAGUUUAUUUAUUAUCAUGUAACAUAUAUACUCCUACUACUCUUAAAUAUAUGGGGUGUUUGUUUCCGGGGAUUUAUUGAUGUAGGGACUAAAAAAAGUCCAUUUUAAUUUCAUGUGAAACAAACAGGAGGGACUUUUAGAAACUAAAAGGAGGUAUUUGAUACUAAGUCUGGUUGUAAUGGGAGUAUCAUAAGUAGUAUCAUGCAUGUCAACUAGGCAUAUUUGAUGAGGUGACAUGGAAUUAAAUGAAGAAAGAGAGAGCUGAGUAUCAUAUUAUGAUACGUAUCAUAUUAAAUGUUGUGCUACUAUGUAUCAUGCAUGAUAAUAAAUGAACCGUUCUAUGAUACUAGCGCAUGAUACUAUGCAUUAGAGCAAGUAUAAUAGUAGAGCCGGCUGCCGGUUAUAAGCUCAUGCCAUGUCACCUAUAGCCCAUCUUAUAACUAACAUGUACUACAAUAGUCGGUUAGAAGCGUGUACUACUUAUUUAUUAUAUGACCCACCUUCAUUCUCAUAAAGUGUCUAGAAGCACGUGCUAGAGCUUACUCUUAACUAAGAGCGCGCUUACAUUCUCUCUCCUUCAACUAAGCAAAAAUAUACUAUUUUAUUCCUUAUAGCCAGCUGACUCAGCUCUAUUGUACUUGCUCUUACGGAUUAAUAUCAUACACUAGUAUCAUAUGCAUGAUACUAGUAUAUGAUACUUUCAAUACAACCAACCUAAAGGAAGAAGUCCUUUUGAGAGGGUUUUUUUUGAGACUUUUUUUACACUUUGUCCAACAGUGUCCUUACUUUUAGCAUAUCAUUUAAUAACUUCUAGUAGUACUAGAGGUAACAUGGCCUUUUUGUCUGUCAUUUAAUGACCUAUAGUCCCUGGUUAAUCCCUAAAAAACGAUAAAGACUAAGAAUUUUUUAGUUGAGACUAAAAAAAAGCCUAAAACUUUUUAAAGAAAACAGGGCCUACCUUGUCGACCGAAAGGAAGGUCCCGCUUGUUUCCGUCGCUACCGGGAACAGGCGGUGACCGCUGCGUCCCGGAGUGAUGGAUGGUGGCUGUGCCGGAGCCGGACCACUCGACGAGGACGCCAAACAACGUGGAUCGCGAGGAAUCGAGGAUAUUCCACGGGUGGAUGGGGUCGUUGAAGCCUGGAAGCCGGUGACAGAAAAAUCAAACAAGCUUUGUUGUAUAGUGCGUACAAGGUAGAACAGAAACAGAGGGUAACUUUGAAGAUGAUCGGGUUGGUGGAGCCAACAUUUCGGAUCAGCAACGCGUAUGCAUCCGUUGAAAACCAUGCUCGUUCUGAGAAUUAUAUACGGGCUCUGGUCCAACGGACUGCCUACGUGUUCAACGAGAACCGCAGGAAAAAGGAUACCGUCGGCCGAUCGACGAAAGCAUCCGGUCAUCCCCAUGAAAUCAGCUCCGCCGAGUCGGGAGCUCGCUUCAGAACACAAGUAGGAGUAGUCUCUUCAAAACACUUCUCCUGCAUUCUACUUACCACGACCGGCUGUUCAUGACGGUGAGGUUCUUGGCGAUGCGUGUCCGCUAUCUCCAUCUGGAGGCCAACAGUGAACUCUCCUGCACGGCCAGACUGACCGCAGCUGGACGUCGUCGUCCCCCGGGGAAUCGUGUGACCCGUCGGUAAUGACACGUCCUUGUCGGAAUCCUAUCGUACCUGCUGGGGAAGGGAGGUGACUGUAACGUUGGACUGUCGAGUCGUCGUCUCAGCUGUGCACGCACGGGAGAAGACGGAUUUAAAAACGUUUCUUGGAAGACUUGCGACCUAGCUUGAACCAGCGAUUAGAAAAUGUAUUGUGUGAUUCUGUCCAUCUACCAAGAAUGUGCCUUGUGCCAGACGCAUUCUCGUUGUGUCUGCACGCACAAAAUAAAAUAUGCUGUCGCCAUCCAGCAAAUGGAUAUAUCGUGUGUGUAACUGAGAAUAUGUUUUGGCUAAAAUGUUGUGAAAUUGUGGAAUCAUUUCCGUUGAGCCCCGGCAAUCAAUUGGAUCCACCUAUGUGCCCUCCUAGCUGUUGGUGUAUUAAAACAAGAGUUAGGCGUGGCUAUACGUAAGAGCAUGUGUAACAUACCCCGUAAAAGGAUGACUUGUAAAAUGGUUUUGCAGGACGUCGCGGAGCGAUUUUACGGGGUUAUUUCGUGCCCCAAACAUUGUAGCAUCUCUAGCAGACCCCUCCACAGAAGUUGUUUACAGUUCGCGAAAAACGGAUUUUACGGGCUGACGCGGGUGCGGACAGAGGCAGACCACCCAAAACGGGCCCCUAUAAAAGCAUAUUCGCAGAAGAUGCUGCUAUGCGGGGUCUGUUCGGGCGUCACCCUGUUGACCCGCAAACCGAAUAACCAGUAAAUCAGAAUUACUCAUCAUGUGCAAAAUAAGUAGAAUGUCAAUAUUACAAAUACAGUAAUCAUCCGAAAUACAAUAAUUAUUCAAAUCAUCAUAGCAAACUAAAUGAAUGUCACACAUGCAUAUAAAACUUGUCCCAUAAACAAAUCACACAUGAAUGAAAUGAAAAUGAAUGGAAAAAUGAAAUGUUACUAUUGCCCAGCCCUUUGCCAAUGGUGCUCGGUGAGAUCCUUCUGAAGUUGAUAGUGGGUGUUUGCAUUUUCAAUCUUCAUCUAGGUCUGAAGAAAAGCUCUGAUUCGGUUAGGGUUUCUAGCUGGUUUGACACGGCUGCCCACAUUAUCAUAUAAAAACUCUAAGUUCAUGCCUCUCUCAUCUUCGAGAAUCAUAUUGUGAAGAAUAACACAGCAUGGCAUGAUGUUUUUUAAGGAUCGCUUGUCCCAAAACCGAGCAGGACCACGAACAAUGGCAAACCUAGAUUGCAAAACCACAAAUGCUCUUUCAUUGUCUUUUCGGGUUGCCUCUUGUGCCCUUGCGAAUUCAGACUCUUUCCUACUUUGGGGGUCUUUGAUGCUCUUCACAAAUGUGCACGAAGAAGGGUAUAUACCAUCUGCAAGAUAGUAUCCUUUUGUGUAUGCAUGCCCACCGAUACUAUAGUUGCAAGCUAGAGCAUCACCACUAGCAAGUCUAGCAAGCAAAUGAGACCGUUGCAACACAUUGAUAUCAUUUAGAGUACCUGACAUACCAAAAAAGCAAUGCCAAAUCCAUAAAUCGUGUGAAGUUAUGGCCUCUAGCACAAUUGUUGCAUCACCAGACUUGCCAUAAUACAUUCACUGCCAUGCUUUUGGGCAAUUUUCCAAGUCCAAUGCAUGAAAUCUAUGCUUCCUAGCAUGCCAGGCCAACCUCUUCUUUCGCUAAAUGCCAUCAAUUUUUUGUGUCUUCCUCGUUCGGUGCCCAAAGAUAUUUAGGACCAAACACACGGACAACCAUUUUGGCAAACCUAGAUUAUUGACUCUAGUGCAAGUGGGAGACUCUUGAAAAUAUGCCCUAGAGGAAAUAAUAAAAUAGUUAUUAUUAUAUUUCCUAUUUCAAGAUAAUCGUUAUUAUCCAUGUUAUAAUUGUAUUGAAUGGAAACACAAAUGCCUGUGUGGAUACAUAGACAAAACACUGUCCCUAGUAAGCCUCUAGUUGACUAGCUCAUUGAUCAAAGAUGGUUCAGGUUUUCUAGCCAUAGACAAGUGUCGUCACUUGAUAACGGGAUCACAUCACUAGGAGAAUGAUGUGAUGGACAAGACCCAAACUAUGAACAUAGCAUGUGAUCGUGUCAUUUUAUUGAUACUAUUUCCUGCAUGUCAAUGUAUCUGUUCCUAUGACCAUGAGAUCAUACAACUCCCGGACACCGGAGGAAUACCUUGUGUGUAUCAAACGUCACAAUGUAACUGGGUUUGUCACUCCGUAUGACGGAGAGGUAUCUCGGGUCCCACUCGGUAAUAAAACAUCACAAACAAAGCCUUGCAAGCAAUGUGAUUAAAGAGUUAGCCAUGGGAUUUUGUAUUACGAAACGAGUAAAGAGACUUGCGGGUAACGAGAUUAAAAUAGGUAUAGAGAUGCCGACGAUCGAAUCUCGGACAAGUAACGUACCGAAGGACAAAGGGAAUGUGAUACGGGAUUAACUGAAUCCUUGACAUAGAGGUUCAACCGAUAAGAUCUUCGUAGAAUAUGCAGGAUCCAAUAUGGACAUCCAGGUCCCGCUAUUGGACAUUGACCGGAGAGUGUCUCAGUCAUGUCUACAUAGUUCUCGAACCCGCAGGUUCUUCACACUUAAGGUUCUGUGACGUUUCAGUAUAGUUGAAUUAUUGAUGUUGGUAACCGAAUGUUGUUCGGAGUCCCGGAUGAGAUCUCGGACGUCACGAGGGUUUCCGGAAUGGUCCGGAGACGAAGAUUGGUAUUGUAACGACUAAGAUGUGGCCCUUUCCUUAUUUGGGGGCGAGGCCUCAAAAGGGGAAAGAGGCGCAUCUAUGCGUUUCGCAAACAAGAUAAUCAUAGCAAUAUAAAUAACUGAAAGAGUGACAAGUAGGGCAUACACUUGCCAUCUGAUAAGGUACAUAGUCGUACAAUCAUACAUUAUUCAAAACAUGAGAUGGUCCGACUACGGACAAGAUAAACGACAAAAGCUAUGAUAUCCCGCAUAUUAGGCCCACGAUCACGACCACAGCCUCUAGUCCUCCGAAUAAGUCACAUACAAACCGCCGUUGUCCUCAUCAAACUCCCACUUUAGCUGAUUGUCAUCGGGAACUCCUGCAUCAGGGGUGCCUAUACCUGUGGGUGUUUGUAGUAAACCGUGAGCCACGAGGACUCGGCAAUCUCAUGACCUUGGCAUCUAAUCCAACUAAGUUAAAUGAGUGAGGUAGGUUAAGUGUUUGGGUUUACAGCAUUCUAAGCACAUAUGGUGGCUAUAUUACGAUGAACAACAAUUAGAUAUGGUAGUCUACGCAAGACGGUCGAAGACUAGGUUGAUCACUAAGUGAUCCUGAACACCUACUUACGUCAUUCAUAACCCCACCGUGUUACAGUCACGGUUAUGCACUUAGUUGGCGAGUUUUAUUUGAAUUACUUUAAGUUGUCUAGAACCGUAUGUUAACAAAGUAUCCAUGUUUGCCACAUAACCGCGGGCACGGCUUUCCAAAAGAUUAAACCCUGCAGGGGUGCUCCAACUAGUCCAUCACAAAUUACCACAGGUCGCAUAGCAAUUCUCUACCACGAAACUCGUGAUCUCGUCGGAUUCCUUAAAGGAAAACCUCCACUCCGAGAAGACCCAAAGUCUCACCGGAAUCCCAAUGCGCAAGAUAUUUCGUAAAAGGUAAGACUAAUCUAGCAAGGCCGCCCGUCGUGUCGACGAACCCGAUAGGAGCCGUGUAUCUCGUUCUCAGGACACGACGGAUGGGCAGGAUGUCGGGUUGGCUAAAUCCUGGGUGACCAGGGGGCGCCGGACAUCGCCGGGUUUGGACCAACACUCAUGAGGAGCACUGGCAUGGGUUGUUGAUUUAUUCCUCGGGGUAGCUAUUCCCUAUGCUUUUUAUUAAGUUGUUAGCAAGUUAACACCAAAGUUGGUCCUGGCUGGAAAAGCUUUAAUCGAAAAUGAAUUAUCAAGGCGGUCCCCAUACCAAUCCUGAACGUGUUAGGAGCGCUCAGUUAUGGAAUGGAACACCGGUAGUCGAAACUAAGGCGGCAACAACGGAACAAAUCACCCGGCAAAAGGCUAGGCCUUCCAUUAUUUACCAAGUAUACAGGUGCGUUAAUUAAAUAACAAUUAAUAUAAUGAUAUCCAAUUGCCCAUGUUAUCACAUGGAUGAGCUGGCACCUGCAACUAGCAACGCUAUCAAUUAGUAAUUGAGCAAGCCUAACUUAGCCAAACAAUAUUUGCUAGGAGGGGGAUGUGGUUGAGGUUUCAUGGCAAUGUUUGAUGGCCUAUAUAGCAUGUGGUAGGCAGCGGAGAUGUAACGAAGGAAACGUAACACUAAGCAUAACAAAGCUAGAAACAAUGUCAUGGUCACGAUCAUCUUCCGUGUGAUUUCUUCAGACCGACACUACUCUUGUUCUUCCUGCACGAACUCUCCGGACUCCUCAAACUCGUUUCCGUCCCCGGUAACUACCCAAAAUAAACAACAUCUAAUAAACACCAGCAACAAAUGAUGCAACAGACAAUAUAAUGCAUGCAUGCACUGCUCCAAACAAGCACAUAAAAUAACCCUACAUCGGUAAAACUAUUGCCACCUCACCACAAGGGGAUUUUCUACAGAGAUGCUCAAAAUCAGAAACCAACAACACCAUUGGAAUCAUUGGGAUUUUCUACCCCAAAUCCAUAUAUCAUACUCCCACCUUUGCAUACAGAAAAGCUCCACAAACAGCAAAAUAAAAAUAGCACAUGAUCAUACUUCAUCAUAUAGUCAAGAACAGAAACUGUUCUUGAGCCAGCCCAAAUUGGCAAGUCCAUAUCUGGACAUUUCCAGAAAUGGAAAUAUGCCAAUUUAGCACAAGUACAAAUCACAAACAAAAAUAAAAAUGACAGGGAAAAUAUUAGGUGGGGGUCCCACCUGGCAGUGGCCCCUCACUAGAUGACAUGUGGGUCCAGAGGGCCCACUGUCAUACCCACACACCACACUACACACACAGCCACACACACACACACACAUCUACACCAGAAAAAGAAAAUAGCCAGAGGGGGGUUUCAAACCCUGAACCUCAACCUUACAUCACCACACCUCUCCCACUGCGCUACUGCACCGCUACUGAUCAGAGAGGAGGACUAAUCUACCUAUUCUAGUUACUAAUGUGCAACAGGAGAAGAAAAAAAUCAAUAAAAAGGGGGGGUUGCGCUAUGCGGGACUCGAACCUAGGUUGACACGAUUUCAGAGACAGACACAUGCCACUGCGCUACGCUCACGAAUUCGACAGUGAGGGGUUCUUGCUCCUCUUGAGCAGGCCCCUCGGCACUGCACUCUACUCCGGCGACCGAAGCGGAGGUGUCGGUGUUUACUCACAACAUAAGCCAUGGGUAGGCUAAAGAUGGUGGGAAUCGAAGUGGCAACGGAGGGCGCUGGGAACGAGGAUGGUACAAGCAUGGAACGCACGAUGUACCCAGGCUCACGGCUCUCUGUAGAGAUAAUACCUUUAAUCCUACCAGAGUGUAUGAUGUAUGAAUGGGACUACAAAGUGCUCCUCGAGCUGUAUUGCGGAGGAGGAAGAAGGAGUUGUCGGCUCGCGUCUGCCUCUCCUAUGUGGUGUGUGUGUAUGCUUAGUUGACUGACCCUCUACAUGGAGGGGGGCCGGGGGGUUUUAUAGACGAACCCAUUGACCUACAAUAUGGAUAAAAGUACAAGAGUGGGACCCGGCUGGCAGCCUCGCCAGCUAGCCACGGGGCCCAUGGGGGUCUUGUCUUAUCGUUGGAGAGGCCCGCCGGCUGCGAGGUCCCGUCUGGCUGUGGGACCCGCCGGCUAGCCAAUAAGGAUCUCGCGUAAGGUUGAUGGAGGACACGUGUGGUACGUCCGGCGUCGUCCAGCGAGAAUCGUCAUGGGCAGACAGUACGGCCGUCUCCACUGUUCCCACGCCAAGUGCAGUAAUGGAGUGAGAGUUUGACGGGCCGACACUGUGCAGGGUGAUGGAUCGGAGCCGGAGGAGGUCAGCAGCGUGGCCGCCAACGCUGUACCUGCCGUGCACCCUGAUCCAGUACCUUUGGUGACGCGUAACCACCUUUAACCGUAGGGUUUCGUCAUGACCUAAGGUCUCAUGUGACUUGAGCUCCCUAGCCGGCUAGUCGCUUGACUAGCCGGCCUGGGCACGACCGCCUCGCCUCUAGCCGGCCGGCUUGGCCUAGGCAGCCAGAGGGAGGUAGCCAUCUCGCCUCUAGCCGACAGGUGCUUCCUGGAAGGCCAGAGAGUAUGCCGUUUCGCCCCUAGCUAGUAGGUGCUUCCUAGCAGGCCAAGGGGACUUGGGAUUUGUAGAAUGAUUCUUGCUAUUCCUUCUUGGUCGAAGGCAAAGGAGUAGGCCUGAUGAGCCUACCCUGGUGUUAUCGCCCCGACAGGAGGUGACGUCGGCAAACACACAGGCUACCAUCGGCGGGGAAGAAUAUCGACGAAUGUUGCAGAGCCCCUCGGGGUUCCAUUCCCGUGGCAAACGCACCGGGAGGUGAACCACGACGGCGGUGCAACGGAUCUGCACCUCCUUCUACUGAAGCUGUUGUUGCUCACCCAACAAGCACGCUGGCGACAACAGAGAAGCCCCGUGCUGCGAAGCCGCCUGACGCUAAACGGUUGCUGCUGCUACAACAGCGUGACGCAGAGCUGCUACCUACUAUUGUGUUGCUAACUACUGCAGCCGCUGCUAUCUACUGCAGCUACUGCUACUGCUGCGCUCUGCUGGAGAACAGAAGAACACCGACGACCGAAGCCUCUACUCAUCACGAGCCUCGGCUAGAGAGGGAAAAAGACGGGGGAGGUGAGGCGCUGCUCACCGAGUGACGCAGAGGGGAGAUCAGCGUGAUGGAAGAGGAGCCCGACGUCGAGACGGUGCAGGAGAGCUGCCGGAGAGGUAGAAGAGGACGCCGGACGUCGGGGUCGUCGUGGAAGAAGACUCCACUGUCGAUCUAUGCGAAAAUGUAACCCCAACUGGGUCCUCUUGCUCCUGGUGCUGACGGAGAGGAAGAAGACGGGCCGAUCACCUCGGUCCCAAGCUCCUACUCGAGCUGGCCAUGGUGGGAGGAGCUCGAGUUUCGCCCCCGGCGGCGCUAGGUAAGAGAGGAGGGAGAGAAAUGGAGGGAUAGGGUUGAGAGGAGGCCGGGGUUGCUCUUAAGGCCCUCGGAAGGCGAGCCAGCCGUCUGAUCAAGGGGAAACUUGAUUUGGUGGUGGCUAUGGUGUCGUAGUGCUCACGCAUGCGAGGAAGAAUACACACGCAAUGGUGGGAUGGGCCGAGACCAAGAGUUCUUGGGCUGCUCUCUCUCUUUCUCUCUCUCCCUCUAUCUCUCUCUCUUUCGGCUUGAAAUCUUUGGAAAAGAAAAACAAAUAACAACUGACUUAGAAUAAAUGCCACAGGAGAAAGAAAAAGAAUUUAACCAAAUUAAAAAUACAUUUGAUCUUCUAAAAUGUUGCCACUAAUUAUAAAAAUAACUCGGGCAUUUUAGGAGACCAAAGUAAAUGCCUUUAUUUUUUUUAAACGGAGCUCUGUUUUAAUUAAAACCCCAAGGAAAAUAUAAAAAGUAAACCAAAGGGUUUCACUCCACAAUAACAGGAUAAUUUUAGAAGAGGAGGAACAUUUUAUUGGGGCAAAACAAAAAACUUUUAAAUCUGCCACAAUUAAUUGGAAGGGAGGGAGUUUUUGGAAACUAUGCUGCAACAAGGGGUUUUUAAAUAGCUCUUGUUACACCCACACCACACUACCAAGAUCAGACAAACCACAAUCACUCACAUGAUCAUCAAGGUGGCAUCCAACACAAUAUUAAACAAGCAAGACAAAAGAAAAUAAAUUAAGAUAUGCAUGAUGCAUGAGAUGCACAUUAAAUGACAACACCAUCAGCCCCAUGAUACGUCUCCGUCGUAUCUGUAAUUUUUGAUUGUUUCAUGCCAAUAUUCUACAACUUUCAUAUACUUUUGGCAACUUUUUAUACUAUUUUUGGGACUAACAUAUUGAUCCAGUGCCAGUGCCAGUUCCUGUUUGUUGCAUGUUUUUUGUUUUGCAGAAUAUCCAUACCAAACGAAGUCCAAACGUAAUACAAACUUACGGGAUUUUUUUGGAAUAUUUGUGAUUUUUCAGAAGAAGAAUCAACGCGAGGCGAUGCAUGGAGUGCCCACAACCCUGUCGCCGCGGCCAGGGGGUGGGCUCACGGCAGGCAGGCUUGUGGCCACUCCUUAAGUCGGUUGCAGCCCUUCUUCCGCCACACAAAAGAUAAUAUUCGGAAGAAAAUCGUGUUAAAAUUUCAGCCCAAUCAGAGUUACGGAUCUCCGGGAAUUUAAGAAACGGUGAAACGCAGAAUCUCGGAGCGCAGAAACAAAAGGACACAGAGAGAGAGAUCCAAUCUCGGAGGGGCUCUCGCCCCUCCGCCGCCAUGGAGACCAUGGACCAUAGGGGAAACCCUUCUCCCAUCUAGGGAGAAGGUCAAGGAAGAAGAAGAAGGAGGGGGCUCUCUCCCCCUCUCUCCCCUGCAGCGCCGGAACGCCGCCCGGGACAUCAUCGUGUGAUGGCGAUCUACACCAACAUUUCCGUCAUCUUCACCAACAUCUCCAUCAUCUUCCCCCAUCUAUAUUCAGCGGUUCACUCUCCCGCAACCCGCUGUACCCCCUACUUGAACAUGGUGCUUUAUGCUACAUAUUAUUAUCCAAUGAUGUGUUGUUAUCCUAUGAUGUCUGAGUAGAUUAUCGUUGUCCUAUCAGUGAUUGAUGAAUUGCUAUGAUUGGUUUAAUUUGCUUGUGGUUAUGUUGCUGUCCUUUGGUGCCCAUCAUAUGAUCGCGCGCGUGGAUCACACCAUAGGGUUAGUUGUAUGUUGAUAGGACUAUGUAUUGGCAGGCUAGAGUGACAGAAGCUUCAAACCUAGCAUAGAAAUUGAUGCAUAUGGGAUUGAAGGGGGACCAAUAUAUCUUAUUGCUAUGGUUGGCUUUUACCUUAAUGAACGUUAGUAGUUGCGGACGCUUGCUAAUAGCUCCAAUCAUAAGUGCAUAGAAUUCCAAGUAAGGGAUGACAUGCUAGCACAGGCCUCUCCCACAUGAUACUUGCUAUCGAUCUAGUAACAUAGUCAAUUGCUUAGGGACAAUUCCACAACUCCUACCACCACUUUUCCACACUCGUUAGACACUCGUAGUUGUUUCUUUAUCUAACCAGCCCCUAGUUUUAUUUACGUGUUCUUUACUUUAUUGCAAGCCUAUCCUAUCACUCCUACAAAGUACUUCUAGUUUCAUACUUGUUCUAGGUAAAGCGAACGUAAAGUGUGCGUAGAGUUAUAUCGGUGGUCGAUAGAACUUGAGGGAAUAUUUGUCCUACCUUUAGCUCCUCGUUGGGUUUGGCACUCUUACUUAUCGAGAAAGGCUACAAUUGAUCCCCUGAACUUGUGGGUUAUCAAGACCUUUUUUCUGGCGCCGUUGCCGGGCAGAGAUAGCGUGGGGGUGAAUAUCCUCGUGUGUGCUUGUUUGCUUUAUCACUAAGUAGAUUUAUUUGCUGUUCUAAGUUGUUCUCUAUCUUUAGUUAUGGAUAUGGAACACGAAAUACCAAAAAAAUUAGGUGUACUUGCUACUCAUGGAGAUGGGGAACCUCCUAAAACCCUCGAGGCUCGUUAUGUGGAUAUUAUGCACUUCUUUAAUAAUCCUGAGAAAGCCCCAUUCAAUUAUAUAAUGGGAUACACGUUGGAUCAACGUGAAUACUUUAGGGAUUAUCGCUUGACUCAAAAAGGGAAACUUUUAUGGGAUCAAAUCCAUUUGUUGAAAUGGUAUGCUUGGGAACUAUGCGAGGGAUAUGGUGUUACUUGUUUCUCUAGGAUGAAGGCUCCAUACCUUCCCUUUUCUUGUGAAUUUAAUGAUCAUAGAACCUUGGCUUCUUAUGCUAAUGGUAUAUAUGAUUACUAUGAUGUGGAUCAAAUAGAAGAGUUUGUUGCUUUUAUGGGUGCUUAUGAAAUUGAGGCUCUGUUUAAAAGGUGUCAUGAUAAUGAUGAUGCUCCUUACCAAUCUGAAAAUUUGGCUAUGCUUCGUUAUUGUUAUACUAAUUAUGAAUAUAAUGCCCAUAUUGAACGAUUUAAGGAGAAAUCCUAUGCUGCCCAAGAAGAGACUAUUAUUUUGCAGGAAACUAAGGAAGAUCUGUAUAUGAUUCAACCACAAGGUUUUGUUGAUCCAGAAAAUGCUGACAAAGUAUGCAAAGUCCAGCGAUCCAUUUAUGGACUGGUGCAAGCAUCUCGGAGUUGGAAUCAACGUUUUGAUGAGGUGAUCAAGGCGUUCGGGUUUAUACAAGUUUUUGGAGAAGCUUGUACUUACUCUAAAUAUAGGAGGGGGGCUCUCUCCCCCUCUCUCCCGGCGGUGCCGGAACGCUGCCCGGGACAUCAUCGUGUGACGGCGAUCUACACCAACACUUCUGUCAUCUUCACCAACAUCUCCAUCAUCUUCCCCCAUCUAUAUUCAGCGGUUCACUCUCCCGCAACCCGCUGUACCCCCUACUUGAACAUGGUGCUUUAUGCUACAUAUUAUUAUCCAAUUAUGUGUUGCUAUCCUAUGAUGUUUGAGUAGAUUAUCGUUGUCCUAUCGGUGAUUGAUGAAUUGCUAUGAUUGGUUUAAUUUGCUUGUGGUUAUGUUGUUGUCCUUUGGUGCCCAUCAUAUGAUCGCGCGCGUGGAUCACACCAUAGGGUUAGUUGUAUGUUGAUAGGACUAUGUAUUGGCAGGCUAGAGUGAGAGAAGCUUCAAACCUGACAUAGAAAUUGAUGCAUAUGGGAUUGAAGGGGACCAAUAUAUCUUAUUGCUAUGGUUGGGUUUUACCUUAAUGAAUGUUAGUAGUUGCGGACGCUUGCUAAUAGUUCCAAUCAUAAGUGCAUAGAAUUCCAAGUAAGGGAUGACAUGCUAGCACAGGCCUCUCCCACAUGAUACAUGCUAUCGAUCUAGUAACGUAGUCAAUUGCUUAGGGACAAUUCCGCAACUCCUACCACCACUUUUCCACACUCGUUAGACACUCAUAAUUGUUUCUUUAUCUAACCAGCCACUAGUUUUAUUUAUGUGUUCUUUACUUGCUUGCAAGCCUAUCCUAUCACUCCUACAAAGUACUUCUAGUUUCAUACUUGUUCUAGGUAAAGCGAACGUAAAGUGUGCGUAGAGUUGUAUCGGUGGUCGAUAGAACUUGAGGGAAUAUUUGUCCUACCUUUAGCUCCUCGUUGGGUUCGACACUCUUACUUAUCAAGAAAGGUUACAAUUGAUCCCCUAUACUUGUGGGUUAUCAAGACCUUUUUCUGGCACCAUUGCCGGGGAGAGAUAGCGUGGGGUGAAUAUCCUCGUGUGUGCUUGUUUGCUUUAUCACUAAGUAGAUUUAUUUGCUGUUCUAAGUUGUUCUCUAUCUUUAGUUAUGGAUAUGGAACACGAAAUACCAAAAAAAUAGGUGUACUUGCUACUCAUGGAGAUGGGGAACCUCCUAAAACCCUCGAGGCUCGUUAUGUGGAAAAUAUUAUGCACUUCUUUAAUAAUCCUGAGAAAGCCCCAUUCAAUUAUAUAAUGGGAUACACGUUGGAUCAACGCGAAUACUUUAGGGAUUAUCGCUUGACUCAAAAAGGGAAACUUUUAUGGGAUCAAAUCCAUUUGUUGAAAUGGUAUGCUUGGGAACUAUGCGAGAGAUAUGGUGUUACUUGUUGCUCUAGGAUGAAGGCUCCACACCUUCCCUUUUCUUGUGAAUUUAAUGAUCAUAGAACCUUGGCUUCUUAUGCUAAUGGUAUAUAUGAUUACUAUGAUGUGGAUCAAAAAGAAGAGUUUGUUACUUUUAUGGGUGCUUAUGAAAUUGAGGCUCUGUUUAAAAGGUGUGAUGAUAAUGAUGAUGCUCCUUACCGAUCUGAAAAUUUGGCUAUGCUUCGUUAUUGUUAUACUAAUUAUGAAUAUAAUGCCCAUAUUGAACGGUUUAAGUAGAAAUCCUAUGCUUCCCAAGAAGAGACUAUUAUUUUGCAGGAAACUAUGGAAGAAGAAAAUGCUGAAAUUGUGAGCUCAUUAGAUGAAAAAGAUGAAGAGGAGAGCAAAGAACAAAAGGAGGAAGAGCGGACUAGCUACCUGUGUCCACCUUCUAAUGAGAGUAACUCUUCUACUCAUACAUUAUUUAAUUUCCCUUCAUUCUUACCGAAGGAUGAAUGCUAUGAUCCCUUGGAUUCAUUUGAAAUAUCCCUUUUUGAUGAACUUGAUGCUUGCUAUGCUUGUGGCCAUGAUGCCAUUAUGAAUGAUGCUUAUGAAGAUGAGCUAGCUAUAGUUCCUUAUGUUACACAUGAUGAUUUUGAUGAAUAUAAUAUGCAUGUGCUUGCUGCUCCUACUUGCAGUUAUUAUGAGAGAGGAACUACAUCUGCACCUCUCUAUGUUUCCAAUACGAUAAAAUUGCAAGAAACUGCUUAUGCUAUGUAUUGGCCUUCACUUGAUGUGCAUGAAUUGUUCUUUUAUGACAUGCCAAUGCAUAGGAAGAGAGUUAGACUUCGUCAUUGCAUGAUAUAUGUUACCUUGUGCGCACUACUAAAUUUCAAAUCAUUGCUAAUCAAAAUUGGCUUUGAUAUACCUUGGGAUCCGGGAGGAUCCAUUACUUGAGCACUUUAUGCCUAAAUUAAUGGCUUUAAAGAAAGCGCUGCCUGGGAGACAACCCAGAAGAUUUAGAGAGUCAUUUAUUUCUCUUGAGUGCUUUUAUUUAGUUUAAAAUAAUAAUAUAGAGGGGAACUUAAAACUUUUUCAAAAAGAGAAGCGAUUGAAAGGUGAUGCAUUGUGGAAGUGAGCGUCAACCUUGAACACUUGUGUUCAUGCUCAUGGAAACAAUGUAGAAUUUUUCAUGGAAGUUUCUCACAAAAACAAUUAUCCCCUUGUACAAUUCCUUUGUGUUUUUAAAAAUAAUGUGCCAAGCAAAGCCUUUACGAUUAGUUUGGGUGAUGGUUGUUUGAUCACGCUGAGAAAAGACAGAAACUUUCUGCUAACGAAAUUAAUUUUCAUUUUUACUCUGGAAGAUCUUUUGAGUUGAUUCUUUUUUCUGCUGAUUGAUAUGCAAAUUUUCCAGACGUUCGUAAUUUUUCAGAUGUUUUGAGAUAUCAGAGGUAUACGGAAUAUACAGAUUGCUACAGACUGUUCUGUUUUGACAGAUUUUGUUUUCUAUGCAUUGUUCUCUUAUUCUGAUGAAUCUAUGGGUAGUACCGGGGGGUAUAACCAUGGUGAAGUUGGAUUACAGUAGAUAUAAUGCUUAUAUGAAUUUAGAAUGGGUUCACAACAGUACUUGAAGUGGUGAUUUAGUUUAUUAUACUAACGGAUCUCACGAAGUUUUGUUGAGUUUUGUGUGAUUGAAGUUUUCAAGUUUUGGAUGAGAGCACGAUGGAUGAAGGAAUAAGGAGAGACAAUAGCCUAAGCUUGGGGAUGCCCGAGGCACCCCAAGGUAAUAUUCAAGGAAGACUCAAGCGUCUAAGCUUGGGGAUGCCCCGGAAGGCAUCCACUCUUUCGUCUACAAUCUAUCGGUAAUCUUACUCGGAGCUAUAUUUUAAUUCGUCACAUGAUAUGUGCAAGUGCUUGGAGCGUCUUUUGUGUUUAUUUUUCCUUUUCUUUUAUGCACCAUGCUGGUAUGAGAUAGUCCUUGGUUGUCUUUAUAGAAUGCUUAUUGUGCUUCACUUAUAUCUUUUGAAGUUUGGAUUGCCUGUUUCCCUACACAUAGAAAACCGCCAUUUGUAGAAUGCUCUUUUGCUUCACUAAUAUUUGUUAGAGCGGGGCAUAUCUUUUGUAGAAAGAAUUAAACUCUCAUGCUUCACUUAUACCUAUUUAGAGAGUUAACAGGAGUUUUCCAUUGACAUGGUUAGUCAUAAAAUCCUACAUAAAACUUGCAGAUCACUGAAUAUGAUAUGUUUGAUUCCUUGCAACAGUUUUGCGACAUGAAUAUGUGAUAUUGGAGUCAUGCUAGUGAGUAAUUGUGUUUUUUUAGAAAUACUUGUGUUAAGGUUUGUGAUUCCCGUAGCAUGCACGUAUGGUGAACCGUUAUGUGAUGAAGUCGGAGCAUGAUUUAUUUAUUGAUUUUCAUCCUUUGUGUGGAGGUCGGGAUCGCGCGAUGGUUAACUCCUACCAACCUUUCCCCUAGGAGCAUGCGUGUAGUACCUUGUUUCGAUGACUAAUAGACUUUUGCAAUAAGUAUGUGAGUUCUUUAUGACUAAUGUUGAGUCCAUGGAUUAUACACACUCUCACCCUUCCACCAUUGCUAGCCUCUCUAGUACUGCGCGACUUUCGCCGGUGCAUUACACCCACCAUAUAGCCUCCCUCAAAACAGCCACCAUACCUACCUAUUAUGGCAUUUUCAUAGCCAUUCCGAGAUAUAUUGCCAUGCAACUACCACCGUUCCGUCUCAUGACAUGUGCCACCACUUCCAUAUUGCCAUUGCAUGAUCGUAAGAUAGCUAGAAUGAUGUUUCCAUGGCUUGUCCGUUUUUUGAUGUCAUUGCUAUGCUAGAUCAUUGUCACGGUACACUACCGAAGGCAUUUCAUAUAGAGUCAUCAUUGCUCUAAGUAUUGAGUUGUAAGUGUGAUGAUCAUUAUUAAUAGAGCAUUGGCCCAUGUGAGGAAAUAAAAGAGGCCAUCGAAGCCCAUUUACAAAAAAGAGGCCAAAGAUGCCCACCAAAAAAAGAGAGGCCAAAGAGCCCACAAAAAAAUGAGAGAAAAGAGAGAAGGGACAAUUGCUACUAUCCUCUUUCCACACUUGUGCUUCAAAUAGCACUAUGAUCUUCAUGACAGAGAGUCUCCUAUGUUGUCACUUCCAUAUACUAGUUGGAAAUUUUCAUUAUAUAACUUGGCUUGUAUAUUCCAAUGAUGGGCUUCCUCAAUAUUGCCCUAGGUCUUCGUGAGCAAGCAAGUUGGGUGCACACACACUAGUUUCUUUUGUGAGCUUUCAUACACUUAUAAGCUCUAGUGCAUCCGUUGCAUGGCAAUCCCUACUCACUCACAUUGAUAUCUAUUGAUGGGCAUCUCCAUAGCCCGUUGAUACACUUAGUUGAUGUGAGACUAUCUCCUCCUUUUUAUCUUCUCCACAACCACCAUAUUCUAUUCCACCUAUAGUGCUAUGUCCAUGGCUCACGCUCAUGUAUUGCGUGAAAGUUGAAAAAGUUCGAGAACACUAAAGUAUGAAACAAUUGCUUGGCUAAAACCGGGGUUGUGCAUGAUUUAAAUACGUUGUGCGGGGAAUAUGGAGCAUAGCCAGACUAUAUGAUUUUGUAGGGAUAACUUUCUUUGUGUGACGCCCUCGGCUUAAUCGUACGCUAAUCAUACACGCAAAUGCGUACGAUCAAACCCAAGGACUCACGGGGGAGAUAUCACAACACAACUCUAGACACAAAUAAAAUAACAUCAGCUUCAUAUUACAAGCCAGGGGCCUCGAGGGCUAGAAUACGAAAGCUCGAUAAACACACGAGUCAGCGGAAGCAACAAAUAUCUGAGUACAGACAUAAAACAUGGGGUGCCUUAGAGAAGGCUAGCACAAAAGAUACAACGAUCGAACGAGGCGAGGCCUCCUGCCUGGGAACCUCCUAACUACUCCUGAUCAUCAGCGGCCUCCACGUAGUAGUAGGCACCGUCGGGGUAGCAGUCGUCGGCGACGGGGACCUCCAUCNNNNNNNNNNNNNNNNNNNNNNNNNNNNNNNNNNNNNNNNNNNNNNNNNNNNNNNNNNNNNNNNNNNNNNNNNNNNNNNNNNNNNNNNNNNNNNNNNNNNGUUCUUCGUAGCCAGAAUACAGUUAGUGAUUAUUUGGCUAAGUUUGCUAGAUCUCAGAAUAGAACUAUCGUUUGGCUUAACUCUGGCUUGUCAGAGAUUACUGAUCUUUGUAAUAUGGAGUGUGGCCGUACCACUUAAGUAAUACAAAGUUCAUUCGCAAAAAACUAGUGAAUCUGUGAUAGAGACGAGUCAUCCAUCCAAAAAAGAUUGGAGGUCGUAAAUAUUGAAUUAUGUAUUCAGCGACCCAGACCCUUUUUGUUAAUUGUAGUUGGCUAGACCGGUCAUUUUUUCCCUCUCGUAGUGGGCUAGACGGCCUCUUUUUCAAUCAUGUCUGGCUGUUAGCUAGGCGGUCUCCGCCAAUGCUACUGUCUCCAAGUCUGCAUGAGUUCAGCACGAGUGAACCGACCUACUUUCUUUAUUUUUAAAUUAUAAUUCUUUAAAUUUUUACUUAUAAACUAUAUAAGGAUGUAUAUAGUCAUGUUUAAAGUAUACUCAUUCAUUUCCAUCCAUAUGUAGUUCAUAAUAUUCUUUUUAAAAGAUUCAUAUUUAGAGACGGAGAGAGUAGUACUGUAUUACUACGCCCUUCUUUGCUGUAGCAUGCGGAUCCAUCACCAACAACUUGCGAGCCCGAAUGGAUAAGGUGAAUCAACAACACACACUUGGCUAGCUAAAGCUGGCACCACCAGUGGCUCAUGGCUUGCAACAAUCUGGCUGCCGCCUCCUACGCCAAGUAGCAGCACGUGAAGCACUACGAACACGGGACGGACAGCGGCCACAGNNNNNNNNNNNNNNNNNNNNNNNNNNNNNNNNNNNNNNNNNNNNNNNNNNNNNNNNNNNNNNNNNNNNNNNNNNNNNNNNNNNNNNNNNNNNNNNNNNNNUGUGCAUGUGUAUGAAUAAUGGUGCCGCUACCUCAAAAUUCAGUCUAAUCGCACUUUAUUAACCAACAAUAUUCAUAGGGAUACAAUAGGGAUACUUUCUCGCUGCUUCAAUCUGAUUGUGGGCUUUCUACCAACAGUAUUUUCAUGUUAGAAAAUUAGAUAAUGCAAAGAAGAUGUUUUCCAGAAUUUUUCUUGUACUCCCUCCGCCCGAAUUGCUUGUUGUACAUUUAUCUAGAUGCGGAUGUAUCUGAACAUGUUUUGAUAUUACAUACAUUCAUAUUGAGAUAAAUCUAAAAAGUAAUUCGAGACAUAGGUAGUAGUUCAUAGUUAUUUUAGAGAAUUGUAUUCGAUAUCAACUUAAUAAAUAAAUUCAUACGCAAACGUCAUCCAAUAAACGACAAUUACAAACAGAGUGCAAGGCUCAACAUGCCAGAUAUAGAUCAACACAAGUUCACUCAAAAGGCCAUUAAGCUAAAAGAGAAAGCAUGGUUAGUGCUGAGCCGUAGGCUGAGCAAGUGUGCUAGCAAUAGCUNNNNNNNNNNNNNNNNNNNNNNNNNNNNNNNNNNNNNNNNNNNNNNNNNNNNNNNNNNNNNNNNNNNNNNNNNNNNNNNNNNNNNNNNNNNNNNNNNNNNGAUCUAAAUCCAAAGAAGUUAUAAGAUAUGAAAUAAUGAAAGUACUUUUUGAGAUAAAUUUAUCUACACCAUUUUUAAGGCGCCUCUAAAUACUUUCGAAUAUAUGUGUAAGUAGUUGAAGUUUUGACUGUAAUCGUGUCCAAAAUAGCAGCAUUUAGUGAACAGGAGGGACUAUGUGUUAGUGAAUAGUGAUACUGAAAUAGCAAGGCUUCCACACAGCUAAUGUUGAAAAGCAGUACAGGAAAGUUAAUAAGCGAACAGUGUUCUGAUGCCCUGGUGAGUUGGGGAGAUGCAAGUGCAACUCGUGAUUUUUUAAAGAAAUGUCCUUGGAGAAAUUUCUGCUAAAAGACAGUGAAGAUAAAAAAAGUAUUUCGAAGCUGACAAAAACAGUGGACUUACAUCAGACAACAGUGAUCGAGUUGAUUCUAAGAUGAUCUGAAGGCCAAGCGUUGCCAUAACUGAGGCAAAGACAAGUAUUCCCUGGAGAAAGGUUAUCAUGAAGCUGUGAACAUACUGAAAAAGUAAGCAAAAAANNNNNNNNNNNNNNNNNNNNNNNNNNNNNNNNNNNNNNNNNNNNNNNNNNNNNNNNNNNNNNNNNNNNNNNNNNNNNNNNNNNNNNNNNNNNNNNNNNNNAGUUUUAUUACGUUUGGACUUCGUUUGGUAUGGAUAUUCUGCGAAACAAAAACAUGCAACAAACAGGAACUGACAGUGGGCACUGGAUCAAUAUGUUAGUCCCAAAACAGUAUAAAAGUUGCCAAAAUUAUAUGAAAGUUGUAGAAUAUUGGCAUGAAACAAUCAAGAACUAUAGAUACGACGGAGACGUAUCAACAUCCCCAAGGUUAAUUCCUGCUCGUCCUCGAGUAGGUAAAUGAUAAAAGAUAAUUUUGAUGUGGAAUGCUACCUAGCAUAAUCUUGAUCAUAUAAUCUAAUCUUGGCAUGAAUACUAAAACACGAGUGAUUCAAAACAAUAGUCUAUCAUUUGACAUAAAGACAAUAAUAUUUCAAGCAUACUAACAAAGCAAACAUGUCUUCUCAAAAUAUCAUGGCCAAAGUGUGACAUCCUCGACUUUUUGCUACAGUAGUGAUUGUAAUUAAGCUACUGUGAUCAACCGCUAAUGAUGCCACGUCAUCGAAUUCCCCAUCUCUGACCCGCGUGGAUUCGCGUCUGUCCGGAUCGAUGAUUUGAAAGCAAAGGAAAGCACUUUAUCGGUUCAUUACAAGUAUUAAAAGGAUAUAUAUAUAAGGGGGGGGGGAAGUAUUAAAGAAAUAAUAAUGAUAAAAGAAAGAAAAGAAAACUGAAAGAAAGGAUUAAUAAAAAGAAAAGGGGAAAAGAGAAAACAAAAUAAAACAANNNNNNNNNNNNNNNNNNNNNNNNNNNNNNNNNNNNNNNNNNNNNNNNNNNNNNNNNNNNNNNNNNNNNNNNNNNNNNNNNNNNNNNNNNNNNNNNNNNNAAAGCACGAGCGAUGUGCUGAUGUCWYUYCUUCUUGUAAUUAUUUUCUCGGGGACAGGUCGGUCAUGCGCACGAAAAGCACGAGCGAUGUGCUGAUGUCACUUUCCUUCUUGUAAUUAUUUUCUCGGGGACAGGUCGUGUUGCCUACCAGAUCCACCUCGCCGCUCGUUGGCCUUGCCUCGCAAGAUUCCAUCAUCUCUAUCGCCGGAUCUGCUACCAUCAACUCUUCUCGCCGGCCGGCGCCACCGAGGCAUCGUCGUUCUCCGCCAUCGUGGAUUAGCGUCGGUUCCCUGCUCUCGGCUUAGCGACGGAAUGAGGCCCUGUUUUUAAAAGUCUUAUAUUUUUAAUCUUAACUAAAAGUUCCUAGUUUUUYYAGAGACUAAAUAAAGAUUAGAGGUCAUUAAAUGACCUGCAAAAAGAUCAUGUUACCCCUACUAAUAUAUUAGAAAUUGUAAAAUGACAUGCUAAAAGUAGGAGCACUGUUGGAAAAAGUAUCAAAAAAGUAUCAAAAAAGACUCUUCCAUAACGACUUCUUCCUUUAGUCCCAAAGUACCUCUUUUAGUCCCUAAAAAUCCUUUUUUUAAUCCUUACAGUAAAAGUCCCUGUAAAGAAACACCCCGUGAAUGCCAUACACAACAAAUUUGCAACAGCGGGAUUUUUUACUCUGGUCAGGCAGGCAAAAGGAGGAGUACACAUUCAGAGAAGCAGGAAAAACACAGCACAGAACAAAAACAACCAACUGGUUUACACCUAACGUACCCACCGGCCACGGAAGAACACGUACGUACAUAAACACACCAGCGUGAAUGAACUAGACGUACGUCUUUCUACCAANNNNNNNNNNNNNNNNNNNNNNNNNNNNNNNNNNNNNNNNNNNNNNNNNNNNNNNNNNNNNNNNNNNNNNNNNNNNNNNNNNNNNNNNNNNNNNNNNNNNAGAACCUUGUGGAAGGUUCCUAGCCAGCUUUGGGACCUUCUAUAAUGUUUGAAACUCUUUUCUUUCCGGGUUUCUUUUGUGUGUGUUUCCUUUCUUAUUUGGUUAUUUAACUCAUAAAUUUAAACAUUGAUCGCAAUUACAUAACCAUUUUCUCAUGUUAAAAUUGUUUAAAUAUACAAAAAAUCAUAAAUAGUUUUCUUUUCAAUAAAAUGGUAGCAAUUUCAAAAUUUGACAUUAUUUUGGAACAAAUGUUCACUUUUUGAGAAUGUUUAAAUUUUAUUCCAAUUUGAACUAUUGUUCAUGAACAUUUUUCCAAAUCCUUGAUUCUUUUUGAAAUGCGCAAAUAAUUUUUGGAUUCAUGAACUUUUUUCAGAUUUGUGCGAUUAUUUUUAAUUCAUGAAUAUGCUUUAAAUUUAUGAUAAUUUUUCAAAUUCUAAUCAUUUUUGGAUUCAUGAAUAAGUUUUCACAUCGUUUAUCAUUUUUGAAUUCAUGACUAAUUUUAAAAUACAUAAUUUUUUAAAUGGGCAAGAAAUAUUUUAAAUACUAGAGAAAAAUUCUAAUUUCUGGAUUUUUUUUUCGAAUCGGAGAUUUUUUUUAGAAUUCAUGAGAUUUUUUUGAAAUACGCAAAUAAGUUUUAGAUUCAUGAACUUUUUUCAGAUUUGUGUGAUUAUUUUUAAUUCAUGAAUAUGCUUUGAAUUUACGAUUUUUUUAAAAAAAUUCUAGAACCUUUUCUGGAUUCAUGAAUAAGUUUUCAUAUCCUUUAUCAUUUUUUAAAUUCAUGACUAAUUUUAGAGUUCAUAAAGUAUUUUUUCAAUGGGCAAGAAAUAUUUUAAAUACUCGAGCAAUUUUGUAACUUGUGGACAGUUCUUGAUGCCACNNNNNNNNNNNNNNNNNNNNNNNNNNNNNNNNNNNNNNNNNNNNNNNNNNNNNNNNNNNNNNNNNNNNNNNNNNNNNNNNNNNNNNNNNNNNNNNNNNNNGCACGGUACCGAAUAGGCGAGCAAAAUAUGGAUGGUGGAAGUGCCAACACUCGAAUACUCACAUUAGUCCGAAGAACUCAUGCACUUAUCAUCGGUAACUCUCUAUCUAGUCAGGAGAUUCACAAAGAGACAAGUACCCCAAGGAGGAGUGUUUGGGGUUUGGUUAUCCUUGUGCAUCCUCGACCCAUGAUAACGUGAGAGUAGUCUAUAUAUUCCAACCCCUUCAGAGGUUAGCAAUCCAUCUAGUAGCUAGAGUUCUUAACUUUUUUGAAAAUACACAUGGAUUUCCCAAAAUACGACACUUAUCACUAAUAGGCUCAAGCUCUUGACACCAAAAGUCCAAACAUUACUCAAAUCAAUACCUCAAAACUAUUGCAAGUUACUACUAUACUUAAAUAGCAACCUCAUUUACCUACUCAUGCAAGACACACAACUCAGUGCAACAAGCCAACUCUCUAAACAAGAUAAGUAUGAUAACUCAAGAGAGUUCCAAAAGCAUCUAAAUAAAAUCUCUUAAAAAGAUAAAAGCGUGGAAAGUAAGAGCUAAGCAUGAUAGCAGCUAAUGAAAAGAUAAAGAACACACAAAAAGUUNNNNNNNNNNNNNNNNNNNNNNNNNNNNNNNNNNNNNNNNNNNNNNNNNNNNNNNNNNNNNNNNNNNNNNNNNNNNNNNNNNNNNNNNNNNNNNNNNNNNACCAAUUAUAUUAGUGAUCACAUCGAAAAUGUGAUCCUGUGCAUAAGCCUUGACAAUUUCAUUGGUGAAUGUGCGGCAAUAUAAAGCCAGGGCAAGUUUCACCAGCGUCACUGAGAGCAUGAUGUCCACAACCCACUUUUCCUGCUCAUUUGUCAAACUGAAUUCACYYCCUAGAAAAUGAUAGGAUAAUAUGAGCAAACAAAAUUUAUAAUGGAAGAACUAAAGUUUGUAUCUAAGAGUCAUAGUUCCAGAGUAAGGGAUACAUAGAUGUGGUUCAAAAGGGAACUGCGCAGGAACAAAGGUUUUGCAAACUAUAUUGAUAAAAAAGGUACUCCCAGACCUACAUUUUUCAGAGGGAACUGUGCAGCAACAACAGUGGUUCAAAAGGGAGAAUUUCAGAAGCUCACAUUACAGCUGCCAUGGCCUACAUUUAGCUAAUUAUUUGCCAGACCAAAAAAAAGAGAAUGUGAUAAGUCCGGGUACAACGUAACAAGAAAAGGUUUAGUAGGAAAAGUAUAGUGCUUAUAGCAAAAUCUUUAUUUUCUUUUAAGGAGCAGAGUUGGCAAAAGCACACUGGUCAUGGCAACUGGGAAACUUAACUAGCCAAAAAUCAACACAAGGCUUCUGUCUUCACAAUAAGGAUACAGAUCAAGGCUUUGACGAAGAAUUACUCUAUUAAUAAAUGGUAUCUAUGAUACAAAACCACGAAUAGCUGGAAGUACUGUUGAAAACGAUCUAGUGACACCAAUUUCAUGUCAUAAAUACACAUAUUAACNNNNNNNNNNNNNNNNNNNNNNNNNNNNNNNNNNNNNNNNNNNNNNNNNNNNNNNNNNNNNNNNNNNNNNNNNNNNNNNNNNNNNNNNNNNNNNNNNNNNGCACACCCGCACGCGCGGCGCGCCUCCUUCAGUUCGCGGGUGGAGACGGAGACGGCGAGGAGCGCAGGAGCGGAGCCGGGAUCGAGAGCGAGGACAUGGUCAGGAGCGGGGCAUUGCGCGAGGCGAGCGGGCGAGCGUGGAUUGGAUCUUGAGGGAGGGUGUUGGGUGGUGCUUACGUCGGCGGUGGAGCGGGGCGGGACGGGCGGGGGAGCUGACGAGGGUGCAGGGGACGAAACUCCCAGCACACAGCCUGGCCUCGUGCACAGCAACUUCGCCUGGAGCAGAAAUAGGUGGUGCCACGGUGACGAGCACACCGGCUCAAAAAUAAAAUGGCAGUGGUCGCGUUCGACGUGCUCGGCCACCACGGUGACCCGAUGUCGCGGUUCGCUAGGACCAGCGGCGAGGUGCGCGAGUUCGCGGGCGCGGGCGCCUACUGGAGCUGUGACGACUUUGUCGAGAGGGCCGACAUAGAGUGUUGGGGCACGUCGCAUGGGAAACAAAUUUCCUACGCGCACGAAGACCUAUCAUGGUGAUGUCCAUCUACGAGAGGGGAUUUCCGAUCUACGUACCCUUGUAGAUCGCACAGCAGAAGCGUUAAGAAACGCGGUUGAUGUAGUGGAANNNNNNNNNNNNNNNNNNNNNNNNNNNNNNNNNNNNNNNNNNNNNNNNNNNNNNNNNNNNNNNNNNNNNNNNNNNNNNNNNNNNNNNNNNNNNNNNNNNNAGCAACCUUACAAGUACCAAUCGGAGUCGUGAGACCGAGAUUGGUUACAAGAGAUAAACUAGGGAUUGGAGAGGAGAUGGUACUGAUGAAGAUGUUGGUGAAGAUGCCUCCCCUCCGAUGAGAGGAGUGUUGGUGAUGACGAUGGCGGCGAUUUCCCCCUCCGGGUGGGAAGUUUCCUCGGCAGGAUCGUCCUGCCGGAGGUCUAGAUUGGAUCUGCUCAAGUUCCACCUCGUGGCGGCGGCGAAAACCACGAAAAAAUCUCCCUUCUGUAUUUUUUUUUCCAGACCAGGAUGCUUCAUAUAGCAAAAAGAGGGGGCUAGUGGGCCUUCAGGCAUCCCACAAGCCUGCCCUGCGCCACUAAGGGGGGUGUGGCGGUGGGCAAGCUUGUGGAGCCCUGGUGUCCCACCUCCGGUAGUCCUUUCGCCCAGUAUUUUUAAUAUAUUCCAGAAAAAAUCCACGUAAAUUUUCAUGGCAUUUGGAGAUGUGCAGAAUAGUGGACUAGGAUUUGCUCNNNNNNNNNNNNNNNNNNNNNNNNNNNNNNNNNNNNNNNNNNNNNNNNNNNNNNNNNNNNNNNNNNNNNNNNNNNNNNNNNNNNNNNNNNNNNNNNNNNNGGGGGGGGGGGGGUUAUUCCUUCUUGCUCGGGGGUGCUGCGGCAGGGCGACAUCCUCGCACCAGGGCGGCGCUCCGACAUGGGGCGCGGCGAGGACGAUGGCACUCAGUGCCCCUGCGAUGGCGGGUACGGGUAGGUGGCGGCCUAGAGUGCCUCGUGGUGGAGGGGCGUGCGUGCACCGUUGCCGGUCUGGAUCAGCAUCUGGCAACUAAUCUGGAUCAAGGGGGCUGCUGAUACGUCUCCAACGUAUCUACUUUUCCAAACUCUUUUGCCCUUGUCUUGGACUCUAAUUUGCAUGAUUUGAAUAAAACUAACUCGGACUAACGCUGUUUCCACGAGAACUGCCAUGGUGUUGUUUUUGUGCAGAAAUAAAAGUUCUUGGAAUGACCUGAAACUUACGAGGAUUUUUUAUGGAAUAUAUAAAAAAUCAGAGAAAGAAUCAACUGAAGUUACGCUGCCAGUGGGCCACGAGCACUGCAGGCGCCCCCCCCCCUUCCCAGGGCGCGCCUAGCAGGCUCGUGGGGCCCACGUGGCUCCCCCGACUUCAUCUCCAACUCCAUAUAACCUCUCUCGCCCAAAAAAAAGGAGAGAAGAGUUCAUCACGUUUCACGAUACGGAGCCGCCGCCACCGCUUGUUCUUCCUCGGGAGGGCAGAUCUGGAGUCCGUUCUGGGCUUUGGAGAGGGGAAAUCGACGCUGUCGUCAUCAUAAACCAUCCUCCAUCGCCAAUUCCAUGAUGCUCUCCAUCGUUCGUGAGUAAUUUUAUCGUAGGCUUGCUGGACGGUGAUGGGUUGGAUGAGAUCUAUCAUGUAAUCNNNNNNNNNNCGUUAGUUUUGAUGGGGUUUGAUCCAUAGUAUCCACUAUGUUCUAAGAUUGAUGUUGCUACUGCUUUGCUAUGCUUAAUGCUUGUCACUAGGGCUUGAGUGCCAUGAUUUCAGAUCUGAACCUAUUAUGUUUUCAUCAAUAUAUGUGUGUUCUUGAUCCUAUCUUGCAAGUUGUAGUCACCUACUAUGUGUUAUGACCCGGCAACCCCGGAGUGACAAUAGUCGGAACCACUCCGGAGAUGACCAUAGUAUGAGGAUCCCAUGUAUUCACUAUGUGCUAAUGCUUUGUUCCGAUUCUCUAUUAAAAGGAUACCUAAAUAUCCCUUAAUUUCCAUUAGGACCCCGCUGCCACAGGAGGGUAGGACAAAAGAAGCCAUGCAAGUUCUUUUCCAUAAACACGUAUGACUAAAUACGGAAUACAUGCCUACAUUACAUUGACGAACUGGAGCUAGUUACAUAUCACCCUAUGUUAUAACUGUUACAUGAUGAAUGCCAUCUGACAUAAUUAUCCAUCACCGAUCCAAUGACUACGAGCUUUUCCUAUACUGGUCCUUGCUAAGUUACUUUACCGCUACNNNNNNNNNNNNNNNNNNNNNNNNNNNNNNNNNNNNNNNNNNNNNNNNNNNNNNNNNNNNNNNNNNNNNNNNNNNNNNNNNNNNNNNNNNNNNNNNNNNNGAGACGUUACUCUGUUGAACUCAAUACACUAGAUGCAUGCUGGAUAGCGGUCGAUGUGUGGAUUAAUAGUAGUAGAUGCAGAAAGUAUCGGUCUAUUUGUCUCGAACGUGAUGCCUAUAUGUAUGAUCAUUGCCUUAGAUAUCGUCAUGACUUUGUGUGGUUCUAUCAAUUGCUCGACAGUAAUUCGUUCACCCACCGUAAUAUUUGCUAACUUGAGAGAAGCCUCUAGUGAACACUAUGGCCCCCGGGUCUACUUCACAUCAUAUUUUCAGCCCUACACUUUUACUUUGUUGCACUUUCCGCCUUCAGAUGUCACCUUGCAAUCAAUCGUGAAGGGAUUGACAACCUCUUUGUAACGUUGGGUGCAAGUUUGUUGUUUUUGCGCAGGUACAUUGGUGCCUCAUCUUGAUACUCCNNNNNNNNNNNNNNNNNNNNNNNNNNNNNNNNNNNNNNNNNNNNNNNNNNNNNNNNNNNNNNNNNNNNNNNNNNNNNNNNNNNNNNNNNNNNNNNNNNNNNNNNNNNNNNNNCUGUUCUGCAUCACCCUUUCCUCUUCAAGGGAAAAAAAACAACGCAAGCUCAAGAGGUAAUAAGAAGAAUUUCCCGCGUCGUUGCCGGGGAGGAGGAUCAAGUCAAGAAUAGUCUCCCGUCAACGUGCCAAUUUCUGGCGCCGUUGCCGGGGAGCAUCAAGUGAAGCUUAUCCAAGUAACCGUCCCAAACCCAUCUCUUGCAUUUACUUUUUUGCCUCUCGUUUUCCUCUCCCCCACUUUUGAAAAACAAAAAUUUACAAAAAUAUUUGCCUUUCCUUUGCCUAUGUGCUAUGUGCCUUCAAUAUGCUUGCAUCGUCGCUUGCUGAAAAUCUAGUGAUAUGGAUCCUCGCCCACAUGCUAAUCUCUUUAAGAGAUCCAAUUAUGUUGAACCAUUUGCUAGUGAGUUGAGUGCACUUGACUUUCUCUAUGGAGUUUUGCUUGAGAUGCAUGAAUCUGAAAAUCAUGAUGAAGAAAUUUAUGAAGUGAUUCACGAGGGCUCCUUGAAUGAAAAGCAUGAUUGCAAUGAUUUCAUUAUAGAUUCUAUUAAUGACAAUCAUGCUAAAAAUAUGCAAAACCCUAAGCUUGGGGAUGCUAGUUUUGCUAUGCCCACUACUUGUUGCAAUGAUCAUGAUUGGGGUAAUCNNNNNNNNNNAAUUCUAUUAAUGACAAUCAUGCUAAAAAUAUGCAAAACCCCAAGCUUGGGGAUGCUGGUUUUGCUAUGCCCACUACUUGUUGCAAUGAUCAUGAUUGGGGUAAUCAUUUUUCUUAUGAUCUUGAAAAUUUGUUUAAGCCUCAUGAUGAAUAUGAUACUUCCAAUGAUAUUGAAAGUGGGUUUGGAGAAGUCANNNNNNNNNNNNNNNNNNNNNNNNNNNNNNNNNNNNNNNNNNNNNNNNNNNNNNNNNNNNNNNNNNNNNNNNNNNNNNNNNNNNNNNNNNNNNNNNNNNNGAUGUGUUGUUAUCCUAUGAUGUCUGAGUAGAUUAUCGUUGUCCUAUCAGUGAUUGAUGAAUUGCUAUGAUUGGUUUAAUUUGCUUGUGGUUAUGUUGUUGUCCUUUGGUGCCCAUCAUAUGAUCGCGCGCGUGGAUCACACCAUAGGGUUAGUUGUAUGUUGAUAGGACUAUGUAUUGGCAGGCUAGAGUGACAGAAGCUUCAAACCUAGCAUAGAAAUUGAUGCAUAUGGGAUUGAAGGGGGACCAAUAUAUCUUAUUGCUAUGGUUGGCUUUUACCUUAAUGAACGUUAGUAGUUGCGGACGCUUGCUAAUAGCUCCAAUCAUAAGUGCAUAGAAUUCCAAGUAAGGGAUGACAUGCUAGCANNNNNNNNNNGAGAAGCUUCAAACCUGACAUAGAAAUUGAUGCAUAUGGGAUUGAAGGGGACCAAUAUAUCUUAUUGCUAUGGUUGGGUUUUACCUUAAUGAAUGUUAGUAGUUGCGGACGCUUGCUAAUAGUUCCAAUCAUAAGUGCAUAGAAUUCCAAGUAAGGGAUGACAUGCUAGCACAGGCCUCUCCCACAUGAUACAUGCUAUCGAUCUAGUAACGUAGUCAAUUGCUUAGGGACAAUUCCGCAACUCCUACCACCACUUUUCCACACUCGUUAGACACUCAUAAUUGUUUCUUUAUCUAACCAGCCCCUAGUUUUAUUUACGUGUUCUUUACUUUAUUGCAAGCCUAUCCUAUCACUCCUACAAAGUACUUCUAGUUUCAUACUUGUUCUAGGUAAAGCGAACGUAAAGUGUGCGUAGAGUUAUAUCGGUGGUCGAUAGAACUUGAGGGAAUAUUUGUCCUACCUUUAGCUCCUCGUUGGGUUCGACACUCUUACUUAUCAAGAAAGGUUACAAUUGAUCCCCUAUACUUGUGGGUUAUCAAGACCUUUUUCUGGCACCAUUGCCGGGGAGAGAUAGCGUGGGGUGAAUAUCCUCGUGUGUGCUUGUUUGCUUUAUCNNNNNNNNNNNNNNNNNNNNNNNNNNNNNNNNNNNNNNNNNNNNNNNNNNNNNNNNNNNNNNNNNNNNNNNNNNNNNNNNNNNNNNNNNNNNNNNNNNNNUCACUAGCAAAUGGUUCAACAUAAUUGGAUCUCUUAAAGAGAUUAGCAAGUGGGUGAGGAUCCAUAUCACUAGAUUUUUAGCAAGCGAAGAUGCAAGCAUAUUGAAGGCACAUAGCACACAGGCAAAGGAAAGGCAAACGAAAAAGGUAAAUAUUUUUGUAAUUUUUUGUUUUUCAGAAGUGGGGGAGAGCAAAACGAUAGGCAAAAAAAGUAAAUGCAAGAGAUGAGUUCGCGACGGUUACUUGGAUAAGCUUCACUUGAUGCUCCCCGACAACGGCGCCAGAAAUUGGCACGUUGAUGGGAAACUAUUCUUGACUUGAUCCUCCUCGCCGGCGACGGCGCCAGAAAUUCUUCUUGCUACCUCUUGAGCUUGCGGUGGUUUUUUCCCUUGAAGAGGAAAGGGUGAUGCAGCACACUAGCAGUAAGUAUUUCCCUCAGUUUGAGAACCAAGGUAUCAAUCCAGUAGGAGUAUCAAGAUGAGGCACCAAUGUACCUGCGCAAAAACAACAAACUGGCACCCAACACUACAAAGGGGUUGUCAAUCCCUUCACGAUUGAUUGCAAGGUGAGAUCUGAAGGCGGAAAGUGCAACAAAGUAAAAGUGUAGGGCUGAAAAUAUGAUGUGAAGUAGACCCGGGGGCCAUAGUGUUCACUAGAGGCUUCUCUCAAGAUAGAAAUAUUAUGGUGGGUGAGCGAAUUACUGUUGAGCAAUUGAUAGAACCGUGCAAAGUCAUGAUGACAUCUAAGGCAAUGAUCAUACAUAGAGGCAUCACGUCCGAGACAAGUAGACCGAUACUUUCUGCAUCUACUACUAUUACUCCACACAUCGACCGCUAUCUAGCAUGCAUCUAGUGUAUUGAGUUCAUGACAAACAGAGUAAGGCCUUAAGCAAGAUGACAUGAUGUAGAGGGAUAAAUUCAUGCAAUAGAUAUAAACCCCAUCUUUUUACCCUUGAUGGCAACAACACGAUGCGUGCCUGACUACCCCUUCCAUCACUGGGUGAGGUCACCGCACGGUAUGAACCCAAAACCAAAUACUUCUCCCAUUGCAAGAAUCAUAGAUCAAGUUGGCCAAAUUUUAACCCACAAGUGUAGGGGAUCACAACAGUUUUUGAGGGUAGAGUAUUCAACCCAAAUUUAUUGAUUCGACACANNNNNNNNNNCAAAAGAAUAUUCUCAAGUAUUAGCAGCUGAGUUUGUCAAUUUCAACCACACCUGAAAGAUUAGUGUCUGCAAGCAAAGUAUCAGUAGCAAAGUAGUAUGAUAGCAACGGUGUCAGAAAAAGAUCUGUUGACGGCAGACUAUUCCUAACUGUUGUAUCAAUGGCGCUAGUAAAUAACACGUGGACGGGGAACUAUUCUUCCCCGGCAACGGCUCCAGAAAAGUCUUGCAACAAGUAGUAGCAAAGUAACAACAGUAGUGACAUCGGUAGCAAGGAACAACAGUAGCAAGGAACAACAAUAGUGACAGCAGCAGAAGUAGUAACAGCAGAGUAACAACAGUAGCAACAGUAGUAGCGACAAAGUAACGUAGCAAGUACGAGUAGUAAAAUACUCGUAGGCAGUGGAUCGGUGAUGGAUAAGUAUGACAGAUGUGAUUCAUCAUGUAACAGCUAUAACACGGAGAGAUAAGUAACUAGCUCCUGUUCGUCAAUCUAAUGUAGGCAUGUAUUCCGUAUGUAGUCAUACAUGCUUAGGGAAAAGAACUCGCAUGACAUCUAUUGUCCAACCCUCCCGUGGCAGCGCGGUCCCAAUGGAAACUACGAGAUAUUAAGGUUCUCCUUUUAAUAAAGAACUGGACCAACGCAUUAACACUUGGUGAAUACAUGAACUCCUCAUACUAUGGUCAUCUCCGGAGUGGUUCCGACUAUUGUCACUCCGGGGUUGCCGGGUCAUAACACAUAGUNNNNNNNNNNNNNNNNNNNNNNNNNNNNNNNNNNNNNNNNNNNNNNNNNNNNNNNNNNNNNNNNNNNNNNNNNNNNNNNNNNNNNNNNNNNNNNNNNNNNCACUUGUGGGUUAUCAAAACUAUUUUCUGGCACCGUUGCCGGGGAGGCACAACUAUAUUCUCUGAGUCACUUGGGAUUUUUGUCUGCUGAUCACUAUGAGGAAUCCGAAAGAUCCAAGAACUAAAAUCUUGCCUUCCACUACGAGGAGAGGUAAGGAACUGCCAUCUAGCUCUGCACUUGAUUCACCUUCAGUUAUGAGUAAGUUUGCGACAUCGCCUCCUGCUAGAAAUCUUGAUAUGUCGCAUGUGCUUGAUGAUGCUACUUCUGCUGCCCAUGAUGCUUAUGAUGAUGAUAUACUUGAUACUAUGCCUGAUGAUGCUAUGCUUGAUACUAUGCCUGAUGAUGCUAUGCUUGAUACUAUGCCUGAUGAUUCUACGCUUGAUACUUUGCCUGAUGAUGCUAUGCUUGAUACUAUGCCUAAUACUGCUUUGCCACUAGGUGCAUUCCUUGAUGCACAAAUUGCUAGAGUUGCUGAUAGACGUGAUGAUAUUUCUGAAACUACUGAUACUAUUGAAGUAGAACCUGCUACUAUGCCUGAAUUGCUUGUUAUGCCUGAGCGCUAUGUUAUGGAGAGAGAGAUAGCUGAGGACUUUCUUGCAUGUAAGGAUAGCUAUAAUGUUGAGAAAUUACUGCUCAAGUGGAAAGAAAAAUCUCUGAACGCUANNNNNNNNNNCUAGAUGUGAUGAUACUUCUGAAACUGCUGAUACUAUUGAAGUAGAACCUGCUAUUUUGCCUGCUGGAACUAGCUCUCCUAGACAUGAAUUGCCUGGUAUGCCUGAGUGUUAUGUUAUGGAGGGAGAGAUAGCUGAGGACUUUCUUGCUUGUAAGGAUAGCUAUGAUGUUGAGAAAUUACUGCUCAAGUGGAAAGAAAAAUCUCUGAACGCUAGGAUGAAAUACGACCCGAAGUUUUCUACUUCGCCUAUCUUUGUGACCGAUAAGGAUUAUGAAUUCUCUAUCGACCCUGAGUUAAUCACUCUAGUCGAAUCUGAUCCUUUUCAUGGUUAUGAGUCUGAAACGGUUGUAGCACAUCUUACCAAACUACACGAUAUAGCCACACUAUUCACUAGUGAGGAAAAGAUUCGCCACGACUAUAUCCUCAAGUUGUUUCCUUUCUCGCUAAAGGAUGAUGCUAAGACCUGGUUCACUUCCCUUUCUCCUAGUUGUGUGCGUAGCCCCCAGGAUAUGGUCUACUACUUCUCUGAAAAAUAUUUCCCUGCCCAUAAGAAGCAAGCUGCCUUGCAGGAAAUAUACAACUUUGCUCAAGCUGAAGAAGAGAGUCUCCCACAAGCUUGGGGGAGGCUCAUCCAGCUACUUAAUGCUUUGCCUGAUUACCCUCUUGAGAAGAAUGAAAUACUUGAUAUCUUCUAUAAUGGACUUACCGAUGCUUCCAAAGACCACCUAGAUAGUUGUGCCAGUUGUGUUUUUAGGGAACGAACUGUAGAACAAGCUGAGAUCCUACUGAAUAACAUCUUGUGCAAUGAGAAUGCUUGGACUAUUCCCGAACCACCUCCUAAGCCAACUCCGAAGAAAAGAGGUAUUAUAUUCCUCAGUCCUGAAGAUAUGCAAGAAGCCAAGAAAUCUAUGCGAGAGAAAGGCAUUAAAUCUGAAGAUGUCAAAAAUCUACCACCUAUCGAAGAGAUCCAUGGUCUCGAUAACCCGAUACAGGUAGUAGAAGUAAAUUCUCUGCGUAGGUUUGAUGAGAGUGAUAUUCCUUUUGAUAAACCUGCUAGCUUAUGCAUGGAUGAAUUUGAUAACUUUGUUGCCAAACAACAAAGUUUCAAUGAUUAUGUUAGCAGACAAUUCGAAUAAAAUGCUCGUAUGCUUAGUCAUUUAAGUGCUUGUGUGGACAGAAAUGUCNNNNNNNNNNCAGUAAGCAUGCCUCUAUGGUUACUACUCAGGUAGAACAAGUACUUAAAGCUCAAAAUGACUUGCUCAAUGAGUUGAAUGACAAUUCCGUUAGAGUCGUUACUAGAGGCGGUAGAAUGACACAGGAACCUUUGUAUCCUGAGGGUCAUCCGAAGAGAAUUGAACAAGAUUCUCAAGGAGUUAGCACUCAUGCACCUAGUCAUCCUAGAAAGAAGAAGAAAGAUGAUAGGAACCUGCAUGCUAGCAACCCUGUUGCUGCUACACCUGAGAGUCCAAACAAUGCCUCUGUCUCUGAUGUUGAAACACAAUCUGGUGAUGAACAUGAGCCUAAUGAUAAUAUCAAUAGUGAUGUUCAUGAAUAUGCUCAACCUAGCAAUGAUAAGGAUGUGGAGAUUGAACAUGUUGAUCUUGAUAACCCACAGCCUAAGACUAAGAGGUACAAUAAGAAUGACUUCGCUGCUAGGAAGCACGGUAAAGAAAGGGAACCAUGGGUUCAUAAACCUAUGCCCUUUCCUCCCAAACCAUCCAAGAAAAAGGAAGAUGAGGAUUUUGAGCAUUUCGUUGAAAUGAUCAGACCUGUCUUUCUGCAAAUGCGUUUGACAGAUAUGCUCAAAAUGUCUCUGUAUGCUAAGUACAUGAAAGAUAUUGUGACUAAUAAGACGAGGAUACCUGAGGUUGAGAUUUCCACCAUGCUUGCUAACUAUACCUUCAAGGGUGGAACUCCCAACAAACUAGGUGAUCCCGGUGUGCCCACUAGACCUUGUUCCAUUAAGGGCAACUACGUUGUAACUGCUUUGUGCGACCUUGGAGCCGGUGUUAGUGUUAUGCCUCUAUCUCUUAAUCAUAGGCUUGAACUGGAUAAGUUGACACCCACUGAAAUCUCUCUGCAAAUGGCCGACAAAUCAAUUAACUUCCCUAUCGGCAUUUGCGAGGAUGUGCCUGUUGUGGUUGCUAACAUCACUAUCUUAACAGACUUCGUUAUCUUGGAUAUUCUUGAGGACGAUGCCAUGGCGGUCAUCCUCUGAAGACCCUUUUUAAACACUGCAGGGGCUGUUAUAGAUUGCAACAAAGGCAAUGUCACUUUCCAUGUCAACGGUAAUGAGCAUACGGUGCACUUUCCGAAGAAACAAUAUCGAGUACAUUGCAUCAAUGCUAUCGNNNNNNNNNNGAUUCUUAUUGGGAGCUUUGAAUGCCCUAUACCUACUGUUAAGAUGAAGUAUGAUUUGCUUGUUGGGGAUAUCCACAUCCCCAUUGAGGUAAUUUAGUGACUAUUUGAAAAUUCUCCGUCUUCUUUUGCGAUUCGAAAAAGUUUGUCAAGGAGACUUGAUCAACCUCAUUGAUAGAUUUCUUUCGAUAACCAUGAGAUGGAUGAAUCGAGGAGUCACAAACCUCUGUUCCAAACUUUCAACAUCGGUAGCUCAGAACAAAAAUGAUAGAUUUAGUUUAGUUUUCCCUGUUUUUUGCUUUUAGCGUCCCGUAGAAAAGUACCCCGAAAAUAAAAGUUCUCCGAAUGUCCUGAAAAUCAAGUAUGAUUUUUUCUGGAAUUUUUGAAAAAUACUGAGACGAAGAGCUAAUCAGGGGGCUGCACCAGUGGGCCACAAGCGUUGGAGGCGCGGGCACCCCCUGGCCGCGCCAUCCAGGCUUGUGGGGCCCACGUAUACCCCCUCCACUCAUUCCAUCUGCCAUCUGCUUCUCCUACCUCCAGAAAAAAUUGUUUCGCAGCUAAAACCCGUGUUCUUGCUCUUCUUGCUGGGAUUUUUGAUCUCCUUGUGCAAAGCACCAUUCACCAAGCUGUUUUGGGCAAAUUACUCCUUGGUAAAUGACUCCUCCAUUGGUCCAAUUAGAACUGCUUUAUGCGAUCUUGGAGCCGGUGUUAGUGUUAUGGCUCUCUCUCUUUAUCGUAGGCUUGAAGUGGAUAAGUUGACACCCACUGAAAUCUCUCUGCAAAUGGCCGACAAAGCAACUGCUUUCCCUAUCGGCAUUUGCGAGGAUGUGCCAAUUGUGGUUGCGAAUGUCACUAUCUUAACAGACUUUGUUAUUCUGGAUAUUCCCGAGGAUGAUGCCAUGGCGGUCAUCCUUNNNNNNNNNNNNNNNNNNNNNNNNNNNNNNNNNNNNNNNNNNNNNNNNNNNNNNNNNNNNNNNNNNNNNNNNNNNNNNNNNNNNNNNNNNNNNNNNNNNNUGUGCUUCAAUUCUUGUCUUUCGUGUGAGCAUCAUUGAAUUAUCAAUGCCUAGCUAAGGGUGUUAAACAAUAGCGCUUGUUGGGAGGCAACCCAAUGAAUUUAUCUUUGCUUUUUUGCUUUAUGUUUUGUUGUGUCCACACCAUCAUAAUUCUGUUAUGAUUGUGUUUUUUGUGUUUCUUUUUGUGUUUGAGCCAAGUAAAACAUUUAUGACUAGUUUUGGUGAUGGUUGAUUGAUCAUGCUGGAAAAAGACAGAAACUUUUCGCUCACGAAAUUAUUUUUCAUUUUUAUCUAGAAAGAGAUUUUGUGUUGAUUAUUUUUUAUGAUGGUUUAUAUGCCAAUUGCCCAAACUUUCAUAAUUUUUCAGUAUUUGUGAGAUAACAGAAGUAUACGAAGUAUACAGAUUGCUACAGACCGGUCUGUUUUUAACAGAUUCUGUUUUGUUGUGUUAAUUGCUUAUUUUGAUGAAACUAUGGAUAGUAUCGGGGGUACUAGCCAUGGAAACGUGAGAAUGCAGUAAUCUAGCACCAAUAUAAAUACAAAUCAAGUUUGCUACAGUACCUCAAGAGGUGGUAGUUUGUUUUCUUGUGCUAAUGAUAUCACGAGUUUCUGUUUAAGUUUUGUGUUGUGAAGUUUUCAAGUUUUGGGUGAUGUUCUCAUGGACAAAGGGAUAAAGAGUGGAAAGAGCUCAAGCUUGGGGAUGCCCAAGGCAUCCCAAGCCAAAUUCAAGGACACCAAACAUCCUAAGCUUGGGGAUGCCCCGUGAAGGCAUCCCCUCUUUCGUCUUCAAUCCAUCGGUAACAUUACUUGGAGCUAUAUUUUUAUUCUCAAAAUGAUAUGUGUUUUACUUGGAGCAUCGUGUAUUAUAGGAGUCUUUUAUUUUUGUUGUGUCACAAUCAUCCUUGCUGCACAACUUUUGAGAGAGACAUGCACUCAUCGUGAAUUUGCUAGAGUACUCAUUGAGCUUCGCUUAUAUCUUUUAAGUUAGGCAAUUUAGCUCACAUGUGCUUCACUUAUAUCUUUUGAGCUAGAUAACUUUGCUCUAAGUGCUUCACUUGGAUCUUUUAGAGCACGGCAGUGUCACAUUUUGGAGAAAUAAGAACUCUCGAUCUUCACUUAUAUCUUUUUGAGAGUGCUCUCUCUGAGUAACUUGGUAGUUGGCUUGUGCUAUGAAAGUAGUCCUAAAGAUGAUAGGCGUCUAAAGAGGAUACAAUAAAACUUCCAUAUUCAUGUGCAUUGAUUAGAAAGAGAAGUUUGAUUCCUCUCAAUUAGUUUUGAGACAUGGAUUUGGUAAUAUUAAGAGUUAUGUUUGUAGGGUGUUGUGAAUCUAGUAAUACUUGUGUUUAAGUUAGUGAUUCCCGUAACAUGCACAUAUGAUGAACCGCCAUGUUAGGAAGUCGGAGCAUAAUUGAUUUAUUGAUUGUCAUCCUUUCUGUUGCGGUCGGGAUCGCGCGAUGGUUAACACCUACCAACCCUUUCCCUAGGAGUAUGCGUUUAGCACUUUGUUUCGAUUACUAAUAAAAACUUUUGCAAUAAGUAUGUGAGUUCUUCAUGACUAAUGUGAGUCCAUGGUAUAAAUGCACUUUCACUUUCCACCAUUGCUAGCCUCUCUAGUGCCGCGCAACUUUCGCCGGUGCACAAACCCACCAUAUACCUUCCUCAAAACAGCCACCAUACCUACCUAUUAUGGCAUUUUCAUAGCCAUUCCGAGAUAUAUUGCCAUGCAACUCCCACCGUUCNNNNNNNNNNGCCGUCACUUUCAUAUUGCCAUUGCAUGAUCGUAAGAUAGCUAGCGAGAUGUUUCAACGUCAUAAGCCAAGCUAGAUCGUUGCACAUCCCGACACACUGUCGGAGGCAUUUCCUAUAGAGUCCUCAUCGUUCUAAGCAUUGAGCUGUGAGUAAAUUAAAGUGUGAUGGUCAUCAUUAUUAGAGAAUUGUCCCAUGUGAGGAAAUAAAUAAAUAAAUAAAUAAGAGGCCAAAGUUGCCCACACAAAGAGAGAGAGAGAGAGAGAGAUGGAAAGAGGCCAAAGAGCCCAAACAAAAUAAAAUAAAAAAGAGAGAAAAAGAGAGAAGGGACAAUGCUACUAUCUUUUCCACACUUGUGCUUCAUAAUAGCACCAUGUUCUUCAUGAUUGAGAGUCUCUUGUUUUGUCACCACCAUAUGCUAGUGGGAAUCUUAAUUAUAUAACUUGGCUUGUAUAUUCCAAUGAUGGGCUUCCUCAAAAUUGCCCUAGGUCUUCGUCAGCAAGCAAGUUGGAUGCACACCCAUUAGUUCUCCUUUUGAGCUUUCACAUAUUUAUAGCUCUAAGUGCAUCCAUUGCAUGCCAAUCCCUACUCUUUCACAUUGAUAUCUAAUAAUGAGCAUCUCCAUAGACCUUUGAUACGCUGAGUCAAUGUAAUCAUAUCCUCCUUUUUGUCUCACAACCUCCACCACACUCUUUUUCACCUAUAGUGCUAUAUCCAUGGCUCACGCUCAUGUAUUGCGUGAGAAUUGAAAAAGGUUUGAGAAAGUAAGAGUGCGAAAACAAUUACUUGGCCAAUUCUGGGGUUGUGCAUGAUUUAAAUUCGUUGUGUGGGGAUGGUGGAGCAUAGCCAGACUAUAUGAUUUUGUAGGGAUAAAUUUCUUUGGCUUUGUUAUUUCAAAAGUUCAUGAUUACCUUGCUAGUUUGCUUGAAGUAUUAUUGUUUUCAUGUCAAUAGCAAACUAUUGUUUUGAAUCUUACGGAUCUGAACAUUCAUGUCACAUGAAAGAAGUUACAAAGGACAAAUAUGCUAGGUAAAAUUCCACAUCAAAAAUUCAUUCUUUAUCACUUCCCUACUCGAGGACGAGCAGGAGUUAAGCUUGGGGAUGCUUGAUACGUCUCCAACGUAUCUAUAAUUUUUUAUGGUUCCAUGCUAUUAUCUUAUCAAACUUUGGAUGUUUUGUAUGCCUUUUAUAUCUUUUUCGGGACUAACUUAUUAACUCGGUGCCAAGUGCUAGCUCCUGUUUUUUCGGUGUUUUUGACCCUUUUCAGAGGAGAAUAUUAAAUGGAGUCCAAACGGAAUAAAACCUCCGAAAUGAUUUUUUUUGGAACAGAAGAUACGCAAGGAGAUUGAGAACCAAGGCAGAGGGCGCCAAGGGAGGCCACAAGCCACCUAGACGCGGCCUGGGGGCACGCCUAGCAGGCUUGUGGGCCCCCUGUGGCUCCUCUGCCCUACUUCUUCCGCCUAUAAAUCCCCGAAAAAUCCAAAACCACGGGAGAGAUCCACGAAAAUACUUUUCCACCGCUGCAAGCUUCUGUCUCCGCAAGAUCCCAUCUGGGGCAUGUUCUGGUGCCCUGCCGGAGGGGGGAUUCGGAUACGGAGGGCUUCUUCAUCAACACCAUUGCCUCUCCGAUGAUGCGUGAGUAGUUCACCAUAGACCUUCGGGUCCAUAGCUAGUANNNNNNNNNNNNNNNNNNNNNNNNNNNNNNNNNNNNNNNNNNNNNNNNNNNNNNNNNNNNNNNNNNNNNNNNNNNUGCGGCGUGUUUGUCGAGAUCCGAUGAAUUGUGGAUUUAUGAUCAUAUUAUCUAUGAAUCUUAUUUGAGUUUCUUCUGAUCUCUUAUAUGCAUGAUUUUAUAUCCUUGUAAUUCUCUUCGAGAUGUGGGUUUUGUUUGGCCAACUUGAUCUAUGAUUCUUGCAAUGGGAGAAGUGCUUGGUUUUGGGUUCAUACCGUGCGGUGACCUCACCCAAUGACAGAAGGGGUAGCGAGGCACGCAUCGUGUUGUUGCCAUCAAGGGUAAAAAGAUGAGGUUUAUAUCUAUUGCAUGAAUUUAUCCCUCUACAUCAUGUCAUCUUGNNNNNNNNNNNNNNNNNNNNNNNNNNNNNNNNNNNNNNNNNNNNNNNNNNNNNNNNNNNNNNNNNNNNNNNNNNNNNNNNNNNNNNNNNNNNNNNNNNNNUAAGCAUCAUGGGCAGCAGAAGUAGCAUCAUCAAGCACAUGCGACAUAUCAAGAUUUCUAGCAGGAGGCGAUGUCGCAAACUUACUCAUAACUGAAGGUGAAUCAAGUGCAGAGCUAGAUGGCAGUUCCUUACCUCUCCUCGUAGUGGAAGGCAAGAUUUUAGUUCUUGGAUCUUUCGGAUUCCUCAUAGUGAUCAGCAGACAAAAAUCCCAAGUGACUCAGAGAAUAUAGUUGUGCCUCCCCGGCAACGGUGCCAGAAAAUAGUUUUGAUAACCCACAAGUGUAGGGGAUCGCAACAGUUUUCGAGGGUAGAGUAUUCAACCCAAAUUUAUUGAUUCGACACAAAGGGAAGCAAAAGAAUAUUCUCAAGUAUUAGCAGCUGAGUUUGUCAAUUUCAACCACACCUGAAAGAUUAGUGUCUGCAAGCAAAGUAUCAGUAGCAAAGUAGUAUGAUAGCAACGGUGUCAGAAAAAUAUCUGUUGAUGGCAGACUAUUCCUAACUGUUGUAUCAAUGGCGCCAGUAAAUAGCACUUGGACGGGGAACUAUUCUUCCCCGGCAACAGCUCCAGAAAAGUAUUGCGACAAGUAGCAGCAAAGUAACAGCAGUAGUGACAACAGUAGCAAGGAACAACAGUAGUGACAGCAGCAGCAGCAGCAACAGCAGUAGUAACAGCAGAGUAACAGAAGUAGCAACAAUAGUAGCGACAAAGUAAUGUAGAAAGGACCAGUAGUAAAAGACUCGUAGGCAGUGGAUCGGUGAUGGAUGAGUAUGACGGAUGUGAUUCAUCAUGUAACAGUUAUAACAUGGAGAGAUAAGUAACUAGCUCCCGUUCGUCAAUCUAAUGUAGGCAUGUAUUNNNNNNNNNNNNNNNNNNNNNNNNNNNNNNNNNNNNNNNNNNNNNNNNNNNNNNNNNNNNNNNNNNNNNNNNNNNNNNNNNNNNNNNNNNNNNNNNNNNNAGUUUGUUGUUUUUGCGCAGGUACAUUGGUGCCUCAUCUUGAUACUCCUACUGGAUUGAUACCUUGGUUCUCAAACUGAGGGAAAUACUUACUGCUAGUGUGCUGCAUCACCCUUUCCUCUUCAAGGGAAAAAACCACCGCAAGCUCAAGAGGUAGCAAGAAGAAUUUCUGGCGCCGUCGCCGGCGAGGAGGAUCAAGUCAAGAAUAGUUUCCCAUCAACGUGCCAAUUUCUGGCGCCGUUGUCGGGGAGCAUCAAGUGAAGCUUAUCCAAGUAACCGUCGCGAACUCAUCUCUUGCAUUUACUUUUUUUGCCUAUCGUUUUGCUCUCCCCCACUUCUGAAAAACAAAAAAUUACAAAAAUAUUUACCUUUUUCGUUUGCCUUUCCUUUGCCUGUGUGCUAUGUGCCUUCAAUAUGCUUGCAUCUUCGCUUGCUAAAAAUCUAGUGAUAUGGAUCCUCACCCACUUGCUAAUCUCUUNNNNNNNNNNNNNNNNNNNNNNNNNNNNNNNNNNNNNNNNNNNNNNNNNNNNNNNNNNNNNNNNNNNNNNNNNNNNNNNNNNNNNNNNNNNNNNNNNNNNNNNNNNNNNNNNNNNNNNNNNNNNNNNNNNNNNNNNNNNNNNNNNNNNNNNNNNNNNNNNNNNNNNNNNNNNNNNNNNNNNNNNNNNNNNNNNNNNNNNNNNNNNNNNNNNNNNNNNNNNNNNNNNNNNNNNNNNNNNNNNNNNNNNNNNNNNNNNNNNNNNNNNNNNNNNNNNNNNNNNNNNNNNNNNNNNNNNNNNNNNNNNNNNNNNNNNNNNNNNNNNNNNNNNNNNNNNNNNNNNNNNNNNNNNNNNNNNNNNNNNNNNNNNNNNNNNNNNNNNNNNNNNNNNNNNNAAUAUCCUAUGUGAUAGUUAUAUUGUUGAAUUCGAAUAUGAUCCCACAUGUAAUUAUUAUGAGAGAGGAAAAUAUNNNNNNNGUUUUGCUAUGCCCACUACUUGUUGCAAUGAUCAUGAUUGGGGUAAUCAUUUUUCUUAUGAUCUUGAAAAUUUGUUUAAGCCUCAUGAUGAAUAUGAUACUUCCAAUGAUAUUGAAAGUGGGUUUGGAGAAGUCAUGACUUUAGUUGAUGAUAAUCCCACUAUUUUUGAAGAGCGUCAACUUUGCAUGCAUGUGGAUCAUGAAAAGAAUAUCCUAUGUGAUAGCUAUAUUGUUGAAUUUGAUUAUGAUCCCACAUGCAAUUGUUAUGAGAGAGGAAAAUAUUGUGGUAGAAACUUUCAUAUCACUAAAUUACCUCUCGUUAUGUUGAGAUUGAUGUUGUCUCUUUCUUCUUCCUUGCAUAUGGUAACUAUUGGUUGUCUUGACAAUCUGUUUUCCUAUAAAAUGNNNNUAUUGAAAGUGGGUUUGGAGACGUCAUGACUUUAGUUGAUGAUAAUCCCACUAUUUUUAAAGAGCAUCAACUUUGCAUGCAUGUGGAUCAUGAAAAGAAUAUCCUAUGUGAUAGNNNNNNNNNNNNNNNNNNNNNNNNNNNNNNNNNNNNNNNNNNNNNNNNNNNNNNNNNNNNNNNNNNNNNNNNNNNNNNNNNNNNNNNNNNNNNNNNNNNNUAGCAUCAAGGAUCUGAACAUAAACUCUUCCACCAAGUAAUCCAACUAGCAUCAAAUACAAAGAGUAAUUAACACUACUAGCAACCUUACAAGUACUAAUCGGAGUCGCGAGAUGGAGAUUUGUUACAAGAGAUGAACUAGGGUUUGGAGAUGAGAUGGUGCUGAUGAAGAUGUUGAUGGUGACGAGUCCCCUCCGAUGAGAAGAGUGUUGGUGAUGACGAUGGCGACGAUUUCCCCCCCGGGAGGGAAGUUUCCCCGUCAGGAUCGUCCUGCCGGAGCUCUAGAUUGGUUGUGCUCAAGUUCCGCCUCGUGGCGGCGGCGAAUCCUCGAAAAAGCCUCCUCCUGAUUUUUUUCGGAACAAAACCCUUCAUAUUGCAGAAGAGGGGGGCCAGUGGGCCAGCAGGGAGCCCACAAGCCCCUUAGACGCGGCCAGGGGGGUGGCCGCGCCUGCCAGGCUUGUGGCCCCCUGGUUGCGCUCCUCUCGCACUUCUUCGGCCUAGUAUUUUUUAUAUAUUCCAAAAAAAUGCACGUUGAUUUUCACGGUUUUUGGAGUUGCGCAGAAUAGGCAUCUCAAACUUGCUCCUUUUUCAGGCCAGAAUUCCAGCUGCCGGCAUUCUCACUCUUCAUGUAAACCUUGCAAAAUAAGAGAGAAAAGGCAUAAGUAUUGUACCGUGAAGUGAAAUAACAGCCCAAAAAGCAAUAAAUAUCAACAUGAAAGCCUGAUGCAAAAUGGACGUAUCAACUCCCCAAGCUUAGGCCUCGCUUGUCCUCAAGCGAAAGCCGAGCUCAAUAAAUAUGACCACAUGUUUAGGGAGAGGGGUGUCGACAAAACAAGAUACGAACAUGCAGGCAUCAUGAUCAUGAUCAGAACAGCAAUACCAACAUAUAAUCUCUCAUGCUAAAGUGACAAUUCCUUCACAAGGUAAAGUAUGGAUCAAGAACCUUACCGAGAAUUAACAACCGAUAGCCUUUAGUCAUUGAAGCAAUUGCAAUUUAUCACACCAUCAGAAAGAGUCAAAUAAGAGCUUGUAAAGCAAAUCCACAUACUCAAUCAUCUUUUCGUUCUCUACAAUUGCUACAACUCACGUGGUACUCAUGAGAUCAAAGUUUCAGCUGAACACGGAGAAAGAUAGGGGCUUAUAGUUUUGCCUCCCAACUGCUUACCUCAAGGGUAAUGUCAACAAUAAUAAUUCAUGAAUACUUACUUCCAAGUUGACAUAUGAAUAUAGAUCUUUUCCAAGCAUAUGACGUUAGCCAAGAUAAAGGCGAAACAAGGAAUUGGUGAAGAUCACCAUGACUCUUUCAAGGGCAAAAAGUAAAGGUACAAGAUAGGCCCUUCGCAGAGGGAAGCAGAGGUUNNNNNNNNNNGGGAUGCGUGUCCUCUUAGUGCGGAGGAAUGUCACUUUAUAUUGCCUCCUGUGAUAAAGAACUUUAUUAUGCAGUCUCUCGCUUUUAUGUCUUCCUCAUCAGAGGUUCGUACAAAGCUUAUUUUCCACACACUAAUAGAUCAUACAUAUUUGGGAGAAAUUUUUAUUGCUUGCACCGAUGACAACUUACUUGAGGGAUCUUGUUCAAUCCAUAGGUAGGUAUGGUGGAGUCUCAUGGCAAAACUGAGUUGAAGGUUUAUGGAUGCACAAGUAGUAUCUCUACUUGGUGCGGGAGNNNNNNNNNNAGCUAAUAUGAGGUGGAAGCAAUUGUCACAUGCUAAGGGAUCUCUAAUCAUAUAACAUUGUUCGGAACCAAGCAAACACAAUUCAUUAUGUUGUCUUCCUUGUCCAACAUCUACUUCUAGGCAUGCAAUAGUUUAGUGAGUGUUCACAAUCAUAGAUGGUGUCAAAGAUGAUGUAUUUAUAUGUGAACCUCUCCUUCCUUAUCACUUCCUAUUAAUUGCAACAAUGACCAAGGUCUACAUUUGUCUACCCUCAACAAGUUUCAAUCAACAUUCUUUUUAUAUGUGAAGCCAUCACUUCCCAUGAGAUCAUUACAUGAUCUUUCAUGCUUUUGUUCUUUUCUCACUCUUUUGAUCAUGGCAAGAUGCAAAUCCCUCAACUAAGACACUCUUUAUUAUAUGGCUCACGAGCUCGAAUACAUCGGGGGUGACACAAAGCAAAACUCAAGACUAAAACACUAAGACUUUUAUUCUACUAGAGAAAGAGAAAACUGAAAAGGAACAAACUAAAACAAAGGUAAAGGCAAGAGAUGUGAUGGUGAUACGAUACGGGGGCAACUCCCCCAAGCUUGGCAGAAGCCAAGGGGAUUGCCCAUACCCAUGCUCAGUUGUCUUCCUUUGGAGGUGAUGGUGGUGAAGUUGUUGCAGAGGUCAUGAGCUUGUUUGAUUUCCAGCUGAGCAUAAAAUUCUGCUCCCUCAGAUCAUCAUUUUCCUCUUCAAGCUUCAACACCCUUUGGCAUAAUUCCUGCUUACUCUCCUGCAAGAAACGAGAAGGGAUAAACAAAGUCUUAGGCUUCUUCCUUGAGUCAGGGAGGCUCGACUUCUUGAACUCCACAUGCGUGUGUCCAGGUUGAGGUAGAGGAGCCUCCUCUUCAUCGGAACUUGUUUGUUGCUUCCCCUUGGGAUCAUAAUCUUCUUCCUCAUCGGUGGUCCAGUGCUUCUUAUCAAACAACAACGCCAGAAAUUGACACGUUGACGGAGAUUGGGCUUGCGUUGGUUUUUCCCUUAAAGAGGAAAGGGUGAUGCAGCACAGGAGCAGUAAGUAUUUCCCUCAGUUUGAGAACCAAGGUAUCGAUCCAGAAGGAGGGUCUCGUCAAGUCGAGAGUACCUGUGCAAACACAAAAAAGCUUGCACCCAAUGCUUCAAAGGGGUUGUCAAUCCCUUCAAGAUUGUUUGCAAAGUGAGAUCUGAAGGCGGAAAGUGCAACAAAGUAAAAAGUGUAAGGCUGAAAAUAUGGUGUGGAGUAGACCCGGGGGCCAUAGUGUUCACUAGAGGCUUCUCUCAAAAUAGCAAAUAUCACGGCGGGUGAACAAAUUACUGUCGAGCAAUUGAUAGAACCGCGCAAAGUCAUGACGAUGUCUAAGGCAAUGAUCAUACAUAUAGGCAUCACGACCGAGACAAGUAGACAAAUACUUUUUGCAUCUACUACUAUUACUCCACACAUCGACCGCUAUCCAUCAUGCAUCUAGUGUAUUGAGUUCAUGACGAACAGAGUAACGCCUUAAGCAAGAUGACAUGAUGUAGAGGAAUAAUCUCAAACCAAUGAUGAAAACCCCAUCUUUUUACCCUUGAUGGCAACAACCUGAAGCGUGCCUCGCUACCCCUUUUGUCACUGGGUGAGGUCACCGCACGGUAUGAACCCAAAACUAAGCACUUCUCCCAUUGCAAGAAUCAUAGAUCUAGUUGGCCAGACAAAACCCACAACUCGAAGAGAAUUACAAGGAUAUGAAAUCAUGCAUAAGAGAGAUCAGAAGAAACUCAAAUAAGAUUCAUAGAUAAUCUGAUCACAAAUCCACAAUUCAUAGGAUCUCGACAAACACACCGCAAAAGAAGAUUACAUCGGAUAGAUUUCCAUGAAGAUCAUGGAGAAAUUUGUAUUGAAGAUCCAAGAGAGAGAAGAAGUCAUCUAGUUACUAGCUAUGGACCCGUAGGUCUAUGGUGAACUACUCACGCUUCAUCGGAGAGGUCAUGGUGUUGAUGAAGAAGCCCUCUGUAUCCGAAUCUCCCCUCCGGCAGGGCACCAGAACGUGCCCCAGAUGGGAUCUUGCGGAGACAGAAGCUUGCGGCGGCGGAAAAGUACUUUCGAUGAUCUCCUGAUUUUUUUGGGAUUUUUAGGGAAUUUAUAGGCGCAACCCCUAGGACAGAGGGCGCCGAGGGGGCCCACAAGCCUGUGGGCCGCGGCCUCCCCCCUAGUCGCGGGGUGGGGGCUUGUGGGGCCCCUGAGGCUCCCCUACCUUGGCUCUCAAGCUUCCCGAUCUUCCGUUCCAGAAAAAAAUCUUUUCGGGGAUUUUCUUCCGUUUGGACUCCGUUUCAAAAUCUCCUCUCAAAGGGGUCAAAAACAUGGAAAAAACAGGAACUGGAACUUGGCACUGAGUUAAUAAGUUAGUCCCAAAAAAUAUAUAAAAGACAUGCAUAACAUCUAGAUUUUGACAAGAUAAUAGCAUGAAACCAUAAAAAAUUAUAGAUACGUUGGAGACGUAUCAUCCAGCCAUAAGGAUCCAAGUCCCCAUAGAUCUUGGGGUCAGCAAGGUAAUCUGCCAAUAGCUCUCCCCCUCUGAAUCUUGAGAAGAUAUCUUGCCUUAAAUCUGCGGCAGAAAACAGGCUCGAAACGAAAACAAAGGAAAUGUGGGUGAUGCGAGGGUCAGACCUUACGGGAGAAUAUAUAUUGAUUUUUUCCAGACCAGAAGGAGUACUCCGCACGAAAACGGAGUCCGGGAGGCACACGAGGUGGCCACAAGCCCCGCCCCCCCAGGCACGGCCAGGGGGUGGGCCCGCGCCUGGCAGGCUUGUCGCCUCCUCGCGCGCUUUCCGGACUACUUCCAAUUUUUCUAUUUUUUCAAAUAUUCCAAAACGGAGAAAAAUUCCUACUAGAAAAGUUUUGGAGUCUGUUUUCUUACCGAAUCACAUACCUCUUUGUUUUCGGAGUCUGAAACAGGCUGAUAAAUAUCCCUUAGGUAUUCUUCCGGAGUUNNNNNNNNNNNNNNNNNNNNNNNNNNNNNNNNNNNNNNNNNNNNNNNNNNNNNNNNNNNNNNNNNNNNNNNNNNNNNNNNNNNNNNNNNNNNNNNNNNNNAUGGUGACGAGUCCCCUCCGAUGAGAGGAGUGUUGGUGAUGACGAUGGUGACGAUUUCCCCCUCCGGGAGGGAAGUUUCCCUGGCAGGGUCGUCCUGCUGGAGCUCUAGAUUGGUUCUGCUCAAGUUCCGCCUCGUGGUGGCGGCGAAACCACGAAAAAGCUCCUCCUUGAUUUUUUUUCCUGGAUGAAACCCUCCAUAUAGAAAAAGAGGGGAGCAAGUGGGAUAGUGGGCUGCCCACAAGCCCCCAUGGCGCGGCCUGGGGGGUGGCUAAUGACCCACAAGUAUAGGGGAUCAAUCAUAGUCCUUUCGAUAAGUAAGAGUGUCAAACCCACUGAGGAGUAGAAGGCUCUGAUAAACGGAUUUCAGCAAGGUAAUAACUGCAAGCACUGAAAGUAGCGGUAACAAGUGAUUGUGUAGCGAGGUGAAACGUAGCAAGCAAAGAGUAACAAGUAACAAGUAGUAGCAACGGUGCAACAAGUGGCCCAAUCCCUUUUGUAGCAAGGGACAAGCCUGAACAAAGUCUUAUCGGAGGAAAAACGCUCCCGAUGACACACGGAAAUUUCUGUCAUGCUAGUUUCAUCAUGUUCAUAUGAUUCGCGUUCGUUGCUUUGAUGGUUUGAUAUGUGGGUGGACCGGCGCUUGGGUACUGCCCUUACUUGGACAAGCAUCCCACUUAUGAUUAACCUGUCUCGCAAGCAUCCGCAACUACAAAAGAAGAAUUAAGACAAAGUCUAACAAUAGCAUUAAACUAGUAGAUCCAAAUCAACCCCUCACGAAGCAACACAUAGACUGGGGUUUAAGCUUCUGUCACUCCAGCAACCCAUCAUCUACUUACUACUUCCCAAUGCCUUCCUCUAGGACCAAAUAUGGUGAAGUGUUAUGUAGUCGACGUUCACAUAACACCACUAGAGGAANNNNNNNNNNGCAUAUCAAAAUAUCGAACGAAUAUCAAAUUCACAUGACUAUUAUUAACAUGACUUAUCCCAUGUCCUCAGGAACAAAAGUAACUACUCACAAGACAUAAUCAUAAUCAUGACCAGAGGUGUAAUGAAUAACAUCAAGGAUCUGAACAUAAACUCUUCCACCAAGUAAUCCAACUAGCACCAACUACAAAGAGUAAUCAACACUACUAGCAACCUUACAAGUACCAAUCGGAGUUGCGAGACGAAGAUCGGUUACAAGAGAUGAACUAGGGAUUGGAAAGGGAGAUGGUGCUUAUGAAGAUGUUGAUGAAGAUGCCUCCCCUCCGACGAGAGGAGUGUUGGUGAUGACGAUGGCGACGACUUCCCCCUCCGGGAAGGAAGUUUCCCUGGCAGGAUCGUCCUGUCGGAGCUCUAGAUUGGAUCUGCUCAAGUUCCGCCUCGUGGCGGCGGCGAAACCACGAAUAAGCUCCCGAUUUAUUUUUUCCAGACCAGGAUGCUUCAUAUAGCAAAAGAGGGGGGUAGUGGGCCUUUAGGCAGCCCACAAGCCUGCCCUGCGCCACCAGGGGGGUGGUGGCGGUGGGCAAGCUUGUGGGGCCCUGGUGGCCUCCCUCCUUUAGUUCUUUCGCCCAGUAUUUUUAAUAUAUUCCAGAAAAAAUCCAUGUAAAUUUUCAGGGCAUUUGGAGAUGUGCAGAAUAGUGGACUAGGAUUUGCUCCUUUUCCAGUNNNNNNNNNNAUCAUGAUCAGAGGUGUAAUGAAUAGCAUCAAGGAUAUGAACAUAAACUCUUCCACCAAGUAAUCCAACUAGCAUCAACUACAAAGAGUAAUCAACACUACUAGCAACCUUACAAGUACCAAUCGGAGUCGUGAGACGGAGAUUGGUUACAAGAAAUGAACUAGGGAUUGGAGAGGAGAUGGUGCUGAUGAAGAUGUUGGUGAAGAUGCCUCCCCUCCGACGAGAGGAGUGUUGGUGAUGACGAUGGCNNNNNNNNNNGAGAAUUCCAACUGCCUGAAUUUUCCCUCUUCAAAUAAUCCUUGCAAAAUAAGAGAGAAAAGGCAUUAAAAUGGUACCACAAGUAAUAUAACAGCCCAAAAAGCAAUAAAUAUCAACANNNNNNNNNNAUCUGCUCAAGUUCCGCCUCAUGGCGGCGGCGAAACCACGAAAAAGCUUCCUUCUGAUUUUUUUCCAUACUAGGAUGUUUCAUAUAGCAAAAGAGGGGGGCUAGUGGGCCUUCAGGCAGCCCACAAGCCUGCCCUCCGCCACCAGGGGGGUGGUGGCGGUGGGCAAGCUUGUGGAGCCCUGGUGACCCCCCUCCGGUAGUUCUUUCGCCUAGUAUUUUUAAUAUAUUCUAGAAAAAAUCCACGUAAAUUUUUAGGGAAUUUGGAGAUGUGCAGAAUAGUGGACUAGGAUUUGCUCCUUUUCCAGUNNNNNNNNNNNNNNNNNNNNNNNNNNNNNNNNNNNNNNNNNNNNNNNNNNNNNNNNNNNNNNNNNNNNNNNNNNNNNNNNNNNNNNNNNNNNNNNNNNNNUUCAAUACAAAGUUCUCCAUGAUCUUCAUGGAGAUCUAUCCGAUGUAAUCUUCUUUCGCGGUGUGUUUGCCGAGAUCCGAUGAACUGUGGAUUUAUGAUGAGAUUAUCUAUAAAUCUUAUUUGAGUUUCUUCUGAUCUGUUAUAUGCAUGAUUUCAUAUCCUUGUAAUUCUCUUCGAGUUGUGGGUUUUGUUUGGUGAUACGUCUCCGUUGUAUCUACUUUUCCGAACUCUUUUGCCCUUGUUUUGGACUCUAAUUUGCAUGAUUUGAAUGGANNNNNNNNNNCUGUUUUUAGCAGAAUUGCCAUGGUGUUGUUUUUGUGCAGAAAUAAAAGUUCUCAGAAUGUCCUAAAAAUUUACGGAGAAUUUUUCCAGAAUUAAUGAAAUAUACGUGCGCAAAGAUCCACCGGAGGAGGUGGGCCAGUGGGCCACAAGCCCCUAGGCCGCGGCCACCCCCCCUGGCCGCGACGUGAGGGCUUGUGGGGCCCACAUGGCAGCACCGCCUCCAAACUCAGCUCUAUUUAUUCUGUCUCACUCGGAAAAAAAUCAGAGAGAAGGAUUCAUCGCGUUUUAUGAUAUGGAGGCGCCGCCACCUCCUGUUCUUCAUCUGGAGGGCAGAUCUAGAGUCCGUUCUGGACUCCGGAGAGGGGAAAUCAUCGCCAUCGUCAUCAUCAACCUUCCUCCAUCGACAAUUCCAUGAUGCUCUUCACCGUUCGUGAGUAAUCUCAUCGUAGGCUUGCUGGAUGGUGAUGAGUUGGAUGAGAUCUAUCAUGUAAUCGAGUUAGUUCUGAGAUUAAUGUUUCGAGUUAAUGCUUGUCACUAGGGCCCGAGUGCCAUGAUUUCAGAUCUGAACCUAUUAUGUUGUCGCCAAUAUAUGUAUGUUUUAGAUCCUAUCUUGCAAGUUGUAGUCACCUACUAUGUGUUAUGACCCGGCNNNNNNNNNNNNNNNNNNNNNNNNNNNNNNNNNNNNNNNNNNNNNNNNNNNNNNNNNNNNNNNNNNNNNNNNNNNNNNNNNNNNNNNNNNNNNNNNNNNNNNNNNNNNNNNNNNNNNNNNNNNNNNNNNNNNNNNNNNNNNNNNNNNNNNNNNNNNNNNNNNNNNNNNNNNNNNNNNNNNNNNNNNNNNNNNNNNNNNNNNNNNNNGGUUCUUUAUUAAAAGGAGAACCUUAAUAUCCCGUAGUUUCCAUUAGGACCCCGCUGCCACGGGAGGGAUGGACAAUAGAUGUCAUGCAAGUUCUUUUCCCUAAGCACGUAUGACUACAUACGGAAUACAUGCCUACAUUACAUUGACGAACUGGAGCUAGUUACAUAUCUCUCCGCGUUAUAAGUGUUGCAUGAUGAAUAGCAUCCAGCAUAAUCAUCCAUCACCGAUCCAAUGCCUACGAGUCUUUUCCUACUGGUCCUUGCUACGUUACUUUGCUGCUACUGAUCUCACUAAUGCUACUGUUACUCUGCUGCUUCUACUGUUACUUUGCUGCUACUGAUGUCACUUUGCUGCUACUGGUUACUGUUGCUAAUGUUGCUAUCAUACUACUCUGCUACUGAUACUUUGCUGCAGAUACUAAAUCUUUCAGGUGUGGUUGAAUUGACAACUCAACUUCUAAUACUUGAAAAUAUUCUUUGGCGUCCCCUUGUGUCGAAUCAAUAAAUUUGGGUUGAAUACUCUACCCUGAAAAACUGUAGCGAUCCCCUAUACUUGUGUGUUAUCAAGACCUUUUUUUGGUGGCAUUGCCGGGGAAGCCAAGUCAAGAAUAUUCUCCUGUCAAUGUGCCUUUUUCUGGCGCCGUUGCAGGGGAGGCAUACCUAUAUUCUCUGACUCACUUGGGAUUUACGUCUUCUGGUCACUAUGAGGAAUCUGAAAGAUCCAAGAACUAAAGUAUUGCCCUCAACUAUGAGGACAUGUAAGGAACUGCCAUCUAGCUCUGCACUUGAUUCACCUUCAGUUAUGAGUAAGUUUGCGACACCACCUCCUGCUAGAAAUAUUGAUAUGUCGCCUGUGCUUGAUGAUGCUACUUCUGCUGCCCAUGAUGCUUAUGAUGAUGCUAUGCUUGAUACUGCUUUGCCACUAGGUGCAUUCCUUGAUGCACAAAUUGCUAGAGNNNNNNNNNNCUAGAUGUGAUGAUACUUCUGAAACUGCUGAUACUAUUGAAGUAGAACCUGCUAUUUUGCCUGCUGGAACUAGCUCUCCUAGACAUGAAUUGCCUGGUAUGCCUGAGUGUUAUGUUAUGGAGGGAGAGAUAGCUGAGGACUUUCUUGCUUGUAAGGAUAGCUAUGAUGUUGAGAAAUUACUGCUCAAGUGGAAAGAAAAAUCUCUGAACGCUAGGAUGAAAUACGACCCGAAGUUUGCUACUUCGCCUAUCUUUGUGACCGAUAAGGAUUAUGAAUUCUCUGUCGACCCUGAGUUAAUCACUCAGGUCGAAUAUGAUCCUUUUCACAGUUAUGAGUCUGAAACGGUUGUAGCCCAUCUUACCAAACUGCACGAUAUAGCCACCCUAUUCACGAGUGAGGAAAAGAUCCACCACUACUAUAUCCUCAAGAUGUUUCCUUUCUCGCUAAAGGAUGAUGGUAAGACCUAGUUCACUUCUCUUGCUCCUGGUUGUGUGCGUAGCCCCCAGGAUAUGGUCUACUACUUCUCUGAAAAAUAUUUCCCUGCCCAUAAGAAGCAAGCUGCCUUGCAUGAAAUAUACAACUUUGCACAAGUUGAAGAAGAGAGUCUCCCACAAGCUUGGGGGAGGCUCGUCCAACUGCUGAAUGCUUUGCCUGAUCACCCUCUUGAGAAGAACGAAAUACUUGAUAUCUUCUAUAAUGGACUCACCGAUGCUUAUAGAGACCACCUAGAUAGUUGUGUUGGUUGUGUUUUUAGGGAACGAACUGUAGAACAAGCUAAGAUCCUAUUGAAUAAUAUCUUGUGCAAUGAGAAUGCUUGGACUAUUCCCGAACCACCUCCGAAGCCAACUCCGAAGAAAAGAGGUAUUCUAUUCCUCACUCCUGAAGAUAUGCAAGAAGCUAAGAAAUCUAUGAAAGAGAAAGGCAUUAAAUCUGAAGAUGUCAAAAAUCUACCACCUAUCGANNNNNNNNNNUGAUAACCCGAUACAGGUAGUAGAAGUAAAUUCUCUACGUAGAUUCUAUGAGAGUGAUAUUCCUUUUGAUAAACCUGCUAGCUUAUGCUUGGAUGAAUUUGAUAACUUUGUUGCCAAACAACAAAGUUUCAACGAUUAUGUUAGCAGACAAUUGGAACAGAAUGCUCGUAUGCUUAGUCAUUUAAGUGCUUGUGUGGACAGAAAUGUCAAUGAUCUUAAGCUUCUGAGUAAACAUGCCUCUAUGGUUACUACUCAAGUAGAACAAGUACUUAAGGCUCAGAAUGACUUGCUCAAUUAGUUGAAUGACAAUUCUGUUAGAGUCGUCACUAGAGGCGGUAGAAUGACUCAGGAACCUUUGUAUCCUGAGGGUCAUCCUAAGAGAAUUGAACAAGAUUCUCAAGGAGUUAGCACUAAUGCACCUAGUCAUCCUAAUAAGAAGAAGAAAGAUGAUAGGGAUUUGCACGCUAGCAACCCUGUUGCUGCUACACCUGAGAGUCCAAACGAUGUCUCUGUCUCUGAUGCUGAAACGCAAUCUGGUGAUGAACAUGAGCCUAAUGAUAAUAUAAAUAGUGAUGUUCAUGAUAAUGCUCAACCUAGCAAUGAUAAGGAUGUGGAGAUUGAACAUGUUGAUCUUGAUAACCCACAGCCAAAGAAUAGAAGAUACGAUAAGAAUGACUUCGUUGCUAGGAAGCAUGGUAAAGAAAGGGAACCAUGGGUUCAGAAACCCAUGCCCUUUCCUCCCAAACCAUCAAAGAAAAAGGAUGAUGAGGAUUUUGAGCGAUUUGUUGAAAUGAUUAGACUUGUCUUCUUGCAAAUGUGUUUGACAGAUAUGCUCAAAAUGUCUCUGUAUGCUAAGUAUGACAGAUAUCGGCAUUUGCGAGGAUGUGCCAAUUGUGGUUGCGAAUGUCACUAUNNNNNNNNNNNNNNNNNNNNNNNNNNNNNNNNNNNNNNNNNNNNNNNNNNNNNNNNNNNNNNNNNNNNNNNNNNNNNNNNNNNNNNNNNNNNNNNNNNNNCCAGGCUUGUCCCUUGCUACAAAAUGGAUUGGGCCACUUUGCUGCACCGUUGCUACUUUUGUUACUUGUUGCUCGCUACGAUUCAUCUCACCACAAUAUCACUUGUUACCGACAAUUUCAGUGCGUGCAGAUUUUUCCUUGGUGAAAACCACUUGUCAGAUCCUUCCGCUCCUCGUUGGGUUCGACACUCUUACUUAUCGAAAGGACUACGAUUGAUCCCCUAUACUUGUGGGUCAUCAAGACUCUUUUCUGGCGCCAUUGCCGGGAGUGAAGCGCCUUUGGUAAGUGGAACUUGGUAAGGAAACAUUCAUNNNNNNNNNNUAGAUAUUACCUUGCUGAACACCACUUGUCAGAUCCUUCUACUCCUCGUUGGGUUCGACACUCUUACUUAUUGAAAGGACUAUGAUAGAUCCCCUAUACUUGUGGGUCAUCAAGACUCUUUUCUGGCGUCGUUGCCGGGGAGUGAAGCGCCUUUGGUAAGUGGAACUUGGUAAGGAAACAUUCAUAUAGUGUGCUGAAAUUUAUUGUCACUUGUCACUAUGGAAACUAAUCCUUUGAGGGGCUUGUUCGGGGUAUCUUCACCUCGAACGGAAGCACAAAGAGUUACUCCUCAACCUGCUGCACCUACUGAAAAUAUUUGCUUUGAUUUUCCUUCAGGUAUGCGUGAGAAACUGCUAGCUAAUCCUUUUAGAGGAGAUGGAACUUCACAUCCAGACUUGCAUCUAAUCUAUGUAGAUGAAGUUUGUGGUUUAUUUAAGCUNNNNNNNNNNNNNNNNNNNNNNNNNNNNNNNNNNNNNNNNNNNNNNNNNNNNNNNNNNNNNNNNNNNNNNNNNNNNNNNNNNNNNNNNNNNNNNNNNNNNAUUUGGAGAUGUGCAGAAUAGUGGACUAGGAUUUGCUCCUUUUCCAGUCCAGAAUUCCAACUACCUGAAUUCUCCCUCUUCAAAUAAUCCUUGCAAAAUAAGAGAGAAAAGGCAUAAAUAUGGUACCACAAGUAAUAUAACAGCCCAAAAAGCAAUAAAUAUCAACANNNNNNNNNNNNNNNNNNNNNNNNNNNNNNNNNNNNNNNNNNNNNNNNNNNNNNNNNNNNNNNNNNNNNNNNNNNNNNNNNNNNNNNNNNNNNNNNNNNNNNNNNNNNNNNNNNNNNNNNNNNNNNNNNNNNNNNNNNNNNNNNNNNNNNNNNNNNNNNNNNNNNNNNNNNNNNGGUGUCGAUAAAACAUAAUACGGACAUGAGGACAUCAUGAUCACACAUAGAACAGCAAUUCAUCAUAAAGAUUCUUAUGGGAAAGUAACAAUUCCUUCAGAAAGCAAAGCAUGAAGCAAAAAACCUUACCGAGAAGUAACCAAGAAUUGUCCAUAAUCAUUGAAGCAAUUGCAAUUUAUCACAACAUCAGAAAGAGUCAAAUAAGAGCUUGUAAGGCAAACCCACAUACUCAAUCAUCUCUUUUGUUUUCCACAAUUGUUACAACUUAUGUGGUACUCAUGGUGUCAAAGUUUCAGCUGGACACACAGGAAGAUAGGGGCUUAUAGUUUUUCCUCCCAACCAUUUACCUCAAGGGUAAAGUCAACAACAAUAAAGCAUGAAUACUCAACUCCAAGUUGAUAUAUGAAUAUAGAUCUUUCCCAAGCAUGUGACGGUAGCCAAGACAAAGGCAAAAAGGGAAUUGGUGAAGAUCACCAUGACUCUUACAAGGGUAAAAAGUAAAGGUACAAGAUAGGCCCUUCGCAGAGGGAAGCAGAGGUUGUCAUGCGCUUUUGAUGUUUGAAUGCUUGUCCUCUUAGUGCGGAGGAACGUCACUUUAUAUUGCCUCCUGUGAUAAAGAACUUUAUUAUGCAGUCUGUCGCUUUUAUGUAUUCCUCAUCAUAGGUUCGUACAAAGCUUAUUUUCCACACACUAAUAGAUCAUACAUAUUAGAGAGCAAUUUUUAUUGCUUGCACCGAUGACAACUUACUUGAAGGAUCUUAUUCAAUCCAUAGGUACGUAUGGUGGACUCUCAUGGCAAAACUGGGUUGGAGGUUUAUGGAUGCACAAGUAGUAUCUCUACUUGGUGCGGGAGUUUUGGCUAAUAUGAGGUUGAAGCAAUCGUCACAUGCUAAGGGAUCUCUAAUCAUAUAACAUUGUUUNNNNNNNNNNNNNNNNNNNNNNNNNNNNNNNNNNNNNNNNNNNNNNNNNNNNNNNNNNNNNNNNNNNNNNNNNNNNNNNNNNNNNNNNNNNNNNNNNNNNCCGCUAUUGGAUAUUGACCGAGGAGUCUCUCGGGUCAUGUCUACAUAGUUCUCGAACCCGCAGGGUCUGCACACUUAAGGUUCGACGUUGUUUUAUGCGUAUUUGAGUUAUAUGGUUGGUUACCGAAUGUUGUUCGGAGUCCCGGAUGAGAUCACGGACGUCACGAGGGUUUCCAGAAUGGUCCGGAAAGGAAGAUUGAUAUAUAGGAUGACCUCAUUUGAUUACCGGAAGAUUUUCGGAGUUACCGGGAAUGUACCGGGAAUGACGAAUGGGUUCCGGGAGUUCACCGGGGGGGCAACCCACCCCGGGGAAGCCCAUAGGCCUUGGGGGACACACACCAGCCCUUAGUGGGCUUGUGGGACAGCCCACAAGUGCCUUAUGCGCCAAGUAGAAGAAAAUCAAGAGAGGAAGAAAAAAAAGGAGGAGGUGGGAAGGAAGGGGGACUCCCUCCCACCAAACCUAGUCCAACUCGGUNNNNNNNNNNGGUGGGACAGCCCACAAGUGCCCUAUGCGCCAAGUAGAAGAAAAUCAAGAGAGGAAGAAAAAAAAAGGAGGAAGUGGGAAGGAAGGGGGACUCCCUCCCACCAAACCUAGUCCAACUCGGUUUGGGGGGGAGAGUCCUCCCCCUUGGACUCGGCCGACCCCCUUGGGGCUCCUUGAGCCCCAAGGCAAGGCCCCCUCCCUCCCACCUAUAUAUACAGAGGUUUUAGGGCUGAUUUGAGACGACUUUUCCACGGCAGCCCGACCACAUACCUCCACGGUUUUUCCUCUAAAUCGCGUUUCUGCGGAGCUCGGGCGGAGCCGUGCUGAGACAAGGUCAUCACCAACCUCCGGAGCGCCGUCACGCUGCCGGAGAACUCUUCUACCUCUCCGUCUCUCUUGCUGGAUUAAGAAGGCCGAGAUCAUCGUCGAGUUGUACGUGUGCUGAACGCGGAGGUGCCGUCCGUUCGGCACUAGAUCGUGGGACUGGUCGCGGGACGGUUCGCGGGGCGGAUCGAAGGACGUGAGGACGUUCCACUACAUCAACCGCGUGCACUAACGCUUCUGCUGUACGGUCUACAAGGGUACGUAGAUCACACAUCCCCUCUCGUAGAUGGACAUCACCAUGAUAGGUCUUCGUGCGCGUAGGAAAUUUUUUGUUUCCCAUGCGACGUUCCCCAACAAAAUAUACUUCUUCGACUUUGCCAGCCUUCUUAUCUACCAAGUAUCUAGGGUAGCUCCGCCUCAGUGACCGUUCCCCUUAUAACAGAAGCACUUAGUCUCGGGUUUGGGUUCAAUUUUGGGUUUCUUCAUUAGAGCAGCAACUGGUUUGUCAUUUCAUGAAGUAUCCCUUCUAGCCCUUGCCCUUCUUGAAACUAGUGGUUUUACUAACCAUCAACAAUUGAUGCUCCUUCUUGAUUUCUACUUUCGCAGUGUCAAACAUUGCGAAUCACUCAAGGAUCAUCAUAUCUAUCCUUUAUUUGUUUAUAGUUCAUCACUAAGCUCUAGCAGCUUAGUGGCAGUGACUUUGGAGAACCAUCACUAUCUCAUCUGGAAGAUUAACUCCCACUUAAUUCAAGCGAUUGUUGUACUCACACAAUCUGAGAACAUGCUCAAUGAUUUGAGCUUUUCUCCUUUACUUUGUAGGCAAAGAAUCUUUUCGGAGGUCUUAUACCUCUCAACAAGGGCACGAACAUGAAACCUCAAUUUCAUCUCUUAGAACAUCUCUUAUGUUCCGCGACGUUUUCAAAACGUCUUCGGCGCCUUGCUUCUAAGCCAUUAAGUAUUGCGCACUGAACUAUCACGUAGUCAUCAAAAACGUGUAUGUCAGAUGUUCGCAACAUCCACAGAUGACGCUCGAGGUGCAGCACACUGAGUGGUGCAUUAAGGACAUAAGCCUUCUGUGUAGCAAUGAGGACAAUCCUCAGUUUUACGGACUCAGUCCGCAAAGUUGCUACUAUAAACUUUCAACUAAAUUUUCUCUAGGAACAUAUAAAAACAGUGGAGCUAUAGCGCAAGCUACAUCGUAAUUCGCAAAGACCAUUAGACUAUGUUCAUGAUAAUUAGUUCAAAUAAUCAUAUUACUUCAGAACUCCCACUCAAAAAGUACAUCUCUCUAGUCAUUUGAGUGGUACAUGAUCCAAAUCCACUAUCUUAAGUCCGAUCAUCACGUGAGUCGAGAAUAGUUUCAGUGGUAAGCAUCUCUAUGCUAAUCAUAUCAACUAUAUGAUUCAUGCUCGACCUUUUGGUCUCAUGUGUUCCGAGGCCAUGUCUGCACAUGCUAGGCUCGUCAAGCUUAACCCGAGUGUUCCGCGUGCGCAACUGUUUUGCACCUGUUGUAUGUGAACGUUGAGUCUAUCACACCCGAUCAUCACGUGGUGUCUCGAAACGACGAACUGUAGCAACGGUGCACAGUCGGGAGAACACAAUUUCGUCUUGAAAUUUUAAUGAGAGAUAACCUCAUAAUGCUACCGUCGUUCUAAGCAAAAUAUGGUGCAUAAAAGGAUUAACAUCACAUGCAAUUCAUAAGUGACAUGAUAUGGCCAUCAUCACGUGCUUCUUGAUCUCCAUCACCAAAGCACCGGCACGAUCUUCUUGUCACCGGCGCCACACCAUGAUCAUCCAUCAACGUGUUGCCAUCGGGGUUGUCGUGCUACUUAUGCUAUUACUACUAAAGCUACAUCCUAGCAANNNNNNNNNNNNNNNNNNNNNNNNNNNNNNNNNNNNNNNNNNNNNNNNNNNNNNNNNNNNNNNNNNNNNNNNNNNNNNNNNNNNNNNNNNNNNNNNNNNNUGAGGGGCCCGCCGGCUGCAUGGUCUCGAUUGCUGGUGGGACCCGCCGGCUGGCCAAUGGGGCUCCCGCGUAAGGUUGACGCUGAGCACGCGCUGUCCGUCGAGCGUCGCCCCGCGAGAUUCUUCAUGGGCAGGCAGUACAACCGCCUCCACUGUUCCCCACUCCGAGUGCAGUAAUGGAGUGGGAGUGUGACGGUCCGACAUCAUGCUAGGUGAUGGAUCAGAGCCGGGGUAGGUCAGCGGCGUGGCCGCCGACACUCGUACCUGCCGGGCGCCCUGAUUCAGUACCUUUGCUGACGCGUAGCUACCUUUAAUCGUGAGGUCCUUUCCUGACCUACGAUCUGAUGUGACUGGUGAUCCUCGGCCGGCUAGCCUGCUUGGUCAGCCGACUUGCGGGUGGCCGCCUCCUCCCGAGUCCGUCUAGCGGGACCAGGCCGACUCUGAAGGAGAGGCCGCCUGCAUUCUAGCCGGCAGGGGCUGCCUGGCCGGCUAGAGAGGUGGCCGCCUCGUCUUCCAACCGGCAGGCGAUGCCUAGNNNNNNNNNNNNNNNNNNNNNNNNNNNNNNNNNNNNNNNNNNNNNNNNNNNNNNNNNNNNNNNNNNNNNNNNNNNNNNNNNNNNNNNNNNNNNNNNNNNNUGGCUUCUUCUCUCUCUUGGAUCUUCAAUACAAAGUUNNNNNNNNNNUUUUUCCCGAACGGAAGAAGAUCAGGGGGCUUGAGGGCCAAGCCAGGGGAGCUAUAGGGGGCCCACAAGCCCUGUAGCCGCCACCAGGGGGCGACGGCUAGCAGGCUUGUGGCCUUCCUAGCGCCCCCCUGACCUAGCUCCUUCGCCUACAUAUUCCCUAAAAUACAAAAAAAAAUCAGGGAAUCCACGAAAACACUUUUUCGCCGCCGCAAGCUUCCGUUUCCGCGAGAUCUCAUCUGGAGACCCUUCCUGGUGCCCUGCCGGAGGGGACUUUGGAGUUGGAGGGCUUCUACAUCAACAUCAUCGCCCCUCCAAUGACUCGUGAGUAGUUCACUUCANNNNNNNNNNCUCUUUGGUGGUGUGUUUUUCAAGAUCCGAUGAAUUGUGGAUUUGUGAUCAGAUUAUCUAUGAUAUAUAUUUGAGUCUUUGCUGAUUUCUUAUAUGCAUGAUUUGAUAUCCUUGUAAGUAUCUCCGAGUCUUGGGUUUUGUUUGGCCAACUAUAUCUAUGAUUCUUGCAAUGGGAGAAGUGCUUGGUUUUGGGUUCUUACCGUGUGGUGACCUUUCCCAGUGACAGUAGGGGCAGCAAGGCACACGUCGUGUAGUUGCCAUCAAGGAUAACAAGNNNNNNNNNNNNNNNNNNNNNNNNNNNNNNNNNNNNNNNNNNNNNNNNNNNNNNNNNNNNNNNNNNNNNNNNNNNNNNNNNNNNNNNNNNNNNNNNNNNNUUGCUCCCAACGCUAUGAAGGGGUUGUCAANNNNNNNNNNUGAAGCGUAAAGGGUGAUGUAGCGCAGCGGUGGUAAGUAUUUCCCUUAGUUUUGAGAACCAAGGUAUCGAUCCAGUGAAGGAGUAUCACAAGUGCUUGCACAAACACAAAAAGCUUGCUCCCAACGCUAUGAAGGGGUUGUCAAUCCCUUAUAGAUUGUUUGCCAAGUGAGAACUGAAAGCAACAAAGUAACAAAGCAAAGUAAAAGCGAAACUGGAAACGAUAGGUGUGAAUAGACACGGGGGCCGUAGUGUUUACUAGUGGCUUCUCUCAUGAAAGCAAGUAGACGGNNNNNNNNNNGCGAAAGUGGAAAAGAUAGGUGUGAAUAGACCCGAGGGCCGUAGUGUUUACUAGUGGCUUCUCUCAUGAAAGCAAGUAGACGGUGGGUGAACAAAUUACUGUCGAGCAAUUGAUAGAACCGCGCAAAGUCGUGACGUCAUCUAUGACAAUGAUUAUAUCUAUAGGCAUCACAUCCAAAACAAGUAGACCGAUACUUUCUGCAUCUACUACUAUUACUCCACACGUCGACCGCUAUCCAGCAUGCAUCUAGUGUAUUAANNNNNNNNNNNNNNNNNNNNNNNNNNNNNNNNNNNNNNNNNNNNNNNNNNNNNNNNNNNNNNNNNNNNNNNNNNNNNNNNNNNNNNNNNNNNNNNNNNNNGAAUUCUCAAGGCGGAGCUUGAUCUGUCGCCUGAUGGCUCAUUUAUGUCCUCUGAAGAUCGCUGAACUUUGUCUUUGUUCUGCGGUGGUAUCAGCUUGGUGAUGGCAUGCGGCCUCAUCCGGUGGUGGUGAGCGCUCUGAAGAUGAUCUGCGCCGUCGUGCCUAGCUGGAGAGUCAUCCCUGCUCCAGAUCAGCUCGACAAAGUCUGCAAAGAUCCCCAGUUCAAGAAAGAGGUAAUGUAAAACCAUCGACACGGACAACCAUUCAUCUAACGUUGAGAUAUGCGCAAGAUUUCAUAGUUAUUUCAACGUUAGGAAGAAACCCUUUCAAAAUAAAAAGGGACCCCUAUAUCCUCCACACGUUCGGUCAGCGGAAAUCUUUUGAGUUUUCAAUUUUUAAAAUAUUUUAUCUUUUGAAUAAAAAAUCAAUUAAAACAUCAUUUUCAUCAUUAAAUCUUUCGCGAUAAUUUUUUUAAAACUAGAUCUCAUAUCGAUAUGUUUCGACGACUUUUUUGGGUUGAAAUUUUUCAUGUCUAUUGCACAUAAAUUGCCAUGGUGUUUACAGUGUCACAAUCCUUGAAAUAAUUUUGUCAUAAUUCACAAUUAAAAAGAGAUCUGGCGUCAAUUACUUGAAAAAUGCAUGGCCAAUGACUCAAAUUGGGCAUUAAUCAUAAACUAAAAUUGUCAUGAUGAAUUAAUUGAAUUUUUCAUAAUCCAUGCACUAAAUCAUGGUUGAUACAAAAAUAAUAAUUACCAUGGUAAAAUAAAAUAAAAUCAUUAUGGUCAAAAUACUAAAAUUGCUAUGAUGUGUAAACUAAAAUCGUCAUAAUCUAUAAACUAAAUUUGCCAUGAUGAAUUACUAAAAAUUGUCAUGAUCCAUGAAGUAAAUUUGUCAUGGUUAAUUACUAAAAAUUGUCAUGGUAAUUAAUAAAAUUUGCUAUAAAAUAGUUGAAAUACAAUUAUAGAUUUAAAAUCUACAAAAUAAAUAAAUAAAACAUAUCAUGACAACUUUAGUGUAAACACUAUAACAACUUCAGCGUAAACACCAUGCUAACUUUUGGUCCUAAGAAAAGUUGUCCAAACAUAUCAAUAUGAGAUUUACCUUUGAAAAUCUCAUGGAGAUGGAUUUAAUGAUGAAAAUAUAUUUUUAAUCGGAAUUUUGAUUUAGGAGAUAAAAUAUUUAAAGUUCGAAAACCAAAAAAGUUAUGCUCACAUCACAUGUUCGGUUUGUAUGCAUGCAUGUGAUGAUGUGCCAAUAUAGGUGACUAUGAGAAAUUUUGUGCCAAAUUGCUUCUUGCCACACGUAUUACACUUAUCAUUUGGGAUAAAAAUACGUUAGGAAGAAACCUUUAAAAAAGUUAAGAAGAAACACUAUGUUUUUCUUGAUAUAAAACUAUUGACAUGGAAAACCAUUGAUUUAACAUUGAGAUAUGUGCAAGAUUUCAUAGUUUUUUUUAACUUUGGGAACAAACGGUACAACUUUUGUGCUAGGUAUGACACACUAUUACAAUCUGGUGAACAUUUUUAUAGAUUUGUAUAAACAUAUAUUUUUUUUGUAAAAUCGACCGGAUCUCUUUGACAACCUAUAGCAAAGAGACUUCUAUAACCCAGUGAACAUUAUUUUAUAGAUUUAUAAUGACAUAUUCCCAUAGUAAUCCCUGUGGUGUGCUACAUGUUAGAACGAAGUGUAUAAAUGGUUUGUGCUUGUUAUUUUCAUAAUAUUUUUUCUUUUCACAAUGUGAGAAACUUGUUGCAAACAUAGUCCACAAAGCUCUCCGGGGUUUCCUCUCCUUGCGGUACUUCAGUGCAAUGCAUGAAAAGCUAAAAAAGGCAUGAAAUUAUUGGAAAAACUCAACAAGGUGCAGAGGGAAUAAUACUCUAUUCUUGUCAAACGAAUGCUAAACAUGAGAGAAAAUCCCGUAGGAAUUCUCCAAGCCUAAUAAGUCCUCACUAUCUGGUUUUUCCUUUUUUGUUUCUCGACUCAUGUGUUGAAUUUUAAACUAAAAUUUUGUCGUAGGAAGGUGAGAUUCUUUUGUCCAACAAUUUGUUGUAGUAGUUUUAUUUAAGUAGCACAGAAGCACCUUAAGAGGAGGAAGCAUCAAAUAUGUUCUCACUCACUUCUCUGAAAUCUUUUACAGAUCCGUUCCAACCCAUACAUGUACAAGGGGAACAUCGCGUUGCAGACAGGCCACGAACUCCUCGCCGUCAGCCUAGACAUUGAGAAGAACAUGCAUGAGGUACAUUAGUAGAAGCCAAUAGUACCAUUCACUGGGUAAUUUGGUUUUCGCUCGUUUUUUUCUAAUUACCAGGGCAAUUCUAUUUUUCAUAUUGAAUGUAGGAAUCAUGUCAUUUCCAAGAAAAUAGUACCAUUGACGGAUCAUCAUCUUAAUCUUACUAUUGUGCUCGUGCAAUUCUGUGUGCUACUUAAUUGUGAGUAAUAUAAUUGUGUAGGUCACUUUGCCAUUCUUGGUGCUGCAAGGGGAGGACGACGUGGUGGCCGAUCCUGAGGGGAGCCGGCUGCUCCACGAGCGGGCGUCGAGUAGAGACAAGACCUUGAAGUUGUACCCCGGGAUGUGGCACGUCCUCAUGGCCGAGCCUCCGGCCGACGUCGAGCGUAUCUUUGUAGACGUGAUUUCAUGGCUCAAUGAAAGGGCGGUGAGCGCCAGCAAGUGAUGAAAUGUGUAUGUAGGUGGCCUUUGUUUGAGCUUCAGCUACUGAUUUCCGGAUUCUGGACCUUUCAAAAUCAGAAACUCAAACAAACACACCAGAUUCCACUUUAGCUGGCUAGAAUCGAUUCUAAGAACUGAACUACCAAGCAAGAGAAUCUGGAAGCUGCGAUUUGGAUGAUUCCACCGAUUUUGCAGCUUUCCACAAAAGAAAACGGUUCGCUUUGAACCCUUGCCCCUAUUACAGGUCGAAAUUACAACAGAACUGCCACCACGUCCUCAUCAGAGGAACCGUCCAAGCCGUUUCCUCCAGCCCGACGGAGGACCAGAUCGGGGCAACUGCAGGCCGGUCUGGUGAGGGACGACCAGGAGAGGAGGGAAUCGCCCAGCGGCGUGACGAAUUGGGCGAUGCGUGGACUCGGAGAGCGGCGGCCGAUCGGAUCAAGAGAAGGGCGAGCGAGCAUACGCGUUCUGUGUGCACGGCUGGAGAAGAUCAGCCGAGGUGCCUGCGAACGCGUGUCUGUGUGCGCGGCUAAAGAAGAACAUCCUAUGUGCACCCGUCGCCUGCGCUGAAUGUGCACGGACGUGUACAUGUGCUGAACUAGUGAAUUAGAUGAGGCGGGCGACAUACGCGUUCCAUACUACUCAAAAUACUCAGCAGUGAGGGGCAGUAAUGACAUUUCACAACCCCUCCAGUUCCUACAUCUAUCCAACAAACAACCAGCUUGUGAUUCUCAGGAAUCCACAGCUACAACUGAUUUUCAGGAAUCAAGAAUCAUAGUGAUUCUCAGAAUCUGUAGCCCAAACAAAGGGGGCCGUAGUGUAGGCGACUGCAUUGCCGAAUGCAGAGGUAUAACUUUUCUUUGAUAAUUUAUUGACUUAUAUUGUCCAUCGCUAUGUGUAUACAUUCACACUUUGCAUAACUAGAAUAUAUAAAACCAACAUCAACACACACACACAAAUAUAAAAAAACUGCCGAAAAAAAACAUAAGCAACAACGCCUUGGAACUAAGUGCCCCGCCUCCACCAUCCAUUAUACGUGCAUAGGCUUCACUCCUCGACGCCUUUGGUGGCGGUAAGGCGAGGAGGAGGAAGAAAAGGGAAUGACCUAGCAGCGGUGGCUAAGGUAUCCCCCAAGUCAUCAAAUGUAAAUCUGGGCAUGGACAUCCCGGCCCGGUGAUCCGGCCCGAGCCCGGCACAAAAAACUCGGGCCAGGCCGGGCCGGGCUUUCAAGCCCGGGCAGCAGUUAGGGCCGCACUCGGGCUUGCACAAAUCGCCAUUUUACACGGAGGUCCGGCCCGGCCCGGCCCGAAAAUCCUCUUUUUAGUUCGUUUUGUUGGGAAACGUUGCAUGGAAAAUAAAAAAAUUCCUACGCACACGAAGACCUAUCAUGGUGAUGUCCAUCUACGAGUGGAGAUUAGAUCUACGUAUCCUUGUAGAUCGCACAGCGGGAAGCGUUAAGGAACGCGGUUGAUGUAGUGAAACGUCUUCACGUCCCUCGAACCGUCCCACGAACCGUCCCUCGAUCCGUCUCGCGAUCCGUCCAACGAUCCGUCCCGAUCUAGCACCGAACGAACGACACCUCCGCGUUCAGCACAUGUACAGCUCGAUGACGAUCUCGGCCUUCUUGAUCUAGAAAGAGAGACGGAGAAGUAGAUGUGUUCUCCGGUAGCGUGACGGCGCGCCGGUGUUGGUGAUGAUCUAUUCCUGCAGGGCUCCGCCCGAGCUCCGCAGAAAUCUAAUCUAGAGGAAGAACUACGAGGUGUAGGUUUGAGUUGCACGUGGCAAAGUUGUGUCUCAAAAUCCCUAAACCUCUAGUAUAUAUAGGAGGAGGGGAGAGGCAGCCCUAGGCAGCCUUGGAGCACCAAGGAUUCCUCCUUGGGUCGGCUGAAGUGGGAGAGAGGGAGGAGUCCUUCUCCAAUCCCACUUGGAUUAGGACUCCUUCCUUAUUUUCCCACCUCUUUUGGAUUUUCCACUUUUUCCUCAUGGGUUUUUCUUGGAUGACUUUGUUAGCCCAUUAUACCUUACUAGUACAAAUGCCCGUGCGUUGCAACGGGCUAUAAAUUAGUAGAAUUUGGCCCUUGUAAUUUUUCUAUAAUUAAAUAAUUUCUAUGACUAACAGUUUCAUUUGCAAUUUUGUUUUGUUAAUUAAUGAUAGCAUAUGGAUUAGAACUUUUUUUAUCUUGCUGAUAUAUGUGUUUGCAUUUGUAAUCUAAGUGAGUCUUAAUUUGAUUGCAAACAUAUUAGACAGCUACAUAAAAAACAAUCAAUUUGUAAGUACAUGCAUACCAAAUGUUCCAGGUUGCGUAUCAAUAUCGAUAUUCUUAAAAAAAUAAUUAGCAAAACAGUUUAUAUAUAUGAAAAAUCAAAGCUCAGCUAUUUAUUUAUGUAAAGCUUGUAUAAACAACAUUGUAUAUUUUUUAUACAUUAGAAACAUUUUUUUGCGUGUGACAUCACAAAAAUUAUUGAGUUUUGAUGUCUAAUUUUUUUAAUAUGCAUUUUACAUAUUUUGUAUGCAUCAUGAAUAUUUUUUUAUAUACAUGUUUUACAUUAUUCAAAUACACGAUUAACAUUUUUGAAAAGUUCUAUUUUUUAUGUCUACUUUGUUCCAUAUACAUUAUAUAUUUUUGUAUAUGUUUUCUUAUACGCCGGAAACAUUUUCCUAUGCACAUUUAAAAUCUUUUAAAUACAUGAUCAAUCUUUUUCAAAAUAAAAGAAAUAUAUAUUAUUUAUUGUCCAUACGCAUUGUACACUUUUUUGUCUACAAAUUUAACAUUUAUUUAAUCCAUGAUUAACAUGUGUGCAAUGUUUAUCGAAAUAAAGGCAAAAGAGGAAAAAAUAGAAAAAGUGUGAAAUAGAAGAACACAAAGGGUUGUACAUUUUUUUAUUGUCCAUACGCAUUAUACAUUUUUUUAUGUGGGAACUUUUUUGUCUACAAAUUUGACAUUUCUGUAAUCCAUGAUUAACAUGUGUGCAAAGUUUAUCAAAAUAAAGGCAAAAGAGAAAAAAAAUAGAAAAAAUACAAAAUAGAAGAAAAAAAGGACUUACGUAUGCAAAGUUUAUCAAAAUAAAGACAAAAAAGGAAAAAAAAUAGAAAAAGUGCAAAAUAGAAGAACAAAAAGGGCUGUAAAAAAAUAGAAAAAAAUGCAAAAUAGAAGAACAAAAAGGGCUUACGUGUGCAAAGUUUAUCGAAAUGAAGGCAAAAGAGGAAAAAAUAGAAAAAGUGUGAAAUAGAAGAACAAAAAGGGUUGUACUUUUUUUAUUGUUCAUACGCAUUAUACAUUUUUUUUUUGUAUAUGUGGGAACUUUUUUGUCUACAAAUUUGACAUUUCUGUAAUCCAUGAUUAACAUGUGUGCAAAGUUUUUCCAGACGGAGGGAGUAGUUCUUUCGAAAAAAGGAUAGAAAAUGAAUCAAAUAUCUCAUCAACAAUACAUCUCUAUUACACACGAACAAAACCAGAAAGCUAUAACAAAAAUUGAAAAAGAUAAACUGAAGGAGAGUAGUACACGAGUACAACUACCAAUCCAGGGUUUAUUGCAGAGAUGUGAGCCGCUUGGCUUUGAGAAUCCUCACGCUCACAUGAGCAGAAGCACGCAAGUUCUAGAUGAUUGCAGCUAACUGGACAAACAAACUGGAGGUGACCAAUAGACGUCUUUUAUUCACCAGAGAAACAGAGAAAUACAUGAACACAAAUACGACCAAAUCGAGAGAUACACGGAUACAAACAGAGACCACCACCAAACCGGGAAUACAUACAACUUGGCUAGAUAGAUGAAACAACGUUUUCUUCAGAGGAAAAGUGUCGGGCACAUCAAUCUGACAAACCUUUCCUCCGCGUGCUCCGAGAUGAUCCACACGAGGGUCGUGAGCCCGCCACCUUCGCUGAGCUGCUUGGCAUGUGCCUCCCUGCUGCCCCGGAUGGACGCAUACAUGAGCAGAUGCACCCACGCUUUCAGGAUGAACUUUAACAUGUCGUUGUCAUUCAUGUCCUCACGAAGUUCCUGCAAGGUCUGAAUCCAGUACCCAAGUUUGCGCACACUUUUUUCAUCACAUUUCCAAUCAAACGAUGCUUUCCGUCAGACAGGAAUAAAGCGAUUUGAGUUCCUUCCCCGAGAGUACCAAGGCCCCAAAGACGAUUCUCCUUUAUUCCUCUGCUGAUAGCAAAACUUUUGUCCUCGAGAUGAUCCACGUUUUCCAGCAUCCACGUGGCGAGGUCCUUCGCCUUCUGUUCUUUUGUUGUUGUAUAACUACUGUUGGGUUUAUCCUCCUCUUUAAUUUUUCCUAUCUCCCUCAGGGUAGCUCGGGCUUUCUCGUACAGGCUGCGAAGCUUGAGGCCAGGCAGCAUGCUGGGUUGUUUGGCGAGGAGGAACAUCAUGUAAUCCGACAUCGCCUUGAUUGCCUUCUCAUCAUUUUGGGGCGCUGCUGGGACAACAUUGUGGUAACACGAGAGGAAAAGGUCUGUGACGAUGUACCAGAUGAGGAUGGCCUCUUGGAGCUCAAGAGGGAAAUCUGUGGACUUGAGGGAAGUGGCCUGCCUUUGGGGGUUGUUGAUGAGUGUGGACUGGCCAUGCAUGGAACCACUGCUUCAGUUCGUUCAUGACGGCACCCUCCGCGGCAAAUCUCGCUGCACCCUGCAAUCCACAGACGACGUUCAGUGAUAUGUUUAUGUAGUUCUACCAACACAGACAUGUAGUGCAGGCCAGGACAGCAAGCAACUCACCUGAUUCUUGGCCUGGCUCAGGUCUUCCAUCGUCAGUGGCCUAAGGUCGAUGAAUGCUUCCUUGUCACCUUCAGCCUUGGUUUCUGAACUAUCCUCUUUGCUUUCAGAACUGUCCUCUUUUCUAUCUGAUGAAUCCACCUUCUCUGAAUUGUUUUCUUUGUUAUCUAAACUCACCUUCUUGCUCUCUGACUUGUCUGAAUCCUCUACUGUCGCAGCGGUUUUCUGUUCCACCUAUGUUUUCCUUCUUUCCUGAGGCAUCAAAAUAGUAUAUAGGUGUUUGUUCAUGGUUGGGUCAGCAGCAAUUCAAAGACAUCAAACAGUAAAUGCAAAAAAGUUAAGAAGCAAAACAUUUUCUGAGUAACCUUACCAUCUCUUUCAACCGUUCUUUCUUGAGGAGCUCCGGAACCGGUCGGUAAGCAGCUCUAACACAAAGAUUCUAGGUGCAAAAGGAAAAUUAACAACUUUCAGUGAUUCAGUCAGAUUGACAGUAACUACCCAAUGAAUCAGGUUAAAUAAAAAUGCACAAACCUUAAGAUCACUGCUGUUGUAACCUUCGGUCAUAGCUGCAAGCCAAAAGGGACUGGGUGGGGGGCGGUGCUCACCUGCGCCACUCACGGAGGAGCGCACCCUCCUCCCUGCCCAUCUCGGCUAGCGGCGGCAGAACGGGGCCGUUGUCGUCCCCGCCCCGGAAGUCCGAGUCGGGGAAGAAGGGCGAGGGGGCGUACCCGCCGGAGACGUAGCGGACGGGGACCGCAGCGCCGCCGGAGUCCGCGGCGAUCUCCUCAUCCACCACCUCCUCCUCCUCCUCCUCGGGACCGGCGUCGGCGAAGGAGGGGUACCCGGCGUCCACGAAGGAGGCGUACCCUCCCGCGCUGCUGUCGGCCGCCACGGCGUCGGUGGUGUCAUCUUCAGUGUCGUCGAAGGGUGGGAGGCGGUGCGCUGGAGGUCGUCGGCGGCGCUGCCGUCGUCGGCGGCGAAGAAGGGGUCCAUGGUGAGCUCGAGAUGCGGCGGAUCUUGGAUAGGAUAGAUGGGGGCGCGACAGAGGAACCGUCAUGUUCUCAUCCACUUAUAGAGGGACUGCGGGUUGAAUACCCAAAAGUGGAGGGGCUUUUCUGCAAAGGUGCCGACGACGGACGACAGAAGCGCUACACGCUUUAUUAUUAGGGGAGAUUGUACAUCCAAUAAACCCACGUGGACACCUUGGGGCGUGGUGGGCCCACCCAGCGGGCCCCCGGAACCCAUUCGUCACUGCGAGUACACUGCCGGCAAUGCCCGAAAACUUUCCGGAAAUCCAAACACCAACUUCCUAUAUAUGAAUCUUCGUUUCUGGACCAUUUCGGAAACCCUCAUGAUGUCCGUGAUCUCAUCCGGGACUCCUAACAACCUUUGUUCACCAACACAUAUAACUCAACUAUACUAAAACACCAUCGAACCUUAAGUGUGCAGACCCUUUGGGUUCGAGAACUAUGUAGACAUGACCCGAUACACUCCUUGGUCAAUAUCCAAUAGCAGGACCUGGAUGCCCAUAUUGGAUCCUACAUAUUCUACGAAGAUCUUAUCGGUUGAACCUCUGUGUCAAGGAUUCAUAUAAUCCCGUAUAACAUUCCCUUUGUCCUUCGGUAUGUUACUUGCCCGAGAUUUGAUCGUCGGUAUCCAUAUACCUAUUUCAAUCUUGUUACCGACAAGUCUCUUUACUCAUUCCGUAAUACAAGAUCCCCGUGACUCACACUUGAGUCACAUUGCUUGCAAGGCUUAUAUGUGAUGUUGUAUUACCGAGUGGUCCCCGAGAUACCUCUCCGUCGCGCGGAGUGACAAAUCCCAGUCUUGAUCCAUGCUAACUCAACGGACACCUUCGGAGAUACCUGUAGAGCACCUUUAUAGUCACCCAGUUACGUUGCGACGUUUGAUACACACAAGGUAUUCCUCCAGUGCCAGUAAGUACAUGAUAUCAUGGUCAUAGGAAUGAAUACUUGACAUGCAGAAAACAAUAGCAACAAAAUAACAGGAUCACAUGCUACGUUUAUAAUUUGGGUCUUGUCCAUCACAUGAUUCUUCUAAUAAUGUGAUCCCGUUAUCAAGUGACAACACUUGCCUAUGGCCAGGAAACCUUGACCAUCUUUGAUCAAUGAACUAGUCAACUAGAGGCUCACUAGGGACAGUGUGUUGUCUAUGUAUCCACACAUGUAUUUGAGUUUCCAAUCAAUACAGUUCUAGCAUGGAUAAUAAACGAUUAUUAUGAACAAGGAAAUAUAAUAAUAACUAAUUUAUUAUUGCCUCUAGGGCAUAUUUCCAACACGUUCGGGCCGGGCUCGGUCCUGAUAUUUGGAUUUUUUGGUCGGGCCGAGCCGGGCUCGGGCCUGAGAUUUUUCGUUCGGGCUUUCCAAAGCCCGGCCCGGCCCUGUGUACGCCUAGGUUUACAUCAAAUGAAGGCGAUGCGGGUUUCACAUGCAUAGAGAUAACAUAUACAAUAUAUAUCUAAUCUAAUAAAUCAUUUUCACAUGCACGUAGUAUGCAGUUGUAUUUGAGAGAAUAAAACCAUAAAUCCAUGAUGAAAUAUAGACUUUGUGGGAGGGGGAGUCCUCACGCACAUAAAGUUGUCAUAGUUAUUGCACAUCUAUGUGACCUUGCACACAUCCCGAUGCAAAAUCGGCUAUCUUUUUCGGAUUUACAAAGUUUCUAAUUUGAAAAUCAUUCACAGAUUUGAAAAACGGUCAAGAAUGUGAAAAAAGUUCAUGAAUUUUAGAAAAAGUCACGACUUUCAUUUUUUCCUAAAAUUUUAAAAUGUGUGUCAAUUUGGAAAAAAGUUAAUGAACUUGAAAGAGCACAUAUUUGAAAACAGUUCAUGAUCUUGGAAUUGUUCACGGAUUUGAAAAAAAAUCAGUUGUAAGUGUAAAUGAAAAAAAAUGAAAAAGUAACACCGAUCUUCUCAAUGAUAUACUCCCUCCGUUCCUUUUUUUGCGGGGUAAUGAAGAGUUUUAUUCGUACGACAAGGCACGAGCACUAUCAGCCAUGAGGCUGGUUACCACCAAACUCGGGGGAGAGUCCAUCCAGCACUCCGACACCUCCAAUGUGCUUGCAUGUUUUGCAUGUCUCCUUACAUGAAAAAUAUCAAAAGAAAGAAAACUAGUAGCUAGCUCCUGAAUAUCUAAGAGUAACGACGCUAUAACAGAGCGCGAAGUCCGACGCGAGUUCUAGAGGUUCACCACUUCCAAACUAUUUGUCUCAAUCUGUACCCGCGCAAAUCCACAUAGCAGUGCCAUCACCAUGCCUUCACGUUGUGCAGAAGCCUACGAAACCAGAGGGUCCGUAAUCCCUGGGCAUUGUUUGCACGAAGCUGACACAAAUGACUAGGAUGACCGGGCCACACCACCAAUGUCCGCUCUGUGCUUCAUCACCGAGAUCCCAGCGUCAGUGUUGAUCUUGAUCACCUCUCCAUCUGGUGGUCUCCACCCUUGACCUGGUAGUAUGCUCGCUUGCUUGGAAGGAAGCUCUAGCACCGCAAGAGCAUCCCUAACCAACUUCAGUGGCUGAACCGGGUCCAUGGUUGCCUUGUCAUGAGUAAUGUUGUUCCGAGAAGUCCAGAUAGCCCACAUCACCGUGAUGAUCUUAGCUCAAUCCGGAGCAUGGAAGCGAGGAUCACAAAGAAUACCCCCUCGACCAUGUCAAUCCAUGCAAUUCCAGUAGCUUGAUGUUCAACCACUCACGCGCUUCUCUCUAGAAGCACUUUGCAUGGGUGCAUUGUAUCAAUGCAUGAUACAUGUCUUCAUCAGGUGCCAGGCAAACUUUGCACCUGGCUAGAUUCGUUAUAUGCCUGUACUUGAGGAUGCUCUCGACCGGGAGUAUACCUCGUAGCACACGCCACCAGAACACGCGGACUUUUGGUACCACAUUCAGCUUCCAAAGCCUUGUCCACAGCUGCUUGUUCGUCUCUGAAGAUUCUGUAGCCGACCCUUCUUCUAGAGCAAGAUGCUCGUUGCGAACAGGGACGGAUUCAGGGGGGCGAGACCCCCCCCAACCGAUCGUGACAUCCCGUGUCGUGAUGGGUUAUACGCUAAUCUUAUUUGUCUGCGCACUUGUCCGUAGCUUGCUUUGCCCCCUAUCUCUCUUGGGAAUUUGUUACUAACGUGAAGAAUCAGCCCAUCUGCUCAUGUAUAGUCCAUUGGCUACAGGCACAAAAUCCACAAACUGCCCAGCCUAAUCCACGAACAGGCCAUAUCCAGGAAUACCUUAGUUAGUUGCAGAACGGAGCCACGAUUACGCAGUACAUACGCACAUAUCGUCGCCUCGUUUCCAAACCGCCGCUGCGAUCGAGACGGAUGCCUAUUGCGACCGGAUCUCUCAUCUCUCCAUCGCGCAGCUAUAGAGUAGCAUAGAAGGGAAGCGGACGCCGCCACACGGGACAGGCUGGUGUUGAACUGUUGAUGCAUGGAGACGAUGCCGUUUGCCAGCAGACCGAGCAGCAAGCCAACAACAACAUAAGGGGAGAAGGUAAUUGAUUUUCACAUCAGAUUAGUUCGUGCCUUUAGAAAGUACUAUAGAAGUAUAAUCAUACAGACUAUAGUCAUUAAGAACAACUAAGGUAGGUUCAAACAAGGGGAUGAGGUAGUUGAUUUUCACAUUCCCAUUUAUUUACUUCUGCUUAUGUAAACACCAUGAAGAAGAACAAGAGCACAAUUAAUUCAUACUUUUUCAAACCAGUAGGUUCAAACUCUCAGCCAUCAAAACCAGGGACGGAUUCAUGGGGUCAAAGGGGUGUCAGUCUCCGUGUAACACUCUUCUUUAUUUGCUUCCACAUAAUCGCAUGCUUUCCCCGGUUAUGGUUUUGGGACUGGGUUAAAUCAGUGAGCUCCAUCUCGCCGAUUCCAAAAAUAAUAAUGAGAUAAUGUAAUGUAUUAUAUACCCAUGUUGCAUUACUACAAAUUAUUAUUUCAUGAAAUCAUUUUGUGUUUCUAGCGCUGUGAGUUUAUUUUGGCAUUUAUCAAUUUUAUUUAUGUUUUGAUCAUGUGAUUGCAAUGAAUAAAGAAGAAAGGGCAUGUUUGCACCAUGACAUCUCCAUUAGACCAGACCCUAAGUUUUUUUUACAACAUAGCCGUUGCUCAUGAGACUUAGUGUAAAACCACGCCCCCCCCCAUGAACAGAUCCUCGCUCCGUCCCUGGUUGCGAAUCAUGAGAGUUCGGUACGCCUAUUUUACAGUGUAGAUGCCUGCUUUCUCCGCUGACCAUGCCCAACUGUCCUCUCCUCCCAUGCGUCGCAAAGGAAUAUUAAGAAUAGCGUCUGCCUCACGAGAGAUGAAAUUGUUCCUCACAGUAUCUAUCUUCCACGUCCCAGACUCCGCAUGAAUCAGCUCCGAGACAGUGGUUAGGUUUGCUGUGCCAAGUUGUAAUGACGGCUUCAUAGAUAUAAACCCCGGAAUCCAUGUGUCCCUCCAGAUUGAGACUGUCGAACCAUCACCGAUCCUCUUGAUCAUACCGACCUCUAGUGCCUCUCUGCCUGCCAGAAUUGCGCGCUAGGUUGCUGAAGCAUGCGGGUGCACCGUAGCACUUAGGAAGUCAGUGUUCCGGAAAUACUUCCCUUUGAGCACUCAUGCACACAGCCACUCCGGACUCGUGACAAGUCUCCAACCAUGCUUUCCCAGAAGGGCCAGGUUUAAAAGCUGCAGAUCUCUGAAUCCCAUCCCUCCUUUUACCUUCGGGGUUGCAAGUGUGUCCCAGUCCAGCCAAUGCAUAGAUCGACGAUCAAGGGAACUGCUCCACCAAUAUCUCGCCAUACAUGAGGUGGUUCCCUUGAAUGCUUUCUUAGUUAAUUUGAAACGACUCAUAGAGAAUGCUGGGAUCGCCUGAGCCACCGACUUCAGGCGCACAUCUCCGCCUGCAGAUGAGAUCAUGCGCUCCAUACCUCCCUGCAACUUGCUUCAGAUUCUCUCUGUGAGAUGAUUAAAAGUUCCACUGGUGAUCCGCCCUGUUGCAGUACGUAAACCGAGGUAUCGCUCACUGAAGGCCUCGAUAGAAAUGCCAAGGGAGCCUUUCAAUCUUUGUCUAACUCGACCGGGUGUGUUUGGGCUGAAGAAAAUAGAGCUCUUUUUUCGAUUCACACUUUGUCCAGAGCAGUCCCCAUAUAUCCUUAGAACAAGGUUCAACCUUUGAGCACUUUCCUCCUUUGCAUUCAUAAAAAAUAGGAUGUCAUCUGCAAAGAGAAGAUGGUUGACCCAAGGUGAAUUAUUGCAUACUCUGAUUCCUCUAUUCACUUGUGCACCACCCAGGUUUUUCAAAAGCGUGGUAAAAUCUUCAGCGCAUAUCAGGAACAGAUAAGGUGAAUACAGGUCCCCCUGAUGGAGACCCCUAGAUGGGGUGAAGUAAGGCAGCAACUCCCCAUUCACACGCAGUGUAAACCUGACAGAGGUCACACAUUUCAUCGGCAGUCUAACAAAACUCGAGCUGAAACCCAAUCUUAACAUGAUAGCUUCCAGAUAGUGCCAUUCGACACGGUCGUACGCUUUCAUCAUGUCAAGUUUGACAACACACACAUGAUUGCUGCCCUUCUUCCUUCUCCUCGUCGCAUGGACGCUCUCAUAAGCAAUUAACACAUUAUCGGUGAUGUGGCGGCUAGGAAUAAAAGCACUUUGUUCUUUACUAACAAUUUCUCCGGGUAACUCCUUAACUCUGUUAGAUAUGCAUUUGGAAGCAACCUUAUACAAAACAGAGCAUAAUGAGAUUGGCAUGUAUUGGGAAAUACGUUGGGGGUACCUGACUUUGGGGAUGAGCGUUAUGGCUGUGUCAUUCAUACCCACUGUCAAUUCUCCACCAUUCAAGAAAUCCAGCAUAGUGAGCACUAUGUCGUCUUUGAGAAGAUCCUAAUGCCGCUUAAAGAAUCCCGUCGUGAAUCCAUCACCCCUCGUGCUUUGGAUGGGGCCAUCUGAAACAAGGCUGUAUGAACCUCCUCAGCCGUAAAUGGCUUGUCGAGGUGUUCAUUCAUAUGCUCCGUCAUCUUGGGCGGAACCAGGUCGAGCAGCUCUGGUUCUAAAUAUAACACAUUUUUAAAGAUUUUAAUAUGAACUACAUGCAUAGCAAAAUGAAUGAAUCUACGUUUUAAAAUGUGUUUAUAUGCAUCCAUAUAUAGUCCUUGAUGAAAUCUCCAAAAUGUCUUAUAUUUAAGAACGGAGAGAAUAGAACUUAGAUAUUGAAUAAUUUGGCCAUGCACUUUAGCAUAAUCGUUUUUUUUAACACAAAUAGAAAGAUUCCUCCCUCGCAAAAAAAAUAAAAAAAAAAUUCGAAAGAUUCCUGAAACUGGAUAAUCAGAAACUGCUGGUGCUAGUUAAGCCGGUGGGUGUAGCACGCGUCGGUGAUGUGCAUCCUAACUAACAAGCCUAACAAAGUUGUUGUUCUUUGCCUUGGAAAUAAAUUAAAGGAACGAAAGGGGAUCAUGGCAGUUCAGAUGAUUUGCUUCAGCCCCACGAAAAGCCACGAGAGCCCGCACCAGAUCCUAUACAACGCUCGAGACGUUGAUUCAGCAUCAAGAUUUGUACUACUACGAGAUCCAAAUCUCAUGGCCCCGCAUACGUGCAUAGGUCGGAGACCGAUUUGAAUAAUGCGGCCGCCUGCGCCUGGGUCGUGCGAGUGCAAGGGUCAGAUCUGAGGAGGGAGCCCGAACACACUUCUUCUCAAAGUCAAAGCGUCGAACGAUUCCGUCCUAUCGCGGUGAGACGUUUUUGCGUUUCACACCCUGCAUCUUCUCGAUAUUGUGUGGAAUAUUCGGAGCACGUGGACCGAGUUUAUCGGCAGUGACAGUUGAACGCAAGUUUUGGUUGCAACAGAUUUUUUUUUAGAAACACAACACACAGACAUACUCCGUUCGUUUUUAAAUAUAAAUCUUUUUAAAAAAAUUACGAAUGAAUUACAUACAAAUAUAUGUAGAUAUAGUCUUCUAAAAAAUAUCUUUAAAAAACUUAUAUUUAAGAACAAAGGAGUAAAUGUUUACAUACACACACGCACGCAUGUACAACACAACACAAAGAAGUUCAGUGAAAUAUCAAGGCUCCAGGCGAAGGGAAAAAUCAAGCCUAAUGGGCUGAGGUGGAGAUGCAAAAUACAACAUUUGAAGAUGUUACCUUUAGGAGAUGUAAAAUUGUCGACUAUGCGUCAAGGUUCAACUGCUUUCAGUAUCGUUUAGCCCGCUCGCAUGACGUCUGUCGCGUCGCCCGGGCCAUUGCCGACUCCGACGACUGUGUCGCCUUCUCCGCCGUAGCCAACCACCUCAUUGUAGCCUUCGCCGACGCCACCAACGUCCUCCAGGCCGCCGCCUUGGUUUUGCCCCGCCACAUCGGGUCGUCGUCACGGCUGCGUCGCCGGUGAAGAAGUAAUGGGCCGCCAAUCCCAGCGAUGGAGGUCUGAAGAGGCUAGCGGGGCGCAACCCAACGACAAACCCAUCUUGAGUGCCCAAAAAUUUGAAGGCGGUCACGGAUGUGUAGGUCGAUUCGUUGCUGCAUGUGGCCGUGGCGUCCACAUUCGGUCAAGGACCCCCUACUCCACAUCCUCUGUCGCAGUCGACGACCAUGAAGGAAGAUGUGAUCAUGCCCACGACCAUCACAUUCAACGUGUUCGACGAAAUGUCACGCGACCGACGGCCGGUUAUACAUCUCCACUUUGUAUCAUCAAUUGAAGUUGCACUUUUACAUCAUUAAUAUACAUCAUCUAUGAGAGUUGCCUUUCUUCAAGAUGUAAAAUAUAAUUUUUAAUAAUGAAAAUUUUACAUCUCCAAAUUUACAUCAAUUAUUCAAAAUGCUUUUAUAGUAAUAUCAGGAGCUUUGUAUGCGAUUCAUGGUGCGCUCGGCGGCUUCCUACCUGUGUGAGAAAUAGACUCCACAAUGUACGUAUACAAUAACGAGAAACAAAAUGUCUAUCACUGGAAGCUCACAAAACUUCAAUUCAUACCAUACAAAGAAUUAUGAAAAAAUCACCCCAGUUCACCGCAUUGUGUGAUCAUAUACACAUCACAUCUUAAAACUAAAACUAAUAGAAUCAACAACUUGAAAACCCUUACCAGCCAACGGUUGCUUUCCGUAGCACUAACAAAUAUCCAUGCACAAAGACAAGAAGGGGGAGCCUCUAGGGAUCAGACUACUGAUCCGUUGCUUCCAUCAGACUAGUGCAUGUCUGUAGGAUGAAAAGUUGAAUGACCGUCAGAUUUGCUAGUAGAAACCCCACACUCGUGUGUUGAAUUGCUUAAUUAAAGGGUAAUUCCCACUAAUUGCGGGAUUUCUACACUAGUGGUGUGUAAUUAGUUUUCUAACUACUCGUGAUUUCUUCCGACAAGCAAAUAUAAUUUUAUUUUUGCAGAUGAAUUUUUUGCGAGGAAAUAUGAUUUUUAAGAUUGUGAUAUGCUUCCAACAAACAAUACAAAAAAUAAUUAUUUCUGUAGAUGCAUCUUUUUCAUGGCAAAUAUUCAUGGACGCAUCACUUUUAUCAAGGGAAGCACCCUUUCACAUUGCGAUGGAAACAUAUAUCAUACAAUCAGAGAAGCAUUACUUUUUCUUGAUGUAAGCACCCUUUCAUGUUGUGAUGGAAAAAUAUUAUCCAAUCAUGUGCCAUAAAUCUUUUUAUUUUGUAUCCAUGGAAGCAUUAUUUCUAUGAUACAAAAGGAUUUUUUUUGUUGCUUUGGAAACAUUAUUUAGUGCACCAAAAAAUAAUAUUCACAGUUGAUUGAAACAUAUGUUUCACCAAAAAGGAAUCGUGUGGAAACACAAAUCAAGAAUAUACACCGCCCCAAAAUUCACCUGAUAAAAGUAAUAUACAAAUCUGCUUACAACAACAACACUAAUUUCACUUAUGUUUGUACAUGUAUGUUUUCAAUUAACCAAUCAUAGGACAGCUUCGCACAUGUCACGAGUUCUUCCUCAAUGAGGUAGCCUCCGAUUAGAAGUCAUGCCUAGUCUAGCACACUUAACACUAUUAGCAUUGUGUUGGAAAUGAAGACGCGUCGCUGAAUCAGGUGGAAAAAAUAUCGGUACAUGGAAACAUCAGAAAGAAGCAAGAAGCUAACAUCAGUAGUAGUUGAAAAAAAAUUGCUGCAAGAAGCAAAACACAUGUACAAUAAUAUCAUUGAAAGAAGACUCAUCGAUAUUGGUUGAAGUGCUCACCUGGUCGAACCAAUAUGUCUAGACAACAAUAGAACUACACAUUGGCAAUGGUUGAAGCCGGGAUUCACUGCCAUGGAAACAUCUAUGAGAAAACUUUAGAAACAUCUUGUAUGCUUUUCAUGGAAACAUCAAUGAGAAGUAAUGAAGCAUAAAUCGGUAGUGCUUCAAAAAAAAUUGGUGGAAGAAGAAAAUGUAUGAAUAAUAAUUUAUUAAAAGAAGCAACAUUCUCGUGGUUGUAGCACAAACUGAUAUUGGUUGAAGCACUUGAGGGGUGAUUCAGAAGUACAAUUUUGCAGGAACCAUGAAACUCCUAUUUACAUAUGACUCAUCUUAAUUGGAAGCAUAGAAAAUACAGCACUGUAAUGGAAAAUUGUUUUCUAGCCCAAAGAAACAUAGCUCAAUGAAAAAGAGAAAUGAAAGGAGAGCUCAAGGUACAGAAUAAGUGUCAUUUGGAAGCAUGGAAUUAUGAAAUUGGAACAAAUGAAUAUGAAGCACGAAAAGCGUGCUCUGGAUAAGGAAUUAUGGAGUAGGAUACAUUACAGUGUGCUAUGUCAAGAUGAGCCAACUUAACUGGAAGCAUAUUUUUUUAAAAUGACAAUGAAUCAAGGUAGCCACCAACAUUCAGAUGCAUGUUUGUCCCAACUAUACUAGAAAUUCAUCAAUAAAUGUUGAAGCAUUUCGAGGGAAAACUAUCUACACAUUUUUAGUAUACUUUGGAAGUUCCAUAUAUAUGAAGCAUGUAAAGGUCUAUCACAACAAUGGAAGCGUAGUAUACUCCCGAAGCUCCAUAUAUUAUUUCAUGGCAACUUUAUCAGGUGGAGAAUAAUCUAUGUACAAUGGAAGCAUCGUUAGUUUGCUUCCAAGUAUAUUUGUUUCCAAGCUUUAUUUUCUACCAUUUAAACGCUACAUCGGUUUGAAACAAAACUGAACCAUUGCUUCCAAAGAAUCUAGAAUAUGCAUUCACAAAAAGAAAAUUGGCUUCCAUAAGUAAAAUCUGGCAUCUGGGCACAAUUCAAACACCAGCGGGCUGAUGGUCAUCAUGAUUCGUAUCGAACUUGGUCGUGCACCCAUGCAAUUGUAGUAGUGCUUAUAUUUGAUGGUCGACGUACAUGCUUCCUUCCAAUGCUCGCCGUUGAUACGUCCAUUUGGCAUCAUGCUUUUAUAUCUAUAUUUAUUGCAUUAUGGCUUGUUAAUAGACAUUACGGUACAAUACUUAUGCAUUUUCUCUCUUAUUUUACAAGGUUUACAUGAAGAGGGAGAAUGCUGGCAGCGGGAAUUCUGGACCGGAAAAGGAGAAAAUCUGAGAGACAUAUUCUGCACAACUCCAAAAGUCCUGAAAACUUACGGAGAAUUAUUUUGGAUUAUAUAAAAAAUAUUUUGCAAAAGAAAUACAUCAGGGGACCCACCAGGUGGCCACAAGCAAGGGGGUGCGGCCUACCCCCUGGGCACGCCCUGCAGCCUUGUGGGCCCCUUGGCGGGCCUCUGGUGCGAAGCGCGGCCGUCUCGAGGCGGAACUUCGGCACAACCAAUCUAGAGCUCCGGUGGAGCUAUUCUGCUGGGGAAACUUCCCUCCGGGAGGGGGAAAUCGAAGCCAUCGCAUCACCAACGAUCCUGUCAUUAAGAGGGGGUCAAUCUCCAUCAACAUGUUCAUCAUCACCAUCUCCUCUCCAAACCCUAGUUUAUCUCUUGUAUCCGAUCUUUGUCUCAAAACCUCGGGGUUGCUAGUAGUGUUGAUUACUCCUUGUAGUUGAUGCUAGUUGGUUUACUUGGUGGAAGUUCAUAUGUUUAGAUACUCAAUGAUUAUUAAUACUCCUCUGAUUAUGAACGUGAAUAUGCUUUAUGAGUAAUUACGUUUGUUCCUGAGGACAUGGGAUAAGUCUUGUUAUAAGUAAUCACGUGAAUUUGGUAUUCGUUUGAUAUUUUGAUGAGAGGUAUGUUGUCUCUCCUCUAGUGGUGUGAUGUGAACGUCGACUACAUGACACUUCACCAUUAUUUUGGCCUAGGGGAAGGAAUUGGGAAGUAAUAAGCAGAUGAUGGGUUGCUAGAGUGAUAGAAGCUUAAACCCUAGUUUAUGCGUUGCUUCGUAAGGGGCUGAUUUGGAUCCAUAUGUUUCAUGCUAUGGUUAGAUUUAUCUUAAUUUUUCUUUCGUAGUUGCGGAUGAUUGCGAGAGAGGUUAAUAAUAAGUGGGAUGUUUGUACAAGUAAGGGCAGCACCCAAGCACCGGUUCACCCACAUACCAAAUUAUCAAAGUAACGAACGCAGAUCAUAUGAGCAUGAUGAAAACUAGCUUGACAGAAAUUCCCAUGUGUCCUCGGGAGCGCUUUGCUUUAUAUAAGAGUUUGUCGAGGCUUGUCCUUUGCUACAAAAGGAUUGGGCCACUUUGAUGCACCUUUUUACAUUUGUUACUUGCUACAUGUUAUGAAUUACCUUAUCACGAAACUAUGUGUUACCGAUAAUUUCAGUGCUUGCAGAUAAUACCUUACUGAAAACUGCUUGUCUUUUCCUUCUGCUCCUCGUUGGGUACGACACUCUUACUUAUCGAAAGGACUACGAUAUAUACCCUACACUUGUGGGUCAUCAAGUCUCUUUUCUGGCGCCGUUGUCGGGGAGUGAAGCGCCUUUGGUGAGUGGAACUUGGUAACGAAAAAUUUAUAUAUUGUGCUGAAAUUUACUGUCACUUGUCACUAUGAAAAAUAAUUCUUUGAGGGGCUUGUUUGGGGUAUCUUCACCCCGAGCGGAAGCACAAAGAGAUGCUCCUCAACCUACUGCGCCUACUAAAAAUAUUUAUUAUGAAAUUCCUUCGUGUAUGAUAGAACAACUGCUGGCUAAUCCUUAUGUAGGAGAUGAAACACUACAUCCUGAUUUGCAUCUAAUCUAUGUGGAUGAGGUUUGUGGAUUAUUUAAGCUUGCAGGUUUGCCCGAGGAUGAUGUCAAGAAGAAGGUUUUUCCUUUAUAUUUGAAGGAGAAGGCAUUGACGUGGUAUAGGCUAUGUGAUGAUAUUGGAUCAUGGAACUACUACCGAUUGAAAUUCGAAUUUCAUCAGAAGUUUUAUCCUAUGCAUCUGCUUCAUUGUGAUCGGAAUUAUAUUUAUGAUUUUUUGCCUCAUGAAAGAGAAAUAAUAGCUCAAGCUCGGGGGAGGCUUAAGUCAAUGUUAUAUUCAUGCCACAAUCAUGAGAUCUUGUAAUGAUCAAUCUAUGCUCGAUACUUCUUGUGUUGGUUCCUUUAUGAAGAAAGAUAUUGAAUUCAAAUGGGACUUAUUGGAAAGAAUUAAACGCAACUCUGAAGAUUGGGAACUCUACGAAGGUAAUGAGUCAGGUAUAGGCCUUAAGUUUGAUUGUGUUAAAUCCUUUAUAGACACCGAUGCUUUUCGUGAUUUUAGCACUAAAUAUGGACUUGACUCUGAGGUAGUAGCUACAUUUUGUGAAUCUUUUUCUACUCAUGUUGAUCGCCCCAAGGAGAAGUGGUUUAAACAUCAUUCUCCCAUUGAAGUUAAAGUGGUUGAACCUAUUAAAGUUGAAGAAGAAACUAUUAUUUAUAAUGCUGAUCAUGUUAUUCCUACUGCUUAUAUUGAGAAACCACCCAUUCCUAUUAGAAUAAAGGAACAUGCUAAAGCUUCAACUGUGGUUAGUAAGAGUUGUACUAGAACACCUAUACCUCCUGAACAAAUUAAAGUUGAACCUAAUAUUGCUAUGGUUAAAGAUAUUUUGGUUGAUAAUAUUGAUGGGCAUGUCAUUCAUUUGUUUGAUGAAGCUGCUAGAAUUGCUAGACGUGAUACUAAAGGUAAACAUAAACCUAUUGUUGACGUGCAUGUUGUUUCUGUCAAAAUAGGAGAUCAUUGUUAUCAUGGCUUAUGUGAUGUGGGUGCUAGUGUGAGUGCAAUUCCCUUUACCUUAUACCAAGAAAUUAUGAAUGAUAUUGCACCAGCUGAAUUAGAAGAAAUUGAUGUUACCAUCAAGCUUGCUAAUAGAGAUACUAUUGCACCAAUUGGGGUUGUUACAGAUUUUUGAAGUCUUGUGUGGGAAAACAAAGUAUCCUAAUGAUUUUCUUGUUCUUGAUUCCCCACAAGAUGAUUUUUGUCCCAUUAUAUUCGGUGGAGCCUUCUUGAAUACUUUUAGUGCUAAGAUUGAUUGUGAGAAAGAAACGGUUACUGUAAGUUUGGGGGAUGUGUCUCAUGAGUUCAAUUUCACUAAAUUUCGUAGACAACCUCAUGACAAAGAAUUGCCUAGUAAAUAUGAAAUUAUUGGUCUCGCUUCUAUCGCUAUGCCUCCUACUGAUCCCUUAGAACAAUAUUUGCUAGAUCAUGAAAAUGAUAUGCAUAUGAAUGAAAGCAAUGAAAUAGAUAAAAUUUUCUUUGAUCAACCGCCUAUUCUGAAACACACCCUGCCUGUUGAAAUACUUGGGGAUCCUCCUCCACCCAAGGGUGAUCCCGUGUUUGAGCUUAAAUAAUUACCUGAUACUCUGAAGUAUGCUUAUCCUGAUGAAAAGGAGAUAUAUCAUGUUAUUAUUAGUGCUAUCCUUUCAAAGCAUGAAGAAAAGAGAUUAUUGAAAACUUUGAGGAAGCACCGUGCCGCUAUUGGAUAUACUCUUGAUGAUCUUAAGGGCAUUAGUCCCACUCUUUACGAGCACAAAAUCGAUAUGGAGCCUGAUGCCAAACCAGUUGUUGAUCACCAACGACGGCUAAAUCCUAAAAUGAAAGGACUGGUAAGAAAUAAAAUACUAAAGCUUCUCGAGGCAAGUAUAAUUUAUCCUAUUGCUGAUAGUAGAUGGGUUAGUCUCGUUUAAUGUGUCCCUACAAAGGGAGGUAUUACCAUUGUUCCUAAUGAUAAAAAUGAAUUGACCCCGCAAAGAAUUGUUACGGGAUAUAGAAUGCUAAUUGAUUUUAGGAAAUUAAAUAAGGCUACUAGGAAAGAUCAUUACCCGCUACCUUUUAUUGAUCAAAUGCUAGAAAGACUAUCCAAACAUACACAUUUUUGCUUUCUAGAUGGUUAUUCUAGUUCCUCUCAAAUACCUGUGUCAAAAGAGGAUCAAGAUAAGACCACUUUUACUUGCCCUUUCGGUACCUUUGCUUAUAGGCGUAUGCCUUUUGGUUUAUGCAAUGCACGAAUACGUCCCAAACGUAUCUAUAAUUUCUGCUUGAUCCAUGCAAGUUUUGGGUGAUAUUGUUAUGUGCUUUGUACACUUUCAUACCUUUUCAACAUAUUUGGACUAACCUACUAACUCAGUGCUAGUUUAUGUCUGCUGAUGUGUGUGAAUUGCAGGUAUAUGCCCAUAUUUACAGUGCCCGAAAAAUCCACGGAAAAUAUAUAAAAAAUCAGCGUUCCAGAAGACUCCGUACGCCCGAAGGAGAGCCAGAGGGGGCCCGCCCCCACCCAGGCGGCCACUUGGCGCGGCCUAGGGGGUGGCCGCGCCACCAGGCCGCCUGGGCGAGUGGGACCUCCCCUGGUGCCCCCCUUUGGCCCUAUUUUUACCCCGUGGAGGAAACCCUGAUUCCGGAACCAUUUUCUCUAGAAGCAAUUUCGAUCUCCACCGCCAUCGCCAACAAGUUUUCGGGGGACCAGAAUUCCUGUGUCGGCACCCUACCGGGACAGGGAAGUGCCCACGUAUUCAUCUUCAUCGAUGUUGCUUCCUCCCUCCAUGAAGCGAGAGUAGUUCCUCCUCGGGGCUGAGGUCUUCUACAGUAGCUAUGUGGUUAAUUCUCUCUCCCAUGAUGUGAUCUUGAUUGUGAUCAUAGGCUAUGUUAACCUAGUUCGAUCCCAUGAUGUUUCCCAUUCUUCUAUGUAUUGUAUUGAUGUACUCACUUGAUCUUAUCUAGUAUAAUCCCUGAGACCAUGGUGACAGCGGUCUAUUGGACAUGGAUUAGAAGAAUAUUUUCAUGAGUGAUUUCCUCUUUUGUGAAUUGAUUGAAGAUUGAGAGUCUCUUGGUGCUUGUCUUUGACUAUCCUUGAGAUACAUUGUGGUGAUUGUGGUACUCUCUUUGGAUGGCCGCGAUGACAUUGGGAAAUCCAUAGAUGAGAAAUACGAACUCUGAGGUGUGCUUUUGUAGCCCUACAUAAUACUCGUCCUCUCUUGAUCACAAAGGAAUGACCUCCGAGUAUGUCACCAUUGCAUGUUUUAGUGGAAAUAUCAUGUGAUUAGACUAUGUUAAUGUUGUUGGGUGUUGCCACUGGUGAAAGUAUGAAGCCUAGGCCUUGUUUCUCACCAUUGUUACACCGUUUAUGCUCACUUUUGUCACUUGCUACCUUGCUGUAAUUUUUAUUACAGAUUUAUAUUACCUUGCUUUGCCACACCUAUCACCCAUAUUUUACCAUCUCUUCGCUGAACUAGUGCACCUAUACAAUUUACCAUUGUAUUAGGCGUGUUGGGGACACAAGCGGCUUCUUGUUUCUUAAUUGCAGGGUUGCUUGAGAGAGACCAUCUUCAACUUCUACUUCCCUGAGUUCGAUAAACCUUAGGUCAUCCACUUGAGGGAAAUUGCUGCUAUCCUACAAACCUCUGCGCUUGGAGGCCCAACAUAGUCUACAAGAAUAGAAGCAUGCGUAGACAUCAUGCACAUGCUACCUUUCAAAGAUGUAUGAUGGCUAUAUUAUAUGACUUUUGUGAAAAGAUUGUUGAGGUUUUCAUCGAUGAUUUUUCUGUUUACGGAACUUCUUUUGAUGAUUGCUUGAGCAACCUUGAUCGAGUUUUGUAGAGAUGUGAAGAAACUAAUCUUGACUUGAAUUGGAAGAAGUGCCACUUUAUGGUUAAUGAAGGCAUUGUCUUGGGACACAAAAUAUCUGAAAGAGGUAUUGAAGUUGAUAAAGCUGAAGUUGAUGCUAUUGAAAAAAUGUCGUGUCCAACAGAUAUAAAAUGUAUAAGAAGUUUCCUUGGUCAUGCUCGUUUCUAUAUGAGAUUUAUUAAAGACUUCUCUAAGAUUUCUAAGCCUCUCACUAAUCUUUUGCAAAAGGAUGUUUGAUACGUCCAUUUUGCAUCAUGCUUUCAUGUUGAUAUUUAUUGCUUUUUGGGCUGUUAUUUCACUUCACAAUACAAUACUUAUGCCUUUUCUCUCUUAUUUUGCGAGUUUUACAUGAAGAGGGAGAAUGUCGACAGCUGGAAUUCUAGCCUGAAAAAGGACCAAGUUUGAGAUGUCUAUUCUACGCAACUCCAAAAGCCGUGGAAAUCAACGUGGAUUUUUUUGGGAAUAUAUAAAAAAUACAAGGUCGAAGAAGUGCGAGAGGAGCGCAACCAGGGGGCACUGAUACGUCCAUUUUGCAUCAUGUUUUCAUGUUGAUAUUUAUCACUUCUUUGGCUGUUAUUUCACUUCACGAUACCAUUCUUAUGCCUUUUCUCUCUUAUUUUGCAAGGUUUAAAUGAAGAGGGAGAAUACCGGCAACUGGAAUUCUGGCCUGAAAGUGGAGCAAAGUUGAGAUACCUAUUCUGCGCAACUCCAAACGCCGUAAAAAUCAACGAGGAAUUUUUUCCUGAUUUAUCAAAAAUACCGGGCCAAAGAAGGGCCAGAGGGGCACCAUGGGGUGCUCACAAGCCUGCACGGCGCGGCCACCCCCCCAGGCGGCGCCAUGGGGGCUUGUGGGCAGCCCACUAGCCCACUUGCUCCCCUCUUUUGCUAUAUGGAGGGUUUCGUCCAGGAAAAAAUCAAGGAGGAGCUUUUUCAUGGUUUCGCCGCCGCCACAAGGCGGAACUUGAGAAGAACCAAUCUAGAGCUCCGGCAGGACGAUCCUGCCGGGGAAACUUCCCUCCCGGAGGGGGAAAUCAUCGCCAUCGUCAUCACCAACACUCCUCUCAUCGGAGGGGACUCGUCACCAUCAACAUCUUCAUCAGAACCAUCUCAUCUCCAAACCCUAGUUCAUCACUUGUAACCAAUCUCCGUCUCGUGACUCCGAUUGGUACCUGUAAGGUUGCUAGUAGUGCUGAUUACUCUUUGUAGUUGAUGCUAGUUGGAUUACUUGGCGGAAGAGUUUAUGUUCAGAUCCUUGAUGCUACUCAUUACCUCUCUGGUCAUGAAUAUGAUUAUGCUUUGUGAGUAGUUACUUUUGUACCUGAGGACAUGGGAUAAAUCAUGCUAAUAGCAGUCAUGUGAAUUUGGUAUUCGUUCGGUAUUUUGAUAUGUUGUAUGUUGUUUUUCCUCUAGUGGUGUUAUGUGAACAUCGACUACAUAACACUUCACCAUUAUUUGGGCCUAGAGGAAGGCAUUGGGAAGUAGUAAGUAGAUGAUGGGUUGCUAGAGUGACAAAAGCUUAAAGCCUAGUUUAUGGGUUGCUUCGUAAGGGGCUGAUUUGGAUCCACUAGUUUAAUGCUAUGGUUAGACUUUGUCUUAAUUCUUCUUUCGUAGUUGCGGAUGCUUGCGAGAGGGGUUAAUCAUAAGUGGGAUGCUUGUCCAAGUAAGGGCAGUACCCAAGCGCCGGUCCACCCACAUAUCAAACUAUCAAAGUAACGAACGCGAAUCGUAUGAACAUGAUGAAACUAGCAUGACAGAAAUUGCCGUGUGUCCUCGGGAGCGUUUUUCCUCCUAUAAGACUUUGUCCAGGCUUGUCCCUUGCUACAAAAGGGAUUGGGCCACUUUGCUGCACCGUUGCUACUUUUGUUACUUGUUGCUCGCUACGAUUCAUCUCACCACAAUAUCACUUGUUACCGACAAUUUCAGUGCGUGCAGAUUUUUCCUUGGUGAAAACCACUUGUCAGAUCCUUCCGCUCCUCGUUGGGUUCGACACUCUUACUUAUCGAAAGGACUACGAUUGAUCCCCUAUACUUGUGGGUCAUCAAGACUCUUUUCUGGCGCCAUUGCCGGGAGUGAAGCGCCUUUGGUAAGUGGAACUUGGUAAGGAAACAUUCAUAUAGUGUGCUGAAAUUUAUUGUCACUUGUCACUAUGGAUACUAAUCCUUUGAGGGGCUUGUUCGGGGUAUCUUCACCUCGAACGGAAGCACAAAUAGUUGCUCCUCAACCUGCUGCACCUACUGAAAAUAUUUGCUUUGAAUUUCCUUCGGGUAUGCUUGACAAACUGCUCGCUGAUCCUUUUACAAGAGAUGGAACAUGACAUCUAGACUUGCAUCUAAUCUAUGUAGAUGAAGUUUGUGGUUUAUUUAAGCUUGCAUGUGUGCCCGAGGAUGAGGUCAAGAAGAAGGUCUUUCCUUUAUCUUUGAAGGAUAAGGCGUUGACAUGGUAUAGGCUAUGUGAUGAUACUGGAUCAUGGGACUACAAUAGGUUGAAAUUGGAAUUUCAUCAAAAGUUUUAUCCUAUGCAUUUAGUACAUCGUGAUCGAGAUUAUAUUUACAAUUUUUGGCCUCGUGACAGAGAAAGCAUUGCUCAAUCUUGGGGGGGGGGCUUAAAUCAAUGCUAUAUUCAUGCCCCAAUCAUGAGCUCUCGAGAGAAAUUAUCAUUCAGAACUUCUAUGCUCGGCUUUCUCAUGAUGAUCGCAGCAUGCUUGACACUUCUUGUACUGGUUCUUUUAUGAAGAGAGAUAUUGACUUCAAAUGGAAUUUAUUAGAGAGAAUUAAACGCAACUCUGAAGAUUGGGAGUUUGAAGAAGGUAAGGAGUCAGGUAUGAAUUUCACGUUUGAUUGCGUUAAGUCCUUUGUUGAGACAAAUACCUUUAGUGAUUUUAGCGCUAAGUAUGGACUUGACUCUGAGAUAGUAGCUUCAUUGUGUGAAUCCUUUGUUGCUCAUAUUGAUCUCCCCAAAGAGAAGUGGUUUAAAUAUCAUCCUCCUUUAGAAGUCAAUGUAGUUAAACCCACUCCAGUUGAAGAGAAAGUCAUUGCCUAUAAUGAUCCUGUUGUUCCCAGUGCUUACAUUGAGAAACCACCUUUCCCUGUUAGGAUGAAGGAUCAUUCUAAAGCUUCAACUGUGAUACGUAGAGGCUAUAUUAGAACACCUACACCCCCUGAGAAAAUUAGAGUUGAACCUAGCAUUGCUAUUAUCAAAGAUCUUCUGUCUGAAGAAGUUGAGGGACAUAAUAUUCACUUCGGUGAAGAUGCUGCUAGAAUUGCUAAACCUCACACUAGAGACAAACAUAGGCCUGUUGUUGUCAUGCAUGUGGUUUCUGUUAAGAUAGGAGAUCAUUGUUACCAUGGUUUAUGUGGCGUGGGUGCUAGUUUUAGUGCAAUACCUCAAUCCUUAUACGAUGAAAUCAAAGAUGAGAUUGCACCUGUUGAGAUUGAUGCUAUUGAUGUCACUAUUCAGCUUGCCAAUAGAGAUACCAUCUGCCCUGUGGGAAUUGUUAGGGAUGUUGAAGUCUUGUGUGGUAAAACGAAGUAUCCUGCUGAUUUCUUCGUUCUUGCUACCGCACAAGAUAGCUUUUGUCCCAUCAUAUUUUCCAUACCUUUUCUCAAUACUGUCAAUGCUCAUAUUGAUUGUGAGAAGCAAACUGUCACUGUUGGCUUUGAAGGUGUGUCACAUGAGUUCAAUUUCUCUAAGUUUGGUAGACAACCUCAUAAAAGGAGUUGCCUAGUAGGGAUGAAACUAUUGCCUUAGCCUCAAUUGCCGUGCCUCCUACUGAUCCCUUAGAGCAAUACUUGCUUGAGCAUGAAAAUAAUAUGCAUAUGGAUGAAAGGGAUGAGAUAGAUAGAGUUGUAUUAGACCCAUAUCCUAUCCUUAAGAAUAACUUGCCUGUUGAAUUGCUUGGGGAUUCACCCCCACCAAAAGGGUGAUCAUGUGUUCGAGCUUAAACAGUUGCCUGAUACACACACACUUCUGCUUUCUAGUCGGUUAUUCUGGUUUCUCCCAAAUACCAGUUGCACAAUCUGAUCAGGAGAAAACCACUUUCACCUGCCCUUUCAGUACCUUUGCCUAUAGAUGUAUGCCUUUUGGCUUAUGUAAUGCACCUGCCACCUUUCAAAGAUGUAUGAUGGCUAUAUUCUUUGACUUUUGUGAAAAGAUUAUUGAGGUUUUCAUGGAUGACUUCUCCGUUUACAGGUCUUCCUUUGAAGAUUGCCUCAACAACCUUGAUCGAGUCUUACAGAGAUGCGAAGAAACCAACCUCGUCUUGAAUUGGGAGAAGUGCCACUUUACGGUUAAUGAAGGUAUCGUCUUAGGACACAAAAUUUCUGAGAGAGGCAUUGAAGUUGAUAAGGCUAAGGUUGAUGCAAUUGAGAAAAUGCCUUGCCCCACAGAUAUCAGAGGUAUACGAAGUUUCCUAGGUCAUGCUGGUUUCUAUAGAAGGUUCAUUAAAGACUUCUCUAAGAUUUCUAGGCCUCUUACCAACCUCUUGCAGAAGGAUGUUCCUUUUGUUUUUGAUGAGGAUUGUGAGGAAGCUUUCGAAAUACUUAAGAAGUCUUUGAUAACCGCACCUAUUGUUCAACCACCUGACUGGAACUUGCCCUUUGAAAUCAUGUGUGACGCUAGUGAUUAUGCUAUUGGUGCUGUUCUAGGACAAAGAUUUGACAAGAAGUUGAAUGUCAUUCACUACGCUAGUAAAACUCUAGACAGUGCCCAAAGAAACUAUGCCACUGCGGAGAAGGAAUUUUUAGGAGUCGUGUUUGCAUGUGAAAAGUACAGAUCUUACAUAGUUGACUCCAAAGUCACUAUUCACUCUGAUCAUGCUGCUAUUAAGUACCUUAUGCAGAAGAAGGACGCUAAGCCUAGGCUGAUCAGAUGGGUUCUCCUGCUACAGGAAUUUGAUUUGCACGUCGUUGACCGAAAGGGUGCUAACAACCCUGUAGCAGAUAACUUGUCUAGGCUAGAGAAUGUCCUUGAUGACCCACUACCUAUUGAUGCCAGCUUUCCUGAUGAGCAAUUAAAUGUCAUCCGCACUUCACAUAGUGCAUCGUGGUAUGCCGAUUAUGCAAACUAUAUCAUAGCCAAAUACAUACCACCCAGUUUCACCUAUCAACAAAAGAAGAAAUUCUUCUUUGAUUUGAGGCACUACUUUUGGGAUGAUGCUCACCUUUAUAAGGAAGGAGUAGAUGGUGUUAUUAGACGAUGUGUGCCUGAACAUGAACAUGGACAGAUCCUGCAGAAGUGUCAUUCUGAAGCCUACGGAGGACACCAUGCUGGAGAUAGAACUGCCCAUAAGGUAUUGCAAUCAGGUUUCUAUUGGCCCACUCUCUUCAAGGAUGCCCGUAAGUUUGCCUUGUCUUGUGACGAAUGCCAAAGGAUAGGGAACAUCAGUAAGCGUCAAGAGAUGCCUAUGAACUAUUCACUUGUCAUUGAACCAUUUGAUGUCUGGGGCUUUGAUUAUAUGGGACCCUUCCCGAGUUCUAAUGGGUACACUCACAUCUUAUUUGUUGUGGAUUACGUUACUAAGUGGGUAGAAGCUAUCCCCACUAAAAAUGCUGAUCACCACACCUCUAUUAAGAUGCUUAAAGAAGUCAUAUUCCCAAGAUUUGGAGUCCCUGGAUACUUGAUGACUGAUGGCGGUUCACACUUCAUUCAUGGUGUUUUCCGCAAGAUGCUAGCUAAGUAUGAUGUCAACCAUAGAGUUGCAUCUCCUUAUCAUCCUCAGUCUAGUGGUCAAGUGGAGUUGAGUAAUAGGGAGAUCAAGUUGAUCCUACAAAAGACCGUCAAUAGAUCUCGAAAGAACUGGUCUAGCAAACUUGACGAUGCACUAUGGGCUUAUAGGACUGCUUAUAAUAAUCUCAUGGGCAUGUCAUCGUAUAAAAUGGUUUACGGUAAGGCCUGUCAUCUACCUCUUGAGCUGGAACACAAAGCUUAUUAAGCAAUCAAAGAGCUCAAAUUUGAUUUCAAACUUGCCGGUGAGAAGCGGUUGUUUGUUAUCAGCUCGUUAGAUGAAUGGAGAGCCCAGGCAUAUGAGAAUGCCAGGUUGUUCAAGGAAAAGGUUAAGAGAUGGCACGACAAACGAAUACAAAAACGAGAGUUCAAUGUAGGUGAUUAUGUCUUGCUAUACAAUUCUCGUUUGAGAUUCUUUGCACGCAAGCUUCUCUCUAAAUGGGAAGGUCCCUAUGUUGUCGAGGAAGUAUAUCGUUCCGGUGCCAUCAAAAUCAAUAACAUGGAAGGAAAUUUUCCUAGAGUGGUAAAUGGGCAAAGAAUCAAGCAUUACAUCUCUGGUACUCCCAUAAAUGUUGAGACCAAUAUCAUCAAUGUCAUAACUCCAGAGGAGUACAUAAGGGAUGUUUAUCAGCCUGUUUCAGACCUUGAAAACGAAGAUGUAUCUAUUUCGGCAAGAAAUUGGACUCCGAUACUUUUCCAAUAGGAAAUUUCCUCAGUUUUGGAAUUUUUGGAAAAUUAGAAAAAUAAAAAGCAGUCCGGAGAGCGAACGAGGCAGCCACAAGGGCCCACUCCGCCACCACCACCCUGGUGGCGGUGGGCAAGCUUGUGGGCACCUCGUGUGCCUUCCGGACUCCGUUUUCUUGCGGAGGACUCCUUCUGGCCCAGAAAAAAUGAAUAUAUAGUUGCCCGAAGGUUUUGAUCUCCGUAUCGCGCAGUUUUCCUGUGUUUUCGUUUCGAGCUUGUUUCUGCCACAGAUCUAGAUCAUCAUGACUUUCCCAAAUGCUCCUAAGGACAAGAUCUUCGAGAAGGUCAAUAAUCCCUACCUCGCGGAAGUGCUGAAACACCCACAAUCUAUCAAGAUGAGCGAGGGGAUGUUGCACAUCCGUGAUGUUGAGGGGCCUAAGAAGACCGGAAGCGUGGAGACGAGGCUCGAAGCAAUGGAGCAACAAGUCUUCAAGUGCCAAGGGAUGGUGGAGCGUGGACUCAACGCCAACCACACGAUGAUCACGGAGUUCACUAGCAAUCACAAGAUGGAUGCCAUUAAUAUUGGGAAACACCUCUCUAGGCUCUACGAUAGGGUUGGCCAACUUCAGAGCCAGAUCUAUGACCUGCAGAAUCAAAACUGUGAGUAUGAGUACAAAUUUAAAUCAAUAAGGCUGGCUGCAGAUUUGAGGAUUCCGGCGACUCGUUCAUCCUGCCAUGAUGGAGCACCUAUGCCUUGGAAGAUGGAGGAUCACACUACUCCAACAACAACACCAUCACCACCAAAGGAAGACAACUAAACAUUGGUAUGGGCAAUCCCCUUGGUUUCUGCCAAGCUUGGGGGAGUUGCCCUGGUAUCGUAUCACCUUUAUAUCUUUUGCUUUUACCUUUAUUUUAGUACUUUCCUUUUCAGUUUUUAUUUAUUCUUUUAGAGGAAUAAGUCUUUAUUUUUUAGUUUGAGUCUUUUACUUUUGUCUCUCCCCCGUUGUAUUCGAGCUUACGAGCUAUAUAAUAAAGAGUGUCUUAGUCAAGGGCUUUGCUUUGUGCCAUGAUCAAUAGUAUGAAAAGAACGAUAACAUGAAAUAUCAUGAGACGAUCUUAUGGAAAGUGAUAACUUCACUUAUGACACGUAUGAUGAUUGAAACUUGUAGAGAAUAAAUCAACAUAGACCUCAGUCAUUGUUGCAAUUAAUAAGAAGUAAUAAGGAAAGAGAGGAUCACAUAUAAAUAUAUCAUCUUAGACACUUUUUACAAUUAUGAGCACUCACCAAACUAUUACAUGCCUAGGAGUAGAUGUUGGACAAGGAAGACAACAUAAUGAAUUGUGUUUGCUUGGUUCCAAACAAUGUUAUAUGAUUAGAGAUCCCUUAGCAUGUGACGAUUGCUUCAACCUCAUAUUAGCCAAAACUCCCGCACCAAGUAGAGAUACUACUUGUGCAUCCAUAAACCUCCAACCCAGUUUUGCCAUGAGAGUCCACCAUACGUACCUAUGGAUUGAAUAAGAUCCUUCAAGUAAGUUGUCAUCGGUGCAAGCAAUAAAAAUUGCUCUCUAAUAUAUAUGAUCUAUUAGUGUGUGGAAAAUAAGCUUUGUACGAACCUGUGAUGAGGAAGACAUAAAAGCGACAGACUGCAUAAUAAAGUUCUUUAUCAUAGGAGGCAAUAUAAAGUGACGUUCCUCCGCACUAAGAGGACACGCAUUCAAACCUCAAAAGCGCAUGACAACCUCUGCUUCCCUCUGCGAAGGGCCUAUUUUGUACCUUUACUUUUUGCCCUUGUAAGAGUCAUGGUGAUCAUCACCAAUUCCCUUUUUGCCUUUGUCUUGGCUAACAUCACAUGUUUGGAAAGAUCUUUAUUCAUAUAUCAACUUGGAGUUGAGUACUCAUGCUUUAUUGUUGUUGACUUUACCCUUGAGGUAAACCGUUGGGACCCAAACUAUAAUCCCCUAUCUUCCCUUGUGUCCAGCUGAAACUUUGACACCAUGAGUACCACGUGAGUUGUAACAAUUGUGGAAAACGAAAGAGAUGAUUGAGUAUGUGGGUUUGCCUUACAAGCUCUUAUUUGACUCUUUCUGAUGUUGUGAUAAAUUGCAAUUGCUUCAAUGACUAUGGAUUAUUGUUGGUUACUUCUCGGUAAGGUUUUUGCUUCAUGAUUUACUUUGUGAAGGAAUUGUUACUUUCCCAUAAGAAUCUUUAUGAUAUAUUGCUGUUCUAUGUGUGAUCAUGAUGCCCUCAUGUCCGUAUUAUUUUUUAUCGACACAUUCGUCCCUCAACAUGUGGACAUGUUUAUGGAACUUGGUUUUCGCUUGAGGACAAGCGAGGUCUAAGCUUGGGGGAGUUGAUACGUCCAUUUUGCAUCAUGCUUUCAUGUUGAUAUUUAUUGCUUUUUGGGCUGUUAUAUUACUUGUGGUACCAUUUUAAUGCCUUUUCUCUCUUAUUUUGCAAGGAUUAUUUGAAGAGGGAAAAUUCAGGCAGUUGGAAUUCUCGACUGGAAAAGGAGCAAAUCCUAGUCCACUAUUCUGCACAUCUCCAAAUGCCCUGAAAAUUUACAUGGAUUUUUUCUGGAAUAUAUUAAAAAUACUGGGCGAAAGAACUAAAGGAGGGAGGCCACCAGGGCCCCACAAGCUUGCCCACCGCCACCACCCCCCUGGUGGCGCAGGGCAGGCUUGUGGGCUGCCUAAAGGCCCACUACCCCCCUCUUUUGCUAUAUGAAGCAUCCUGGUCUGGAAAAAAUAAAUCGGGAGCUUAUUCGUGGUUUCGCCGCCGCCACGAGGCGGAACUUGAGCAGAUCCAAUCUAGAGCUCCGACAGGACGAUCCUGCCAGGGAAACUUCCUUCCCGGAGGGGGAAGUCGUCGCCAUCGUCAUCACCAACACUCCUCUCGUCGGAGGGGAGGCAUCUUCAUCAACAUCUUCAUAAGCACCAUCUCCCUUUCCAAUCCCUAGUUCAUCUCUUGUAACCGAUCUUCGUCUCGCAACUCCGAUUGGUACUUGUAAGGUUGCUAGUAGUGUUGAUUACUCUUUGUAGUUGGUGCUAGUUGGAUUACUUGGUGGAAGAGUUUAUGUUCAGAUCCUUGAUGUUAUUCAUUACACCUCUGGUCAUGAUUAUGAUUAUGUCUUGUGAGUAGUUACUUUUGUUCCUGAGGACAUGGGAUAAGUCAUGUUAAUAAUAGUCAUGUGAAUUUGAUAUUCGUUCGAUAUUUUGAUAUGCUGUAUGUUGUUUUUCCUCUAGUGGUGUUAUGUGAACGUCGACUACAUAACACUUCACCAUAUUUGGUCCUAGAGGAAGGCAUUGGGAAGUAGUAAGUAGAUGAUGGGUUGCUGGAGUGACAGAAGCUUAAACCCCAGUCUAUGUGUUGCUUCGUGAGGGGUUGAUUUGGAUCUACUAGUUUAAUGCUAUUGUUAGACUUUGUCUUAAUUCUUCUUUUGUAGUUGCGGAUGCUUGCGAGACAGGUUAAUCAUAAGUGGGAUGCUUGUCCAAGUAAGGGCAGUACCCAAGCGCCGGUCCACCCACAUAUCAAACCAUCAAAGCAACGAACGCGAAUCAUAUGAACAUGAUGAAACUAGCAUGACAGAAAUUUCCGUGUGUCAUCGGGAGCGUUUUUCCUCCGAUAAGACUUUGUUCAGGCUUGUCCCUUGCUACAAAAGGGAUUGGGCCACUUGUUGCACCGUUGCUACUACUUGUUACUUGUUACUCUUUGCUUGCUACGUUUCACCUCGCUACACAAUCACUUGUUACCGCUACUUUCAGUGCUUGCAGUUAUUACCUUGCUGAAAUCCGUUUAUCAGAGCCUUCUACUCCUCAGUGGGUUUGACACUCUUACUUAUCGAAAGGACUAUGAUUGAUCCCCUAUACUUGUGGGUCAUUAGCCACCCCCCAGGCCGCGCCAUGGGGGCUUGUGGGCAGCCCACUAUCCCACUUGCUCCCCUCUUUUUCUAUAUGGAGGGUUUCAUCCAGGAAAAAAAAUCAAGGAGGAGCUUUUUCGUGGUUUCGCCGCCACCACGAGGCGGAACUUGAGCAGAACCAAUCUAGAGCUCCAGCAGGACGACCCUGCCAGGGAAACUUCCCUCCCGGAGGGGGAAAUCGUCACCAUCGUCAUCACCAACACUCCUCUCAUCGGAGGGGACUCGUCACCAUCAAAAUCUUCAUCAGCACCAUCUCAUCUCCAAACCCUAGUUCAUCACUUGUAACCAAUCUCCGUCUCGCGACUCCGAUUGGUACCUGUAAGGUUGCUAGUAGUGUUGAUUACUCUUUGUAGUUGAUGCUAGUUGGAUUACUUGGUGGAAGAGUUUAUGUUCAGAUCCUUGAUGCUACUCAUUAUCUCUCUGGUCAUGAAUAUGAUUAUGCUUUGUGAGUAGUUACUUUUGUUCCUCAGGACAUGGGAUAAGUCAUGCUAAUAGUAGUCAUGUGAAUUUGGUAUUCGUUCGGUAUUUUGAUAUGUUGUAUGUUGUUUUUCCUCUAGUGGUGUUAUGUGAACAUCGACUACAUAACACUUCACAAUUAUUUGGGCCUAGAGGAAGGCAUUGGGAAGUAGUAAGUAGAUGAUGGGUUGCUAGAGUGACAGAAGCUUAAACCCUAGUUUAUGCGUUGCUUCGUAAGGGGCUGAUUUGGAUCCACUAGUUUAAUGCUAUGGUUAGACUUUGUCUUAAUUCUUCUUUCGUAGUUGCGGAUGCUUGCGAGAGGGGUUAAUUAUAAGUGGGAUGCUUGUCCAAGUAAGGGCAGUACCCAAGCGCCGGUCCACCCACAUAUCAAACUAUCAAAGUAACAAACGCAAUCAUAUGAACAUGAUGAAACUAGCAUGACAGAAAUUCCCGUGUGUCCUCGGGAGCGUUUUUCCUCCUAUAAGACUUUGUCCAGGCUUGUCCCUUGCUACAAAAUGGAUUGGGCCACUUUGCUGCACCGUUGCUACUUUUGUUACUUGUUGCUCGCUACGAUUCAUCUCACAACACAAUCACUUGUUACCGACAAUUUCAGUGUGUGCAGAUUUCUCCUUACUCAAAACCACUUGUCAGAUCCUUCUGGUCCUCGUUGGGUUCGACACUCUUACUUAUUGAAAGGACUAGGAUUGAUCCCCUAUACUUGUGGAUCAUCACCCACAAGCCUGGUAGGCGCGACCACCCCCCUGGUCGCGCCUAUGGGGCUUGUGGGCUCCCUGCUGGCCCACUGGCCCCCCUCUUCUGCUAUAUGAAGGGUUUCGUUCCAAAAAAAAUCAGGAGGAGGCUUUUUCGAGGAUUCGCCGCCGCCACGAGGCGGAACUUGAGCAGAACCAAUCUAGAGCUCCGGCAUGACGAUCCUGCCGGGGAAACUUCGGGAAAUCGUCGCCAUCGUCAUCACCAACACUCCUCUCAUCGGAGGGGACUCGUCACCAUCAAUAUCUUCAUCAGCACCAUCUCAUCUCCAAACCCUAGUUCAUCUCUUGUAACCAAUCUCCGUCUCGCGACUCUGAUUGGUACUUGUAAGGUUGCUAGUAGUGUUAAUUACUCUUUGUAGUUGAUGUUAGUUGGAUUACUUGGUGGAAGAGUUUAUGUUCAGAUCCUUGAUGCUACUCAUUACCUCUCUGGUCAUGAAUAUGAUUACUCUUUGUGAGUAGUUACUUUUGUUCCUGAGGACAUGGGAUAAGUCAUGCUAAUAGUAGUGAUGUGAAUUUGGUAUUCGUUUGAUAUUUUGAUGUGUUGUAUGUUGUUUUUCCUCUAGUGGUGUUAUGUGAACGUCGACUACAUAACACUUCACCAUUAUUUGGGCCUAGAGGAAGGCAUUGGAAAGUAGUAAGUAGAUGAUGGGUUGCUAGAGUGACAGAAGCUUAAACCCUAGUUUAUGUGUUGCUUCGUAAGGGGCUGAUUUGGAUCCACUAGUUUAAUGCUAUGGUUAGACUUUGUCUUAAUUCUUCUUUCAUAGUUGUGGAUGCUUGCGAGAGGGGUUAAUCAUAAGUGGGAUGCUUGUCCAAGUAAGGGCAGUACCCAAGCGCCGGUCCACCCACAUAUCAAACUAUCAAAGUAACGAACGUGAAUCAUAUGAACAUGAUGAAAACUAGCAUGACAGAAAUUCCCGUGUGUCCUCGGGAGCGCUUUUCCUCCUAUAAGAGUUUGUCCAGGCUUGUCCCUUGCUACAAAAGGGAUUGGGCCACUUUUCUGCACCAUUGCUACUUUUGUUACUUGUUGCUUGCUACGAAUCAUCUCACCACACAACCACUUGUUACCGAUAAUUUCAGUGCUUGUAGAUAUUACCUUGCUGAACACCACUUGUCAGAUCCUUCUACUCCUCGUUGGGUUCGACACUCUUACUUAUUGAAAGGACUAUGAUAGAUCCCCUAUACUUGUGGGUCAUCAAGACUCUUUUCUGGCGUCGUUGCCGGGGAGUGAAGCGCCUUUGGUAAGUGGAACUUGGUAAGGAAACAUUCAUAUAGUGUGCUGAAAUUUAUUGUCACUUGUCACUAUGGAAACUAAUCCUUUGAGGGGCUUGUUCGGGGUAUCUUCACCUCGAACGGAAGCACAAAGAGUUACUCCUCAACCUGCUGCACCUACUGAAAAUAUUUGCUUUGAUUUUCCUUCAGGUAUGCGUGAGAAACUGCUAGCUAAUCCUUUUAGAGGAGAUGGAACUUCACAUCCAGACUUGCAUCUAAUCUAUGUAGAUGAAGUUUGUGGUUUAUUUAAGCUUGCAGGUUUGCCUGAGGAUGAGGUCAAGAAGAAGGUCUUUCCCUUAUCUUUGAGGGAUAAGGCGUUGACAUGGUAUAGGCUAUGUGAUGAUACUGGAUCAUGGAACUACAAUCAGUUGAAAUUGGAAUUUCAUCAAAAGUUUUAUCCUAUGCACCUAGUACAUCGUGAUCAGAAUUAUAUUUAUAAUUUUUGGGCUCGUGACAGAGAAAGCAUCGCUCAAGCUUGGGGGAGGCUUAAAUCAAUGUUAUAUUCAUGCCCCAACCAUGAGCUCUCAAGAGAAAUUAUCAUUCAGAACUUCUAUGCUCGGCUUUCUCAUGAUGAUCGCACCAUGCUUGAUACCUCUUGUACCGGUUCUUUUAUGAAGAGAGAUAUUGACUUCAAAUGGAAUUUAUUGGAGAUAAUUAAAUGCAACUCUGAAGAUUGGGAGCUUGAUGAAGGUAAGGAGCCAGGUAUGAAUUUCAAGUUUGAUUGCGUUAAAUCCUUUGUUGAAACAAAUACUUUUUGUGAUUUUAGCGCUAAGUAUGGACUUGACUGUGAGAUAGUAGCUUCAUUGUGUGAAUCUUUUGCUACUCGUAUUGAUCUCCCCAAAGAGAAGUGGUUUAAAUAUCCUCCUCCUUUAGUUAAACCCAAUCCAGUUGAAGAGAAUGUCAUUGCCUAUAAUGACACUAUUGCUCCUAGUGCUUACAUUGAGAAACCACCUUUCCCUGUUAGGAUAAAGGAUCAUUCUAAAGCAUCAACUAUGAUACGUAGAGGCUACAUUAGAACACCUACACCCCUUGAGCAAAUUAGAGUUGAACCUAGCAUUGCUAUUAUCAAAGAUCUCAUGUCCGAUGAUGUUGAGGGACAUAAUAUUCACUUGUGUGAAGAUGCUGCUAGAAUUCCUAAACCUCACGCUAGAGAUAAACAUAGGCCUGUUGUUGGCACGCCUAUUGUUUCUGUUAAGAUAGGAGAUCAUUGCUAUCAUGGUUUAUGUGACGUGGGUGCUAGUGUUAGUGCAAUACCUCAAUCCUUAUAUGAUGAAACUAAAGACGAGAUUGCACCUGUUGAGAUAGAACCUAUUGAUGUCACUAUUCAGCUUGCCAAUAGAGAUACUAUGUGCCCUGUGGGAAUUGUUAGGGAUGUUGAAGUCUUGUGUGGUAAAACGAAGUAUCCCGCUGAUUUCCUCGUUCUUGCUACCACUCAAGAUAGCUUUUGUCCCAUCAUAUUUGGCAGACCCUUUCUCAAUACUAUCAAUGCUCAUAUUGACUGUGAGAAGCAAACUGUCACUGUUGGCUUUGAAGGUGUGUCACAUGAGUUCAAUUUCUCCAAGUUUGGUAGACAACCUCAUGAAAAAGAGUUACCUAGUAAGGAUGAAACUAUUGCCUUAGCUUCUAUUGUUGUGCCUCCUACUGAUCCCUUAGAGCAAUACUUGCUUGAGCAUGAAAAUGAUAUGCAUAUGGAUGAAAGGGAUGAGAUAGAUAGGGCUGUCUUUGAACAAUAUCCUAUCCUUAAGAAUAAUUUGCGUGUUGAACUGCUUGGGGAUCCACCCCACCAAAGGGUGAUCCUGUGUUCGAGCUUAAACAGUUGCCUGAUACUCUUAGGUAUGCUUAUCUUGAUGAAGAAGAGAUAUAUCCUGUUAUUAUUAGUGCUAGCCUCUCAGAGCAUGAAGAAAAGAAGUUACUAAAAACUCCGAGAAAGCACCGUCCUGCUAUUGGAUAUACUCUUGAUGAUCUUAAGGGCAUUAGUCCCACUCUAUGCUAGCACAAGAUUAAAACUGAUCUUUAUUCUAAACGAGUUGUUGAUCAUCAACAGAGAUUAAAUCCUAAGAUGAAAGAGGUAGUAAGAAAAGAAAUACUAAAGCUCCUGGAAGCAGGUAUUAUCUAUCAUGUUGCUCGUAGUGAAUGGGUGAGUCCGGUGCAUUGCGUCCCUAAGAAGGGAGGCAUUACCGUUGUCCCUAAUGAUAAGGAUGAAUUGAUCCCACAUAGGAUUAUUACUGGCUAUAGGAUGGUGAUCGAUUUUAGGAAAUUGAAUAAAGCCAGUAGGAAAGAUCAUUACCCUUUGCCUUUUAUCGACCAAAUGCUAGAAAGACUGUCUAAACACACACACUUCUGCUUUCUAGACGGUUAUUCUGGUUUCUCCCAAAUAACAGUUGCACAAUCUCAUCAGGAGAAAACCACUUUCACCUGCCCUUUCGGUACCUUUGCUUAGAGACGUAUGCCUUUUGGUUUAUGUAAUGCACCUGCCACCUUUCAAAGAUGUAUGAUGGCUAUAUUCUCUGACUUUUGUGAAAAGAUUGUUGAGGUUUUCAUGGAUGACUUCUCUGUUUAUGGGUCUUCCUUUGAUGAUUGCCUCAGCAACCUUGAUCGAGUCUUGCAGAGAUAUAAAUACACCAAUCUUGUCUUGAAUUGGGAGAAGUGCCACUUUAUGGUUAAUGAAGACAUUGUCUUAGGACAUAAAAUUUCUGAAAGAGGUAUUGAAGUCCAUAAGGCUAAGGUUGAUGCAAUCGAGAAAUGCCAUACCCCACAGAUAUCAAAGGUAUAAGAAGUUUUCUUGGUCAUGCUGGUUUCUAUAGAAGGUUCAUUAAAGACUUCUCUAAGAUUUCUUGGCCUCUUACCAAUCUCUUGCAAAAGGAUAUUCCUUUUGUUUUUGACGAUGAUUGUGAGGAAGCCUUCGAAAUACUUAAGAAGGCUUUGAUAACUGCACCUAUUGUUCAACCACCUGAUUGGAACUUACCUUUUGAAAUCAUGUGUGAUGCUAGCGAUUAUGCUGUUGGUGUUGUCCUAGGGCAAAGAGUUGAUAAGAAGUUGAAUGUUAUUCACUUUGCUAGUAAAACUCUAGACAGUGCCCAAAGAAACUAUGCUACUACAGAAAAGGAGUUUUUAGUAGUCGUGUUUGCAUGUGAAAAGUUCAGGUCUUACAUAGUUGAUUCCAAAAUCACUAUUCACACUGAUCACGCUGCUAUUAAGUACCUCAUGGAGAAGAAGGACGCUAAACCUAGACUUAUCAAAUGGGUUCUCUUGCUACAAGAAUUUGAUUUGCACGUUGUCGACACGAAGGCUGCUGAUAACCCCGUAGCAGAUAACUUGUCUAGGUUAGAGAACAUUCUUGAUGACCCACAACCUAUUGAUGAUAGCUUUCCCGAUGAGCAACUCAAUGUCAUCAAUACUUCACAUAGUGCACCGUGGUAUGCUGAUUAUGCAAACUAUAUCGUUGCCAAAUAUAUACCACCUAGUUUCACAUACCAGCAAAAGAAUAAAUUCUUCUUUGACUCCAGACAUUACUUUUGGGAUGAUCCUCACCUUUAUAAGGAAGGAGUAGAUGGUGUUAUUAGACAUUGUGUACCUGAACAUGAACAGGGACAAAUCCUACAGAAGUAUCACUCUGAGGCCUACAGAGGACACCAUGUGGGAGACAGAACUGCACACAAGGUAUUGCAAUCAGGUUUCUAUUGGCCCACUCUCUUCAAGGAUGCCCUUAAGUUUGUCUUGUCUUGUGACAAAUGUCAAAGAAUAGGUAAUAUCGGUAAACGUCAGGAAAUGACUAUGAACUAUUCACUCGUCAUUGAACCAUUUGAUGUCUGGGGCUUUGAUUAUAUGGGACCUUUUCCAAAACCCAACGGGUAUACUCAUAUCCUAGUUGUUGUUGAUUACGUCACUAAGUGGGUAGAAGCUAUCCCCACUAGUAGUGCUGAUCACAACACCUCUAUCAGGAUGCUUAAAGAAGUUAUUUUCCCAAGAUUUGGACUCCCUAGAUAUCUAAUGACCGACGGUGGUUCACAUUUCAUUCAUGGUGCUUUCCGUAAAACGCUUGCUAAGUACGAUGCCAACCAUAGAAUUGCAUCUCCCUAUCACCCUCAGUCCAGUGGUCAAGUAGAGCUAAGCAAUAGAAAGAUUAAACUGAUUCUGCAAAAGACUAUCAACAGGUCUAGAAAGAAUUGGUCUAAGAAGCUCGAUGAUGCACUGUGGGCUUAUAGAACUGCCUAUAAGAAUCCCAUGGGCAUGUCUUCGUACAAAAUGGUGUACGGUAAAGCAUGUCAUUUACCUCUUGAGCUAGAGCAUAAAGCUUAUUGGGCAAUCAAAGAGCCCAACUUUGAUUUCAAACUUGCUGGUGAGAAGAGGUUAUUUGACAUUAGCUCGCUUGAUGAAUGGAGAGCUCAGGCAUAUGAAAAUGCCAAGUUGUUCAAAGAAAAGGUUAAGAGGUGGCAUGAUAAGAGGAUACAAAAGCGUGAGUUCAAUGUAGGUGAUUAUGUCUUGCUAUAUAAUUCUCGUUUAAAAUUUUUUGCAGGCAAGCUUCUCUCUAAAUGGGAAGGUCCCUAUAUUGUUGAGGAAGUAUAUCGUUCCGGUGCUAUCAAGAUUAACAACACGGAAGGUAAUUGUCCGAGAGUUGUAAAUGGGCAGAGAAUCAAGCAUUAUAUCUCAGGUACUCCCAUAAAUGUUGAAAGCAAUAUCAUCAAUACCAUAACUCCGGAAGAAUACCUAAGGGAUAUUUAUCAGCCUGUUUCAGACUCCGAAAACAAAGAGGUAUGUGAUUCGGUAAGAAAACAGACUCCAAAACUUUUCUAGUAGGAAUUUUUCUCCGUUUUGGAAUAUUUGAAAAAAUAGAAAAAUUGGAAGUAGUCCGGAAAGCGCGCGAGGAGGCGACAAGCCUGCCAGGCGCGGGCCCACCCCCUGGCCGUGCCUGGGGGGGCGGGGCUUGUGGCCACCUCGUGUGCCUCCCGGACUCCGUUUUCGUGCGGAGUACUCCUUCUGGUCUGGAAAAAAUCAAUAUAUAUUCUCCCGUAAGGUCUGACCCUCGCAUCACCCACAUUUCCUUUGUUUUCGUUUCGAGCCUGUUUUCUGCCGCAGAUUUAAGGCAAGAUAUCUUCUCAAGAUUCAGAGGGGGAGAGCUAUUGGCAGAUUACCUUGCUGACCCCAAGAUCUAUGGGGACUUGGAUCCUUAUGGCUGGAUGAUACGUCUCCAACGUAUCUAUAAUUUUUUAUGGUUUCAUGCUAUUAUCUUGUCAAAAUCUAGAUGUUAUGCAUGUCUUUUAUAUAUUUUUUGGGACUAACUUAUUAACUCAGUGCCAAGUUCCAGUUCCUGUUUUUUCCAUGUUUUUGACCCCUUUGAGAGGAGAUUUUGAAACGGAGUCCAAACGGAAGAAAAUCCCCGAAAAGAUUUUUUUCUGGAACGGAAGAUCGGGAAGCUUGAGAGCCAAGGUAGGGGAGCCUCAGGGGCCCCACAAGCCCCCACCCCGCGACUAGGGGGGAGGCCGCGGCCCACAGGCUUGUGGGCCCCCUCGGCGCCCUCUGUCCUAGGGGUUGCGCCUAUAAAUUCCCUAAAAAUCCCAAAAAAAUCAGGAGAUCAUCGAAAGUACUUUUCCGCCGCCGCAAGCUUCUGUCUCCGCAAGAUCCCAUCUGGGGCACGUUCUGGUGCCCUGCCGGAGGGGAGAUUCGGAUACAGAGGGCUUCUUCAUCAACACCAUGACCUCUCCGAUGAAGCGUGAGUAGUUCACCAUAGACCUACGGGUCCAUAGCUAGUAACUAGAUGACUUCUUCUCUCUCUUGGAUCUUCAAUACAAAUUUCUCCAUGAUCUUCAUGGAAAUCUAUCCGAUGUAAUCUUCUUUUGCGGUGUGUUUGUCGAGAUCCUAUGAAUUGUGGAUUUGUGAUCAGAUUAUCUAUGAAUCUUAUUUGAGUUUCUUCUGAUCUCUCUUAUGCAUGAUUUCAUAUCCUUGUAAUUCUCUUCGAGUUGUGGGUUUUGUCUGGCCAACUAGAUCUAUGAUUCUUGCAAUGGGAGAAGUGCUUAGUUUUGGGUUCAUACCGUGCGGUGACCUCACCCAGUGACAAAAGGGGUAGCGAGGCACGCUUCAGGUUGUUGCCAUCAAGGGUAAAAAGAUGGGGUUUUCAUCAUUGGUUUGAGAUUAUUCCUCUACAUCAUGUCAUCUUGCUUAAGGCGUUACUCUGUUCGUCAUGAACUCAAUACACUAGAUGCAUGAUGGAUAGCGGUCGAUGUGUGGAGUAAUAGUAGUAGAUGCAAAAAGUAUUUGUCUACUUGUCUCGGUCGUGAUGCCUAUAUGUAUGAUCAUUGCCUUAGACAUCGUCAUGACUUUGCGCGGUUCUAUCAAUUGCUCGACAGUAAUUUGUUCACCCGCCGUGAUAUUUGCUAUUUUGAGAGAAGCCUCUAGUGAACACUAUGGCCCCCGGGUCUACUCCACACCAUAUUUUCAGCCUUACACUUUUUACUUUGUUGCACUUUCCGCCUUCAGAUCUCACUUUGCAAACAAUCUUGAAGGGAUUGACAACCCCUUUGAAGCAUUGGGUGCAAGCUUUUUUGUGUUUGCACAGGUACUCUCGACUUGACGAGACCCUCCUUCUGGAUCGAUACCUUGGUUCUCAAACUGAGGGAAAUACUUACUGCUCCUGUGCUGCAUCACCCUUUCCUCUUUAAGGGAAAAACCAACGCAAGCCCAAUCUCCGUCAACGUGUCAAUUUCUGGCGUUGUUGUUUGAUAAGAAGCACUGGACCACCGAUGAGGAAGAAGAUUAUGAUCCCAAGGGGAAGCAACAAACAAGUUCCGAUGAAGAGGAGGCUCCUCUACCUCAACCUGGACACACGCAUGUGGAGUUCAAGAAGUCGAGCCUCCCUGACUCAAGGAAGAAGCCUAAGACUUUGUUUAUCCCUUCUCGUUUCUUGCAGGAGAGUAAGCAGGAAUUAUGCCAAAGGGUGUUGAAGCUUGAAGAGGAAAAUGAUGAUCUGAGGGAGCAGAAUUUUAUGCUCAGCUGGAAAUCAAACAAGCUCAUGACCUCUGCAACAACUUCACCACCAUCACCUCCAAAGGAAGACAACUGAGCAUGGGUAUGGGCAAUCCCCUUGGCUUCUGCCAAGCUUGGGGGAGUUGCCCCCGUAUCGUAUCACCAUCACAUCUCUUGCCUUUACCUUUGUUUUAGUUUGUUCCUUUUCAGUUUUCUCUUUCUCUAGUAGAAUAAAAGUCUUAGUGUUUUAGUCUUGAGUUUUGCUUUGUGUCACCCCCGAUGUAUUCGAGCUCGUGAGCCAUAUAAUAAAGAGUGUCUUAGUUGAGGGAUUUGCAUCUUGCCAUGAUCAAAAGAGUGAGAAAAGAACAAAAGCAUGAAAGAUCAUGUAAUGAUCUCAUGGGAAGUGAUGGCUUCACAUAUAAAAAGAAUGUUGAUUGAAACUUGUUGAGGGUAGACAAAUGUAGACCUUGGUCAUUGUUGCAAUUAAUAGGAAGUGAUAAGGAAGGAGAGGUUCACAUAUAAAUACAUCAUCUUUGACACCAUCUAUGAUUGUGAACACUCACUAAACUAUUGCAUGCCUAGAAGUAGAUGUUGGACAAGGAAGACAACAUAAUGAAUUGUGUUUGCUUGGUUCCGAACAAUGUUAUAUGAUUAGAGAUCCCUUAGCAUGUGACAAUUGCUUCCACCUCAUAUUAGCUAAAACUCCCGCACCAAGUAGAGAUACUACUUGUGCAUCCAUAAACCUUCAACUCAGUUUUGCCAUGAGACUCCACCAUACCUACCUAUGGAUUGAACAAGAUCCCUCAAGUAAGUUGUCAUCGGUGCAAGCAAUAAAAAUUUCUCCCAAAUAUGUAUGAUCUAUUAGUGUGUGGAAAAUAAGCUUUGUACGAACCUCUGAUGAGGAAGACAUAAAAGCGAGAGACUGCAUAAUAAAGUUCUUUAUCACAGGAGGCAAUAUAAAGUGACAUUCCUCCGCACUAAGAGGACACGCAUCCCAACCUCAAAAGCGCAUGACAACCUCUGCUUCCCUCUGCGAAGGGCCUAUCUUGUACCUUUACUUUUUGCCCUUGAAAGAGUCAUGGUGAUCUUCACCAAUUCCUUGUUUCGCCUUUAUCUUGGCUAACGUCAUAUGCUUGGAAAAGAUCUAUAUUCAUAUGUCAACUUGGAAGUAAGUAUUCAUGAAUUAUUAUUGUUGACAUUACCCUUGAGGUAAGCAGUUGGGAGGCAAAACUAUAAGCCCCUAUCUUUCUCCGUGUUCAGCUGAAACUUUGAUCUCAUGAGUACCACGUGAGUUGUAGCAAUUGUAGAGAACGAAAAGAUGAUUGAGUAUGUGGAUUUGCUUUACAAGCUCUUAUUUGACUCUUUCUGAUGGUGUGAUAAAUUGCAAUUGCUUCAAUGACUAAAGGCUAUCGGUUGUUAAUUCUCGGUAAGGUUCUUGAUCCAUACUUUACCUUGUGAAGGAAUUGUCACUUUAGCAUGAGAGAUUAUAUGUUGGUAUUGCUGUUCUGAUCAUGAUCAUGAUGCCUGCAUGUUCGUAUCUUGUUUUGUCGACACCCCUCUCCCUAAACAUGUGGUCAUAUUUAUUGAGCUCGGCUUUCGCUUGAGGACAAGCGAGGCCUAAGCUUGGGGAGUUGAUACGUCCAUUUUGCAUCAGGCUUUCAUGUUGAUAUUUAUUGCUUUUUGGGCUGUUAUUUCACUUCACGGUACAAUACUUAUGCCUUUUCUCUCUUAUUUUGCAAGGUUUACAUGAAGAGUGAGAAUGCCGGCAGCUGGAAUUCUGGCCUGAAAAAGGAGCAAGUUUGAGAUGCCUAUUCUGCGCAACUCCAAAAACCGUGAAAAUCAACGUGCAUUUUUUUGGAAUAUAUAAAAAAUACUAGGCCGAAGAAGUGCGAGAGGAGCGCAACCAGGGGGCCACAAGCCUGGCAGGCGCGGCCACCCCCCUGGCCGCGUCUAAGGGGCUUGUGGGCUCCCUGCUGGCCCACUGGCCCCCCUCUUCUGCAAUAUGAAGGGUUUUGUUCCGAAAAAAAUCAGGAGGAGGCUUUUUCGAGGAUUCGCCGCCGCCACGAGGCGGAACUUGAGCACAACCAAUCUAGAGCUCCGGCAGGACGAUCCUGACGGGGAAACUUCCCUCCCGGGGGGGAAAUCGUCGCCAUCGUCAUCACCAACACUCUUCUCAUCGGAGGGGACUCGUCACCAUCAACAUCUUCAUCAGCACCAUCUCAUCUCCAAACCCUAGUUCAUCUCUUGUAACAAAUCUCCAUCUCGCGACUCCGAUUAGUACUUGUAAGGUUGCUAGUAGUGUUAAUUACUCUUUGUAUUUGAUGCUAGUUGGAUUACUUGGUGGAAGAGUUUAUGUUCAGAUCCUUGAUGCUACUCAUUACCUCUCUGGUCAUGAAUAUGAUUAUGCUUUGUGAGUAGUUACUUUUGUUCCUGAGGACAUGGGAUAAGUCAUGCUAAUAGCAGUCAUGUGAAUUUGGUAUUCGUUCGGUAUUUUGAUAUGUUGUAUGUUGUUUUUCCUCUAGUGGUGUUAUGUGAACGUCGACUACAUAACACUUCACCAUUAUUUGGGCCUAGAGGAAGGCAUUGGGAAGUAGUAAGUAUAUGAUGGGUUGCUAGAGUGACAGAAGCUUAAACCCUAGUUUAUGCGUUGCUUCGUAAGGGGCUGAUUUGGAUCCACUAGUUUAAUGCUAUGGUUAGACUUUGUCUUAAUUCUUCUUUCGUAGUUGCGGAUGCUUGCGAGAGGGGUUAAUCAUAAGUGGGAUGCUUGUCCAAGUAAGGGCAUUACCCAAGCGCCGGUCCACCCACAUAUCAAACUAUCAAAGUAACGAACGCGAAUCAUAUGAACAUGAUGAAAACUAGCAUGACAGAAAUUCCCGUGUGUCCUCGGGAGCGCUUUUCCUCCUAUAAACUUUGUCCAGGCUUGUCCCUUGCUACAAAAGGGAUUGGGCCACUUUGCUGCACCAUUGCUACUUUUGUUACUUGUUGCUUGCUACGAAUCAUCUCACCACACAACCACUUGUUACCGAUAAUUUCAGUGCUUGCAGAUAUUACCUUGCUGAAAACCACUUGUCAGAUCCUUCUGCUCCUCGUUGGGUUCGACACUCUUACUUAUCGAAAGGACUACGAUAGAUCCCCUAUACUUGUGGGUCAUCAAUGUUCCAUUCGUUUUUUAUGAUGAUUGUGUAGAAGCAUUUAAAAUUCUUAAGAGAGCCUUGAUCACUGCACCUGUUGUUCAACCACCUGAUUGGAACCUACCCUUUAAAACUAUGUGUGAUGCCAACGAGUAUGUUGUUUUUUGUGUAGAAAAUGCAAGUUCUCGGAAUCGCGUGAAACUUUUUGGUGAUUAUUUAUGGAACAUAUGAGCAACAUUUGAGCGUAGAACCACUGGAUAGGGUCUCCCUGUUGGCCACAAGCCAACAAGGUGGGCCCGGGGAGGGGGUGGGGGGUCAAAGGGCCCCGCUAGCUUGUGGGCCCCUCAUAACUCUAUUUUGGGUGAUUCCAACGCCACAAAAUCCUAUAAAUAGAGAAACCCUCAUAAAUUAGGAGAGACUCUCCACCUCACCGCUACAACUCUGUGUAUCGAUGAAAAACCAAUGUGGAGAGAAAUCAGUAGAGAAAACAGGAGACAAAUAGAUAGAGAGAUCCAAUCUCGAAGGGGCUCUCGCCCCAUCGGGAGACAUGGAGGCCAAGGAUCAGAGGGGACAACCUCUACCCAUCUAGGGAGAGGCCAUGGUGGAGGAAUACUAAAGGGGGGGAAUCUUUCCCACUCUCUCGGUGGCGCCAGAGUGCCACUAGGGGAACCAUCGUCGUAGUGAUCGUCUUCUCAACAUCACCGUCUCUUUUCAACGGUCAACUCUCCCACACCCCGGUCCAAUCCCCUACUUGAACUUGGUGUUUCAUGCCACAUAUUAUUAAUCAAUGAUGUGUUGGCAUCCUAUAAUGUUUUAGUAGACUUAUGUUGUCCUUUGGGUUGAUUGAUGAUAUUGAUUGGUUUGAGUUUAUGUUUUAUAUUUGUAUUGUCCUAUGGUGCUCUCUGUGUCGCGCACACAUGAGGAAUUCUCGUUGUAGGGUGUUGCAAUAGAUUCAUGAUUCGCUUAUAGUGGGUGGCUAGAGUGACAAAGGCUUACACCAGAGUAAGGGGAUUGUUGCGUAUGGGAGUAAAGGGCACUUGGUGUUUAACGCUAUGGUUAGGUUUACCUUAAUGAUUUCUACUAGUUGGAGAUUAUUACUAGAGGUAUAAUCAUAAGUUCAUAUGUUCCAAGUAUUGAAAGUAUGUUAUCUCAUGCAUCUCCCUCAUAUAAAAUUGCAAGAAUGAUUACCGAUCUUGUUAUUAAUUUCUUAUGAAAAUUCCGCACACCAUAUUGUUAUUAUUCCACACCUGCUAUUUGUAAUAUAUUGUAAUAUAUUCUAACACUAUUUAGGCAAUGACUAUUUUCAUAUAUUUUUCUCCAAUAUGAUGCUAAGCUAUCCUCUUUAUACCCACAACACAAUUUUAUUUCUCAUUACUAGAUAGAAGCAACCGCUCGAUGUAUGUAGAGUCGUAUCGGUGGUAGAUAGGACUUGAAAGAAUAUUGAUCUUACCUUUAUCUCCUUCUAGGUUCGACACUCCAUACUUAUCACUUACAUCUUUGGAAAGUGCUAUGAUGAUUCCUUGCACUUGGGGAUUAUCAAGCUCUUUUCUGGCGCCGUUGUCGGGGAGCAAUAAUGUGGGGUUAAUAUUUCCGUUCAUGCUUGUUUGCUUGUAACACUAAGUAGAUUUUAUUUUUCUUUUGUUCGUGUUUUCUUAUUUUAUUUAUUUAUUUGUGGUGAAACAAACAAAAGAUUUAAAAAUUAAAAACACAUUUUUUACGUGUCUCUUAAAAGUGAAGCGAUUUUGGAAAGUUAUGCAUUGAAGAAGUGAGGGUCAACCUUGAACACUUGUGUUCAUGCUCAUGGAAACAAUGUAUAAUUUUUCAUGGAAGUUUCUCAUAAAAUAAUCAUUCCCUUAUAUUUACCACUGUAUCAUAAUAAUAAUAUAUUUUAUAAUAUUCAUGAUGGUCGUUUGCAUGUUUCAUCUACUAUUCUUAUGUGAGCAUCAUUGAUAUUAUCAUGCCUAGGUAAAAGGAUUUAAAUAAAAUCACUUAUACUUUCUUCUUUUGUGUGUUCAAAUGAUUAAGAUACUGUAGUAAUCAUGUUUUGCGUAUUUUAUUUCAAUAAUGUGCCAAGUAAAGCAUUUGGGAUGAUUUGGAUGAUAAUAGAUUUGAUCAUGUGCAAAAACAUAAACCAUUGCAUCUAGUGCAAAAUUUCUCUCAUUUCACCGGAACGUCUUUUUGAUCUGAAUUUUUUACACAGUAUAGGUAUACAAAUUCCCCGAUUUUUCCUAAUUUUUUAGAAUGUUUGGAGUUACAUAAGUAUUGUUUUUGUGAUGACCAUUAUAGAAUGUUCUGUUUUAGAUAGAUUAUGUUUUUGCUUGCAUAGUUUGCUUAUUUUGAUGAUGCUAUGGAUUAUAUCGGGGGGUAUAAGCCAUGGGAAAGUUAUAAUUUAGUAACUACUUAAAUAAUAAAUAUGAAUCAAUUUAUAACAGUUCCUAAAGUUUAUGAUUUGCCUCUUAUACUAACGGAUCUCAAGAGGUUUCUGUUUAGUUUUGUGUGAUUGAAGUUUUCAUGUUUUGGGUGAGAUACCAAUAUGAGGAGAAUAAGGAGUGUAAAGACCCUAAGCUUGGGGAUGCCCAAGGCACCCCAAGGUAAUAUCCAAGUAAUACCCAAGCGUCUAAGCUUGAGGAUGCCCCGGAAGGCAUCCCCUCUUUCAUCUCCAGCAUUAUCGGUAUAUCUUACUUGGAGCUAUAUUCUUAUUCACCACAUAAUAUGUGUUUUGCUUGGAGCGUCAUUUUAAUAUAUAUUUUUUAAAUUUGCUUGCUAUUAUUUAUAAUCCUGUUUUAAGUGAAAAGUUCCAAGAAUUGCCUUUAGAAUGCAUCAAUUGCAUGUGUGAGGGGUGCUGUAUGAAAACAUAAUUUUUUGUUGUAGUAUUUGAAUUAUAAGAUUUCAUUGGAACGUGGAAAGUUUCUGAAGUUUUUACACAGUAUUUUCAUACAAAUUAUUUAGCUUUUAAUAAAGUUUUAGAAAUUUUGGAGAUACAUAAGUACACUUUUUAAACCGAUUAGUACAUACUGUUCUGUUUGGACAAAUUGUUGUCAUAGUUUUGUUAUCUACUUAUCCUAGAGUUUUUAUGGCUUAUAUUGGUAGAUAUAAAUUGUGAAAAUGAUAGUAUACAAUAGCUAGUAUUUGAAAAUGAUUAUGAAACUUAUCUUGGGAGUACAUGAAGUGUUGAUUUAUUCUUUAUAUGUACUAACCUAUCUCAUGAAUUCUUUUCAAGUUUUGUGUGGAUGAAGUUUUUGAAACUUAGGUGAAACCGGGACAUGAGAGGAUUGAAAGGGAUACAAAAGCUCAAGAUUGGGGAUGACCAAGGCUCCCCAAUUAGAUAUUACAAGAAGUAUCAAGCAUCUAAGCUUGGGGAUGCUACGCAACCCUCCUCUCCUUGUCAAUAAUUAUCGCUUAGCUAAUGUUGAUCCUAAUUUUUCAUUCAUUCACAUGUGCUAUUCUUGGAACAUAUUUUGUGUUUAUUAUUCCCUUUUAUUUAUGCACCAUGCUGGUAUGAGAUAAUCCUUGGUUUAUUUAUAGAAUGCUUCGUGUGCUUCACUUAUAUAUUUUGAGCUUGGAUAUUGAUCUCUCUAUAUUCAUUGAAGAAGGCUCUAUGAACUUCACUUAUAUCUUUUUUAGAGUAGUUUGAUGAUCACUCUUGUGUUUCACUUAUAUCCUAAGAGAAAAUGUUGAAUGAAUUGAAUGUUAUAAAAUGUGAAAUUAUGUAUGCGUCGUAUGCUUGACCCAUGGGGAGUAGUGACUUCACAUGCUAAGAGUAUAAUCAAUAAAAUUUAUUGGAGGUUAGCAAACAUAGCAUUGGUCACUUGAACAAUUCAUGAAAGAAUAUUGAAGGAAGAUAUAUUUCACAUAUAAAUAUAUUAUCUUGGACAUCUUCUAUGAUUGUGAGCCCCCAUUAAUUAUUUUCAAACUUGAACAAGUAGUUGUCGUUGGACAAGGAAGACAACAUAAUGGUUAUGUUUGCUUAUAUUCACAUAGAAGUUAUAUUGUAAUGGAUCCUCUAACAUGUGGUUCUUGCUUUAGAUCCUUUGCUAGACCAAAAAUUCGCACUAAGUAGAGAUACUACUUGUGCAUCCAUAACCCUUAAGCCCAAUUUCUUGCCAUGAGAGUCCACCAUACCUACCUAUGGAUUGAAUAAGAUCCUUCAAGUAAGUUUUUGUUUGUGCACAAAGCAAUAAAAUUUGCUCCUAAACAUGCAUGAUCUUUUAUUGUAAGGGAAAAUAAGCUUUGUAUGAUCUUGCGAUGUUAAAGAAAUAAAAGCGACAGACUGCAUAAUAAAGUUUGCUAUCACAAGGGGCAAUAUAAAGUGAUGUUUCUUUUCAUUAAGAGAUUGCACAAAAAGCGCAUGACAACCUUUGCUUCCCUGUGCAAAGGGCCAAUCUUUUACUUUUAUGUAUUUAUACUUUUAAUUUUAUGCAAGAGUCAAUAAUGUUCAUCCCUACUCUAAUCUAUUAAUUCUUUAGUUGUCAAGCAUCAUGUAGUAGGGAAAUAUCCAGGCACAUAUCCAGUUGGAUAUAGGUGAUCAUGAUUCAUUAGACUUGACAUUAUCCCCGAGAUAAGUAAGUUGGGAGGCGGAACAUUAAACCCCUAUCUUCCUAUGUGUUUGAUUGAAAUUGCUUGUUCUAAAAUUAUGCUUUGAGUGUCAACAAUCAUGGAAGACUAAAUGAUAGUUGAGUAUGUGGAAUUCGCUAAAUCAAAGCUCUUACAUAGACCCUUCGUGAAAUAAGAUGAAUUGUAAUCAUUUGAUGAGUGUUGUCGGGGGGAUAACCCCGGGGUAGGCUCAUCAACCCUGUUCCUUCAUUUCCGGCCCAAUAGACAUAAAGAUAUGGAGAUUCCCAAGGACCAAGUCUUCUGACCGGCUAGGCAUCGCCUGCCGGCUGGAAGACGAGGUGGCCACCUCUCUAGCCGGCUAGGCAGCCCCUGUCGGCUAGAAUGCAGGCGGCCUCCCCUUCAGAGCCGGCCUGGUCCCGCCAGCCGGACUGGGGAGGAGGAGGCCACCCGCAAGCCGGCUGACCAAGCAGGCUAGCCGGCCGAGGAUCACCAGUCACAUCAGAUCGUAGGUCAGGAAAGGACCUCACGAUUUAAGGUAGCUACAUGUCAGCAAAGGUACUGAAUCAGGGCGCCCGACAGGUACGAGCGUCGGCGGCCACGCCGCUGACCUACCCCGGCUCUGAUCCAUCACCUAGCAUGAUGUCGGACCGUCACACUCCCACUCCAUUACUGCACUCGGCAUGGGGAACAGUGGAGGCGGUCGUACUGCCUGCCCAUGAAGAAUCUCGCGGGGCGACGCUCGACGUACAACGCGUGCUCAGCGUCAACCUUACGCGGGAGCCCCAUUGGCCAGUCGGCGGGUCCCACCAGCAAUCGAGACCAUGCAGCCGGCGGGCCCCUCAUCGACAAGACAAGACCCUUGUGGGCCCCUGGCAUCAGCACGGCUCCCGGCAAGGCCUCCAUAGGCGUUGGCGAGCCCUCUGCGGCCGCCGCUGAUACUCUUCGGGAUGCCAUCACCGGCCGGAAGACACCGGUCACCGCUUCCGCCGAUCCUGCAGACGCUCGGGCCUCACUGGAGGAGGCUCGCAAGCGUAUCUUGGAUGAGGGCAUCGCCGUGGCCUUGGCGAAACGUCGGUUGGAGGCUACACAUCGUGAGUAUAACUCCGCAUACGGUCUUACUCCGAUUUCCGAGGCCCCCAGCCAGCUUGGAUCGGUCCGCAGCCGUGGACGGUUUGUCACCGAGGUUCUAGGCGGGGAGCUGCCCACCUACGAGACUCCUGCGGCCAACAUGCGGGCAGCGCAGGCGGCCAUGGAGGAGAUGGCAAGCCUGGAAGGUGAGGAGAGCGCCUUCCAUGAGAAGCGUGUCAAGGAUCUCCUUGACGCCGCUAACCAGCAGCACGCUCGGUUCGACCCCGGCCAGGCUCAUCCAGAGUCCCCGGGACCGAACUCGGGGGCUCACCGCAACCCUAGCAGCCAGCACCACGUCGAAGGAUCUUCCUCGCAUCGCCCUUCCGGCGGGAGGGGCGAGGGAAGCCAAGGCCGGCGCUCGCAGCACCAGAGCGAGCACACUUCGGGCUUACGUCGCGGAGGCGACGAGGGCGACUCGGAGUACGGGGAUCUUCCCCCGCGAAGAACUCACGCCUCCGGCUCCCGAGGCGCCUCCCCUCUCGCCACCGGGGCUGGCGCCCCCGCCUCCUAGGACGAGCGGGACGCCCGCCGACGUAUCAUCGCCCUGGCCCAUUCGGCCCUCCUAGAGGAAUACGGACCCGUCGGUCCGGCUUGCUUCGGCCCCCGGAUCCGAGGGGAGCUGUUCCCCCGAGGUUUCACCCUGCCUCGGGAUACGCCGAAAUACAACGGCACGGCCAAGCCAAAAGACUGGUUGAUCGACUACACCACGGCCGUAGGCAUCGCCAGGGGCAACAAGCGCGUAGCGGUUUGCUAUGUGCCACUCAUGCUGGCUGGCACGGCCCGGACCUGGCUUAACAGCCUCCCGGUCGGCAGCGUCAACUCCUGGGUGGACUUCGAGGAGGCGUUCGUCCGCAACUUCACCGGCACCUACAAGCGCCCUGGUCGGCCCCGCGAGCUGGCCAUGUGCGUCCAGAAGGCUGACGAACCUCUCCGCGACUACGUCACCCGGUGGACGGAGCUCUACAACUCCUGUGAGGGGGUGCAUGAGGUACAAGCCAUCCAGUACUUCAUUGACGGAUGCCGAGACGGCACCCUCCUCAAGCACAAGCUCAUGUGCGCCGAGCCCACCUCUUUGGCGGUGCUCAUGGCCAAGGCGGACAAGUACGCCACGGCCGACUCCGCAAUGCGCAUCAAGGUGACCGCCUUGGACAAGGUUGUGCCUGCGCCGACUAAUCCCAAGCCGGCUGGGGACAACCGAGGCGGCCAGAACAACUACAAGCGCAAGGCGGAUCAGAUGGAUCCCCACUCCAACAACAAGCUAGUGGCCAACGUGGAGGGCGAGGCGUCGGCUUCCCAAGCCGGCCCUCCACGAAAGCGUUGCAAUCAGGGCAACCCCAACUGGCUGCCCAAGCAGUCUCUCGAGCAGCUGCUCGACGCCCCCUGCAAGAUACAUUCAGGGGCGACGCCGUCUACCCAUACCCUUCGACAGUGCAGCAUCGCACGCUGGCUGUCGCAAGGGGAGGGCAUGCCGGCUCCUCCGGGUGCGCACGCGGUGCCCCAUGCACCGGCUCCCCAUCACGCUCCGCUUCCGCCACCGCCGCCUCUCAAUGACGGUCCUCACCCUGAAGACUAUCCACAUCAAGACAGAGCGUUCGUCGUCUUCACCAGUGAAGGCGGCGACAAGCACAGCCUGCGCCAAAGGCGGCGCGAGGUAAACGCCACUGUCCCCGGUUCCCCAGUACAUGCAUUGGUCUGACAAACCAAUUACAUGGAGCCGGGUGGACCACCCGGCGGUGAUGCCCAAUCCAGGGUCAUACGCACUCCUCCUCGACCCCACCUUCGCCUCCAAGAGGCUCACCUGCCGAUUCUCCUGGUGCUGGUCGAUGGCGGCAGCAGCAUCAACAUCCUCUACCUCGACACUCUCCGCAAGCUCGGGCUCAAGGAGACGGACGUCCUGCCAACCAGCAUUGUCUUCCAUGGCAUCGUGCCUGGGCAGUCAUGCUCACCCGUUGGCAAGAUCCAGCUGGACGUCCUCUUUGGCGACAAGGCUCACUUCCGCCGAGAGUCCAUAUGGUUCGAGGUAGUGGACCUCAGUAGCCCGUACCACGCGCUGCUGGGGAGACCAGCUCUGGCCAAGUUCAUGGCUAUUCCGCACUACGCCUACCUAAAGAUGAAGAUGCCGGGUCCCAAGGGCAUCAUCACUGUCGUUGGCGACUACAAGAACUUGCUCGAUUGCGCCCAAGAUAGCAGCCGCCUCGCCGACGCCUUGGUGAUUGCCGAGGAGAAGCGGCGGAUCGACCGGCUCGUGGCCCAGGCUACCGAGCAGCCGGCGAUUCCUUCUCCUCCGUCCCAAUCGGCCGGCGAGGGCUCUUUCAAGCUGGCUAAAGAGACCAAGCAGGUCCCACUCGACCCUACCAACCCAAAGUAGUGCGUCACCAUCGGGGCUGGCCUCAGCCCCAAAUAGGAAGGCGAGCUCGUUGACUUCCUCCGUGAGAACCAGGACAUCUUUGCAUGGUCCCCCAAGGACAUGUCGGGCGUUCCGAGGAAGUACGCCGAGCACAAACUUCACGUGCGGCCGAAUGCAAAGCCGGUGAAACAACCUUUGCGCCGCUUCGCCGAGGUGAAGCGGCGCACAAUCGGAGAAGAGAUCACCCGGCUCCUUGCAGCCGGCUUCACCAUGGAGGUUUUCCACCCGGACUGGCUGGCGAACCCAGUCCUGGUGCUGAAGAAGAACAACACAUGGCGAAUGUGCAUCGACUACACUAGCCUGGAUAAGGCCUGUCCGAAAGACCCUUUCGCGUUUCCUAGGAUAGAUCAAGUGAUCGACUCCACUGCAGGCUGCGAACUGCUGUCAUUUCUGGAUGCUUAUUCAGGCUACCAUCAAAACAAGCUGGAUCCAGCUGAUCGCCUGAAGACCUCCUUCAUCACGCCCUUCGGGGUCUACUGCUACACCACCAUGACGUUCGGUCUGAAGAACGCAGGUGCGACGUUUCAACGCUGCAUGAGCAGUGCCUGCUGCCACAGAUUGGCAGAAACAUCCACGUCUAUGUGGAUGACAUCGUCGUCAAGACGAAGCAGCACUUCAGCCUCCUCGACGACCUGCGGGAGACAUUCGCCAAUCUGCGCGAAUACAAGAUCCGGCUCAACCCUGAGAAGUGCGUCUUCGGGGUCCCAUGCGGCAAACUCUUGGGGUUCUUCGUAUCCGCCCGCGGCAUCGAGGUGAACCCUGAGAAGAUCAACACCAUCGAGCGGAUGGUGUGGCCGGCUCGGAUCCUCGACGUCCAGAAGUUUGCCGGCUGCUUGGCAUCCCUCAGCCGGUUCGUCAGCCGGCUUGGCGAGAAGGCCCUUCCACUCUACCAGCUCAUGAAGAAUACGACGAAGUUCGAGUGGAGCGACCAAGCGGACGAAGCCUUCCGCGACCUCAAGCGGGUAAUCUCAAGCUUGCCAAUCUUGGCAGCCCCAUCUGAAAGGGAACCCAUACUCAUAUAUAUCGCGGCGACCACUCGCGUGGUCAGCGUAGUGUUGGUAGUUCAGCGUAAAGAGGAAGGCAAGGCCCUACCAGUACAGCGCCCUGUCUACUACCUUAGCGAGGUCUUGUCCGCCUCUAAGCAUAACUACCCUCAUUAUCAUAAAAUGUGUUAUGGCGUUUACCUUGCUGCAAAGAAAUUAAAACAAUACUUCCAAGAGCAUGCCAUCACUGUGGUGAGCACGGCUCCACUCUCAGAGAUCAUGGGCAACCGUGAUGCCACGGGCAGAAUUGCCAAAUGGUCCAUCGCCAUGGCGGACCAUGACAUUCGGUACGAGCCUCGCACCGCCAUCAAAUCACAGGUGGUGGCCGACUUCUUAGUCGACUGGGCCGAGACCCAGUUCGAGCCACCACCUCCAGACUCCAUGCAUUGGCGGAUGCACUUCGACGGUUCGAAGAUGCGGACAGGACUGGGAGCCGGCAUCAUCUUGACGUCCCCGAAAGGGGACCAGCUCAAGUACGCUCUCUAGAUCCAUUUCGCCGCCUCCAACAACGUCGCUGAGUACGAAGCACUAGCUCACGGCCUCCGGCUUGCCAAGGAGAUUGGCAUCCGGCGGCUCAUAUGCUUCGGUGAUUCGGACUUAGUGGUGCAGCAGGUCUCUGGCGAAUGCGACGCCAGGGACGCCAACAUGGCAAGCUACCGCUUCCUCAUCCAGCAACUCAGCGGCCCCUUCGAGGGUUGUGAGUUCCACCAUGUUCCAAGGGCGGAAAAUGAGGUGGCAGAUAUGCUGGCAAAGAUCGGCUCCACGAGGCAGGCCAUCCCAGCCGGCGUCUCCCUCGAGCAACUCCACAAGCCGUCUCCUGAGUCAGCAUCAAUCUUCGUACCGGCCGACUCUACAAUACAAGCGCCACCGGCUCCGCCAGUUAUGUCGGCCGUGGACCCCACGUCGGCUGCACUGACGGCACCGGCUCCAAAUGCGGCACCGACUGAAUCUAUGGUGCAAGCGUCGUCGGCUCCACCAACUACGCCGGCUUCGGAUCCUAAUCCGGCUCCAUUGGUCCAACCGACUCCAACAACGGCACCAGCUACAACGACAACCCCGGCUCUGCCCGGGCUCGAAUCCUCCUAGUGGGUGGACAUCAUGGAGAUAGACGAUGAGCCACCUGCAGCAAUAGCACCGGAGACGCCGUCAAGCUCGGGGGCUGCAGAAGCCCCCAACAGUCAAGACGAAGCAGAGGUGACCCUUGUGUCUGCUCCUUCAUGGGCUCAGGCCAUUCUGGCCUUCCUUCUUUGCGGCGAACUUCCUCAGAAUGAGGCGGAGGCGAGACAGACCCAGCGCAGGUCCGCCGCUUAGGCCAUCAACAAUCGCGAGCUGGUGCGACGCAGCACGACCGACGUGUUCCAACGCUGCGUCGAAUCAUAAAAAGGGCAGGAGAUCCUCAGAGACAUCCACCAGGGGGAGUGUGGGCAUCACGCCGCCUCCAGAACCCUGGUGGCCAAAGCAUUCCCCCAUGGAUUCUACUGGCCCACGGCCCUCGAGGAGGCUGUGGAUUUGGUGGGAAAAUGUGAAGGCUACCAACACUUCAGUGCACAAAGCCAUAUGCCGCCUUCAGCGCUGAAAACCAUUCCCUUAUCAUGGCCAUUCGCCGUCUGGGGGCUGGACAUGGUAGGGCCCUUCAAGACGGCUCGCGGAGGGAUGACACAUCUUCUGGUAGCCGUCGACAAGUUCACCAAGUGGAUCAAAGCCAGGCCUAUCAAGAAGCUUGACAGACCCACUACUGUCAGGUUUAUCACGGACAUCUCUGUCUGAUAUGGCGUUCCCCACAGCAUCAUCACCGACAACGGCACCAACUUCGCCAAGGGCGCCCUGCACUCUACUGUUCCAAGGUAGGCAUCCGGCUCGACCUGGCCUCAGUGGCACACCCUCAGUCAAACGGCCAAGCGGAGAGGGCCAACGGCCUGAUCCUAGCCGGCAUCAAGCCAAGACUGGUGGCACCACUGGUCAGGUCAGCCGACUGCUGGAUUGAAGAACUGCCGGCUGUACUAUGGAGCCUCCGCACCACGCCCAACUGGUCGACCGGCUUCACUCCAUUCUUUCUGGUAUAUGGGUCCGUGGCUAUUAUCCCCACAGAUGUCGAGUUCGACUAGCCUCGGGUCACCCUAUACACAGAGACAGAGGCGAAGGAGGCUAGAGAAGAUGGUGUGGAUCUCCUCGAAGAAGCGAGGGACUUGGCUUUGAGCCGGACGGCCAUCUACCAACAGAAGCUGAGGUACUACCACGGCAAAAGGAUCAGGCCUCUCUCUUUCACAGAGGGAGAUUUGGUCCUCAGAAGAAUCCAGCGCACUACCGGCCAACACAAGCUCUCACCCCCCUGGGAGGGACCCUUCAUCAUCAGUAGGGCGCUACACAACAACGCUUACUACCUGAUUGACGCCCAGAAGCCAAGGAAGCGCAAGAGGGACGACUCUGGCCAAGAGACGGAGCGCCCAUGGAACGCGGCGUUGCUUCGCCCAUUCUAUUGCUAAAAGGCAGAAGACAAGCAAAGGAAAGAGCAUGCACAUGUAUCUUCCUCCCUCUUCAGGGAACAACAAAGGCAAUAAAAAGAACAUGCUCCAUGUUUCUUUUUGUCAAGAGUUUUCACUCAGUGUACGGGCUACACAGCGUACCACCUCUUGCCGGCUUAAUCAAGCUCGGAGGCUACACAACGCGGCCCCUUGCUAGCUUUAAACAAGCUCGGGGGCUCGCCAGCCGCCUGAAUGGUCCACCCUUGUAGUCGGGCACAUAGUGUACCGGCUGAAUCCUGGUCCUUCACUUGAGCCUGCGGGCUGGCUCCGGUCGCUCGGUUCGCGAAGUGACGCCAGGUCAGGCCGAAUACAUGCACAGUCCGGCUAUACUUGGGACGACCGGCUCGGGCCGGCUCGAUCGUACAUACGAUCUCAUUCAAGACUCAAGACGGCCUCUGACUGCCGGAAACAACAAAUAUGAUUAAAAAACAGGCUCCAUGCUUUCUCUUGCUAAAACAGUUUUCACUCAGUGUACGGGCUACACUGCGUACCACCUCUUGCUGGCUUAAUCAAGCUCGGAGGCUACGCAACGCGGCCCCUUGCCAGCUUUAAACAAGCUCGGGGGCUCGCUAGCCGCUCGGACGGUCAAUCCUUGUAGUCAGGCACAUACUGUACCGGCUGAUUCCCGGUCCUUCGCUUGAACCUGCAGGCUGGCUCCGGUCUCUCGGUUUGCGAUGUGACGCCGGGUCAGGUCGAAUACAUGCACAGUCCGGUUAUACUAGUGACGACCGGCUCGAGUUGGUUCAUUCAAGCCGGCCUCCGAUUGGCUUAUGUCUUGUUCUUUACGUCUUGAUGGCUUCGGAUAAGAGAAGUCAACCAGGAAUCAAAAGACGGGAUCAUAAGACAACACGCUUGGUGACAAAUAUAAUGCUGAAUAUAUACAUUCAUAAAAAGCAUUGGCCCACGGCCCACGUUCGUUACAUCCCUCCGGGGGUAGAACCAAAAACACAAAAGGGCGCCAGUUACGGGACAGCGGCCUCAGGGGUCGUCUUGGCUGCUGCUCCUGAUGUGGUAGCAUCGCCGCCUCCGGCUCCUCCCGAGGUGGAUGCGCCGUCUCCCCCGUUGCGGCCCCUGGCUCCGCUUAUCCCGGAAUCGGCGUACACCCCACCGCUGGAGGCGGCUGCAGAUUCCGCAGCCCGGACCACCUCAUCGGAACUGCCGUCGGCGUCAUAGGGCUGAAGGCCGUGCAGAUCUUCAGCGAUCACACCGCCGUCUUCACCCCGCUCCAAGACGAAGUCAUCCCAGGUUGCGUAAUCGGCGACGGCGCUGGCUCUCACCCGGAGCUCCUCCUCCAUGCCUUGCAGCUCCGCCUCUGAGCCGUCGCGCUAGGCAGCCAGCUUGCCCAAGUUCAAAUUGCGAUACCAUGACUUGGCCAAGCGCAGGGCCAUAUAAGCCCCAGACCGCGCUACGGAGGCACGCCAGGCGUCCAGGCGCUCUCCACCCACUACGAGCCAGCGGGCAAGCUGGCUCAUGGUCGUCGGCUCCACACCCUCCGGCCACACGACCGCCACCAUCGACGAACCUGCAACCUGGAGCCGAGUCACACACUCGCCCAGGACGUGCAGGCGGGCCUGAAGGCCCACCCCGAUCUCCUCUAUGCUCCAGCCGGAGGUAGUAUCCACCUCCUGCCCAGCCCGCGGCGCUCCUCACGGCACACCUCAACAGCGGUGUCAGCUGCGACCUGCGUCUCGGAGAAGAGAUCUGGGGUAAAGGCAGCCGGACGUAAGAACACAGCAAGAGGAGGAGACAGCCAAAAGACCAAACACAAAACAAGGAAAAGAGACUCACGCUAGAAGGCGUCGUCGGUCUCAUGAAAGACCUCGAGGACCUUGCGCUCCCGCACCUCACUUGCAUGAGUGAGGCGGGCGAUUUCCUCCUGGAGGGUCGCGGCGGACGCCAGCGCCUUAGCCAGCUGCGCUUGCUUCUGGGUAAGGGCUUCGUCCUUCACCCUCAAGGCGGCGUCCUUGAGGUUCGCCUCCUCAAGUUGGAGCGACUCGAGGCGGUACACGUCGGCAGAGUAGGAGGCCUCCUUCUCCUGCAGCAUGGCCCGCAGCCGCUCCAACUCGACCCGGCCGACCGCCUCGAGCUCCUUCUUCUCCGCCUGAAGAAGGUCCAGCUGCUCUUGGAGCCGGCCGCCGGCUUCGCGCAGGGCAUCACGCUCCGUGGCAGCCUCACCCAGCCGGGCUUCAAGCUCGGCGAUCCGGCUAUCAGCCCCCAGGUGCUGGUCCCGAAGCUCGUUGUACGCCUGUACCUGAGCAUCGUAAAGCGCCUGCCAAAGGGGAGAGAAAGGAAACAGGAGUAAGAUUCGACCUGGUUAAAAGCAUAACCAACCCGAUUCUUGGGGGCUACACCCAGUGGGUGCGCUUGCGCGCCCCCACUGAAGAAAAAUAUGCAGAGAAAAAGGCCUCCAAGAGAUUCGGACCGGUUGGCAAUCAACCCGCCUGAUUCUCGGGGGCUACACCCAGUGGGUGCGCUGUCGCGCCCCCACUGACGUCAAGAGAAGAGAAAAAAGCGCAAAUAAAAACAGGCAAGGCAUACCUCGGUGUGGGCUUCCAGGCGCUCCAUGUCGCCGCAUACCACGUGGGCCGCCUGCUCCACCUUCGAUCGGCCGCUGUCAAAGAGUGUCACCAGCUCCGGCAUGUCGGAAAGAACGGUGCCGGCGGGCAUUCGCAGGCAGGCCGAGUUCGCCGCCCACCAUGACUUCAUGGGCCGGCUCUCAGGCCGGUCCCCUGCCCUCGGCGCGUCAGGGCCCUGCUGGGGGACGACGAUGGCGCCGGCUCGAGCGCCGUCCCAGCCGGCGCUACCUCCUCCGCAGGAGGCGGAUGAGCCGCGUCCAACGCACCCAUGGUCUCCCCUGGGACAUCAGGGGCCGCGUCUGGCGUGGUCAGAUCCAGCACCGGCGCGUCAGGAGCUGCUUCGACCCGGGGAGAAACCGGGAUCAUCUCCGGGUCCACCUGCUCCGGGGCUGCCGGCUCAGAUGGAUGGGCCCCUUCGGUCCUCGGGGCCGGCCUGGAGGCGGCCUCGCUAGCUGGCUCCUCCACACGGGCAUGUGCGGAGGGGUCCUGUCUAUCCUUCGCACGCUUCUCCGUCGGCCUCUCGACCCGGCUAGGGCAAGGCUGACCUACGGCGGUCUUCCGUGCGGCCGUGUCCCACCUGUGCUUGGAUUCUAUCUCGAGCUCCCUAUCGGCAGCAUCAGCUGCUGCCCAGCCGGCCCGCUCGGCUGCGGAGGCGGUGUCUUCAUCCGCAUCCUCCGCUUCCCUGUCAAGCCAAGCUUCUCAGGAACAAAGUUCAUCUCAAAAUAUGAAAGGGAGAUGAGGAGGAAACCAUACCCUGCAACUACCGGGACCUGCCUCCGGCCACCGCCACGGCGCCUCUUGGCGCCGUCUGCUCGCUGCCCAGCUGGAGGACCCAGCGCCAGUCACUUAGAGGCCGGCCGGGAAGCUGUGGCACCCUUGCCCUUCUUCACGGUUGCCUCGUCAGCAGCGGUCGCUCCGCCACCUUGACGCCGGCCGCGCGACGGUAGUGGGCCGGUGACCACCUCCACCUCGUCGGGGUCUCCCUCAAAGGCUGCAUCAGAGCAGAAUGAGGCUUCCUCAUCGUCGUCCGUCUAGUCUGCUAGGGCGUGUCGUGGGUACUCACCAGACGGCUCGGUCCCUUCCGACUCCAGGGGAUCUCCCGUGCCGGCGGAGGAGUCUGAGCGGGGCUCCAUCGCAUCCUCAUCCUCCAUCUCGGAGGCGCCGGACGCCUCCACGUCAGGAGCAGGCUGAGGAAGGGACCCCUGCAGGGUCUUGAACAUCUACAAGAAAGGAAUUCAACCAGGCUCAGCAAAUGCCACCGACUUCAAAACAAAACGACAGAAAAGACGGGAGUAAGGCUACCAUCGGAGGCGGAUGAGCCCGGUUGAACGGGGACAUCCCCCAUGUCCAGUCCCCGCCCUCAUCCAUGCGGGCGGUGGAGAUCAGGUUCACCCUUCGCGCUACCGCACCCGGGAUGAACCUCUUGAUGGACAGCUGGCAUGGAUCAAGCCGACCGCUCAUCUGGCAGACCAGAUGCGGCCGCCUCUGCAGAGGCAGAAUCCGGCGGACCACCAUGGUGGCGAGAAGGUCAUGGCCGAGGAGGCCGCUCUCCCUCAAGAUAUCGAGGUGGGCGCGAAUAAGCUCCACCUCAGGAUGCGGCUUGGGAGUCUUCGCGUCCCAGUUCUGCCGCGUCGGAGGGGCGAUGGCGAACGGGGGCAUGUUGAGGGCGUCCUGGGCCGGGUCGGUGCUCCUCACGUAGAAGAACCCCUUCUGCCAAUGCUUGAUGGAGUCCUGCAAAUGUAUCUGGGGGAAGCCGGACUUCGGGCGGUGAUGCACCAAUGCGGCCCCUUGAGCUUCUCCACCUCGGAUUUCUCCAUGGCGAUGGAUUGCUGCUUAAAUAAGAACAGGCUGCGCCACAGAUCGACGCGAGGCUCGAUCCCCACGAAGCCCUCGCACAGGACCACGAAGGCGGCCGGCUGCAGUAUGGCGUUCGGCGCCAGAUGAUGCGGCUGCAGGCCGAAGAACUGGAGCCACUCAGCGAAGAAAGAGCUAGCCGGGAGCCUGAAACCCCGGUAGAAGUGCUCGGCGAAGACCACAACCUCUCCCGCGACAGGUGCGGGAGAGGCCUCGGAGCCAGGAAGGCGCACCGACACUUGGGAGGCCGGGGGCAGCAGACGAUGAUGACAGAGCGCAUCGAUGAGCUCCUCGUCGACAUCGCUGCCCAGCCAGGCCCCCUGCAAGGACGCCUGCUGCGCAGACGACUUCUUCGAGGAAGAUCCAUCGGCCAUGGUUGCGGGUGGUGAGAGCUCGAAGCCGUCGGCGGAGGUCUCGGCGGCAAAGAAGCAGGAGACGAAGGGCGCGAGCUCUUCUUCUCAGGACACAAGGAGGAAGAAAGCACGGAGCAGGGCGAGAAGAGGGGGCGAAUGGCCUCCUCGAAACCCUCGCGUCCCAUUUAAACCCCACGAAGCAUCGUGGGGAGGGGAUCCGGUGCGCGCCGGGCCCCAUUAAUUCCGUGUAUUACGGGUGGUAACGCCCCCCUAAGCCCAACCGUCGCGGAGUAAAUCUGCAGAAGAUCUCCCGCGCGGAGGCCGAGAGGGCGUCGUAGCAGGACACAGGGCCCAGGCCCGGUCCGGUCAGCAGUAAUCGCCAUCAUUACGCCAGGCGGGGCCUGGCACGUGGCGUACUUCGGGCCUGUUACGACCGAACGAGGCGUCGCUUCGAAGCUACCCGGCUCCGAAGUCGGCGUCCUUCGCCGCAAACAACAGCCAAAGUAUCAAGACAAGACAACAAGCCGGUGAGGCCGCCCGCCCGCAGGCGGCAGACCUCGCCAGCUUCGGGGACUACUGUCGGGGGGAUAACCCUGGGGUAGGCUCAUCAAGCAUGUUCCUUCAUUUCCGGCCCAAUAGACAUAAAGAUAUGGAGAUUCCCAAGGCCCAAGUCUUCUGACCGGCUAGGCAUCGCCUGCCGGUUGGAAGACGAGGCGGCCACCUCUCUAGCCGGCCAGGCAGCCCCUGCCGGCUAGAAUGCAGGCGGCCUCUCCUUCAGAGUCGGCCUGGUCCCGCUAGACGGACUCGGGAGGAGGCGGCCACCCGCAAGUCGGCUGACCAAGCAGGCUAGCCGGCCGAGGAUCACCAGUCACAUCAGAUCGUAGGUCAGGAAAGGACCUCACGAUUAAAGGUAGCUACGCGUCAGCAAAGGUACUGAAUCAGGGCGCCCGGCAGGUACGAGUGUCGGCGGCCACGCCGCUGACCUACCCCGGCUCUGAUCCAUCACCUAGCAUGAUGUCGGACCGUCACACUCCCACUCCAUUACUGCACUCGGAGUGGGGAACAGUGGAGGCGGUNNNNNNNNNNNNNNNNNNNNNNNNNNNNNNNNNNNNNNNNNNNNNNNNNNNNNNNNNNNNNNNNNNNNNNNNNNNNNNNNNNNNNNNNNNNNNNNNNNNNNNNNNNNNNNNNNNNNNNNNNNNNNNNNNNNNNNNNNNNNNNNNNNNNNNNNNNNNNNNNNNNNNNNNNNNNNNNNNNNNNNNNNNNNNNNNNNNNNNNNNNNNNNNNNNNNNNNNNNNNNNNNNNNNNNNNNNNNNNNNNNNNNNNNNNNNNNNNNNNNNNNNNNNNNNNNNNNNNNNNNNNNNNNNNNNNNNNNNNNNNNNNNNNNNNNNNNNNNNNNNNNNNNNNNNNNNNNNNNNNNNNNNNNNNNNNNNNNNNNNNNNNNNNNNNNNNNNNNNNNNNNNNNNNNNNNNNNNNNNNNNNNNNNNNNNNNNNNNNNNNNNNNNNNNNNNNNNNNNNNNNNACCCCCCCCCCCCCGGCCGCCCCCCAUGCAAGGAGGCCGAUCACUUGCCAGUCAUUCAACACUACACACUCACCAACCAACAGAGAGCGAGGUAGAGACGAGCCGGCUGCUCCCCUCUUCCUCCUCCCAACACAGCUCCAGGAGCAACCUUGUACUCUGUUCCCAUACAUCAAACACACCAGCAGGAUUAGGGGUAUUAUCUCUACGGAGAGCCCUGAACCUGGGUACAUCGUACGUCCCAUGCGUGUACCAACCUCGUUCCCAGCGCCCACCUUUGUCCCUACGGUUCUCAUCGACUUUAGCCUACCUAUGGCAUAUGUUGUGAGUAUUCACCGACAAGUGUAAACAUAGUUUGCUAGUUUUCAAGAAAGUUUAUGGUCUAUAGUUUAACAUGUGAAUAGCUUGUUACUUGAUCAUGAGAGUUCCAUGAGAAAAGAGUUGCUCUUUUAUGAUGCUAGAAAAAGUGAUUGGAAAUAAGAUUGAUCAAACUUAUAUACUAUGCUAGCAUUCACACUUCAUAAAUUAUUUCUUUUAUCAUUUACCUACUCGAGGACGAGUAGGAAUUAAGCUUGGGGAUGCUGAUACGUCUCCAAUGUAUCGAUAAUUUAUGAAGUAUUUAUGAAAUAUUCACCUAUAUUUACAAUACUUUUAUAUGACUUUGAUGCACUUUUGUGAUUUAAUUACAACUAACCCGGACUGACAUUGUUUUCAGUAGAAUUAUCAUGGUGUCAUUUUUUGUGCAGAAAAUGAAAGUUCUCAUAAUCAUCCAAAACUUUUUGAUGAAUUUUUUUGGAACAUAUGAGCAGCAUUCGUGUGGCCAACACAACACCCACAUGGGGUCAAAGUGCCAUGUGAAAGGACGUGGAUGUCGCCUAGAGGGGGGGUGAAUAGGCGCUUUAAAAUAAUUAUGGUUUAGGCUUGAACAAAUGCGGAAUAAAACUAAGGUUUAAUUUGUCAAGCACAAAACCUACAACAACUAGGCUCACCUAUGUGCACCAACAACUUAUGCUAAGCAAGAGAAUUAACUAAGUGAUAGAAAGAUAUAUGACAAUAAACAAUAUGGCUAUCAUAAAGUAAAGUGCAUAAGUAAAGGGUUCGGGUAAGAGAUAACCGAGGCACACGGAGAUGAUGAUGUAUCCCGAAGUUCACACCCUUGCGGAUGCUAAUAUCCGUUGGAGCGGUGUGGAGGCACAAUGCUCCCCAAGAUGCCACUAAGGCCACUGUAAUCUCCUCACGCCCUCGCACAAUGCAAGAUGCUGUGAUUCCACUAAGGGACCCUUGAGGGCAGUCACUGAACCCGUACAAAUGGAAACCCUUGGGGGCGGUUACCGAUACCCGUACAAAUUGCUCGGCACAAUCUCCACAACCUAAUUGGAGACCCCGAUGCUUGCCCGGAGCUUUACACCACAAUGAUUGAGCUCCAAGACACCACCAAGCUUCUAGGACGCCAAAGCAUCCACGAAGAACAAUCUCUAGGGUACUAAGUACCAAAAGGUAAUAGGGCUUCUCAAACUUCACUUCCACGUAUCACCGUGGAGAACUCAAACCGAUGCAACUCAUGCAAUGGCAAGAACACACAAAGUGGUCAAGUCCCUCGCACUCAAAUCCCUCCAAAACAACAAAAGCUAUGGAGAAAUAUGAGAGGAAGAACAAGGAGCUCACAAAGAACUCCAAGAUCUAGAUCCAAGGGGUUCCCCUCACAUAGAGGAGAAAGUGAUUGGUGGAGAUGUGGAUCUAGAUCUCCUCUCUCUUUUCCCUCAAGAACAAGCAAGAAUCAUUGGAGGGAUUGAGAGUUAGCAAGCUCUAAGAAGGUCAACAAUGGGGGAAGAACACGAGCUCAAUAGAUAAGAUUUUGCAAGGGGGAAGAAGACGCCCUUUAUAUAGUGGGGGAAGGAAUCAGACCGUUACCCCCACUUACAGCCCGAGCCCAGCGGUACUACCGCUGUCUGCAGCGGUACUACCGCUGACCCUCCAGGGGUACUACCGCUGAGCCCAUGGUAGCGCAAAGAUACUACCGGGGCAACCACCGCCAAGAAAGUCUUCGCAAAAAGUCCGAAGAAGUACAACCGCAAGGAUGACGGUACUAAAGUCUUGGAGCGGUACUACCGCUGACCAGGGGUGGUACUACCGCUAGGACAGCGGUACUACCGCCAGCUCUAGCGGUACUAUCGCUAGGGCCAGUGGUACUACCGCCAGCUCCAGCGGUACUACCGCUCGCCACUGAAACACCCAUAACUUUCGCAUACGAGCUCCGAAUCGAGCAAACCCAAGCUUGUUGGAUUCAGGACGACAAGAGCUAUCCAAACAGCCAAUGAUAUAUAGAUGUGAGACCUCUAUGAAUGAAUAAACGGCAAAAACUCCAACAUCUAAAACAUCAUAGUAGAUGCAUAUGGACUCCGUUUUCGAUGAACUCGAGCUUGUCAUGAAGAUGACCAUAAGCUCUAAAACUCACAAAGAGAAACGCCAAAUAAGAACCAAGAAUUAUGAUGCAAGGAUGAAAAUGGUUUGAGCUCUCAACGAACGAUACGAUCAAGCUACUCACUUGAGAGCUCCCCUUGACAGUACAACAUUCUAUCCUAAAACAGAACACCAAUCAAGGGCAAACCUAUACCUUGCACCUCGACCUCUUGAGCUAGAUGAUGAUGAUCUUGGCUUCCUCAAGAUGGACCACCUUUCUUGAUUGCGUUGGCUUGAUGAAGACUAGUUGAUUGCUCCCCCAUACUCACUAGGGGUGAGCCACUCUUCAGCAUAUCUUCACAAGUCCAUUGCCACCACAAUGGACGGCAAGCUUCAAGCAUGAUAUAUUCGUGCUGAUCCACUUGAACUUGCACACCGCAAUCUUGAUGACGAUCACCACUUGACGUCGUCCUUCAUGGGUUGAAUGAGAUCUUCCUUUUGACGCAAGCCCAUGGAAACACACCUAACCCCCACAUAGACCUCUCACGAAGACCAUGGGUUAGUACACAAACACGUAAUGGACAAUGCUUACCAUACCAUGGGAUCACUUGAUCCCUCUCGGUACAUCUUGUAUGCUUUGUGUGUUGAUCAUCUUGAUUUACUCUUUGUCUGAGAUCUUGAUCAACCUUGUGUCUCUAUGACCAUUCUUUGGAUAAUACCUUGAAUACCAUCUUGGUCAUCAUAUAAACUCCUUGAACCCAACAGAUGGACUUCAAGAAGUGCCUAUGGACAAAUCCUAUAAAUAUAACUUAAGGCAACCAUUAGUCCAUAGGAAUUUUCAUCAAUUACCAAAACCACAUAUGGAGAUAUAUGCUCUAACAAUCUCCCCCAUUUUGGUAAUUGAUAACAACCACUUCAAGAGAGUUUAUAUAAGGAAAUAAGCAUAACCAAGUGCACACAUACAAAGCAAUAAUGCAUGCGUGCAAGAUGUAAAUGCUUACGCAAUAAAAGCAAAACCAUGUAAACAUAUCCAAAGUAAACUCUCUAAACUUCUCCCCCAUUGGCAUCGAUUGCCAAAAUGGACGAAAAGUUUAGAAAGCCAAUAUAGUAGGUGGUCCUCCAAAAAGUGUGUACUUAUCAGGAAAUGGGUGCAAAGAAAUACACAAAUACAAUGAUAAGUAGUUGGAGGAAAACAAACUAUAUUGAGGACCCAAAGAUUGCAAAUAAAAGGGUCGUAUGCCACAAAGACAUACAAAAACAGAGGCAAGCAAUCAAAAGAUACCAUAUGGAACACACAAUCAUAUGGUCCUUCGAACCACAUGAAUAAAAGAUAUUAUGAUAAAGGCAACAGAGUGUUUUAUCAAAACUAGAGAAGCUCCCCAUGAUUUGUGCACUAAUACAAGAUUUUUGUAUUUGAUACAAGUGCACAAAAUAGGAUCGUUGCUUCCCCAAAAUUAAUAAAAAAACACAACGAGUGCAAGAGGAUAGAUGAGACAGUAAGCAUAUCACUUUCACAAAACAAAUGGUUGAGCAACAUGUAAAAGAAGCAACUUAAGAAUAGGCUCAACCAAAAUAAUGUGUGUGAGUCAUGGCAAAGCACUUGAGAAGACUAAGAUAAGGAUGAACAUUACUCAUCAACAUAGUCUUGAUGAAAUGAGACACAAAGUGCAAGACAUAUCAUUCCCACACACACAUACUAGAAAAUGGGUUCACAAGCUUACUAAUAAACAAAAAAGGAAGCAACGCUUGUGACAACCGAUGGUGAAGAUAGGAACUAAGAACCUUGUCAAGAAGAGGGAUAUCAAUCGAAAUGGCAAAACCCUCAUCAAGACAAGCAUGAGGAAAAAUAAUCUCCACGGCCAAAGAGUGCAUCAAGAUGUAGGAAAAUAAGAUACGUACUCAAGAAAAAUCCUUUCACAAAGCCACGCCUAGGGGGAUUGUGGCCUCCCCUGGUGGCCUCUGCCUUGGUUCUCACAUCCCCUGCGUAUCUUCUGUUCCGGAAAAAAUCUUUUCGGAAGUUUUAUUCCGUUUGGACACCGUUUAAAAUUCUCCUCUGAAAAGGGUGAAAAACACGGAAAAACAGGAACUGACACUUGGCACUGAGUUAAUAAGUUAGUCCCAAAAAAGAUAUAAAAGGCAUACAAAACAUCCAAUGUUUGAAAAGAUAAUAGCAUGGAACCAUAAAAAAUUAUAGAUACGUUGGAGACGUAUCAAGCAUCCCCAAGCUUAACUCCAUCUCGUCCUCGAGUAGGGAAGUGAUAAAGACUGAUUUUUUUAUGUGGAAUGCUACCUAGCAUAGUUGUCCUUUGUAACUUCUUUCAUGUGACAUGAAUGUUCAGAUCCGUAAGAUUCAAAACAAUAGUUUGCUAUUGCCAUGAAAACAAUAAUACUUCAAGCAAACUAGCAAGGUAAUCAUGAACUUUCAAAAUAACAAGGCCAAAGAAAGUUAUCCCUACAAAAUCAUAUAGUCUGGCUAUGCUCCAUCAUCCCCACACAACUAAUUUAAAUCAUGCACAACCCCGGUAUUGGCCAAGUAAUUCUUUUCGCACUCUUACUUUCUCAAACCUUUUUCAACUCUCACGCAAUACAUGAGCGUGAGCCAUGGAUAUAGCACUAUGGUGGAAUAGAGUGUGGUGGAGGUUGUGAGACAAAAAGGAGGAGAUGGUCACAUUGACUCGGCGUAUCAAAGGACUAUGGAGAUGCCCAUUAAUAGAUAUCAAUGUGAAUGAGUAGGGAUUGCCAUACAAAGGAUGCACUAGAGCUAUAAGUAUGUGAAAGCUCAAAAGGAGAACUAGUGGGUGUGCAUCCAACUUGCUUGCUCACGAAGACCUAGGGCAAUUUUGAGGAAGCCCAUCAUUGGAAUAUACAAGCCAAGUUAUAUAAUAAAGAUUCCCACUAGUAUAUGGUGGUGACAAAACGAGAGGCUCUCAAUCAUGAAGAACAUGGUGCUAUUAUGAAGCACAAGUGUGCAAAGAGAUAGUAGCAUUGUCCCUUCUCUCUUUUUCUCUCCUUUUUUUGUUUGGGCUCUUUGGCCUCUUUCCAUAUCUCUCUCUCCUUUUUUUCCUCACAUGGGACAAUGCUCUAAUAAUGAUGAUCAUCACACUUUUAUUUACUCACAACUCAAAGCUUAGAAUGAUGAUGACUCUAUAGGAAAUGCCUCCGGCAGUGUACCGGGAUGUGCAACGAUCUAGCUUGGCGUAUGACGUUGAAACAUCUCGCUAGCUAUCUUACGAUCAUGCAAUGGCAGUAUGAGAGUGACGACACAAGUCAUGAGACGGAACGAUGGGAGUUGCAUGGCAAUAUAUCUCGGAAUGGCUAUGAAAAUGCCAUACUAGGUAGAUAUGGUGGCUGUUUUGAGGAAGGCAUAUGGUGGGUUUGUGCACCGGUGAAAAUUGCGUGGUACUAGAGAGGCUAGCAACGGUGGAAGGUGCAAGUGCAUUUAUACCAUGGACUCACAUUAGUAAUGAAGAACUCACAUACUUGUUGUGAAAUUUUUUAUUAGUAAUCGAAACAAAGUGCUAAACGCAUACUCCUAGGGGAAGGGUUGGUAGGUGUUAACCAUCGCGUGAUCCCGACCGCAACACAAAGGAUGACUAUCAAUAGAUCAAUUAUGCUCCGACUUCCUAACAUAGUGGUUCACCAUACGUGCAUGUUACAGGAAUCAUAAACUUCAACACAAGUAUUUCUAGAUUCACAACACCCUACUAACAUAACUCUUAAUAUUACCAAAUCCAUGUCUCAAAACUAAUUGAGAGGAAUCAAACUUCUCUUUCUAAUCAAUACACAUGAAGAUGGAAGUUUUAUUGUAUCCUCUUUGGGUACCUAUCACCUUUGGGACUACUUUCAUAGCACAAGCCAACUACCAAGUUACACACCGUCGUGCUCUAAAAGAUCUAAGUGAAGCACAUAGAGCAAAAUUAUCUAGCUCAAAAGAUAUAAGUGAAGCACAUGUGAGCUAAAUUGCCUAACUCAAAAGAUAUAAGCGAAUCUCAACGAGUAUUCUAGCAAAUUCACGAUGAGUACAUGUCUCUCUCAAAAGGUGUGCAACAAGGAUGAAUGUGACACAACAAAAAGAAAAGACUCCUAUGCUACAAGACGCUCCAAGCAAAACACAUAUCAUGUGGUGAAUAAAAAUAUAGCUCCAAGUAAUGUUACCGAUGGAUUGAAGAUGAAAGAGGGAAUACCUUCCCGGGCCAUCCCCAAGCUUAGGCUUUUUGGUGUCCUUGAAUUUGGCUUGGGAUACCUUGGGCAUCCCCAAGCUUGAGAUCUUUCCACUCUUUAUCCCUUUGUCCAUGAGAACAUCACCCAAAACUAGAAAACUUCACAACACAAAACGUAAACAGAAACUCGUGAUANNNNNNNNNNNNNNNNNNNNNNNNNNNNNNNNNNNNNNNNNNNNNNNNNNNNNNNNNNNNNNNNNNNNNNNNNNNNNNNNNNNNNNNNNNNNNNNNNNNNNNNNNNNNNNNNNNNNNNNNNNNNNNNNNNNNNNNNNNNNNNNNNNNNNNNNNNNNNNNNNNNNNNNNNNNNNNNNNNNNNNNNNNNNNNNNNNNNNNNNNNNNNNNNNNNNNNNNNNNNNNNNNNNNNNNNNNNNNNNNNNNNNNNNNNNNNNNNNNNNNNNNNNNNNNNNNNNNNNNNNNNNNNNNNNNNNNNNNNNNNNNNNNNNNNNNNNNNNNNNNNNNNNNNNNNNNNNNNNNNNNNNNNNNNNNNNNNNNNNNNNUCCAUAGUUUCAUCAAAACAAGCAAUCAACACAACAAAAACAGAAUCUGUCAAAAACAGACCAGUCUGUAGCAAUCUGUAUACUUUGUAUACUUAUGGUAUCUCAAUAAUUCUGAAAACUUACGACAGCCUGGGAAAAAGGCAUAUCAACCAUCGGCAAAAAGAAUCAACUCAAAAUAUCUUUUUGAAUAAAAAUGAAAAAUAAUUUCGUGAGCGAAAAGUUUCUGUCCUUUUCCAGCAGGAUCAAACAACCAUCACCAAAACUAGUCAUAAAGGUUUUGCUUGGCUCAAACACAAAAAGAAACACAAAAGACACAAUCAUAACAGAAUUAUGAUGGUGUGUAUGCAACAAAAUAGAAAUAAAACAAUAAAUUAAUUGGGUUGCCUCCCAACAAGCGCUAUUGUUUAAUGCCCUUAGCUAGGCAUAAGACGAUAGAAUCACGUAUCAUCGUCUUUGGUGCUCAAACCAUAAGUAGCCCUCAUCAUAGAUUCAUAAGGCAAUCUUAUUUUAUUUCUAGGAAAAUGCUCCAUGCCCUUCUUUAAAGGAAAUUGAAAUCUAAUAUUCCCUUCCUUCAUAUCGAUGAUAGCACCAAUAGUCCUUAGGAAAGGUCUACCAAGAAUGAUAGGGCAUGUAGGAUUUCAAUCAAUAUCAAGCACAAUGAAAUCCACGGGUACAUAGUUCCUAUUUGCAAUAAUAAGAACAUCAUUGAUCCUUCCCAUAGGUUUCUUGACAAUGGAAUCCGCAAGAUGCAAAUUAAGAGAACACUCCUCAAUCUCAUUAAAGCCUAGAACAUCACAUAAAGACUUUGGAAUCGCGGAAACACUAGCACCCAAAUCACACCAAGCAUUGCAUUCAUAGUUUUUGAUUUUGAUUUUGAUAGUAGGUUCCCACUCAUCAUGAAUCUUUAUAGGAAUAGAAACUUCCAACUCAAGUGUCUCUUCAAGAGAUUUUAUCAUAGCAUCGACGAUAUGAUCGGUAAAGGCCUUGUUUUGGCUAUAAGCGUGUGGAGAGUUUAGCAUGGAUUGCAUCAAGGAAAUGCAUUCAAUCAAAGAGCAACUAUUAUAAUUGAAUUCCUUGAAAUCCAAAGUAGUAGUUUCAUUACUACUCAAAGUUUUAAUAUCUUCUACUCCACUUUCAAUGCUUUUAGCAUCAAGAUAGAUGGACUCUGAAUCAUUGGGGCGUUUUUCAACCAAAGUGGAUUCAUAUCCAGCCCCAUAAUCAUUAGGUUUGUCACAAGAAAACAAAGAUUCAAUGGGAGUCACACCAAGCACUUUAAGUUCUUCAUGAUUCUCAUCACAAAUUUCAAGUUUAGCACUAUUUUAUUGACUAAGGUAGCAUGUUUAUCAGAAAUCUGGCCUACCAAUUUUUUAAGACGAGCAAACUGAGAAUUUAGCGCAAGGAAUUAUUUGGCCAUAUCAUCAACUUCUUUAUUCAUAAAAGCCAAAAAAGAAUUUUGCUCCUUCAGUUCCCUACGGAAGUAACUGUUAUAAUCAAACUGUGUAGACAUGAAGCCUUUAACACAAGCUUCAAUCUCUUCCAACCUCUCAUAGUAAGCAUCAAAAUCCCUUGGUUGGGCCAUAUAGGUCUUAGCAGGCAGACAAGCGAACAGAAAACAAGCGAGAGAAAAGGGCGAACGAAAAAAGGCAAAUAUUUUUGUAAAUUUUUGUUUUUCAGAAGUGGGGGAGAGGAAAACGAGAGGCAAAAAAAGUAAAUGCAAGACAUGAGUUUGCGACACUUACUGGGAUGAGCUUCACCUAGAAUAAUCCCCGGUGCCAGAAAUUGACACGUUGACGGGAGACUAUUCUUGACUUGAUCCUCCCCGGCAACGGCGCCAUAAAUCCUUCUGCUGCCUCUUGAGCUUGCGUUGGUUUUCUCUUGAAGAGGAAAGGGUGACGCAACACAGUAGCAGUAAGUAUUUCCCUCAGUUUUGAGAACCAAGGUAUCAAUCCAGUAGGAGAAUCGAGCCAAGUGUCUAGAGUACCUGCGCAAACACAAACGAGCUUGCAUCCAACGCUAUAAAGGGGUUGUCAAUCCCUUCAAGAUUGAUUGCAAAGUGAGAUCUGAAGGCGGAAAGUGCAACAAAGUAAAAGUGUAAGGCUGAAAAUAUGAUGUGAAGUAGACCCGGGGCCAUAGUGUUCACUAGAGGCUUCUCUCAAAAUAGCAAAUAUUACGGUCGGUGAACAAAUUACUGUCGAGCAAUUGAUAGAACCGCGCAUAAUCAUGACGAUAUCUAAGGCAAUGAUCAUACAUAUAGGCAUCACGUCCGAGACAAGUAGACCGAUACUUUCUGCAUCUACUACUAUUACUCCACACAUCGACCGCUAUCCAGCAUGCAUCUAGUGUAUUGAGUUCAUGACGAACAGAGUAAUGCCUUAAGCAAGAUGACAUGAUGUAGAGGGAUAAACUCAAACCAAUGAUGUAAACCCCAUCUUUUUACCAUUGAUGGCAACAACACGAUACGUGCCUUGCUACCCCUUCUGUCACUGGGUGAGGUCACCGCACGGUAUGAACCCAAAACCAAGCACUUCUCCCAUUGCAAGAAUCAUAGAUCAAGUUGGCCAAACAAAACCCACAACUCGAAGAGAAUUACAAGGAUAUGAAAUCAUGCAUAUAAGAGAUCAGAAGAAACUCAAAUAAGAUUCAUAGUUAAUCUGAUCAUAAAUCCACAAUUCAUCGGAUCUCGACAAACAUACCGCAAAAGAAGAUUACAUCGGAUAGAUCUCCAUGAAGAUCAUGGAGAACUUUGUAUUGAAGAUCCAAGAGAGAGAAGAAGCCAUCUAGCUACUAGCUAUGGACCCGAAGGUCUAUGGUGACCACUCACGCAUCAUCGGAGAGGCAAUGGUGUUGAUGAAUGAUACGUCUCAAACGUAUCUAUAAUUUUUGAUGGUUUCAUGCUGUUACCUUGUCAUCUUUGGAUGUUUUAUGUACCUUUUAUAUCUUUUUGGGACUAACUUAUUAAUUCAGUGCCAAGUGCCAGUUCCUGUUUUUUCUGUGUUUUUGGCUCUUUUCAGAUCUGAUUUUGGAACGGAGUCCAAACGGAAUAAAAUCCCCGAAAUAAAAUUUUCCCGAAUGGAAGAAGAUCAGGGGGCUUGAGGGCCAAGCCAGGGGAGCUACAGGGGGCCCACAAGCCCUGUAGCCGCCACCAGGGGGGCGACGGCUAGCAGGCUUGUGGCCUUCCUGGCGCCCGCCUGAUCUAGCUCCUUCGCCUACAUAUUCCCUAAAAUACAGAAAAAAAUCAGGGAAUCCACGAAAACACUUUUUCGUCGCCGCAAGCUUCCGUUUCCGCGAGAUCUCAUCUGGAGACCCUUCCCGGUGCCCUGCCAGAGGGGACUUUGGAGUUGGAGGGCUUUUACAUCAACAUCAUCGCCCCUCCAAUGACUCGUGAGUAGUUCACUUCAGACCUACGGGUCCGUAGUUAGUAGCUAGANNNNNNNNNNNNNNNNNNNNNNNNNNNNNNNNNNNNNNNNNNNNNNNNNNNNNNNNNNNNNNNNNNNNNNNNNNNNNNNNNNNNNNNNNNNNNNNNNNNNNNNNNNNNNNNNNNNNNNNNNNNNNNNNNNNNNNNNNNNNNNNNNNNNNNNNNNNNNNNNNNNNNNNNGUCUGCACACUUAAGGUUUGACGUUGUUUUAUGCGUAUUUGAGUUAUAUGGUUGGUUACCGAAUGUUGUUCGGAGUCCCGGAUGAGAUCACGGACGUCACGAGGGUUUCCGGAAUGGUCCAGAAACGAAGAUUGAUAUAUAGGAUGACCUCAUUUGAUUACCGGAAGGUUUUCGGAGUUACCGGGAAUGUACCGGGAAUGACGAAUGGGUUCCGGGAGUUCACCGGGGGGGCAACCCACCCCGGGGAAGCCCAUAGGCCUUGGGGGACACACACCAGCCCUUAGUGGGCUGGUGGGACAGCCCACAAGUGCCCUAUGCGCCAAGUAGAAGAAAAUCAAGAGAGGAAGAAAAAAAAAGGAGGAAGUGGGAAGGAAGGGGGACUCCCUCCCACCAAACCUAGUCCAACUCGGUUUGGGGGGGGAGAGUCCUCCCCCUUGGACUCGGCCGACCCCCUUGGGGCUCCUUGAGCCCCAAGGCAAGGCCCCCUCCCUCCCACCUAUAUAUACAGAGGUUUUAGGGCUGAUUUGAGACGACUUUUCCACGGCAGCCCGACCACAUACCUCCACGGUUUUUCCUCUAGAUCGCGUUUCUGCGGAGCUCGGGCGGAGCCCUGCUGAGACAAGGUAAUCACCAACCUCCGAAACACCAUCACGCUGAAGGAGAACUCUUCUACCUCUCCGUCUCUCUUGCUGGAUCAAGAAGGCCGAGAUCAUCGUCGAGCUGUACUUGUGCUGAACGCGGAGGUGCCGUCCGUUCGGUACUAGAUCGUGGGACUGAUUGCGGGAUUGUUCGCGGGGCGGAUCGAGAGACGUGAGGACGUUCCACUACAUCAACCGCGUUCUCUAACGCUUCUGUUGUACGGUCUACAAGGGUACGUAGAUCACUCAUCCCCUCUCGUAGAUGUACAUCACCAUGAUAGGUCUUCGUGCGCGUAGGAAAAAUUUUGUUUCCCAUGCGACGUUCCCCAACAGUGGCAUCAUGAGCUAGGUUCAUGCGUAGAUGUCUUCUCGAGUAGAACACAAAUGUUUUUGUGGGCGGUGAUGUGCGUUUUGCUGCCCUCCUUAGUCUUUUCUUGAUUCCGCGGUAUUGUUGGAUUGAAGCGGCCUGGACCGACAUUACUCGUACGCUUACGAGAGACUGGUUUCAUCGUUACGAGUAACCCCCUUUGCUCAAAGAUGACUGGCAAGUGUCGGUUUCUCCAACUUUAGUUGAAUCGGAUUUGACCGAGGAGGUCCUUGGAUGAGGUUAAAUAGCAACUCAUAUAUCUCCGUUGUGGUGUUUGCGUAAGUAAGAUGCGAUCCUACUAGAUACCCUUGGUCACCACGUAAAACAUGCAACAACAAAAUUAGAGGACGUCUAACUUGUUUUUGCAGGGUAUGAUUGUGAUGUGAUAUGGCCAACGAUGUGAUGUGAUAUAUUGGAUGUAUGAGAUGAUCAUGUUGUAAUAGAAAUAUCGACUUGCACGUCGAUGGUACGGCAACCGGCAGGAGCCAUAGGGUUGUCUUUAUACUAACGUUUGUGCUUGCAGAUGCGUUUACUAUUUUGCUAGGAUGUAGCUUUAGUAGUAAUAGCAUAAGUAGCACGACAACCCCGAUGGCAACACGUUGAUGGAUGAUCAUGGUGUGGCGCCGGUGACAAGAAGAUCGUGCCGGUGCUUUGGUGAUGGAGAUCAAGAAGCACGUGAUGAUGGCCAUAUCAUGUCACUUAUGAAUUGCAUGUGAUGUUAAUCCUUUUAUGCACCAUAUUUUGCUUAGAACGACGGUAGCAUUAUGAGGUUAUCUCUCAUUAAAAUUUCAAGACGAAAUUGUGUUCUCCCGACUGUGCACCGUUGCUACAGUUCGUCGUUUCGAGACACCACGUGAUGAUCGGGUGUGAUAGACUCAACGUUCACAUACAACAGGUGCAAAACAGUUGCGCACGCGGAACACUCGGGUUAAGCUUGACGAGCCUAGCAUGUGCAGACAUGGCCUCGGAACACAUGAGACCGAAAGGUCGACCAUGAAUCAUAUAGUUGAUAUGAUUAGCAUAGGGAUGCUUACCACUGAAACUAUACUCAACUCACGUGAUGAUCGGACUUGGGAUAGUGUAAGUGGAUCAUGAACCGCUCAAAUGACUAGAGAGAUGUACUUUUUGAGUGGGAGUUUAGCAUAUAAUUUGAUUAAGUUGAACUCUAAUUAUCUUGAACAUAGUCUAAAUCCACUUUGAAUAUAUUUGUGUUGUAGAUCAUGGCUCACGCGACAGUCAUCCUGAAUUUUAAUACGUUCCUAGAGAAAGCUAAGUUGAAAGAUGAUGGAAGCAACUUUGUAGACUGGGCUCGUAAUCUUAAGCUAAUCUUACAAGCUGGGAAGAAGGAUUAUGUCCUUAAUGCUGCGCUAGGAGAUGAACCACCCGCUACGGCUGAUCAGGAUGUUAAGAACGCUUGGUUAGCACGUAAGGAGGACUACUCAAUAGUUCAAUGUGCAGUCUUGUAUGGCUUAGAACCGGGACUUCAACGUCGCUUUGAGCGUCAUGGAGCAUUUGAGAUGUUCCAGGAGUUGAAGUUUAUCUUUCAGAAGAACGCCCGGAUCGAGAGGUAUGAGACCUCCGAUAAAUUCUAUGCUUGCAAGAUGGAGGAAAACUCGUCUGUCAGUGAACAUGUGCUCAAAAUGUCUGGGUACUCAAACCGUCUAGUUGAGCUGGGGAUUGAACUCCCGCAAGAGGCUAUCACUGACAGAAUCCUUCAAUCACUGCCGCCAAGAUAUAAAGGCUUUGUGUUGAACUACAACAUGGAAGGGAUGAACAAGUCUCCCGGCGAGUUGUUUGCGAUGUUGAAAGUCGCAGAGUCUGAACUCCGUAAAGAGCAUCAAGUGUUGAUGGUGAAUAAGACCACUAGUUUCAAGAGAAACGGCAAAGGCAAGAAGGGCAAUUCGAAGAAGAGCGGUAAGCCUGUUGCCAAUCCGACGAAGAAACCCAAAGAUGGACCUAAGCCUGAAACAGAGUGUUACUAUUGCAAGAGUAUGGGUCAGUGGAAGCGCAAUUGCCCCAAGUAUCUGGCAGAUAAGAAGGCGGCCAAAGAAAAAUCAGGUAUAUUUGAUAUAUAUGUUAUUGAUGUGUACUUAACCGGCUCUCGUAGUAGUGCCUGGGUAUUCGAUACCGGUUCUGUUGCUCAUAUUUGCAACUCGAAACAGGAACUGCGGAAUAGACGAAGGCUGGCGAAAGAUGAAGUGACGAUGCGCGUAGGAAAUGGUUCCAUGGUUGAUGCAAUCGCCGUCGGCACAGUUUCACUUCAGUUACCAUCAGGAUUAGUUAUGAACUUAAAUCAUUGUUAUUUAGUGCCUGCGUUGAGCAUGAACAUUAUAUCUGGAUCUUGUUUAUUGCGAGACGGUUACUGUUUUAAGUCAGAGAAUAAUGGUUGUUCUAUUUCUAUGAGUAACAUCUUUUAUGGUCAUGCACCCAAUGUGAGAGGAUUGUUCAUACUGAAUCUUGAUAGUGAUACACACAUACAUAACAUUGAGACCAAAAGAGUUAGAGUUAACAAUGAUAGCGCCAUAUUUUUAUGGCACUGCCGCUUAGGUCAUAUUGGUGUAAAGCGCAUGAAGAAACUCCAUGCCGAUGGACUUUUGGAGUCACUUGACUUUGAUUCACUUGACACGUGCGAACCAUGCCUCAUGGGCAAGAUGACUAAGACUCCGUUCUCCGGAACAAUGGAGCGUGAAAGUGACUUGUUGGAAAUCAUACAUACCGAUGUGUGUGAUCCGAUGAGCGUAGAGGCAUGCGGCGGAUAUCGUUAUUUUCUCACCUUCAGUGACGAUUUGAGUAGAUAUGGUUAUGUCUACUUAAUGAAGCACAAGUCUGAAACAUUUGAAAAGUUCAAGCAAUUUCAGAGUGAAGUGGAAAAUCAUCAUAACAAGAAGAUCAAGUUCCUACGGUCUGAUCGUGGGGGUGAAUAUCUGAGUUUUGAGUUUGGUGCUCACUUAAGACAAUGUGGAAUUGUUUCACAGUUAACAGUGCCUGGAACACCACAGCGUAAUGGUGUGUCCGAACGUCGUAAUCGUACUUUGUUAGAGAUGGUGCGAUCUAUGAUGUCUCUUACUGAUUUGCCGUUAUCAUUUUGGGGUUAUGCAUUAGAAACAGCUGCAUUCACUUUAAAUAGGGCACCAUCAAAAUCUGUUGAGACGACACCAUACGAACUGUGGUAUGGCAAAAGGCCAAAGUUGUCGUUUCUUAAAGUUUGGGGAUGUGAUGCUUAUGUCAAAAAGCUUCAGCCUGAAAAGCUGGAACCCAAAGCGGAAAAAUGCGUCUUCAUAGGUUACCCAAAAGAGACAGUUGGGUACACCUUCUAUCUCAAAUCCGAGGGCAAAGUGUUUGUUGCUAAGAACAGAACUUUUCUCGAGAAGGAGUUUCUCUCGAGAGAAUUGAGUGGGAGGAAGAUAGAACUUGACGAGGUUGUCGAACCUCUCAUCCCUCUGGAUGGUGGCGCAGGGCAAGGGGAAACCUCUGUCGUUGCGACACCGGUUGAGGAGGAAGUUAAUGAUGAUGAUCAUGAAACUCCAGUUCAAGUUUCUGUUGAACCACGCAGGUCGACGAGAUCACGCGCUGCUCCAGAGUGGUACGGUAAUCCCGUCUUAUCAAUCAUGUUGUUGGACAACAAUGAACCUGCAAAUUAUGAAGAAGCAAUGGUGGGCCCAGAUUCCAACAAAUGGCUAGAAGCCAUGAAAUCCGAGAUAGGAUCCAUGUAUGAGAACAAAGUGUGGACUUUGGAGAUACUACCUGAGGGCCGCAAGGCUAUUCAGAAUAAAUGGAUCUUUAAGAAGAAGACGGACGCUGACGGUAAUGUGACCGUUUAUAAAGCUCGACUUGUGGCAAAGGGUUUUUCACAAGUUCCAGGAGUUGACUACGAUGAGACUUUCUCACCCGUAGCGAUGCUUAAGUCCGUCAGAAUCAUGUUAGCAAUAGUUGCAUUUUUCGAUUAUGAAAUCUGGCAGAUGGAUGUCAAAACGGCUUCCUUAACGGUUUCCUUAAGGAAGAGUUGUAUAUGAUGCAACCCGAAGGUUUUGUCGAUCCUAAGAAUGCUAACAAGGUGUGCAAGCUCCAGCGAUCCAUUUAUGGACUGGUGCAAGCAUCUCGGAGUUGGAACAAACGCUUUGAUGAGGUGAUCAAAGCAUUUGGGUUUAUACAAGUGGUUGGAGAAUCUUGUAUUUACAAGAAAGUGAGUGGGAGCUCUGUGGCGUUUCUAAUAUUAUAUGUGGAUGACAUAUUACUGAUUGGAAACAACGUAGAGUUUUUGGAGAGCAUAAAAGGUUACUUGAAUAAAAGUUUCUCUAUGAAGGACCUAGGAGAAGCUGCUUACAUUCUAGGCAUUAAGAUCUAUAGGGAUAGAUCAAAACGCCUGAUAGGACUUUCACAAAGCACAUACCUUGAUAAAGUUUUGAAGAGGUUCAAAAUGGAACAGUCCAAGAAAGGGUUCUUGCCAGUUUUACAAGGUACGAGAUUGAGUAAGACUCAGUGCCCAGCAACUGAUGAAGAUAGAGAGCAUAUGCGCUCCGUCCCCUAUGCUUCAGCCAUAGGUUCUAUCAUGUAUGCGAUGCUGUGCACUAGACCGGAUGUUAGCCUGGCCAUAAGUAUGGCAGGUAGGUUCCAGAGUAAUCCAGGAGUGGAUCACUGGACAGCGGUCAAGAAUAUCCUGAAGUACCUGAAAAGGACUAAGGAGAUGUUUCUCGUGUAUGGAGGUGACGAAGAGCUCGCCGUAAAAGGUUACGUCGAUGCAAGCUUUGACACAGAUCCGGACGACUCUAAGUCACAAACCAGAUACGUAUUUAUUCUUAAUGGGGGUGCAGUAAGCUGGUGCAGUUCCAAGCAAAGCGUCGUAGAAGAUUCUACAUGUGAAGCGGAGUACAUGGUUGCCUCGGAGGCGGCUAAGGAGGGUGUCUGGAUGAAGCAGUUCAUGACGGAUAUUGGAGUGGUGCCAAGCGCACUGCAUCCAAUAACCUUGUUCUGUGACAACACUGGUGCCAUUGCCUUAGCAAAGGAACCACGGUUUCACAAGAAGACCAGACACAUCAAACGACGCUUCAACCUCAUCCGCGACUACGUCGAGGAAGAGGACGUAAAUAUAUGCAAAGUGCACACGAAUCUGAAUGUAGCAGACCCGCUGACUAAACCUCUUCCACGACCAAAACAUGAUCGACACCAGAACUGUAUGGGUGUUAGAUUUAUUACAAUGUAAUUCACAUGGUGAUGUGAGGGCUAGAUUAUUGACUCUAGUGCAAGUGGGAGACUGUUGGAAUUAUGCCCUAGAGGCAAUAAUAAAUAUAGUUAUUAUUAUAAUUCCUGUAUCAAGAUAAUAGUUUAUUAUCCAUGCUAUAAUUGUAUUGAAUGAAGACUCAUUUACAUGUGUGGAUACAUAGACAAAACACCGUCCCUAGCAUGCCUCUAGUUGGCUAGCCAGUUGGUCAAUGAUAGUCAGUGUCUUCUGAUUAUGAACAAGGUGUUGUUGCUUGAUAACUGGAUCACGUCAUUGGGAGAAUCACGUGAUGGACUAGACCCAAACUAAUAAACAUAGCAUGUUGAUCGUGUCAUUUUGUUGCUACUGUUUUCUGCGUGUCAAGUAUUUAUUCCUAUGACCAUGAGAUCAUAUAACUCACUGACACCGGAGGAAUGCUUUGUGUGUAUCAAACGUCGCAACGUAACUGGGUGACUAUAAAGAUGCUCUACAGGUAUCUCCGAAGGUGUUAGUUGAGUUAGUAUGGAUCAAGACUGGGAUUUGUCACUCCGUGUGACGGAGAGGUAUCUCGGGGCCCACUCGGUAAUACAACAUCACACACAAGCCUUGCAAGCAAUGUAACUUAGUGUAAGUUGCGGGAUCUUGUAUUACGGAACGAGUAAAGAGACUUGCCGGUAAACGAGAUUGAAAUAGGUAUGCGGAUACUGACGAUCGAAUCUCGGGCAAGUAACAUACCGAAGGACAAAGGGAAUGACAUACGGGAUUAUAUGAAUCCUUGGCACUGAGGUUCAAACGAUAAGAUCUUCGUAGAAUAUGUAGGAUCCAAUAUGGGCAUCCAGGUCCCGCUAUUGGAUAUUGACCGAGGAGUCUCUCGGGUCAUGUCUACAUAGUUCUCGAACCCGCAGGGUCUGCACACUUAAGGUUNNNNNNNNNNNNNNNNNNNNNNNNNNNNNNNNNNNNNNNNNNNNNNNNNNNNNNNNNNNNNNNNNNNNNNNNNNNNNNNNNNNNNNNNNNNNNNNNNNNNNNNNNNNNNNNNNNNNNNNNNNNNNNNNNNNNNNNNNNNNNNNNNNNNNNNNNNNNNNNNNNNNNNNNNNNNNNNNNNNNNNNNNNNNNNNNNNNNNNNNNNNNNNNNNNNNNNNNNNNNNNNNNNNNNNNNNNNNNNNNNNNNNNNNNNNNNNNNNNNNNNNNNNNNNNNNNNNNNNNNNNNNNNNNNNNNNNNNNNNNNNNNNNNNNNNNNNNNNNNNNNNNNNNNNNNNNNNNNNNNNNNNNNNNNNNNNNNNNNNNNNNNNNNNNNNNNNNNNNNNNNNNNNNNNNNNNNNNNNNNNNNNNNNNNNNNNNNNNNNNNNNNNNNNNNNNNNNNNNNNNNNNNNNNNNNNNNNNNNNNNNNNNNNNNNNNNNNNNNNNNNNNNNNNNNNNNNNNNNNNNNNNNNNNNNNNNNNNNNNNNNNNNNNNNNNNNNNNNNNNNNNNNNNNNNNNNNNNNNNNNNNNNNNNNNNNNNNNNNNNNNNNNNNNNNNNNNNNNNNNNNNNNNNNNNNNNGCUUUUUGUGUUUGUGCAAGCACUUGUGAUACUCCUUCACUGGAUCGAUACCUUGGUUCUCAAAACUAAGGGAAAUACUUACCACCGCUGCGCUACAUCACCCUUUACGCUUCAAGGGAACACCAACGCAAGGCUCCAAGGCCGCGGGGAAAUCCUUUGCAUAUUUGCCUAGGAAGUCCCUAAAGGCGUAGCUGUAGCAGAAGGAUUCCUGGUGCCGUUGCUAAGGAGAAUCAAGACAAGAAUAGUCUCUCGUUAGUAUGUGUUUCUAGCGCCGUUGGAAGGUCUUUUGUUGCAGUAGCAGAAGUAUUUCUGGCGCCGUUGUCGGGGAAGGAGAGAUCUAUCCAAGUAGGUCUCACAAACUCAUCUCUUGCAUUUACUUUUUUUGCCAGUUGCCUCUCGUUUUCCUUUCCCCCACUUCACAUUUGCCGUUUUCAUUUGCCUUUCUCCUUUGUCGUUUUCAUUUGCCUUUUUCCGUUUGCCUUUUUCGUUCGCCCUUUUCUCUCGCUUGCUUUCUGUUCGCUUGUGUGCCAUGUGCCUUCAAUAUGCUUGCAUCUUCGCUUGCUGAAAAUCUAGUGAUAUGGAUCCUCAUCCACUUGCUAAUCUCUUUAAGAGAUCCAAUUAUGUUGAUCGAAUUGCUAGUGAGUUGAGUGCACUUGACUAUAUUUAUGGAGUUUUGCUUGAGCUGCGUGAAUCUGAAAAUUGUGAGGAAGAAUGAAGUGAUUCACGAGGGCUCCUUGGAUGAAAAGCAUGAUUGCAAUGGUUUCACUAUAAAUUCUAUUAGUGACAAUCAUGCUAAAAAUAUGCAAAACCCUAAGCUUGGGGAUGCUAGUUUUGCUAUGUCCACUACUUGUUGCAAUGAUCAUGAGUGGGGCGAUGUUUUUUCUUAUGAUCUUGAAAAUUUGUUUAAGCCUCAUGAUGAAUAUGAUAUUUGCAAUAUUAUUGAAAGUGGGUUUGGAGACGUCAUGACUUUAGUUGAUGAUAAUCCCACUAUUUUUAAAGAGCAUCAACUUUGCAUGCAUGUGGAUCAUGAAAAGAAUAUCCUAUGUGAUAGUUAUAUUGUUGAAUUCGAAUAUGAUCCCACAUGUAAUUAUUAUGAGAGAGGAAAAUAUGGUGGUAGAAACUUUCAUACCACUAAAUCACCUCUCGUUAUGUUGAAAUUGCUCUUGUCUCUUUCUUCUUCCUUGCAUUUGGUAACUAUUGGCUGUCUUGCCAAUUUGUUUUCCUAUAAAAUGCCUAUGCAUAGGAAGUAUGUUAGACUUAGAUGUGAUUAUCACAUGCUUUAUGAUGCUCUCGUUGUGCUUCAAUUCUUUUCUUUUGUGUGGGCAUCAUUGAAUUAUCAAUGCCUAGCUAAGGGCGAUAAACAAUAACGCUUGUUGGGAGGCACCCCAACGAAUCUAUCAUUUUUCUUUCUGUUUUAUGUUUUCCACACUUUCAUAAUUCUGUUAUGAUUGUGUUUUUUGUGUUUCUUUUUGCGUUUGUGCCAAGCAAAACCGUUAUGAUUAGUCUUGGGAUGAUCGUUUGGUCAUGCUGGAAAAGACAGAAACUUUCUGCUCACGAAAAGAAUUUUUUUAUGUAAGAGCUUUUGAGUUGAUUCUUUUGCUGCUAAUUGCUACGCAAAUUCUUCAGACUGUCCUAAUUUUUCAGAAUUUUUGAAGUACCAGAAGUAUACGAAGUAUACAGAUUGCUACAGACUGGUCUGCUGUUAACAAAUUAUGUUUUUGUUGUGUUGGUUGCUUAUUUUGAUGAAACUAUGGAUAGUAUCGGGGGGUAUUAGCCAAGGAAGAUUGAAAAUACAGUAACCCAACAUCAGCAUAAGUAGAAUUUAAGUUUGCUACAUUACCUAAGGAAGUGGUGGUUUGCUUUCUUAUACUAAUGUUAUCACGAGUUUCUGUUUAAGUUUCGUGUUGUGAAGUUUUCAAGUUUUGGGCGAAGUUCUUAUGGACAAAGAGAUAAAGAGUGGAAAGAGCUCCAGCUUGGGGAUGCCCAAGGCACCCCAAGAGAUUCAAGGAUGUCGUAAAAGCCUAAGCUUGGGGAUGCCCCGGGAAGGCAUCCCCUCUUUCGUCUUCAAAUCCAUCGGUAACGUUACUUGGGGCUAUAUUUUUAUUCACCACAUGUUAUGUGUUUUGCUUGGAGCGUCCUGUAUCGUAGGAGUCUUUUAUUUUUGUUGUGUCACAAUCAUCCUUGCUGCACACCUAGAGAGAGAGACAUGCACUCACCGUGAUUUUGUCGAGCUUCACUUAUAUCCUUUGGUAGACAAUUUAGCUCACAUGUGCUUCACUUAUAUCUUUUGAGCUAGUUGAUUUUUCUCUAUGUGCUUCACUUAUAUCUUUUAUAGCACAGCGGUGUGUGGCUUGGUAGUUGAUCUACGCUUUGAAAGUAGUCUCAAAAGGGGUAGUUAUCCAAAGGGAUAUGAAAACUUCCACCUUCAUGUGCAUUGAAUAGUUAGAGAAGUUUGAUUCAUCUCAAUUAGUUUUGAGUUGUGGUUGUGGUAAUAUUGAAGUUAUGCUAGUAAGGUGUUGUGGAUCUAGAAAUACUUGUGUUGAAGUUAGUGAUUCCCGUAGCAUGCACGUAUGGUGAACCGCUAUGUGAUGAAGUCUGAGCAUGAUUAGUCUUUUGAUUGUCAUCCUUUGUGUGGCGGUCGGGAUCGCGCGAUAGUUUACACCUACCAACCCUUCCCCUAGGAGUAUGCGUUGAAUGCUUUGUUUCGAUUGCUAAUAAAACUUUUGCAACAAGUAUAUGAGUUCUUCAUGACUAAUGUUGAGUCCAUGGUUUAGAUGCACUUUCACCUUCCACCAUCACUAUCUUCUUAGUGUCGUGCAACUUUCGCCGGUGCACAAAACCCACCAUUGGCCUCCCUCAAAACAGCCACCAUACCUACCUACUAUGGCUUGUCCAAAGUCAUUCCGAGAUAUAUUGCCAUGCAACUACCACCAUGACAUGUGUCACCACUUCUACAUUGCCAUUGCAUGAUCGUAAGAUAGCUAGCAUGAUGUUUCCAUUAAUGUCUAUGCCAUGCUAGAUCAUUGUCAUGGUACACUACCGAAGGCUUUCCAUAUAGAGUCAUCAUUGCUCUAAGUUUUGAGUUAUAAGUCUGUUGAUCAUCAUUGAUGGAGCAUUGUCCCAUGUGAGGAAAUAAAAGAGGCCAAAGAUGCCCACCAAAAAAAGAGGCCAAAGAGCCCACCAAAAAUGAGAGAAAAAUAGAGAAGGGACAAUGCUACUAUCCUUCCACACUUGUGCUUAUUAAGCACCAUGAUCUUCAUGAUUGAGAGUCUCUCAUUUUGUCACCACCAUAUAGCUAGUGGGAAAUUUUCGUUAUAUAACUUGGCUUGUAUAUUCCAAUGAUAGGCUUCCUCAAAUUUGCCUUAGGUCUUCGUGAGCAAGCAAGUUGGAUGCACACCCACUAUUUUUCUUUAAGAGCUUUCACAUACUCUUAGCUCUAGUGCAUCAUUUGUAUGGCAAUCCCUACUCAUUCACAUUGAUAUCUAUUGAUGAGAAUCUCCACAGCUCAUUGAUAUGCCUAGUUAAUGUGAUCAUCUUCUCCUUGUUUGUCUUGCAACCUCCACCACACUCCACACCACUUAUAGUGCUAAAACCAUGGCUCACGCUCAUGUAUUGCGUGAGAGUUGAAAAGGUUUGAGAAAGUAAAGGUGUGAAAACAAUUACUUGGCCAAUACCGGGGUUGUGCAUGAUUUAAAUUCGUUGUGCAAUGAUGAUAGAGCAUAGCCACACUAUAUGCUUUUGUAGGGAUAACUUUCUUUUGGCCUUGUUAUUUUGAAAGUUCAUGAUUACCUUGCUAGUUUGCUUGAAUUAUUAUUGUUUCCACGUCAAUAGCAAACUAUUGUUUUGAAUCUAAUGGAUCUGAACAUUCACGUCACAUAAGAGGAGUUACAAAGGACAUCUAUGCUAGGUAGCAUGAAAGCAUCAAAAAUUCAUUCUUUAUCACUUCCCUACUCGAGGACGAGCAGGAGUUAAGCUUGGGGAUGCUUGAUACGUCUCAAACGUAUCUAUAAUUUUUGAUGGUUUUAUGUUGUUAUCUUGUCAUCUUUGGAUGUUGUAUGUACCUUUUAUAUCUUUUUUGGGACUAACUUAUUAAUUCAGUGCCAAGUGCCAGUUCCUGUUUUUUCUAUGUUUUUGGCUCUUUUCAGAUCUGAUUUUGGAACGGAGUCCAAACGGAAUAAAAUCCCCGAAAUAAAUUUUUCCCGAACGGAAGAAGAUCAGGGGGCUUGAGGGCCAAGCCAGGGGAGCUAUAGGGGGCCCACAAGCCCUGUAGCCGCCACCAGGGGGCGACGGCUAGCAGGCUUGUGGCCUUCCUAGCGCCCCCCUGACCUAGCUCCUUCGCCUACAUAUUCCCUAAAAUACAAAAAAAAAUCAGGGAAUCCACGAAAACACUUUUUCGCCGCCGCAAGCUUCCGUUUCCGCGAGAUCUCAUCUGGAGACCCUUCCUGGUGCCCUGCCGGAGGGGACUUUGGAGUUGGAGGGCUUCUACAUCAACAUCAUCGCCCCUCCAAUGACUCGUGAGUAGUUCACUUCAGACCUACGGGGCCGUAGUUAGUAGCUAGANGCUUUUUGUGUUUGUGCACGCACUUGUGAUACUCCUUCACUGGAUCGAUACCUUGGUUCUCAAAACUGAGGGAAAUACUUACCACCGCUGCGCUACAUCACCCUUUCCGCUUCGAGGGAACACCAACGCAAGGCUCCAAGGCCGCGGGGAAAUCCUUUGCAUAUUUGCCUAGGAAGUCCCUAAAGGCCUAGCCGUAGCAGAAGGAUUCGUGGUGCCGUUGCUGGGGAGAAUCAAGACAAGAAUAGUCUCCCGUCAGCAUGUGUUUCUGGCGCCGUUGGAAGGUCUUUUGUUGUAGUAGCAAUGAAGAAGCCCUCUGUAUCCGAAUCCCCCCUCCGACAGGGCACUAGAACGUGCCCCAGAUGGGAUCUUGCGGAGACAGAAGCUUCCGGCAGCGGAAAAGUAUUUUCGUGGAUCUCUCGCGCAUUUUUGGAUUUUUCGUGAAUUUAUAGGCGGAAGAGGUAGGGCAGACGAGCCACAGGGGGCCCACAAGCCUGCUAGGCGCGGGCUCCCUGGCCGCGCCUAGGGGGCUUGUGGCCUCCCUGGUGCCUGUGCCUUGGUUCUCACGUCCCGUGCGUAUCUUCUGUUCCGAAAAAAUAUUUUCGGAAGUUUUAUUCCGUUUGGACACCGUUUAAAAUUCUCCUCUGAAAAGGGUCAAAAACACGGAAAAAACAGGAACUGGCACUUGGCAGUGAGUUAAUAAGUUAGUCCCCAAAAAGAUAUAAAAGACAUACAAAACAUCCAAAGUUUGACAAGAUAAUAGCAUGGAACCAUCAAAAAUUAUAGAUACGUUGGAGACGUAUCAACUGUCUUCAUCACCUUCCUCGUCUCUUUUUAGCGGUCCACUCUCCCCGCACCCCGCUGUAAUCCCCUACUUGAACUCGGUGUUUCAUGACACAUAUUAUUUAUCAAUGAUGUGUUGCCAUCCUAUGAUGUUUGAGUAGAUUUUUGUUGUCCUUUGGGUUGAUUGAUGAUCUUAAUUGGUUUGAGUGUAUGUUUUAUUUGUGUGUUGUCCUAUGGUGUCCUCUGUGCCGCGCACUUGAGGGAUUCUCACUGUAGGGUGUUGCUAUACACUCGAGUAAGGGGAUGGUUGCGUAUGUGAGUAAAGGGGACUUGAUGUUUAAUGCUACGGUUGGGUUUACCUUAAUGAUUUCUAGUAGUUGCAGAUGCUUGUUAGAGGUCUAAUCAUAAGUUCAUAUGAUCCAAGUACGGAGAGUAUGUUAGCUCAUGUCUCUCCCUCAUAUAAAAUUGCAAGAAUGAUUUCCGAUCUUCUUAUGUAUUGCUUAGGAUAAUUCCGCACACCAUACCAUCAUUAUUCCACACUCGUUAUUUGUAAUAUAUUGUGUUAUAUUAUAACUUUAUUUAGGCAGCGACUAUUUCCAUAAUUUUGUUCUCCAAUAUCAUGCUAAGCUAUCCUCUUUAUACCAACAACGUAGUUUUAUUUUUCACUACUAGAUAGAAGCAAAAGCUCGGUGUACGUAGAGUCAUAUCGAUGGCAGAUAGGACUUGGGAGAAUAUUGAUCUUACCUUUAGCUCCUGUGGGUUCGACACUCCAUACUUAUCACUUCCAUCUUUGAAAAGUGCUACGUUGAUUCCUUGCACUUGGGGAUUAUCACUCACGCGCCAUCUUCUCCUAUGAUGGCUGCAACUAUUGUUUGGCGGGCAUUAUAAUGAAGACAAAAGGCAGACAUUAUGAGGACUCCUUCAUAUCGGAUGAGAGGAGGAUGAUCAUUGCAUUUCAUUAUCCACUAUGUUACCUGGUAUAAAGAGAAUAAGCAAAUGACCACAGUGGGUUAUGGUAACGAGACCAUGAUCCUAUCUCCAAGUUGCCUCUCAAAAAAGUCCUACGCGUUGCUCAUGCUCUUAGGUUUGUUUGGUGCAUUUGGUCUAUUCAAGUAAGUAAUGUAAGGUUUUCUCUCAUCUGAUCCCUUCUAAAUAUUGUACAUGUAUCUUCCAGUUAGCCCACUUAACAUCUUGAUUGUGAAUCAUUCGUUAAACACCUAAAAGUGCAAAACGAGGUUAUCCUACACUCCAAGGUAGUUGGGAGUAAUGUUGUUGAUGGCUAUAAAAUGAGAGGAAGGGUUACGACUAACAGAAAACACAAUAAAAGGUAGGCUAACGAAAUUGAUAUGAACACCACUAUGACACAUAUUUUAUUGGUACCACAUAGACCAUGCCAAGUAAAACCAAGUCACUAGAAAACUAGUCCCCAAGACCACACUAACGCUACAUCCAAAAGUACUUUAAAAUUUAUCUAGAUGGAGGUAUGUUUGAAAGGUUUUAUAUCCAAAGAAAAUUUGAACUAAAUAUCCAAACUUUCGAUACAAACUCCCUCGUUUAAACACCUCCUUCUUAAACAGUAAUAUAAACACAUCAACUUUCUUUGUUGGCCUCCCUGAAGUAUUUUUUUUCUAAUCGUAUCACUGGGCACUAUAUAUGGACGCUAAGGACUUUCAUUUUCAUUAAUGAAUGUAAAUUUGAGACACAUAAACAAAUUACAAGUUAAUUGAUUUAGCUUAACAAUGAUUAAUAAGCUUGACACAUGCAUCGAGCUUUUUGAUUUAAACAUCUAUAAACUCACAUCUUUUAGUAUUGAUGCUAGAUAAUUUCUCUCACCUUUAACGUCUGCUCAACAUCUAGACACGCGGAUGUUUUUAUAUGUUUGUGGAGCAACACGUGGUCUUGAAGUUGAGUGUAUCACACACAACUUUUCAUAAAGUUGGAGGGUGCAAAAUAAAGUUGUUCCCACUCCUUAACAGAAAAAAAAGGGAAAUGUUGGAGGACCAAUUGGCAACAAAUGGAGAAUCCCUCCUCGCACCCUCGAGCUCGUUUUCUUGGCCUCCCCCCACCAGCAACCCACCGCACCAAACACCGCCUCCUCCCCGCCGCUCUCCCGCCAUGAAGCAGCUCCACAAGUCCCCCACCCACGCGCCGUCGCCGGCGCACGCGCCGGCGUCCAAGAUCUCCAAGCCCGCGCGCCCCGGGCCGCGCACCUGGGUCGGCUACCUCCUCCGCGAGCAGCGCCUCCUCUUCGUCCUCCUCGGCGCGCUCAUCGCCACCUCCUUCUUCCUCCUCCGCCCCUACCUCUUCUCCCUGUCGGCCUCCAACGCCGCCGACCGCAGCCCCAUCUUCUCCUUCGUCGCCCACUCGUCCGACCCCCGCGGCGUCCCCGCGGGUUUCCGCCCGCCGCCCCGCCGCGUCGUCGUCACCGGCGGGGCGGGCUUCGUGGGCAG
This 332735-nucleotide long non-coding RNA is filed under the name Hordeum vulgare. RNAcentral describes it as "long non-coding RNA (HVUL_LNC007847)". The record is from RNAcentral. Lineage: Eukaryota; Viridiplantae; Streptophyta; Magnoliopsida; Poales; Poaceae.